ACAACUUUUACCAAUUUUUCCAGCAAAUCUUACCAAAGCCAAUUAGGCAACGACCUAAGGCCUUAGAUAUUUGAGGGACCUAAAAAAUAAACCAUUUGUUCUCUGGUUCUUGCAGACAGUGGGAACAUAUCUUGUUAUUGCAAAUUAUUGCAUGACAGGAAUGACCUUUAUGAUUUGCUAAAGAAAUGAAGGUACUUUCCUUGGUUUCUUCAUUUUGCUUUAUUUCCACUCGUCAUUCAUUUACCAGUAUGGGUUGAUUCCCUUUCCUAGAAAAUAUGCUCAUGCCAAUUUCCUAAAUUUGUGGAUUUAAUUGAAACUCAAAAAAGUUUAACCAUAUUUUCUUACCUUCGUUUCAGUCCAUGAUAAUCUUUGUCAAAUUUUUAAUUUGUGGAAUCACACACAUUUAAAGAACAUUUUAGUCCAACCUAUCCUUUCCAUCCAAUCUCAUCUUUGCAUUGACAUACGUUAUGUGUUGGUUGGACAAUAAAAGAAAAUAUUAGACAGCAUUAAAGGAUAAACAACCAUCACAAAUUCACGACAUAUUUAUAGAAUACUGCCAAAGAAAUCCAUUUUGAGGAACUUUUAAUCACUUCCAAACAAGCUCUUAGCUCUCAACAUUUUUCAUGAGCUCGAUUUAUAGUACUAAUUAAACAAUAAAAAGAUAUUAAAACUUUUUCCAUAGUAAUCUACAUUUUUGUCCAGCACUAAGCAUGGCUCCUAAAUAUGAUAUGACAGUAAACAUGUGGGCCUUUACUGUUUUAAUAGGAAUCCUCAUCUUUGAGAAUUAUGUUAGUUGUUAUUAUGUCCUCUGAGCAUGUUUCCUCAAGAAUCAAUAGAAAAUAGCUAUUUAUUUUUAUUUUAUUUUUUCAUUUUACUCAAACUCGUGUAUUUCAUGUUGAACUGCCUAGUAUAGAAAGUAAAGAAGAUUAAGUUAUGAGAAAAAAGUUAUGUUUAAGUUCUUCAAGGAUCAAAAGGUGAAAAUAUCAUACCUGAGGGCCUCAUCAUAAUUAUUUGAUAGCCCCGAGAAACCGACCCCAAUAGUCCCUUUUCUAGGAACCAACUUGGUGAGCCUUUCUUCGUCAACGAAUUUAGUUCACAGAUUCGCCUCACUUUCUCCACCAACAAGCCUAGUUUGCAGCUCUGACUCACCGAGUGACUCCAACAAGAUACAUCAAGGUUAACAAAAUGUAGCUCACAUGUAGCAUCCAUGCUGGAUGAGGUUCAAUCAUUUUGAGCCACUUUCAACGAGCCUGGAAGGUUGUUACUACGUAGAUGAAUAUGUGGAUCGCUAGAUUCUGACAUUUGCUCAGCAGAUUAGCACUUUGAGGACGACAGGAUUCAACCAACCCAGUUUGACACAGAACAACUUAUUAAGCAACAGGAAAUCUCUUUCAAUGUGGAUGAGGAAUUUUAUUCAGCAACAUAGGUGGUGUGCUCUAAACUGACUGCAAGGAGCCACGUUCUUAAUUUCUAGAAACAAUCUCGAAACCAAUACUAAUCUCGGCAAGUUUAAUAAAUAUUUUGGUUUUCCUUCCGAAUCCCAUGGCCACUCCGUUGUGGCACAACUCUGGUGCCUAUCCCGCACCAAGUGUGCCUCAACAGCCGAAGCUGGAGGUGAGGGUCCGCUGGAGCUGCCUCGACAACAGUUGCCGGAGGUUGGAGGUUGCGGUGUACCCAGAAACGUCAAAAGUCAUAGUUGGAGGUUGAAUUUUGGUUUAGAUAUUUUAUCGAUCGCCUGAUGGACGAAGUAGUGCUGAGAAUUUAUGAGAACAAAUAAAGGCUGCCUUGCACAACACAAUAUCCCAAUUGUGCCCGUUUUAGAAUUUCCGCGUCCAACGAAAGACAAGGAAGAGACAUUAUUUAUAAAAAUGGAGCGGGGUCCCAUGGUUCAACGCGAGGCUUGAAUUGAAUAUCUCCACUAUCUGAGAAAAAUCUAAAAAACUUUCAUACAGCAGGUGGCGGCCCAAGGUUCUUACCACCAGUGAAGAUUCGGAGCCGUCGAAAGCGACUACCACUGCAACUGCAUCCAACGGAGGCUACGGGAGCCUCGGUGGCGGUGGGGGCACCUGCGGCAGAUCUUGGCCUAGUAUUCAGUCUAACACGAAGAGUUGUACUUGGUCCGCCGAGACCAAGGGGGAUCGAGAUCAAGUGGCAUGUAGGUCGCAACGCCGCUGCUACGGGAGCCUCGGUGGCGGUGGGGGCACCAGGGCUAGAUCUUGGCCCAGUGUUCAGUCUAAAACGCAGAGUUCUACUUGGUCCGCCGAGAUCAAGGGGGAUCGGGAUCGAGAUCGAUUGGCAUGUAGGUCGCAACGCCGCUGCUACGGGAGCCUAGGUGGCAGUGGAGUUCAACACCGAGACCAAGGGGGAAUCGAGAUGGAGAAGCAUGUUGGUCCGUCGUAGCUGGACUGUUUUAACGACCAUGGAGGCGAUUCUCAUCAGUAGGAUUUUGGUGGAAAUUUUGACAGUUACACGGCGAAAUUUAUGGAGAUUUCCAUUUGUACCCGAAUGUGAGUGAAGGGUCCGGCCCCGUACAUUUAUUGGCGUGGGGCCCGACCAUGUGAGUAGUAGUGUAGUAGGUAAUUUAACAAAUAUUGAGUCAAAAAAAUUGGGCCGAAGGAGGUGACCAAAUUACCCCUAAAAUCGAAUAGCUUCCAAAUAAACGCACAAUUAAUUCAUGACACUUUAAUUUAGUGGGUUAAUGAUAAUUUAAUGAUGAUAAAUUUAAAAUAACGUGUUAAUUAUUGAUGACAUGUCAAAAAUUAAUUAGAUAGACAGCAAAUCUCGACUCUAUUUUCCAAAAAGGUAUAUAGUAUGUCAUUUAUAUAUUUUAUUACAUAGCGUAUAACAACUUAUUUUUUCAUUAUAUUUUUAAAAAAAUAAAAAGUCCCUCACUUCAAAGCAUAGAAACAAAAUAUUUUGACAUAAAUUAUCAUCAAGAACGAAAUGUACUACUUAAUGAAAAGUUGAAAAUAAGAAUUCCAAGAAAAAAAUUAAGAAAAUAAUUACUAUAACGAGCAAAAUAAAAUGUAGUGUAAUUAAUAAAAAUUAUAGUGGCAAUACAACCAUCCUAAAAUAAAACUUGACCUCCCUUUGUGGAGACCAAACAAACCACUGGAGAGGUGAUUCUUUCAUCCUAUUUGAAGCUUUGAAACACUGUUUUUUGCUCGAAUUACAUUGGCUAUGUGCUAACAGAAAUGCUAUACAAAAGAGGCAAAUAUACUACAUCAAAACAUUAUUGUUCUUUCCAAAUUACUAUAUUUAAUUACUAACUCAAAGCUCCAGAUUUGCAUUUGGCCUAAUCUUGCUGAAUUUGUCCCCUCACCAGCGAUUCUAAGUCGGGUUCCUCGUCAAUAUUUAUUGUUGUGGUCAUAUAUAUGUUAAGAACAGGAAUUGAUGGUAGCAGAAUUUGAAAACUCAGCUUAAAACUCCUCCACAUGCUAGAGAUACAUGUAGUGCAUAAGGGAAGCAGCAUAAUUAUGGGGUACAUAAUCCAAAAAAGUCUUGUGGGAAGAAUAGAGAGGCCGAGAAACAAACCAAUAGGGAAACUGAGUAAUUCUUGACUUGAAUGCGCAUGUAUCCCAUAUCAACUUGAGGUGUCAAUGGGAUUUCAAUGGAAAUGAAGGAGAAGAGAAGGAAAAAGCUAGUGAGAAGCCAAAACUUGAUCCAAAUGAAGUUUCCAAUUGCUAUACCAAAUGGAUCCCAUUCCCAAGAUGUGGCUGUAUAUGAUUUCAAUAUGUUUAUAACGAAGAGGGCAGCGUGUCUUAGAUCAAAGUAUAACAUUAUUCUUGGGUGAGAGAAUUUAAGGAGAAGUGAUGAAUUGAAUAUGAAAAAGAUACUGGCGAGAGAAUUUAAGGAGAAGUGAUUAAUUGAAUAUGAAGAAGAUACUUGCCUAGCCAACACAAAAUAUAUAUAUAUAUAUAUAUAUAUAUAAUUCCUGAAACAUGAAAUUUGACUCCUUGUAGGCGCAGUGUACAGGCAGCUCUUGUUCCCUGGCCUGCUGGGCACAUCCUGCGAUUUACAUCCUUCACAAAGCUCUAGGGGCGGGGCGGUGGGGGUCCUCAAGGUUGGGGUUCAACCUUUUUUAUAUAUAGACACUGUGUGUAUGUCCUUUCAGGCCCUAUGAAAGCUUCAGCAGGGAUAGUGCUUUGGAAAUAUUAUGACGUCCAAUUUGUGCUUUUAUAUCUUUGGUUUAACUUUAGUACAUUUGGAUGUUUCUAGGACAUCUCUCUCUCUCUCUCUCUCUCUCUCUCUCUCUCUCUCUCUCUCUCUCUCUCUCUCUCNNNNNNNNNNNNNNNNNNUCUCUCUCUCUCUCUAUAUAUAUAUAUAUACACACACACACACACACACAUGCAAAGUCAAUAAUCCAGUAGUCUGUCUUCUCUUUAAGAAAAAUGCUACUCAAACAGGUGUAGCAUAGGUGUGGAGUCAUAAGCCAAAACUAUUGUCAUCUCUUUGUAGUUAAUUAAUUAAAUCUUCUUUCAUGUUCCAUCAUUGCUAAAGAAAUAUAUUUCCAAAAGCAAUAAUUUUGAAACAUAUCUUAUCUUCCGUCUCUCUAAUUCUCUAUUUGAAGCCAAAGAAAGAAAAUGAUGUCAACUGGUAGAUAGAAAUGGCUAAAAAUUCCCUUCAAACCCCAUCUCCGUGGACCCCGCUCCAAAUUGGGUGGGCAUUACCCUCUUAUUCAGCUAUUCAGGAAGGGAAAUUUCGUCCUGAGGCGGGUUGGGUAACACUCGCUCCCAUGCCAUUUAAUUUAAUUUUUUUUAAAAAAAUUCAAUACUUUAAAUGGAAAAUUUUACGAAAUGUCAUUAUGUAAAACAUGUUUUCAUGCUUUUAACCGAAUUUAAGUUGUGAAACUUACUUGAAAAUCCCAAAAACGAGGUUGAAUUACUUGCCUAUUGAUUGCUUGCCUCCAACACUGCUUUGUACCAGCUUCUUGGUCAAAACUCGAUUACCAAGGAAGAAGUUUGUUGUGCACAAUCCAAGAACCCAAUUAGAGAUGUAAUUUUCCCAAAAAUCAAGCCUCCACCCGCAUCCAAUUUUUACACCUUGAAAGAACCUGAAUUUUGAAUAUCCUUAUUGUUUUUUACUUUUCUGAAUAAUGAAGAAUGGAAGUUGAUAAUUGGAGUUAUGGGUGGUGGAGAGGUUAACUUUCAAAUUCAGCUUUCAACCCCUCCCUCCAAAAUUCAAUUCCAUGCAAAUCGGGUCGGGUCAGGUCAACCCACAUGGACGAUCGUUUUCUUCCAACAUCUCUUACUCACACAUGAUGGGCUUGACCUGAUUCUAAUAUAAUAUCAAUUAUAUUAAGCUCAACAUCUCCAAGUUCAUAUAGGUAAAUGGAUAGUGCGACCAGCGAAUUAAUUUAAGAGCACACAACACUAUACACCUGUAAGGGAUAUAUAACAGCUCAGAAAGAGGAAUUAUAUUUCUCGCUAUACCCCAGACAUAUUUUGUAACACUAGUUUGAGUAUUUCUGACCCCUCAAUUUAUUUUAGAACAUACUCAACUUUCUCAUUUAUGUUGUAUUCACAAUUGUGUCAUGAAACUUAAAUAAUCAACACAAUUAUCGAGUCGGUGAAUACAAGCUGAGGUGUUAGUUAAACAGUCUUCUUUUCCUACUUGAAUCCCUUCAUUUCAAAUCAACUGCUUUCCUAGACAUGUCCCAUCAAACCGAAUCAACCAUAAUUAUUGGCAACAUAUUAAAGUAGCAACACUGAAAUAAAAUUAUGAGAAAUAUUCAAAAGUCAUAAGGGUAUAUAUAAGUGAGGUCAAAUAUGCCUCAGAGACUCACACAAUGAAAAAGCAGGGAUCAAUUCUUUCAUUUCUCAUUGGUCAUUAAAGCACACGUGGUAUAAAAUACGUGUUACGAUAUUUUCUCCCUUCAUUUGGGUGUAUGUCAAAUCUCGCAAAUCAAAUACAUCGUACAGAUCAUAGUUCAGAUAUUUCUCAAUGUCUAAUCUGAGUUCUCCUCAUAUUUAUUCCUCUAGGUAAUCUCAAAUCGAGAACUCGAUCUAGCUGUAAAAACAUGUCUAAUGGAUAAAAAAAUCCAUACCAAUUACUUGUUGUAAUCUCAUCUUCAUAUCACAUCAAGGCGACUGGAUCAUGUACACAAUAUGAUCACUGUGUCUCAUCUCAGCACACCUCAAACUGUUUGAAGCGAUUGUUCAUGUGAGUGAACCAAUCUUAACCUGUUUGACAUACUUUAUGUGUGCAUAUGUAAUGGUAAUCUAAAAAUUAAAAUAAAAGAUUGCUCUUAACAUGUGAACUCAAAACAUUGUUCAUUAAUGGACAUAUAUGAAAAAGUUUACAUAGUAUACAAUUCAAAUUCUACGCAAUCCCAGAGAUUUAACAUGUGUCAUAAAAAAAUCUCUAGGGAUAGAUUUUGUAAGUAGGCCAGCUACCAUUUGGUACGUAGAAAUACACUGCAAACUCACUUCCUUCUUGCCUAUGAUGUCUCUCACAAAAUUAUAUUUUGUACCAAUGUGUUUGGUUCUACUGUGAUACUUGGGAUUCUUAGUAUAUGCAAUAGCAGCCUGACUAUCACAGUAGAUCAAUAUAGGUCCUACAUCACCACUAACGACUCUUAGAUGCUAUAAGAAUCUCCUUAACCAAACAGCUUUUUGUACUACCGAAGCACAUGCUAGGAAUUCUGCUUCCAUUGUGGACAAGGAAAUACAUGUAUGUUUCUUGCUACUCCAAGAGAUAGUGCCAUUAUUAAGCAAGAAUACAUAUCUCGAAUUUGAUUUGCGCUCAUCUAGGUCUCCACCCCAAUCAGCAUCUGUGUAUCCUUUUAAGCACAAAUCAUUUCCUUGAUAGCAUAGUGAGUAAUUAGCAGUACCCUUCAGGUAUCUCAAUAUCCUUUUAACAGCUUUCCAAUGUUCUCUUCCAGGAUUGGAUUGAUACCUGCUGACCAGACCUACGGCAUAACAAAUGUCAGGAUGAGUACACAUCAUAGCAUACAUCAAGCUCCCAACCGCACUGGAAUAUGGAACUCUAGAUGUUUCUUCUUUUUCUCGAGAGUUUUAGGACACAUGCGAAGACUUAGAGUUUCGUCUUUUGAUACAGGAGUGUCAAUGGGAUUGCAAUUCUCCAUUUUGAAACGUUAAAGAAUUUUCUUUAUAUAUGGCUCUUGUGACAGAGCAAGAAGCCUAUUUGAACGAUCUCUAUAGAUUUUAACACCUAAUAUGUAAUCUGCUUCACCCAUGUCCUUCAUUUCAAAAUUUGAAGACAACCAUUUCUUAAUAGUUUAAUAUACUUCUUAUCAUUCCCAGCCAACAAGUUAUCAUCUACGUAAAGAGAUAAAAUUACAAAUUUCUCAUUGGACCUUUUCAAAUAAAUACAGUCAUCUUCAUCCAUCAUGACAAUGUUGUAGGAGAUAAACAUUCAGUCAAAUCUCAAGUAUCAUUGUCUAGAAGACUGCUUUAGGCCAUAGAUUGAUCUAUUCAAUUUACAAACAUUAUUCUCUUAACCUGUUUUAAUGAAACCUACAAGUUGUUGCAUGUAAAUUUCUUCAUCCAAUUCUCCAUUGAGAAAUGCAGUCUUCACGUCCAUUUGAUGUAAUUCUAAAUCUAAACGUGCCACGAUAGCUAAAAGUAGGCGAAUUGAAGUAAAUCUUACUACUGGCGAAAAGGUCUUUUCAUAAUCUAUGCUUUCCUGUUGAGUAUAACCUUUUGCCACCAAGCAAGCCUUGCCUUAUACCUCUCUGUAGUCCCACCAGCUCUUCACUUUAUUUUGAGAACUCAUUUGUUCCCAAUGGCUUUUCGAUCAGAUGGAAGAUCAACCAAGUCCUAGACCUGAUUUGAUUUCAUACACUCCAUCUCUUCUUCCAUUGCAUUUUUCCAUUUUUCCUUUGCAGGACAUGAUAAAGCUUCUUGUACCGAACUUGGUUCUACACUAUCUUCAGAAGAUACUAGGAAAACUUGCCCUUCAAUCUCAAAAUGACAUUUAGGCAUACUUUUUCUAGUACUCUUACGAAGUGAAAGCUCCGAUAUGACCCUGUCACUUGGAGUUAGAGAUAAAUUACUCCCACUUGGAUCGAUGGGUGGAAGUGUUUCCUCUUGCACCUCAGUUGAUCCAUCAAGUACAACUCUAUCAUCUAAUUCAUAUAAAGGUUCUCCCUUUUUAAUUUCUCCCCUACUAGGAAAAUCACUCUCAAGAAAUGUCACAUCGCGUAACUCUAUUUCAGUUAUAGUCCCAUCUUGAUUUUCUCCUAUGAACACAUAUCCUUUAGACUGGUCUGAGUAUCUUAUAAAAAUACACUUCUUACCUCGAGCACCCAAUUUUCCAAACUUAUUUGAGGAAUCAUGGAUAUAGGCAGCUGAUCCCUAGGAUCUAAGAGAACUUAAAUCAGGGGAUCUACCUAUCCAAAGCUGAUAUGAUGUAGUAGGUAUUGAUUUAGAAGGAACUCUAUUCAGAAUGUAGGUCGCAGUUAACAAAGCGUCUCCCCUAUAGGAAAUAGGUAAGUUAGCCUGCGUCAUCACGGACUUCACCAUUUCUAGCAACGUUCUAUUCUUCCUCUCAGUAACACCGUUUUGUUGAGGUGUAUUGGGAAUAGUUAAUUGCCUAAUGAUUCCCUUAUCAUCACAUAGGUUUUUGAACUUUUCGGAUAGAUAUUCACGCCCUCGGUCAGUUCUCAAGGCUUUCACCUUUCUAUCUAUUUGAUUUUCUACCACAUUUAAAUAUCGUCUAAAACAUUCCAAUGCCUCCGACUUAUGAGAAAUCAGAUAGACAUAACUAAACCGUGUAAAAUCAUCUAUAAAAGUAAUGAAAUAAGAGGCUCCAUGUCUUGCCCUCACAUUUAUCGGGCCACAUAUAUCUGAAUGGACUAAUUGCAAUGGAAGUUCGGCUCUUAAAGCUUUACUGAAUGGUUUUCGUGUUAUUUUUCCGAUUAGGUAAUGUUAGAUUGAACCUAACAAGCCUUCUUUUGCCAACCUAUUCAUUCUCUCUUGUCCAAUAUGUCCUAAUCUAGCAUGCUAUACAGAUGUAUUAGCAUUCAAAUCCUUAGAAGAAGAAGAAGAUACGUUCAUAGAAAAACAACGAUCAACAUAAUAGUUAUAAGUGUUUGGAUCACAAUCUAACACUACAAAGCCACCUUCUACAUGUCCAGAUCCAUAAUACAUCACGAUUGUUUAUACGAACAGAAUUACCAUAAAAGUUCAAACUGAAACCUAAUCUUAAAAGAACAACAACGGAAAUUAAGUUCCUUCGUAUCCCCGGUGCAAAUAGGACAUCAUGAAGGAGAAUAGUACGGCCACCACGCAAAUGUAACUUGCAUGUACCGAUUCCUUUCACCUCCACUCUAUUAUCGUUGUCAACAUAUAUUCACUUUGUACCAACUGGAAAUCGACGGAACUCCACAAAUGCUUCUCGAUCCCUGGUUACAUGGUCUGUCGCUCCUGAGUCUACAAUCCACAUAGGAUAAGAUUCAGUUAGCAUAACAGUGCUUGAAACAUAAAUAGCACUAAAAGAAGUAUUUAUAAGAGCUACCUUCUUUGGCUCAAGGCGUUCCCGAGCAAAGUGACCCAGCACCUGACAGUUGAAGCAUUUCAGCUUGCUCUUAUCUUUCUUCUUUCCAAACCAUUUACCUUUCUUAUUGCGCUUGUGUUUGUUUUUUUUAGGUCCUUGUCCAGUUUCUUUUCCCUUCCCUUUCCUGCCUUUGAACCAGUUCUUCUUACGCUUAAAGCCUGAAAAUUUCCCAGAACUAGAAUAAGUUACAAAAGCUUGUCCUAGAGAUUUAGCUGCACCAAGGCGCUUAUCUUCUAGUUCUACAUGGCGAGCAGCAUCAGCAAAUGUUUUGAUACUAUGAUUAUGAGUUAAAUUGACUUUCAAAUGUUCCCAAUUAUCAGGAAGAGAGCAAAUCAAAGCCUGAACUUGUUGCUCAUCAAAGAGUAUAUGACCAGCUGAUUUCAAUUCCCUAAUCAUAGUUGACAUGAUUCUCACAUGUUGUGUGAUAUUGUGAUUAGGAAGUUUCUUGUAAGUGUCAAUUUUAAUAGUCAACUGCCUCAGUCUAGUCACACUAGUACCACCGUAUUUCUCUCUCAAAUAUGUCCAGAUGUCAUGAGCAGUCGGGAACUGCUCACACUCAUGUAUGAGAUCAUCCACCACAGAACUUACCAAAAUUGGACGAGUAGUGGAAUUUUUCUUUUUUCAUGUCUGGUAAGUUUCCUGAUCCCUUCAUUGUUGAGCAGACCACCACUGGGUCUUCCAUCACGUGGUUAAUGCCCUCAAGACAAUCCUGUUCCUCCAGCACGUACCAAAUUUUAUGGCGCCAAGUGUUAUAGUUAUCGCCAUUGAAUUUGUCACCUUUAUUUAGGUCAGCUAUGAUAUUCUUAGAUACCAUGGUCUGUCAAAAUAUUAGAGACAAUCAUAUAAAUGUCCAUUUAUGCACACAUCAUUUUGUGCUCAUGGAAAUUAAGUUUUAUGACAAUUUCACAUUAGACAUGGAGUCAAAAGUUUACUAAGUUCCCAAUCAUCAUCCAUUAUCCUAAUGUUACAUUAUCACAAAAUUAAUUUCAUAGCGUAAAAUCACAAGUUCUAAGUCAGAAUAACUUAAACUCUUUCACCCUUAGAACUCCCACUAAAGUAAAAGAUUAAUCAUGUACAAAAUUAGCAAGGCAUUUUGAAUAAAUCUGACAUAUAUGAAACAUAUACAUUAAUAUCAAAAUGUCAAAUAUGUACAUUCGUUCAUAUUAAACAUCUUUAAACAACUACUAAAAGUGAGAAAUAAAAUUUCACAUUCUUCAAUGAUUUUGAACUAACCAUACAUAUCUAAAUUAAUCACAAAAUUCUAAUUUUCUGAAUUCCAUUUUCUCUUCAAGAUCCUGACCAAAUAACUGUAGCAUAGAGGUGGUGAAUUAUCCAAAACUUCAAUAGUAACAUCAUGCCAAUAUUUAGGAAGCGUCCUCAUUAGAUGAUACAUACUUUCCACCUUACAUAUAUGCCGUCUCAAAUGUACCACUUCUCGAUGCAUCGCUUCGAGAUAUUUAAUGUGUUGUACUAGGUUAUGUCACGGAUCCAUUUCAUAGUUUCUAUAAGCACGUAAUUUUUCAACACGUUCCACAGCCCGUGCUCUACUAGCUGCUCCUCUAAGGAUGCUAAAAACGCAUGUGGAUCCAGUCAUAUCUGAUCAAGCACAAUAAUUGAAAAACUAGUCACAAUGGAUCGCAUAACCUAAUCGAGAUCCACUACUCAUGAAUGUAUAGAAAAUGUGGUACAUCAAAUACUUUCGGAGUAUUUUUUUCAUUUAAAAAAAUGAGAACACAAAAAAAGGGGCUCCCAUAAGGCAAAUACCACUUAACAACACUUAACAAAAAUAUUCUUGAUUUUUUUUUAAAAUUUCAAGAUUUAAUCAAGUCCCAAAAUAUUGUAUAUAAAUAUUUUUUAUUAUUUGAAAAUUAUUUUAAUUGCAUGAAAAAAAAAUUAAGAAUAUUCGAGGGACCAAUUUGUAAUCUUUUAAAUUGAAUUUGGAAUAAUCAAUUUCCAAAAAAAAAAAUAUAUCAUUUUGGGACCAACACACAACUUUUCAAAUUGGCACUGGAAUAAACAUCAUUAAAAAGUGUUGGGAAUAAAAAUUGCAUUUUGUAAGAUUUGAGGGACCAACAUGCAAUUUUUCAAAUAUGUUUAACAUUUAAAAGUGUGGGGACCAACAUGCAAUUUUCCAAAUUACAUUUGGAAUUUUAACAUUCAAAAGUAUGGGGACCAACAUGCAAUUUUUUUAAAAUUGGAUUUUGGAUUUCCCACCCUCUGCUGCAGUUUCAGUUUCAGUUUCAAUUUUUUUUUUCCGGGUUACUGUUCAUCGUCCUUAAAAAAAAACAGUUUUUUUAAGAUUUCUGGUGAAAUUUCGAAGGGCCAUAACUUCCUCAAUUUAAGGCCAAAUUUUAUGUUCUUUAUAUCGUUGGAAAGAUUUCAAGAAGAUCUAUCCAACCAUAUAAAAUAGGUAGUGUGAAACUUAACGUGCAAGAAAUUAUCAUGUGAUGAAGUUUCAAUUUUCUCAAUUAGGGUACGAUUUUUUCCCAAAAUAAAAAUCGAAAUGAAGUGAAAUUUUCUAGAUAUGUUCUCCAUAACAUCAUGAACAUACACAUGAACAUACAAUAUAAAUUUCAUCAAUUUAUAUGAAGUAUAUCAAAAUUCACCAUUAACGACAUUCAAGGUUUCAAAGAAAACGGGAAUUCAUACAUUUCAUUCAUUCUAAAACAUUUACAACAUGUAUUUAAGCAAGAAAACAACCUACUUAGGCUCUGAUACCAAUGUAAAACAUGCUUUCAUGCUUUUAACUGAAUUUAAGUUGUGAAACUUACUUGAAAAUCCUGAAAACAAGGUUGAAUUACUUGUUUAUUGAUUGCUUACCUCCAACACUGCCUUGUACCCGCUUCUUGGUCAAAACUCGAUCACCAAGGAAGAAGUUUGUUGUGCACAGUCCAAGAACCCAAUUAGAGAUGUAAUUUUUCGAAAAAUCAAGCCUCCACCCGCAUCCAAUUUUUACACCUUGAAAGAACCCGAAUUUUGAAUAUCCUUUUUGUUUUUUACUUUUCUAAAUAAUGAAGAAUGGAAGUUGAUGAUGGGAGUUAUGGGUGGUGGGGAGGUUAACUUUCAAAUUCAACUUUCAACCCCUCCCUCCAAAAUUCACUUCCAUGCAAAUCGGGUCGGGUAGGGUCGAGUCAACCCACAUGGGCGACCCGUUUUCUUCCAACAAAUUAAUUCUAAUCGAAUAUAACAAUUAAAAUUAUCUAAGGAAUAUGAUAAAUAAUAAAAAUCUUAGUUUAUCAAAUAUAUUCGAAUAAUUUAACUUUUAAAAUAAAUAAAUUAAUUUAAAAUUUUAAUAACUAUAUUAUUAUCUCACUUUAAUGAAUGGGGACAAUAAAAUGAAUUAUCAAAAACUAAAUAAAAAAAAUAAAAAGGGGUAUGUAAACGGGCCAACACCCUAUCCUGCCCUGCCUUUCAUUAUUAUUUUGUAAAUGAAUCCUAAUAAAUUAUUAAAAGGGUAUUUAACACAAAACAUCCCUAACUUUCAUUAUUAUUUUGCAAAAUGUCCUUACCUUUUAUUUUUUUUAACAUUUUCACCAUUAUUUUUAUAUUUCAUUGCAAAAAUCAUUAUUUUCAUCUAUUUUCUCAAUUAAAAGCUGCAAAAUAACAAAAAUACCCUCCUAUUUAAAUAAACAAAAAUAAAGAACAAAUUGUAACUAUACUCCCAAAUUUUCCAAAAUAAACUGCAAAUAAUUUUCAAAUAAAUAAUUAAAAAACAAAAAUCACUUUUUUAAUUAUUUAUUUGAAAUUUAUUUGAAAAUUUUGGAAAUAUAAUUGCAAUUUGUUCUUUGUCUUUCUUUAUUUUUAUUUUUAUUAAGCUUAUUUAAAGAAGAGUGUAUAUUUGUUAUUUUACAGCUUUUAAUUGAGAAGAUCGAUGCAAUGAAAAAUGAAAUAAGGGUGGAAAUGUCAAAAAAUAAAAGGUAUGAACGUUUUGUAUAAUAAUAAUGAAAGGUAUGGACUUUUUUUGUUAAUUACCCUUUUAAUAAUUUAUUUGAACUCAUUUGCACUUUUUAAAAAAGCUUAGGAGUAUUAUUUUAAUUUAUUCUUUUCUUUUUUAUUGUUUUAUUUAAAUAGGGAGUAUAUUUAUCAUAUUACAUGAGAAAUUUGAUGAAAAUGAUGAUUUACGCAAUAAAAGAUGAAGGUAAGGGUGUACCAAAAAAAUGAAAGGUAAAGACGUUUUACACAAUAACAUUAAAAGGUAAAGAUAUUUUGUGCUAAUUACCAUUCCUAGAAACAUCCAAAUGAACCAAAGAUGGUUGAUGUAAAAGCACAGAGGGAAAAAUUCAUAUAUUCUAGCGUAAGUAUAGGUGAUUUCAAAACUAAGAUGACAAGUUUGAAUUUGCAAAAAUCAGAAAUAUGGUAGUAACAAUCAAUUAGUUUUCUAAAAAUCAGCAUCCACUUACCUUCAAAAGCCGGAUUCCAUAUAUUAUCUCAUAUGGAGGGAGGGAGAUGAUUCGUUACAGUUAGUCGCUAAAAUCAAGCAUCCAAAUCCAACUCCCUAAAAUACUGAAUACAUGUUUAAAUCCCUCAACCACAUAAUUAAUUAAUUAUAUAAUUUAUUAAUUAAAUAUAUUAAGAUCACAUAGCUAUACAAUUUAGUCACAGAUUCAUAAUUUAGUUCGUCACAUAUUAUUUUCUGAUCAUAAAUCGUAAUUUUUAAAUAUUAUAAAUUAUUUUACGGUUACAAUUCAAAAUUUUAUAGGUCACAAUUUGUUCAUCGAUCACAAAUAAAAAAUUAAUAUGUCACAAUUUAUGUAUCGGUCACAGAUCACAAGAUCAUAACUUAUUAGAUGAUCAUAAAUUAAUAUUUUUUAGGUCACAUUGGUCACAAUUUAUCUUCAUCCGUCACAUAUUGUUUAUUGGUCACUGAUUAAUCAAUUCAAUCAAACAAAUAAUCUGUGACCAUCCCAACCUUUAUGAAAACCACUGCCUCCAAUAGUAUCACCAUCCUUAUUGCCUCCAGAACCACCAUGAGCACCAAUAGCAACAUCGUCUCCUCCCUGAUGUACUCCUUGCCCAAUGCUAGAUCAAACCUAGAACUUAGCCAACAUCACCAACAACUCACAUCACAGCCAUCACCAUCACCAACAUCCCGACCACCACAGUCUCACCACCAUCAUGAUUAGCACUAACGUCGUAGCCACACCACCAUAGCAAACCACCACAAAAUAAUAAUAAUAAUAAUAAUAAUAAUAAUAAUAAUAAUAAUAAUAAUAAUAAUAAUAAUAAUAAUAAUAAUAAUAAUCCCGACGAGCAGCAGCACUUUUGGGGAGGAAAAGCCGCGCUGAAACGACAUUUUCCGAAGAGAGAGAGAGAGAGAGACGACGGGUGGAGAGGAGAGAGGAGAAUCGGAGAGGGAAAGCUGUACUGAAAUGGCAUUUUUCAAAGAGAGAGAGGAAAUUGGAGAGAGAAUAUAAUUAAUUGGAGAUGAUGGGUGGGGAGAGAGGCCGGGUGAAGAGAAAGAAUACAAUUAACUGGAUAGGAGAGGAAUUGGAGAGAGAAUAUAAUUAAUUGGAGAGAGAAGACGGGUGAGGGGAGAAAUUGAUUUAUAUAAUUAAUAUUUAAAUAUAAAAAGUUUUAUUUUUGAAAUGUUAAACUGCUCAUCUUAUUUUUGAACCCUAGAUUUUAAUUCUAGGGUUUUUUGUAAUUACCACAAGCACAAAUUGGCAAUGUUGUACCGAUUCGACCAAUAAAAUGGGGAUCGGCCCAAAACAUUGCAAAUUGGACGUCAUAAAUAGUUCCAAAGCACUAUCACCUGCUGACGCUUUCAUAGGUGGGCCUGAAAAUGAUGCACAUGCAAUUAGGAGUGGAUGCGGUUCGAUUUGGCCUGAUUCCAAAGGAAAUUGAACCGAACUGAAUACUAAUGAGAAUUUUAGAAAUGGAAUCGAAUCGGAACCGAACCAAUCGGUUCCGAUUCAGUCCGGUUUGGUUCUUUACAUUGAAAAUGUCAAAAUAAAAUGUUCACUAAUAAAAACUCUAAAAAUGCUACCAAUGUGAUACUUUUAACAAAAUAUAGAAGAACCGAACAUACUAUUCAAAGAUCUAUUUAGGUAUAGAUUUACAAAAUGAAAACAAAAUAAUAAUCAUGUAAUCAAAGUGAAAACAAAAUAAAAAUUUUGUAUCUUAUAAAUGAAAUUAUAUAUUGUAAAUAAAUUUAUUUAGAUAUAGAUUUACCCAAUAUUCUAAUUUGGUUUGAAAAUCAAUUAAUCAAAGAAUUAUAAGAAGGGACAAGGAAAAGAGUCUAAAAUUAAGAAGGAACCCAAUUAUUUUUUGUAAAAGUGUUGGAGAUUGAGUUAUAUAUUUUACCAAAAAAAAGAAGGAAAAAAUCCAAUGAGAAUCGUCUGGUCCCGCAGUUCCCAAUUAUUUUUUAGAAGAUCUAGAACCGAAUCGGCUAGUUCUAAAUGGUUCCGAUCCGAUUCCACCGGUUCUGGAAAAAAGUGUCCACUCCUACAUGCAAUGUCAAUAAUCCAGUAUCCAAAAUGAUGCAGUCAAUUUUGAUUGAAAAUGGUAAAAAUUCAAAAUCAGAGUAAUUUUGGAUUGAGGAUAUGGAUUAAAGAGAGGUUGAGAUAUGUGGAAGACUAUUUCAAGGUGUGGAGUCAUAAGCCAAAACUAUUGAUGGUCGUCUUUUCAUAGUUAAUUAAAUCUUCUUUUGUUUUCCAUCAUUACUAAAGAAAUAUGUUUCCAAUAGCGUUCAUUUUGAAACAUCUUAUCUUCCAUCUCUCUAAUUCUCUAUAUGAAGCCAAAGAGUAGGGAUAGCAAAAAACUCCCUUUAAACCUGAUAUCAGCGGGCCCCGUCCCAAACUAGGUGGGUAUUACCCACUUAAUCAACUAUUCAAGUUGGGUUCGGGUCGGGAAAUUUUGCCCCGAGGCUGGUAUGGUUAACUCCCGCCUCCGUCCCACUUAUAUAUUUAUUUAAGAAUUCAGUACUUUAAAUCAAAAAUCUCACGAAAUUUCAUUAAUUUUACUAAAAGACGACAAUUAAGAUUAUCUAAGGAAUACGAUAAACAAUAAAAACCUUAAUUUAUCAAAUAUAUACUAAUAAUUAACUAUUAAAAUUAAUUAAUUAAUUAAAAAUUUAUUUACUAUAUUAUUAACUCACUUUAAUGAAUGGAGACAAUAAAAUGAAUUAUCAAAAACUAAAAAAAAAAAAAAAAGAGAGAGUACGUAAACGAGACAAGUCCCGCCCUACCUUAAACGGAUAACGGGGGGAGAAAUUACCGGGUGGGGCGGGGUUAUUGCCAUCCCUACUAGUAGAAUAGUUUCUCUUGCAGGCACAGAAAACUAGUAAUAUUAUCCACGUCAGAUUUUUUUUCCUCCUUCAAAAUUUCCUUAUGUUCUCAUUUUUUAGUAAAAUAACAAACUAAAAGCCAUAAAAAUAUUUAAUCGACUCAAUUAUUAAUUCUUUUCUCUAUUUUUUUUAUCUCAUUUAUAUUAAUAUUAGAAGUGGAUCGAAUAAAAUUUAAUUGUAAUCAAGUUUAUUAAUUAAUUUUUAUUUCUAUAUAUAAGUCAUUUUGAAAAAAUAACAUAUUUUGUCAAAAAAAAAAAUAUAAAUACAUAUAGCGGUUCAACCUCGAUUUAAUCUUUCAACCCUUGACCCUUUAACUUUUUCAGAUAUAUGGCCAGGUAUUUUUUUAGAAUAUUGGAUAUUGUAAUUUUUUUUCCCUUCCAUAAUCACCAGUAUUGUCCAACCAACACAUAAUGAACGUUGAUUCGUGGAUGCAAAGAUGCCAUUGAAUGAAAAAGAUGGGGUGGAUAGUAUGUUCUUCCAAUAAACACGGUAUUAUACAAUUCAAAGAUUCUCAUCGACCUGAUAUGAAGGCAAGCACAUGUGGCCAACUUUUUGAACUUAUAUAGGUAAAUUAACAAUCAUGCUACUUGUACAAUGAAUUUGACAAUAAAUUUGACAAUGUGAGAGUUGACAAGCAUCAUGUUCAUUGAUUUGAAAAAUUGUUUCUAAAUUCAAUUGCUGGGAUCUUUACACUUUACACAUUUUCAAACUCAUUGUAAAUAUUUAUUAUACAAAUAGAUUCAUUCGUAUACGAAUGACUACGUGGAAAUAAAACGAAAGGAAGAAACCAAGAGAAGUACCUUCAUUUUCUUGAGCAAAUCAUAACCAGCAUUCCUUUCACACGAUAAUUUGUAGAGGAGUGCUUCAGAACCCGGGAUUAAAUCCCAGGUUUCAAUCCCAGGCCGAGGUGGACCUCGGCUCUUGAUCUUCAAUCACGCGAGGCUCGCAUGAUUUCGCAUUGGGGGCCAAGGUUUUGCCACCUUGGCCCUAACUCCAAACCCGGGAUUUUAUCCCUGUUUGAGCAGCAAUUUCCUAAUUUGUAAUACAAGAUUUCUGAUUUGUAACAAAUUUAAUUGACUGAUGAUGAUUUGUCAGUAAAUAAUGUAAUUAAAACUGUAUAUUAAAGGAAGAAAAUUAUAUAAGUAAUCAAACUAAAAUUUUAAAAUAAUGUUUUAUAUUGGUUAUGUUAUAAAUAAUUUAAAUUAUAAAACGAUUUAUUGAGCAAUAGAUGAAAAAUAAAAGAAGUAAUAAAGAAUAAUUUUUUUGUCAACAAUAAACUACCAAAGUAAUGUCGAUGAUUGCCAGAGACAUCAUGAUCAAUAACUGCUUACCGAAGUGGGUUGGUGAAUUAGGAAUCACUUACGGUAUUGAUGAUAUUUUAUCUCGAAUUCUCCAUAAGUGAUCAUUAAUAUUUGACAAACUAAAUUUUUUUAUGAUAGUUUCGUCAAUAAAUAAAGUAGUUAAAAUUUAAUAUUAACAAAUAAAUAUUAUGUUGUUAAUACAAUUAAAACUUGAAAAUAACAUAAAAUUAAAAAACCAAAGAUUUCAUAAGUUACUUCAAAAUAAUAAAAGAUGUAAAAAGAUGCUUCCCUACCGCAUAAUUAAUGACCAAAGCACUGUCGAUGAUUGCCACUUACAUAAUUAUCAUCGAUAAAUAUGGACGGAAAUAGAGAUGUGCCGACAAUCAUCAAUGGUAUCGCUGUCAAAAGUUCCAUCCACAUUAUGUACGAAGUUUUUGUUGGUGAUUGUAAUUUUAUUAUUAUCAUCACGGUAAUUAUAUGUCUUUUCUUUUUUCGAAUUAUUAAAGUAGUAGAUUUGUUAUUGGGUGCUUUUAAACUUCAGUUAGCUUUUACUGUAAAAUGCGAUAUAGUGGAUGUUAUGUUAUCUGCUUGAAUUUGUAAUAAUCACAUUUGGUUUCCUUAAAGGUGAUGAAGCUGAAGUAAUUUCCCAAUGACCAUUCAAUGGUAUAUUACAUUAAAUUCCAUUAUUACGAUAUCUGGUAAACCUGUUUGUUUCUCAUUUUUUCCUCAUUAAAAUGAAAAAUAUGAUUAUUAUCCGUCACAUCAAGCCACCAAAUUUGAAUUUCUAUAUCUUGUGUGGAGUCCAUAACGACUAUAUUUUUCAUUCUCAUUCUUACAAAAAUGAGAAACAAAAGGGGCUAGAUGUCUGUUUUGCAUUGAAGUCCAGGAUUGGAUAUGAGAACACCCCCACCCCACAACAAAAACAAAAAAAAAAUAAAAACAAAAACAAAAACAAAAAAAAAACUGUUACAAAUGAAGUGGAUGUUGAGAAUUAAAAAUUCUUAUUUUAUUCUACCAAGAGCAAUCAAUUGAAGAAAUAAAAAUAAACACUCAAAAGCAAGCAAAAUUUAUAGAGUUUCGCCUCAACGUGAAACUACGUCUUCUCUUGUCGGUACAGUAACUCGCUAUGAUAAAAAAAGGUUUACAAAAGCACUCCUAUUCUCUCUCUCUCUCUCUCUCUCUCUCUCUCUCUCUCUUUAUAAUAAUUAUAAAGUCGAACCACGGCUCCCUAUUUAUAAAGCAUAUAAAGGCAAAAUCGAAUUUUACAAUAACUCCAAUUCCUUAAUAAAAUUUUACAAGAAUACAAAUAUCUAAACAAUUCUUAGAUUAAAUUUUGGUUAGGGUAUCUCCACCCCACCCCUGGGGCCUCCUGCUCCCUUCCAACUCCCACAGCAACCUCACCACAGAGAUUGAUCAAUGCCAACUUCGUGAAAUAACAAUAAUUAUAAUCGAUAAUAAUUAAACUCCCUAACUUAACAGUGAAUGAUUACUCGAAUUCGGCAAGUGAUGUGGUAAUGGUACAUGCAAGUACACUUCUACAACGAAUUUUGGUGGUGAUAUGCAAGCGGAGGUAUGUUUUUAGAUGAAUUAUAAGAAACGGAUCGAAUAUUCGAAUUUUUGUGUUGCACUGUCUUAUUCAUUAAAGCAUGUAUUUAUAGACCAAAAAAGCAGAGCGAAUUCCAUUUCAUAUUUGAUUAACUCAAUAGGUAAUGAAAUUCAUUAAUUUGAUUUUCAAAAUUAGUCCUUUGUUUAGACAAGUUGAUUCACAAAGUAACGUGUGUCAAGUACUUCUAUCAUGUGUUCAUACAUGGACCAUUGAAGGGGCGAACAAGGCAGUGGAAUGAGGGGGACCGCCAUAACAGAGGAGAAUUUGAUUUCAUAAUUUGAAAAAAAAGGGGCCGAAGUAUAAAAAAAGGUGGGCAUGAGUAAAAAUGCUUAAACGAGAAACUUAGCCACAACUGCUUUAUAUACUAGAAAAAGAUGUUACAGUUUAAAUAACAAGCUUUACAAACUACGAUAACGAGUAAAAAGUCUAUCCACCAUUUGUGCAACACAAGUAAAAUACAUUGAUAUAUCAAUAUCCAAUUAUACGAAUAGCGAAAGCUAGAACAGAGUUUGGGUUAUCUACUCUAGCUUACAUUUGGCAAUGGAUCCUUUUUGCCACACAUUGCCAAGAAAAACUUAGAGACCGACCCAGUGUGAGCGAACAUUAGAGUUGUGCAUAGAAGACGCACUGGGAGAUGUCACACGCCAUUCGUACCAAACCAGUGAUAAUUAAAUUAAAUGCAAUUAAUAUCAGGUGAGACAUAAAGAGUUAAGUAAUUCCAAACCUAUAUUCUCUGUUUCUUGCCCAGUGUUUUUAUGCAUGUCCUAGGACAAAAAGGACAUUUCAAAAUUAGAUGGAUUAAACCCACCAGCCUAAAACAAAUUCUAAUUCACUUCUUGCCUAUAGAGAAUAAUAAUAAUCAUUUUCAGCAGCAAGUAUAGAAAUUGCCCGUAUAUCCAUUACUUAAGGCUAAGCAACAUAAAAAAUUAUUUAGAUAAUUAGGAUAUAAUUUAAAUUAAACAUUGCAAACACAUUGGGACAGAUAUUAUUUAUCUUAGGAUUCCUAAGUGGAGAUGAUCAUCUGACAAGUUAAUAGCACCAACUCUACUUUAUUAUAGGUCUCUUAGUGCAACGCAUGACCGAGAAUUCUACAAGUGCAAGAUUCAAUUUAAUUUGAGCUUUUAUCUCAUUUCAAUCGCUUUAACAGUUUCAACACUACAUAAUCAAGAAUCGAUGGACCUCCAAAUGUGUAUUCUGUGUCACUCAAACUGGCGUACUCAAUAGGAAAAAUAUCGGAAACCUGCAGAAAUCGAAGCCAACCAAAAGAGAACAAUCAUCUCAUGGAUAAUAUAUUCACUCCAAUGUACAAUUUCUUUCAUGGUGCAUUUUAUGUUUUCAUAGAACUUUUUCAAUUGAAUUUUCACUUUUUCUUUAUUGUGCGGUUGGGGGAGAGUAGGAGGGUGUCUUAUAUUUUAGUGGCUUUAAAUAGUAUCUUUACUAAUGAAUAUGGGAUCAACGCAUACCAAAACCAACUGUACCUAUAGAUACGAUAAUAGGCAGAAAUAUUUGUCCAUAAUUUUGCAUGAUUAGCAUUACCUUAGAUUUUUGGAAAUAUUCAUGAAAGAAAAUAUUUGGUGUUGCUGUUGAUAGUUCAAUAAACCAUUUGAAACAAACACCAACUAAAAGAAUAUCUCAAUGGUCGCCAUCUGCUACAUGAUGUCAUUGGAAGUAUAUUUUCUUGAUUAACAAAAUCAACAAUUUACGCUUUAACCUCUCUACAUUCCAGGAUAUGUUGUUCUUGUCCAUUAUGUCAUCUUUUCCAACACCGAUUUGACUACAUGACAUGGCCUUGGCUUGGAAAAUGAAACACUUUGUCAACAAAUAUGAAUACAACGCAACUGAUAAAGCUAUUAUAUUAGCCUUCUUCAUCACUAUGGGCAAAGCUUGCAUUGAGCCCAUAAUUGGCUAUAAUCAUCAUGUGGUGACUGAUAAGUGUGUUUUUGCACACUCAUUUAAUGCCUAAAUAAAUUUAAAUAUUGAUUAAUUGAGCAAAUUUCCAUUCACAAUAAUGUAAUUAUUGCAUUUGUAAGUAAAAAUCACCCAAGGUAAUAGAAGAGGUAAAAGGAAGUGAAAAGGGACCAAAAGCGUACAAAAUUGUGAAGUUGGGGGACCAAAAUGCAUAAGUGUCAAAAGUUCAAGGACUUGGGAUUGCAAAUUUUGGAGGGCGUAAUUGAAAGAAAGUCAAAAUUUGAGGACCAAAUUGUACAGUCCAAAGUUGAGGGAUAGUGUGCAAAUAUGGGAGGACGUGAACUACAAAUAAUGAAAAAUGGGAAGUAACGCCACUGGCACCACUAUAGCAGCGCCACGGCUAUGAACAUGACCUAUUUGGCUAUAUUUUUGUAAUUGGGGACCAUUUUGCAAUUAACCAAACACGAUUUUUGGGCCUUUUAAAAGGAAAAUUCAACAGUGUUUCCCCUAUUUCUCUCUUGAACUUGAAGAGAACCCUAGCCUCCUCUUUCUCUUUCACUUUCCUUUUCAUUUUUUCUUUCUUUUUCUUUUCUUCUUCUUCUUAUCUUUUCUUUGGUAAUUUUUGGGGCACAAUCUAGAGCACAAGCAGAUUUGAUUAAGGAUUUGACAAAGCUUUGGGGAAAUCAAGAGCAAGUUCAAAAAAGGAUUUUAUCUACAACUUGUAUUUUCUCAAUUAUUUUGUCAAACUUGCAAUGUAUUGUACAAAAUAUUCUCCUUUUUAUCAUUUGUAUGAAAUGGGCAAGUUAUUUGUGUUGGGAUUUAUUGUUGUAGUUUAAUCUAGCCUUGAUUAAUUUUAAUAUUUGCCCUUUGAUAUUGAUUUGCUUAUUUUCAUGUGUUUUUCUUCUAUUGUAUUUCAUGCAUUUUCAUUUAUGUGGUCAAUGAAUGAUUAUGUUUAGUGAAUUUUAUAUCGUUCAAGAGAAGAUUGUGCAUUUUAGAUCAAAUAGUAGAAACCCUGAGUUUGUAUAGGGGAUAGAGAUAUACCCCUAACCCUAGAUGACCCAAUGAGCUAUUUUCACAAAUAUUUAAUGCAAUUGUUUAGUUUUAAUCGAUAUAGAGAUAUAAUAGGGUUAAUUUCAUUCGAGAGAAGUAAUUAAUUAAAAUUAAAACAUUGAGUCUAACAUCGUAAAUGAGUAACUUUUUAAUUGACUUGUGGUGAAAUUAAUUAGGCGACGGUUAAAUGAAACCAUGAAUCUCAACCACGUUUUCUUCCAAAAUUUUCAAGAUUUUUAUGUUUUCUUAUUUUGUAGGUUUUUAGUUAAUUUCCUUAUUUCAAAAUCAUAUUUUUAAUUAUGUGUGUUUAUUUUUAUUGUUAGAAUUAAAUUAUUAAUUACGGUUGCGUAAUCUAAAGUAUAUAUUCCUCAAGGGAUCAACAAUCCGGACUCAAAAUGUCCACUUUAUUACUUGAACGCGACUUGUGUACUUGUGAUGUAUAAUUUUAGCGAAACAGUAAAAAGUAAUCAAAAGUACAAGGAUGUUACAAGCAAAGCCUGACAAUAAUACCAUAAUCAAGGAAUAGAAAGUCUUUCCAAUUGAAACUAACGUUCAGCUUGAGCCACCAUAGCUUUGCAAUCCUAAAACAGACAUAAAUUUAGAUAAUAGUAGUUCUUAUUUUAUUAAUUCAUCAACUGCAAUCCUAAAACAGACAUAAAUUUAGAUAAUAGUAGUUCUUAUUAUAUUAAUUCAUCAGCUAACAUAUAAAUCAGUCCUUCCUAUAGAUUACUAGUUGAGUGUGAAGGGGCAAAGCAAAUCGAAAAUAAAUUGCUUUACAUAAUAAUUAUACAAAAUGGCUAAUUUUGGGCAAAAGGUUGAAAAAUACUAGGCAACCCUUCCAUUUCUGAUGAAACAGAUAUACCAUAACAGAAUAAUUGACAUUCCUUCCCCUUUCAUCAUCCAACUAAACUUUCUUUAAGAAAAAAAUAUCUCAAGUUAAAAAUCCAUGAGUAACAGAAUUUUUUUCUGUGGUUUUUUCUCCUCUUUGCCCAUUGUUUUUUCCUUCUUGGAUUUUCAUGUAAAUUUUGUGCUCUUGUUAUCAUUUUAUAUUGUCAAUUCUUGCUUUUUCUUAAUAUGUAAUUUGAAAAAAAAUAAUAAUAAUAAAAUAAAAUUAGGCUUGUAAAAUAGGUAGUCCGGGUAAAGUUAGCAGUGAACAAAUAUAAUAUGAAUGUGAAAAACCAAGUGACAUCAAGCCAAAAAGUAGCUGGAUGAACUAUGUAUAUGUAUUAUUAUUAUGAUUAUGGUUAGUAGAUCUAUAGUAUGCUACAAAUACCUAGAUAUACAAUUACCAAAUUCCCAGGUAAACGCAAUUUAUUUUCACUUGCAUUCAACUUAUAAAGUGAAUAAUUAUUCAUUGUCAACAACUUCUACAGCAUUAUAGAAAAAAUGAGAUAUCUAGGAACUAGGUAUUUGAUCAAUAAAAAUAGGGAAGGUGGCUCAAGGGAGUGACAAAAUUAUUAAUAAGAUGAGGCAAAUUAAAGAAACAAACAAAUGUUGGAAGUUGAAAUCUACUUAAGAAACAAAAAGUACUUCCCUAUCAGUCAGAAGGGACAAUAUGAUAGAUACCAAAACAAGGCAAUUGCUAAGAGAUUCAAAGAUUACAUAAUUAUAAGCAAGAAAAAAAUAAAUAUUGAUGAUUUAUUGUAGUUGAUAAUGGGGGUUGGCUAACAAACCUUACGUAGAAACUAUACCAUUCGCAAUCAAACCAUGAUCCCUGAAUUUGAAACGGGCAUAUAACGAUUUGCAAAAGAGAUAAUGGUGUUGGAUUCCCGGUGGAUAAUGCACAUGCACUAGGAUUGAACAUAGAGGAAAUCAUUGAAAAUAACCCAAUAACCCAUGUGUAUUUCCAAAGUAACCUUUGACUAGUUUUUAGAGGAAAAAACGAAAAUUGAUUUUAAAGGUCAAAAUCCCAAAAUACCCUCAGACGGUCACUUUCCCAUUUGCUUAGAGUCGGCCAAAACCAAGGAAAAGCUACAGUCAAUUUCCAAUCAGUAGACGUUUCCAGUUCAUCUCCGGCGACCUUCUUCUUGUUAAAAUAAGCUUCGAGUUGUUAAUUAACUAGAUUAAUGUUUAGAUUUUCAUAUUGUGUGUGAAUGUUGAAUUCGUGAAGGUUUUUGGAAUGUAAUAUUGGUUAUGUAGGUGUAGAAUUAUGAAUAUGGGUCUAAAUUGAAGAAUAAUAGGUGGAUUUUGAGAUUUGCAAGCUUUUCUCGUUGGAAAUGGAGAUUUUCCGACGAGAAAAGCCGAAAAAAAUGCCGGCUACCAAAGCCGGCAUUUUGGGUAAAACCCGACUAUGUUUGCAGCCGACAUUUUGGGGAAAACUCGACUGUUAACAGCCGGUUGGCCCAAUUGUCAUGGGGACUGUUUUUAUUUUUCAUGGACUGACUAUUUUAAGUGGGCCGACUAUUAUAAUCGGCCCAAUAACAAGUUUUUUUUUUUUUAAUUUGGGCUGAUUAACAGUCGUCCCAUUAUUUGGGCUGCCUGUUUAGUCAGCCCGUUGACUGUUAAGCAGGCCGAAUGUUAUGGUCGGGCCGAUGCCUUUAUUUAUUUUUUAUUUUUUUCUUACAUAUAUUUAAGAAUUUCAUUUUAAAUAAUUUUAAUUAUUAGUUUUUAAUAAAUAAUAAUUUAUUUAUUUGUAAAAUUUAAAUGUGAUAUUGAAUUUGAAUAUUUAUUUUUAUUUCCUCAUUUUUGAUAAAUAAUAAUUUUUCAUUCUCGAAUUUAAUUAGUUUUUAUAAUUUUAAUAUUUAAUAAUUCUUUUAAUUUUAAAUUUAAAUUUCAUAUUUAGUUUUAUUAAUAGUUUUUAUAAACAAUAUUCUUUUCGUUAAUCGAAUUUAAUUAAUUCUUGUCAUUGUAAUUUUGAAUAAUUAUUUAAUUUUAAAUUUUAUUUUUAUUUUUAUUAAUAGUUUUUUAUAAAUAAUAUUCUUUUCGUUAAUCGAAUUUCAUUAAUUCUUGCCAUUGUAAUUUUGAAUAAUUAUUUAAUUUUUAUAUUUCAUAUUUAUUUUUAUUAAUUGGGAUGACUGUUAACUGUAGACUGACUGCUAAUAGUCUUAGGCCGACUGUUAACCGUCAGACUAUUAACAAUUUAAUUUUUUUUAAAUAUAUAUAUUUAAUUUUUUAAUUUUUUAAAUAUAUUUUAUAAUUAAUUUAUUAAUAAUUAUGUUAUUUUUUUUAAUUGUCUUUUAUUUAUAUAAUUUAAUAAUUGAAUAUUAUCUAAAAGUAACAAUUUAUUUUCCAUGUUAUUUAUUUAAUUUAAUUUUUUUUGUAAAUAUAUUUCCCUAGUGUAAUAUACAAAAUUAAUUUUCUUUAUAAUUUUCAUUUGAUUAAAUAAUAAUUAUGUUAUUUAUUUAUUUAAUUCUUAUAUUCUUUAAUUUUUUAAAAUUUAUUUAAAUAAUAUUUAUAUUCUUUAAAUUUUUUUGAAAAUAUAUUUAAUCUUUCAUUUUUAACUUUUUUGUAUUAUUUAAAUAUUAAUAAUUUCCUUUUGCUGAAAAUCUCAUUAAUUUGUAUUUGAAUUUAAUUAAUUAUUUUUAACAUUUGUGUUGAAUUUAUUUUGUUAUUGGCGUCAAGAAUUCGGUUCCCAUUGAUUUUUUGAGAUUAUGCGUUAUUAUAUUAUCUCUUGUUCAAUGUUCUAACAUUUGAAUUUUUGCAGGAUGGAGCAUCAUUUAAAUGGGGAGUUGAGACGGAAGGCAGGGAAAGCUACUUGGAACAGUAGUUUUGAGAUUUUUACUGUUGUGUUGGAGAUGCUCAAUGAUCAUCACGGAAAUAUGCUACGACAAUCCUUCUUGUGGGCACUGUACUAGAUGCAAGAGUUGCAGUACUCAGGACUAAUCAUCGAUGCACUUCUAUGUCAGCUUCUGAGGCCAGUCGACGGCGAUUCCCUCCACUUCGACCUCGGGGGCAAGGUCGUCAGUUUCUCGAUGUCUAAGUUUAGCUUGAUCACUGGACUGAAGAUUAUGGGCGACGAUGCAGACAUUGAGAUAAGCAAUAGGUUGUACGAGACGUACUUCCAGGGACAUGGGUCGGUGCAUCUACCUGAGUUGAUGGUUUCGAUCAGGGGGUACGACUAGAUGCUAGAUAGAUUGAAGCUUGGGCUGGUCUACAUCCUCGAGAAUGUGAUAAGGUGUCAUCACAAGAAGACUGCCAUCGACAUUUUUUCAUUUGCAAGUUGUUAACGACAUCGAUGCGUUCAACAACUAUCUAUGAGGCCGGAGAUGCUACAAAGACACCGUACAUGUGCAUGUGUUUAUUAAAUGAAUAACUCAUACUUUUUUGGUGUUUCUUGAUGUAGCACAUCGACCUGGCCAUGGACUUGCUACGAGAUCAAGCUCAAAGACAUCCAAAAUCAUUUGAUGUCCAUGGUCGAGUCAUAUUAAACACUGAGUUCCUGCGUGUCGUUACCAUAGAGUAUCAGUCGCUCUAACUUAUGAGUAACGAGUACACGGUGCUAGAAUAUAUGCUCGAGUGGUCAUAUGAAUUUCACCGAGUGUCGGGGGAAAAUCAUGGGAGGGUUGUACACAUAUGUACAUUCCAACGUGCAUCAAUAAUCACUAUGUUACGCUGAAGAUCGUUUUUCCUGACACGACUAUAUAUGUGUACGAUGCAGAUUAUUCAUGUUUGACACAAGGCUAGCUGGAGCAAAACCUGGAGUCUGUAGCUGUAAUUGUUCCUAUGAUGGCCAGACGAGCGGGGAUAACUGUACAUGACAGAUUGCGGAUUGUUUGAAACACGACAACAGUGUGACAGUCCAUAAGGUAAGUGUUUGAACUUUGUUAUUUUCAUCUUUCAGAUUUAGUUUUUAGCUACACAGUACUGAAUUGAUCCAUUCUUGUUCAAUUGUAGUGGCGACUGCGGCAUAUUUGCCAUUAAGUAUGAUGAAUUUUUAAAUAUAGGACAUAAGGUUGAUAGAAUCAACCAAUCGUUGGUACAGAACUGGAGAAAGAAGUUAGCUUGUGAUUUGUUCGAAUUUAAUGGUAACCCGUAAAUUUGUAUUAAAUAUAUGUAACAUUCGAAUUGUAAAUUUAAUUAUUUUUUGUGAUUAUGAAAUAAUUGUAAAUUUGAAUUCAAUAUAUAUAACAUUCACAUUGAAAAUUUAAUUAUUUUUUUGUAAGUUGAUUUUUUGUUAUUUUACACAUAUGCCGAGUAUGGAACUACUUUUUUCAUAUGAAUCAUUAUAAAUACCAUUUAUUAAGAAUAAAUAUUGAAUAUUGAACAUUUAUGAAGAACAAAUAUUGAACAGUGUAAAGUAAACGUAAAUAUUAUUCAUUUAACGUACAUGUCUAAUUGUCAUUUAGGGGAAUUUGACUGGUACAAAAUUGCCUAGUAUGCCCUAUUGCUCUGCACCUGCCACACCUACGCGGUCGAGGAAACUCUCCAGUAGAUGGUAUUCUAGAUGUACUUGGACAUCCAGGACCAUGCGGUUCAACUACUGGUGGCAACAAAUUAUGAAACGGGAGAAUAUGUUCGGGAACUUCCCACUCGACUUCAUUCGGCAGAGGAAAUAUAGUCUCAGCAUAUGCUGUUCUCCAAGACUCAGUCGUAUAAUAUAAAGAGCAUAACGUUCUUGCAGCAAAGCCUUGAAACAUGGCCACUGCAACUGCAUGCUCACAUGAAAAACUCUCCAACUGAAAUCUCGUACAAAUGCAUGUGUUAUCAGUCAAGUCCACCAUAUAUGCCGUAUUACGUACACAUUGCACGGAGAAGCAAAACUUAUCUAGUGCUUCCACAUUCAACUUCCUCACAACCUCUGCCGCCUUAAAGAGUUUCUCCUCUUAAGCUGGGUCCAACACGCUAGUGCAACUCUGUGAUGCCGCACGUCGAUUAUGAAACCACUGUUGCAGCUUGUUACGAAUGUGCUCAAUCAUUGCGAGAAUUGGUAACUCUCGAUCCUUCUUAAAUAAUGCAUUUAGAGACUCCGUGUUAUUCGAUGUCAUCAUGUUGUAUCGACGUCCUGGAAAGUAUGAUCGCGCCCAAUGUUCGAUCCCCAUGUUCGUCAGAUACUUCAACGCCGGUAAUGAUUUGCUUCCUAUCUCGAACAUGAACUUAUUACACUCUUCAGCAUCGAUACCUAGUUUUCAAAUUACCUUGUAUAUGGUACAUCCAAUACCCGUGAUGUGCCUCGAGAAAAACUUCAACGAUACCGUUUAUUAUAGACUGUCCCCGAUUGGUUAUAAAGGCAAGGUCUUCAACUUUCCCGAUCACUUUCUUCAGUUUAGAAAAGAAUCAACGCAUGAACAGAUUAUUCUCAUUGUCACUAUGUCGAAUGCAAUAGGGUAAAUUUGGAUGUUGACAUCUUGACAUGUAGCAAUAAUUAAUUUGCCUUGAUAUUUAGCUUUCAGAGUUGUACCAUCAACUAGAAUUACGGGUCGCAUUGCAUUUCGAAAACACCGAAUACAUUGUCCGAGAGCCAUGAAGAAAUACGUAAAAUAAUUAUCGCCCCCCGUCUCAAUAAAAAAUGUCAUGCCAGGAUUAGUUGUCCCCAUGUUAUGACAAUACCUGGCCAAUUUAGCAUAGCUCUCCUAAGUCGAUCCCAUUAAAUCCUCCAACAUACAUUCUUUGGCCUUCCAGGCUUUCUGGUAGCUCAUGACCACUCUAUACUCUCGACCGACGUCGUUAAUGAUGUUUGAAGGUCUAUAGAUCGUCCAUGGGUCCUGAUACUUGAGCCUUGUCUGUUGACCAAUAAACCAUGCUCGAGCUUGUCUGUAAUCAUUUCGACAAAUUUCCACUUCGCAAGUAUGUUCCCGUGCCUAUUUGCAAACUACAAAGCACUCAUUCUUGUCCAUCUUAGUCACUCUCAAGCGCCAAUUGCAAUUGUCGCCAACGCAGGUAAUUGUCAACAAUGACUUGAUUGAUUUCUUUACAUUGAACUAAAAUUUAUAUUUUAAUGUCAUCCGGUGCACAGCUUCCUACAAAUCUUUCUUGGUUUCAAAUAGUUGUUGAACAUACAAAUCCUUAUCAUCAGGAGCCACACGGGAAAAAUUGGAGGAUGGUCCACUUGUUCCACUCCUUGAGCUCCCACCUCGCUCAGAUCUCUGUCGGGAUAAAGUAAUUAAAAUUUCAUUUGUAAAAUCAUUUAUAUUUUUGUUGUCCUCAACUGUCGAUGGAACUCUAUGCGUAAUAGUGACUUCACGAUCAGUAACAACUGUUUCAGGAAUAACCACAUCAUCUGCAGGAAUUAUCUCCGCUGUCUCCCAAAAAUCUCUGUCAUUAUUAUCCGCUCCAUCUGAAUCUUCGCGUUCACCUUCGACAACAUCAUUCUUAACUAAAGUCAAGCCAAGAGCAGCUGGAGUCCUAUGCAUUUUAUUCAAUUCUAAUAGAUAAUUCAAUUCAACAUUAUUAAAUAUAGGUGGCAUCGGAAUGGACGAAUCCCCAUAACCAUUGAAUAAAUAUCUCAGUUGCAUAUUGUACUGAGAAGGAUCGACAUUCAGCUUAUUUUACAAAUCCCGGUACACUUCCGCACCGCAUAUGAUGUAUUCUGUUACGAAAAUUGCAAUACAAUCACAUACAUCACUCGUCCAUCUCCAUUACCAUCUAUUAUUUUCAUUCAGUUCGAAAUCACCGAAAUAACAGACCGAGAUUAUCAUAUCUACAUGACUAUAUAGAAUUUUUAAAUCAAUUACAACAACAAAAAUUCAGAUAUUUAAUCAACUUGUAAUUAAAAUUAUAAGACAAUUGUCAAAACAUUAAUUAUAAUAUAAAAAAUUUCAUAAAACAAUCGAGAAAAACAGCCGACUAUGGACUGUUUUACAGCCGACUGUCAAUUCGACUGUUUAACAACCGACUAACAGUUGGCUGUCGACUGUUAGAUAGUCGACUGUCUAACAGCCGUCGGUCAACUAUUAGAGAGUCGUCUAACAGCUGACUGUCAGCUGUUAGACAGUCUUUUGACAAUCGGCUGUCUGCUGUGUAACAUUUUUCGUUAACAUCCCACAGUUAAUCGUCGGACUGUUUAUUUUGCGUAUGACUUUUUAUUUUUCUAUGGUUCUAAAGAAAAAAAUUAUAGAUCUGUUAAAAAUUUUUUUAUUAACUACUGUGUUAUUUAACCACUCAAACGUACACUAAUUUACUAAAAUCGAAAUUAAGCAUGUGUAAAAAUAUGCUUACCGAUUUGAAGUAAUUGAUCUGAAAAAAGUUUUGGCUUCGACGUUUGAAGUUUUUUGAUAUUUUGAGGUUCAAGCAGAUGAAAAAUGAGAGUUUUUCUGUGUUCGAAACUCGUUCUGCAGUUUUAUAAGUGGGGUAGUGUUUGGUUUUCAAUUAUUAACUAAAAGAGUAAUAAUGUCUUUAAAACUAUCCAAUAUUUUGUAAUUAUAUAAUAUAUUUAAUGGCAUCUCUGUCUUUUACCAUUCAAAAGGUUAAUGUGAUAAUUUUCAAGUUUUUAAAAGUCAAAGUGGAAAUAAGGGUCUUUGACUAGGUCAAUUUUAAAAAUACCCCAUUGAACAUAGCUGCUUUAAAUGUCCCAUUACAAGAGAAAAAAAACUCCCAGAAUCAUCUACAAAUUUGAAGAAGUUAAAUUUGGGUAUGCGAAUUCUUUAAAGGAAAUACCAUAUGCAAGAGCCAAUAACAAGGCUCAAACACAUAUCUAACCUCGAUUUUCCCCUAAUCGGUAUUGGCGACUAGCUGUGACGAUUGACAUUGCAGAUUUGACAGCGAGAGUAGCGGAAAAAGAGAUAUUACUUUUGUCUUAAGAGAUUAGGAUUUCCACUUCCCCUUUCCUCGGGGUACUUUUAAAAUUGACCUAGUCAAAGGUCCUUAUUUCCACUUUGACUUUUAAAAAUUUGAAAAUUAUCACAUGAACCUCUUGAAUGGUAAAAGACAGAGAUGUCCUUAAAUAUAUUAUAUAAUUACAAAAUAUUGGAUAGUUUAAAAGACAUUAUUACCCUUUUAGUUAAUAAUUGAAAAUCAAACAUUUCCCCACUUAUAAAACUGUAGAACGAGCUUCGAACACAGAAAAACUCUCAUUUUUCAUCUGCUUGAACCUCAAAAUAUCAAAAAACUUCAAACGCCAAAGCCAGAAUUUCUUUCAGAUCAAUUACUUCAAAUCGGUAAGUAUAUUUUUACAUAUGCUUAAUUUCGAUUUCAGUAAAUUAGUGUACGUUUGAGUAGUUAAAUAACACAGAAGUUAGUAGAAUUUUUUUUUAACAAAUCUAUAAUUUUUUUCCUUUAAAACCAUAGAAAAAUAAAAAUUCAUACGCAAAAUAAAUAGUCCGACGAUUAACUGUGGGAUGUUAACGAAAACUGUUAGAUAGCAGACAGCAGACUGUCAAAAGACUGUCUAACAGCCGCCAGACGAUUGUCUAACAAUCGACCGACGGCUGUUUUUCCUGACUGUUUUACAAAUUUUUUAUUAUAAUUUCUAUUUGGCGAUUAUCUUAUAAUUUCAAUUACAAGUUGAUUAAAUAUCUGAAUUUUUGUUGUUGUAAUUGAUUUAAAAAUUCUAUAUCAUUAUGCAGAUAUGAUAAUCCUGAUUUGUUAUUUGGAUGAUUUCGAAUUGAAUGAAAAUAAUAGAUGGGAAUGGAGAUGGACGAGUGAUGUAUGUGGUUGUAUUGCAAUUCCCGUAACAGAGAGUAUAUCAUAUGCGAAAGUGUACCAGGAUUUACAAAAUAAGCUGAAUGUCGAUUUUUCUUAGUACGAUAUGCAACUGAGAUAUUUAUUCAAUGAUUAUGGGGAUUCGUCCAUUCCGAUGCCACCUAUAUUUGUUACUUAUGAUGCUGAAUUGAAUUAUCUAUUAGAAUUGAACAAAAUGCAUAGGACUCCAACUGUUCUUGGUGUGACUUUAGUUAAGAAGGAUGUUGUCGAAGGUGAACGUGAAGAUUUAGAUGGAGCGGAUAAUAAUGACUGAGAUUUUUGAGAGACAGUGGAGAUGGUCCUGCAGAUGAUGUGGUUAUUCCCGAGACAGUUGCUACUGAUUGUGAAGUCACUGUUACGCACAAAAUUCCGUCAACGGCUGAGGACAACAAAAAUAUAAAUGAUUUUACAAAUGAAAAUUUAAUUGCUUUAUCCUGACAGAGAUCUGAGCGGGUGGGAGCUCAGGGGGUGGAACAAGUGGACCGUCCUCCAAUUUUUCGUGUGUGGCUCCCGAUGAUGAGAAUUUGUAUGUCAAGCAACUAUUUGAAAUCAAGAAUGAUUUGUAGGAAGCUAUGCACCGGAUAGCAUUAAAAUAUAACUUUGAGUUCAAGGUAAAGAAAUCAACCAAGUCAUUGUUGACAGUUGCCUGCGUUGACGACAAUUGCAAUUGGCGCUUGAGAGUGACUAAAAUGGACACGAAUGAGUGCUUUGUAGUUCGUAAAUAUGCACGGAAACAUACUUGUGAAGUGGGAAUUUGUCGAAAUGAUCACAGGCAAGCUCGAGCAUGGUUUAAUGGUCGACAGAUAAUGCACAAAUAUCAGAAUCCACGGACGAUUUAUAGACCUUCGGAUAUCAUUAACGACAUCCGUUGAGAGUAUGGAGUGGUCAUGAGCUACCAGAAAAUCUGGAAGGCCAAAAAAUGUGCGUUGGAGGAUUAAAUGAGAUCGGCUGAGGAGAGCUAUACUAAAUUGGCCAGGUAUUGCCAUAACAUGGGGACAAUUAAUUCUGGCACGGCAUUUUUUAUUGAGAUGGGGGGCGAUAAUUGUUUUAAGUAUUUCUUCAUGGCUCUCGGACAAUGUAUUUGGGGUUUUUGAAAUGCAAUGAGAUCCGUAAUUCUAGUUGAUGGUACAACUCUGAAAGAUAAAUAUCAAGGCAAAUUAAUUAUUGUUACAUGUCAAGACGCCAACAUCCAAAUUUACCAUAUUGCAUUCGACAUAGUCGACAUCGAGAAUGAUCUGUCCAUGCGUUGGCUCUUUUCUAAACUGAGGAAAGUCAUCGGGGAAGUCGAAAACCUUGCCUUUGUAACCGAUUGGGGACAAUCUAUAAUAAACAGUAUCGCUGAAGUUUUUCCCUAGGCACAUCACGGGUAUUGCAUGUACCAUAUACAAGGUAAUUUGAAGACUAGGUAUCAGGGCAAAGGCAUCAUUUCAUUGUUCAGAAGAGCAGUCAAAGCUUACAGUGCUGAAAAAUGUAAUAAGUUCAUGUUCGGAUAGGAAGUAAAUCAUUACCGGCGUUGGAGUAUCUGACGAACAUGGAGAUCGAACAUUGGGCGCGGUCAUACUUUUCAGGACAUCAAUACAACAUGAUGACGUCGAAUAAUGCGGAGUCUCUCAAUGCAUUGUUUAAGAAGGAUCGAGAGUUACCAAUUCUCGCAAUGAUUGAGAACAUUUGUAACAAGCUGCAACAUCGAUUUCAUGACCGAUGUGCGGCAUCACAGAGUUGCACUAGCGUAUUGGCCCCAGCUCAAGAGGAGAAACUCUUUAAGGCGGCAGAUGUUGGAAGGAAGUUGAAUGUGGAAGCACUAGAUGAGUUCUACUUCUCAGUGCAAUGUGCACGUAAUACGACAUAUAUGGUGGACUUGACUUGUAACACAUGCACUUGUACGAGAUUUCAGUUGGAGAGUUUUCAAUGUGAGCAUGUAGUUGCGAUGGCCAUGUAUCGAGACUUUGCUGUGAGAACGUUAUGCUCUUUGUAUUAUACGACUGAGUCUUGGAGAAUAGCAUAUGCUGAUACUAUAUUUCCUCUGCCGAAUGAAGCCGAGUGGGAAGUUCCCGAGCACAUUCUCCCGUUUCAUAAUUUGUUGUCACCAACAGUUGAACCGCGUGGUCCUGGACGUCCAAGUACAUCUAGAAUACCAUCUACCAGAGAGUUUUCUCGACCGCGUAGGUGUGGCAGAUGCAGAGCCAUAGGGCAUACUCAACAAUUUUGUACCAAUCAAAUUCUCCUAAAUGACAAUUAGACAGGUACGUUAAAUGAAUAAUAUUUCUGUCUACUUUACACUGUUCAAUAUUUGUUUUUCAUAAAUGUUCAAUGUUUAGUAUUUAUUCUUGAUAAAUGGUAUUUAUAAUGAUUCAUAUAAAAAAAAUAGUUCCAUACUCGGCAUAUGUGUAAAAUAACAAACAAUCAACUUACAAAAGAAUAAUUAAAUUUCCAAUGUGAAUGUUAUAUAUAUUAAACACAAAUUUACAAUUAUUUCAUAAUCACAAAAAAUAAUUAAAUGUACAAUUUGAAUGUUACAUAUAUUUAAUACAAAUUUAUGGGUCACCAUUAAAUUCGAACAAAUCACAAGCUAGCUUUUUCUCCAGUUCUGUAUCCACUAUUGGUUGAUUCCAUCAACAUUAUGUCCUAUACUUAAAAAAUUCAACGUACUUAAUAACAAAUAUGCCGCAGUCACCGUUGCAAUUGAAUAAGAAUGGAUCAGUUCAGUAUUGUGUAACUAAAAACUAAAUCUGAAAGAUGAAAACAAUAAAGUUCAAAUACUUACCUUAUGGACUGUCGCGCUGUUGUCGUGUUCCGAACAAUCUGCAAUCUGUCCUGUACAGUUAUCCCCACUCGUAUGGCCAUUAUUGGAACAAUUACAGCUACGGACUCCAGGUUUUGCUCCAGCUGGCCUUGUGUCAAACAUGAAUGAUUUGGCUCGUAGACAUAUAUAGUCAUGUCAGCAAAAAUGAUCUCCAGCGUAACAUAGUGAUUAUUGAUGCAUGCUGGAAUGUACAUAUGUGUACAACCCUCUCAUGAUUUUCCCCCAACAUUCAGCGACAUUCCUAUGACCCACUCGAGCAUAUAUUCUAGCACUGUGUACUCGUUAUCCAUAAGUUGGAGCAACUGAUACUCUAUGGUAAUGGCACGCAAGAACUCAGUGUUUAAUAUGACUCGAUCAUGGACGUCAAAUGAUUCUAGAUGUCUUUGAGCUCGAUCUCGCUUCAAGUCCAUGGCCAAGUCGAUGUACUGCAUCAGGAAACACCAAAAAAGUAUUAGUUAUUCAUUUAAUAAACACAAAGUGACGUAUACAUAAAAAACACGAAAUGAAUAGUUUACUUACAUCGUCGGUGAGUCAAGCUCCUGAAGUGAUGACAUCAUGGAACCACUUGUAAGCAUUCGAGACCAUCGUUUGACCUAUCGUGCGGCUAACUCUGAAAAAAUAGGGAAAUGUUAAAAUAUGCAUAGACGAGUUAGCGUAUAGUGCUUUGUUAAAAUCAUACAAUACUUACCCGGAGACAAUUCUCCUCCACUCCAUCUCGAACGCUUUCCACUUGACGUUGUCCACCUCUCUGAAUAAGUUUGGAUGCAUCCCAUCAAUGAACGUCCUCCUCUUGGCCUCAGCCGUGAAGGGAAAAACAACAUACUGUGAUGACACUCUCAACCUCUUGCCGACUACCUGCUCCAUUUCUUCAGCAGCAUGUCUAUUACCCUCAAUCACGAUGGGCGUCCUCUUGACCUCCGGGGCCACCUCCUCCGUCCCUCCCAUCGGGGCCAUCCCCUUCGUCGUCCCCUCUCCUAUCCUUGUCGAGGCUACCCCUUCUCCCUCCAUAGAUAACCACAAUGAUUCUAAUGUCUCAUCACGCCAAAAAUGUGGGUGACCCCCUCUCCAUCACCAUCUCUGCCACCCUCUCGAUCAUCAUCUCCACCAUCCCCUCUGUCCCCCCAUCGCCUACCGGCUAAAUCUCCUCUAAGUGCUGCUACCGUAUCCUGAAGAUCGACAACGCAAGACCGUAACAUUCCAACAUCAUGGGAUAGAUCGUCAACCCUCUCUGUCAACUCUCGUCCCAUAUCAUCGACCCUCCCUAUCAGAUAGUCGACCUUCCCAGUCAGAUCGUCGACCCUACUUGUCAACUCUCGUCCCAGAUCAUUGACCCUCUCCGUCAACUCUCGUCGUAGCGCGCCGACCUCCUCCACUAUAAAUCCAGUCAAACGAGCAUACAAAUCAUCACUGUGUGUCAGAGAUACACGGGGGAGGUGUCUGGAUGAGGGAGAAGGAGAUACCCUCUGUGGUGGCAAUGCCAAUGGCGGCGACGAUGCCCUUGAUGGAGGUGAUGCCAAUGGCGACGGUGAUACUCUCGGUGGAGGUGAUUGUCGAUCAACUGGACUGCCCUCCUACAUAAAUAACAUUAAAAAUUAUUCAAUAAAUUUAUACGUCGACGAUAUUCAAUAAAUAAUAUUUAAUUCAUAUACCCAAUCUUGGUCCAGGCUCGGAUUAGACAUCUCCUCGUCUUGGGUCUGCGGAACACCUAAAUCUCGCAUAAGACCCCGAGCCUCCUCUUCCAUCGACGACGUCAACUCAAGUAUGACUUCAAGCUGACAUAUUGACAUUUCAACUAAUUAACGAUCAUGUAAAUAUAUUUUAAACUACGUAUAAUAUAAAUCAUAAAUGCAUAAUACUUACCUGAGGAUCGUCGAGGAGAGCCGAUAAUUGUUUCCCAGUGGGACAUCCGUCCGCUCGCAAUGAUCUCCAAUGAUGCAUCUGAGGGCAUCGUGUCUCCCCUCGCUUCGCGAAGCGGGCCCCCAGUACAGAGACUAUCUCAUACACCAAAAUCUGCAACACAUACACUUAUUAUGCGUAAAUAUAAUAUACUAAAACUUUAACUUUUAAUUAUAUUAAAUAUUUAUCUGCACCGCUAAGGGCAAUCCAUAUGUAUCGUAUUUACACAUUGACCCCCUAGGCCUCGAGUGUGAUUUGGUGAAAACAUGUACGGUGUAUUUGCAGCAUCUCCGACCCCAUGGAUAGUUGUCGAACGCAUCGAUGUCGUCAACAACUUGCAAAUGAAAAAUGUCAAUGGCAAUCUUCUUGUGAUGACACCUCAUCAUACUCUCGAGGAUGUUGACCAGCCCAAGUCUCAAUCUAUCUAGCAUCUGGUCGCACCCCCCGAUCGCGACCAUCAAUUCAGGUAGAUGCACCGACCUAUGUCCUUGGAAGUACGUCUUGUACAACAUAUUUCUUCUCUCAAUGGCUGCAUCGUCGCCGGUAAUCCUCAAUCCAGUGAUCAAGCUAAACUCAUACAUCGAGAAACUGACAACCUUGCCCCCGAGGUCGAAGUGGAAGGAAUCGCCAUCGACUGGCUUCAGAAGCCAACAUAGAAGUGCAUCGAUGAUCUGUCCUGAGUACUGCACCUCUCUCAUCUGGUACAAUGGCCACAAGAAGGACUGUCAUAGCAUAUCUCCGUGAUGAUCAUCGAGCAGCUCCAACACAGCAGUAAAACUCUCAAAGCUACUAUUCCAAGUAGCUUCCCCCACCAUCCGUCUCAACUCCCCAUCUAAAUGAUACUCCAUCCUGCAAAAAUUCAAAUAUUAGAACAUUGAACAAGAGGUAAUAAAAUAACGCAUAAUCUCAAAAAAUCAAUGGGAAAAGAAUUCUUGACGCUAAUAACAAAAUAAAUUCAAUACAAAUGUAAAAAAUAAUUAAUUAAAUUAAAAUACAAAUUAAUGAGAUUUUCAGCAAAAGAAAAUUAUUAAUAUUUAAAAAAUACAAAAAAGUUAAAAAUUAAAGAUUAAAUAUAUUUUCAAAAAAAAUUAAAGAAUAUAAAUAUUAUUUAAAUAAAUUUUAAAAAAUUAAAGAAUAUAAAAAUUAAAUAAAUAAAUAACAUAAUUAUUAUUUAAUCAAAUAAAAAUUAUAAAGAAAAUUAAUGUUGUAUAUUACAUUUAGAAAAUAUAUUUACAAAAAAAUUUAAAAUUAAAUAAAUAACAUGGACAAUAAAUUGUUACUUUCAGAUAAUAUUCAAUUAUUAAAUUAUAUAAAUAAAAAAUAAUUAAAAAAAUAAAUAACAUAAUUAUUAAUAAAUUAAUUAAAAAAUAUAUUCAAAAAAUUAAAAAAACUAAAUAUAUAUAUAUAUAUUUUUUAAAAUAAAACUGUUAACAGUCUGAUUGUUAACAGUCGGCCCAAGACUGUUAACAGUUAACAGUCGGCCCAAUUAAUAAAAAUAAAUAUAAAAUCUAAAAAUUAAAUAAUUAUUCAAAAUUACAAUGAUAAGAAUUAAUGAAAUUCGAUUAACGAAAAGAAUAUUAUUUAUAAAAAAUUAUUAAUAAAAAUGAAAAUGAAAUUUAAAAUUAAAUAAUUAUUCAAAAUUACAAUGAAAAGAAUUAAUGAAAUGCGAUUAACAAAAAGAAUAUUAUUUAUAAAAAAAACUAUUAAUAAAACUAAAUAUGAAAUUUAAAUUUAAAAUUAAAAGAAUUAUUAAAUAUUAAAAUUAUAAAAAUUAAUUAAAUUCGAGAAUGAAAAUUAUUAUUUAUCAAAAAUGAGGAAAUAAAAAUAAAUAUUCAAAUUAGAAUUAAAAUUAAAUAUUACAUUUAAAUUUUACAAAUAAAUAAAUUAUUAUUUAUUAAAAAAUAAUAAUUAAAAUUAUUUAAAAUGAAAUUCUUAAAUAUAUGUAACUAAAAAAUAAUAAAAAAAUAAAGACAGUGAGCCGAUCGUAACAAUCGGACUGCUUAACAGUCAAUGGGCUGACUGUUUAUAAUGGGCCGAUUGUUAAUCAGCUUAAAUUAAAAAAAAUUGUUAUUGGGCCGACUAUAACAGUCGGCCCACUUAACAGUCAUGGGCUGAUUGUUAGUCAGUCCAUGACAAUUGGGCCAACCGGUUGUUAACAGUCGGGCACCCGACUGUUAACAGCCGAGUUUUCCCCAAAAUGCCGGCUGUAAACGCAGUCGGCAUUUUUUCCGACUUUUCUCGUCGGAAAAUCUCUAUUUUCGACGAGAAAAGCUUGCAAAUCUCGAAAUCCACAUAUUAUUCUCCAAUUUAGACCUAUAUUCAUACUUCUAUACCUACAUAAUCAAUAUUACAUUUCAAAAACCUCCACAAAUUCAACAUUCACACACAAUAUGAAAAUCUAAACAUUAAUAUGGUUAAUUAACAACUCGAAACUCACCUUAACAAGAAGAAGGUCUUCGAAGAUGAAUUGAAAACGUCUACCGAGUAGCUUUUCCCUGGUUUUAGUCGAGUGUAAGCAAAUGGGAAAGUGACCGUCUGAGGGUAUUUUGGGAUUUUGACCUUUAAAAUCAAUUUUUGUUUUUUUCUCUAAAAACUGGUCAAAGGAUACUUUGGAACUACACAUGAGUUAUUGGGUCAUUUUCAAUGAUUUCCUCCCCUUUCCUCGUGUUUUCAAAUUUCUACUUCCGAUUUGUACCCUUUUUUUUUUCUAAUUGACAAAUUAAUUAUAAGUACGUUUAUAGAUAGUAUAUAGAAUAAUUUAAUUUAUAAUUUCUGAUUAGUUAAAAUUUGUAUAUUUUAUUCGAAAGAAUCAUUCAAUUAACUUUAAUAUAUUUUUCCUAUUAAAAUUGUCUAAUUUUAGUUCGAAAAAUUUUAAUAUAGUUUCAGUAUAUUAUUUUCAUAUUACCAAUAGAAUUUUAUCAUUAAAAUUUUUUAAUUUAUUUUUUAGGAUUUUGAUUAUUUUGUAAAUCAAAAUUUUAAAAUAAUCUUUAAUUAAUAGUUAGGAUUGAUUGAAAUUAAACGUAUGCUGAAUUUUUAUUUUUAGUUUUGUUCUUUUUUACAACAAGCAAAAAAUAUUGCAAAUCCUUGUUGCAAAACACACUUGCUCGCAACAUUUAAUGAUUGUUGCAAAAGGUUAUAUAGUAAGAAUUUCAACAAUAUGUACUGAACAUUGUUAUUGAACAAAAUUUUAACAAGUUCAAAAAAAAAAAAAAGAAUUAAAACUUUUACAACGUUCAAAGAACGUUACAAAAAGCUAUAUAUUAAGAGUUCAACAACGGUUAUUGAAUGUUGUUAUAGAACUAUAUUUUUACAACAUUCAUUAAAUGUUGUGAAAAAUCAAACUUCUUACAACUUUCAAGAAACAUUGAAAAUGGUAAUAUUGACAACGUGCAAUUAAAAAAAAUAUUGCCAAAGCUUAAUUAAAUUAAUCAAUGGCAAUAUUCACUUAUUAAAAUGUUGCGAUAAACCCAUUUAGCAACAUUCAAUUCACGAGUGUUGCCUUUUGAGUAUUGCAAAAGGCUAUUUUAAUUGUAGUUAAAACUUGAGCCAUGUAUUCAUAGGGAAGGAUUAGGGAUAUAAUAAUAAUAAUUUCUAGAGUUACAGGAGUACAAUUAUCAUUGACGAAUAAACUUACCAUUUACAACAAAAUGGUCUUUUUUUUAUUUUUAUUUUUCUUCAAUGUGCUCCUAAAAAGGUUUUUAUUGAUAGCAAGAAGGUAAGUCGGACGUUCUCUUUUUUAAAUUUUAAGAGGCGGUAAGGACAUUUUGAUCUUCAUUUUUCGUCCCAUUUAUUUAUUUAUUUAUUUACUUAUUUAUGUAUUAUUAUGUGUUUAAAUUUAAAUUAUAUUCAAAAAAAUUUAAAAAAAAAUAUUAUGAGUCAUGGAUGGGUCUGUGACAGAGAUCAUGUUUCCCAAGCCCAUCCCUAAUAGGGAUUAUAGAAUCCUUGACCUUCAAUCCACAUCGCGCCCCAUCCCACAUUGUCCUACCUUGAAUAGUAAAUGGGGCAGGAUGCAUAACCUAUAGUCCCUAGUUUCGAAUUUUUAGUACUAGCUCUGAAUCAUUUUUCAUUAAUAUACUUUAUUCUAUUCUUAUGUUCUUCAUUUAAAUCAUAUUAAAAAAUAAAUAAAUAAAUAAAUAAAAUGAUGAAUGAUGGUUUUUUAUGUCUCAACCUACCCUACAUUCUGAAAAUUCGAAACGAAGCAAGAAUGAUAUGAUGGCUCCUAUCCAUUGUUAUCCUUAAUUUCAAAUUUCCCGUUGGGCGGAGUAACUUGAGACUGGCGUUUUGUUAAAGAUUUCCUCAAAUAAUUUAGCAGAAAAUAAAAACAAAGAAAAAUAAAUCCACUUUAAAAUAGGGUCAUCUCUAAAAGAUAAAUGUAUUCUCCAUUGAUUCCCAUUUUUCAGUUGAAACUCAUCUCUGUAGGAAGGCUAUGAUCCAAUCCAACCUUGAAAUUUCUCAAAUUAUAUUAAAAAAAAAAAAUAUCACCGUACCUUAACUCUACAAAUAAAGUGGAGUAUUGCCUAAAUAUCCAUGGCAGCAGCUACGCAGAGGCAACACUGAUGGUUCACAGAUGGUGCAACCACAAAGGGUCUUGACAUUAUAGACCAAAAAAAAAUUAUUUGUAUAAUAAUUUUAAAAAUUUAAUUUUUUUUAUUAAAGGGACCAUGUUUUAAAAUAUCACACGGGACACCCAAAAUAUUAAGGUCAACCCUACAUCUAAGUACUGCUAUGCAACUUCUCCAUUUCCUAGGUAUCAAAAAAUCUUCACCUCUACAACCAAGUACUAUGUUAAUUGCUGAAGAUUAUAUUUAAUAACAAACAUAAUGGAAUAAAUUUCUAUGACGUACUUAGAUGAAAAUUAAUUCAAUACAGCCUGGCGCUCAAGUCGGACGAUGAAGUAUAUUGGGUGUGGAAGAGAUACAAUAGAUAAAGAUAUAGACGCAGUUUACCAAAACUUGCCUUCGAAGGAAAGGGUCGAGUAUUUAUAGGUGGAAGAAGCUCUAUCUGAAUGCUUGACACGUGACUUUAUUUUAAUACCUCAUUUGUAGCCAUCAUAGAUAUGUGUUUCCAUAGUCAGAUUAUAAGUUAAAAACUAAGUAUCGUUGUUGCGGAGUUGUUACAUCAAUUACUUUGUAUGGUGUACUUUGCGCAACUUUGUCAAAGUGAGGCUUGUAGCAGAUGUUCAUCGCCCUAGAUAUGUACUGCAGCGGAGAGGUAAUGCAUCGCCUCGAGUAACAAUAACAUUCUAAACAAUGCAUCUAAAAGUAUCUCCUAAUCGUAUCGAAAAAGGCAUCAAGAAAAGACGAUGAGAAUUUGAGUGUUUCCCUUGUAUGGUCUCUUCUUAUUUGGCUGUCACGUGGCCCACAUAGUAGAUAAAUAUGUAACAAUAUCACUUUUAACACAAUCUAUUCUCAAACAAUGGAUCUUAAAUAGGGUUGCCAGUUUUAUGUUAUUGAAAUUUUUUCAAAAGCUUUGUUGAAAAUUAAUUUUUUUCUUUUUUUUAUUUUUAGGAGAGUUAGGGGCUAGAGAAUAAAUGUAUGUAAAACAAAGUUGUCAGAAUCAAAUGCUAAGAGAGCAAAUCUCUUUGAAAGAAAGAAGGAAAGGAUAAAUGGUGAUGAUGGAAAUGGAAGCAAGAAUAUUCAUAAUAUAUGUGAAUUUCUUGGUCAUCCAUGCGGGAUUGAAGCUAUCUUGAACACACGACCUUUGUGAAGUUAUCAAUCCCUCAAUUCCAUUGUUUACUGGUGCAAAUUCAUUUUUUUCUGUGUUACAAAUUUUCCUUCUUGUUAAAGUCACAUCGUCCAAUAACAUUAGCUUAUAGGGAUAGGACAAAUUUAUUUAUGGAAUUUAUGAAGAUCCUUGAGUAGCUUGGAUUCAUUUUUCAAUUUCUAAGAUGUGCAUAAUUUUGCUCAUCAAACCACAACAUCUAAAAAGCUUAAGCUAGCAAUUAGAACACAAUUUUAUUUAUUUAUUUAAAUCCUCUUCAACGUCUUAGACAUGAAAUGUGAUUCCAACAACAAAUAUGCACACCCCCAAUUUAUUAAAUGAUAAACUACGAAAUUGUAUUUUUAGAGGCAAUUGGUAUGCAAGAGUGGUUAACUAAUGGAUUUGUAAUUUCGACAUCUGAGUUCUGCAAGGCCAAUACAAACCGAUGAUAGAACAUUUAUUUUUGUCUGCAUUAAGCAUCACAGGCUCAAUUACCUAGAAUUGCAUCAACUUUACACCUGUUAGAAUGUGGAAGCGGAAUUGUCCGUAAAUUAAACAAAAUUUUUUAAUUCAAUAAAACAAUAUCGUUUAUGUAACAUCCCAAAAAAUUUUUAGGGAAAAAAAUUAUUAGCUCAUCUAUAGAGAUAAGGUGGUGGAUAUGUGAUAGUAAUUUAUUGUUAUUUAAUCACAUUUUGAUUAUGGUUAAUGUAAAUUGAUAAUCAUAAUCCUAUUUUGAUAUAAUUCAACUCCGCAUAUUGUUGCUAAAUUAAAUUAAAAUAUUAGUCUUCACGUUUUAUUUUAACCGCAUUGCAUGAGUGGAUAAGGUGAUUGGGAUACUUCUAAUUAAGCAAAAUCCCAAUUAAACUAAUCCAGAACUUAUCAUAUGAAUUAGAUAACUUUCCCAUCUCCUGCUUGGCCCUGCAUUUAAAGAUUUAUUGGUUUUAAAAAUUAUUUUCACCAACUAGAGAUUUUACGGAGAUGAGAUAAAAUUUUAUGAAGUUAUUUUUAUCCUAUAUUUUGAUAAAGAUUUAAAUGUAAUCUUAUUUGUGGAAUAUUCAAGUACUAUUGUACAUGUGUCAUAUCAUGGUUUGGACUAUCAAAAUUUAAAGUUUAUCCAAGUGGUGCAUGUUUUCCCCACCAUCAAAAUUGUACCAUGACUCAACUACCAUUUGUUUACUAUAAAUAAUGUGCAUUUGUCCCCUAGAUCCCCACCAAGAAAUUUUUACACGGCAGAAAAUAGAGAGAGAGAAAAUAAUUUCGAAGAGUCAGUUACCAAAUUUUUGACGCAAUCGAGGAAGUAGAACAGAUAUUGGAAUUCAUUCAAAAAUUCAUUUUUUUAGGUAUGACACUUUAUGUACAAGUGCUAUUAUUUCUUUAUGCUUUUAUAUUCAAUUAUAUAUGAAUGGAUUGUAGUAGACAUUCAUUUUUUUUAAAGAGAUAUGAAAUCCCACGGGAUUAGAAGAGAACCUAAGAUGUGUGUCAUUUGAUCACCGAUAUACUCCAUAAGAUCAGAGUAGUAUGAAAUGUAUAAUUUUUAUUGUUAUAUAUUUGUAUACGAAAACUGCACGUAUUUUACUUAGUGUUUUCGAAUACUCAUUCUUACAAAUUUUUACAGGUUAGUUCUGGUCGAUUGAAGUUGUGUCAAAUUAGUGACGCGGACGGCCAAGUGAAUCGAAGAAAAGAGAAAGAAAUUAAAUAUUUAGUUUGCUUUUUUUUUUUGUCUUUAAAUUAGUUGUUAGUUUUAUUUCUUCAAAGACUUUUUUGGUUAUUUUAAAUUAAUAUUUAUGAUUAAAAUAAAGAAUUUCUUUUUAUGGAAGUUUGGGCCAUUACAGUUUAGAGGUUCACGUAUAUGUUAAAUCAAGGAUAAAGAAUUCGAAUUUUUACCUAAAUUGAUGAUUAAUUAUUUAAUUAAUUCAAAUCACGAACUUCCACCUUUUUGGAUCAUAAACUUCUAGCUUUUGAUUGCAACAACUUGAUGCAUCAAAUCUCUAAAUCCUCUAUUGUAUUCUCCAAAGUCAAGACAAAAACUAAUUUUUACACUGACAAUUGAAUAAAAGCAAGAAAAAUAAUAUUUUCUCUCUUUUUUCCUCUCUCCAAUUUGAACACUAUGGAUUUAUGUACUAUGAUUUUGUAGAAAUUCUAGGUUCCACAUAGUCUCUAUUUAUAGUAAAAUCUAAGUAGGAGUUUUACUUGAAAUCCAAAUCCAAUUAGUUCACAUAUAAUUACAUGUGUAAUCCUAAAAUUUCAAUUACAAUUAUAAUUAAGUUUACAAAUUUCAUAAUAAUUAUAACUAAGUUCAAAAAUUUAUUGUAAUUACAAUUAAGCUCAAAAUUAUUAUAAUUACUAUGAUUAAGUUCCAAUAAUUUAUGGAGCUAACAUAAGGACUUGAUAUAACAUGUAUUAUCCAAACUCCAAUAAUUAGAUUUGCCUAGUCGACUCUAAAUCACCCAAUCUAAUUAUUAGUCUUUGCUUUUUUCACCAAAGACAGAUGACUGAACUCUUGGAAUAUAUAAGAUCACAGAAACCAAUAAAUUUGUAAUGCUUUCUUCUUACCUGUUGUAUAUGUAUUUUAUCCUCGUCCGAGAUCUGAUAAUUAGGUACGAGCAUAAAUAACUGUUUUGCCCUUCUAAUUAUUACCACUAACUUAAGUAUCAUUUUCUUCAACGGUCUUGUAAACUAAUCACAGAUGUUGAAGUUUAACCAUCACUAAACACUUAGCUCAGAUUUUAAACAUUCAACAGAAAAUAAUUAAGUAAUCACUCUACCCAUUUUUCAAGGUGACGAUUAUCGACACGAAUUCAUGUUUUCUACUUAGAAAAAUGAAAUAAAAACUCAUUUAAAAAAUAAACAUUUUAAAAAUAAAAUAGAAAGUUAUUUAAAAAAAAAGUUACCCAGAAAAAUAAUAUAAAUUAAAAAGUUCCUUUAAAAAUAAUAAAAAAAUAUUUUUUUUAAAAAAAGGUUACUUAGAAAAAUAAAAUAAAAUAAUUAUUUUAAAAUUAAAAAAAUUAUUUUAUUAAAAUUUAUUUUAUAUAUUUAAGACAAAGUUACCAUUUUACCCACUUUUAAAUUUGUAAAAACGUUAAAAAGAAAUUGGGUUGCCAUGGUGAAAUGUUAUACGAAAUUAGGUGGCCAUAAUUGAAUAUUGUAUGGAAUUGGGUGACCAUAGUGAAAAAAAUAAAGUUGGGUUACCAUGAUGACAUUAAGCAUAAAGUUAAGUGGUCAUGAUAACACUAAUUAUAAAUUUGGAUUGCCAUUGAUGGAUCUAAUCCAAGCCUAUAUCAUUAUGGACGGUUUAAUAACUGGGAGAUUCAAGUUUAGAAGUUUUACAUGAUUACAUUGGAUAUGCCUCUAACUUUCAUAAUUAGAAUAUUAUGCUUGAAUUUUUAAAAGAUUUAUUCAACUUUAGGGUUUCAUUGUAUUGUUCAAAGUAGUCGCUUAAAUACUUCUCUCUUGUACUCAUAUUUGAUAUGGUAAAAAUUAUUUUCUUACAUUUUUGUGAAUUACAAGUACUUGACAGUUCAAAUGAAGUAAACCUAAUUUUAUUUGUGGGUCAUUUGGCAUUCAAAUAUUUUAACUAUUUUACUUGUGGACUAAAUAUGUAUAUUGAACUAGAGGAAAAGUCAAUAUGAAUAUAUGGAGACCAAGAUCAAUCUAUCCUAGGAAAUCAGGACUUAUAUUAAUUAUUAAGAUAUUUUUCCCAAAAUUAAUGUUGCUAGAUUGAGUUUUAACCAUAUAGGGACUUAAUUUCCCAAUAAAUUACACACACCUACAUUGAAAUUUGCAUGUUUGGAACUUUGAGCAUGCUAUGUGCGUGUAUGAUAAUUGACAAAUAAUGAUUGAACAGGUAAUCACACUCCCAUAAUUUCCUGAAACUAACUCAAAUCUCCACGCAUUAAAGAUUGAGUCAAUAUGUUAAAUAUUGUAAAUAGAUAUAAUUAAAUAAUUAAAUUCACAUAUUCGGCACUAAUUUUAAUAUUUAGAUAAAGUGAUCAUUUGACAUCAUACUAGUGUUACCAGAGCACGUGUGAACCAUAAUAUUAAACACAUCUGAUUUGUUUACUGUACAAUGUAAAUGGAUAUAAAGACUUCAAGGGGCAUCGCAUAACAUAUUCAAAGUCUCCAAAUAAAUAAAGUCGUCAUGUCCUCAACUCAUAAAGUUAAUACCUUUAAGGUAACUGCCAAAGAAAUGCAUUAAAAUUGACACCCCCACUAUCUAUAUAUACCAUUUGACACUUGCCUUAACGAUUAAAAAUAUUCUGAUCAUCAUUUACUAAAACUCAUAAAUAAGUUUGUGAGUUUCAAAAUUUAUUUUCAAUCAUAUAUUUCAUGGAAUUCACAACUUUUUAUCUUCUUUUCAAUCAAGCCCGACCAAAGCCACUUAGGCAACGGCCCAAGGCCUUAGAUAUUUGAGGGACCUCAAAAAUAAACCAUUUAUUCUCUGGUUCUUGCAGAAAGUGGAAAUAUAUCUUGUUAUUGCACAAUGCAUAUUAUUGCAUGACAGGAAUGUUUAUGAUUUGCCAAAGAAAUGAAGGUACUUUCCUCGGUUUCCUCCUGCUUUAUUUCCCCUAGUCAUUCGUUUACCAAUAUGGGUUGAUUUCCUUUCCUAGAAAAUAUGCUCAUGCAAAUUUCCUAAAUUUGUGGAUUUAAUUGAAACUCAAAAAAGUUUGACUGUAUUUUCUUACCUUCAUUUCAGUCCAUGAGAAUCUUUGUCAAAUCUUUAAUUUGUGGAAUCACACGCAUUGAAAGAACAUUUUAGUCCAACCUAUCUUUUCCAUCCAAUCUCAUCUUUGCAUUGACAUACAUUAUGUGUUUGUUGGAUAAAUACCGAAAAUUAUAAAAGAAAAUAUUAGACAGCAUUAAAGAAUAAACAACAAUCACAAAUUCAUGACAUAUUUAGAAGAUGCUGCCAAAGAAAUCCAUUUUAAGGAGCUUUUAAUCACUUUCAAACAAGCUUUUAGCUCUCAACAUUUUCCAUGAGCUCGAUUUAUAGUACUAAUUAAACAAGAAAAAGACAUUAAAACUUUUUCCAUAGUAAUCUACAUUUUUGUCUAGCACUGAGCAUGGCUCCUAACUAUGAUAGUAAACAUGUGGGCCUUUCCUGCUUAAUAGGAAUCCUCAUCUUUGAGAAUUAUGUUAGUUGUUAUUAUGCCCUCUGAGUAAGUUUCCUCAAGGAUCAAUAGACAAUGUUGACCUCGAAAAAUGGCUCUUCCACGUGGCCAACCGAGAGCUACUCCACGUAUUCCUUCCUGUGCACAAUCAACGAACGGUCAGACGCACGCGGUCGGGACCAACGAGUGUGGUGGCGGCCGUAUACGCUCCGACGGUCAAGUCAGGUUUAAGUGGUCGGAACAGUACCCAGGAGCUAUGCAAAUCAAUGAUAAUGGGGGAGGAGAAAAUAUAUAAGCUUGCUAUGGAGUGCUAUGUAGUCAGAUUUUCCUUACCUUUGCCUCCUGCCAAACCUUGGAUAUUUAUAGGUGGUAUGAGCCGUUGGAUGUGAGACGCGUGUAUACAUCUGACGGUAUGAGGCGUUCGCUCAUAGGCGUCAAUCAGCCUCGUCUAUAGGGAGGGCGGACAGCUUGUCUCUUCUGAGUUGAAUUGACAUAAAGUUGAUAAGUCAUAUUAUCUAGCCUCAUGGAGACGUCAAAUCAAUUAAAAUCUUAGGUACAGGGAAGAUCUUGGUAUAAAUCUCUUUCUGAAAUUGGCGAUGGAUCCUCUAACCGGGGUCCGCUUGGUCUCGGCCUCGGCCUCGGGGGCGAGGUACUUUUGGUUAGGUACUACUAGGUUGCAGGUAUUCCUGACAUCACUUCGGAAGAACUUCGGACGGGGUCUUUAUCAGGUCGGAACAUAUGAUGGUGAGCGUCCGAGGCGUAUCAGAUCGGAGCGUAACAGACAAUAACUAAUUUUGUUAUAUUUUAUUUUAUUUUAUUUUACUCAAACUCAUGUAUUUCAUGUUGAACUGCCUCGUAUAGAAAUUCCUGAAGAUUAAGUGUUGAGAAAAUAAAGCCAAUGGAGAAGAAGAAUAAAAUGCAAAGAAGAGAAGAAUAUAAAUAUAUAUAUCAAUGAAGGCUUGAUCACGAAAUUGAUCUCAUUGUACUCAAACAUUAUUUGCCUCCUUUCCAAUGCUUUUUAAAAAUUUUCGGCAAAUAGUUUGUAGGAACAAGCCUUGAUAAGAAGAACACUAAAAAGCAAAGGUGUAACUUCACAAUGAACAAGUGAAAAAUGGAAGGAUUAUAAUAUAAUUUUUUUCUCAAUUUUUGGAAGUAUAAUUUAGGCAUAAAUUUCAAUGGAAUUCAAUAAAUUUUCUUGCACAUGGAUCACUUAUUUAUAGACCUUGACAAGUUCCCACAAAAUGGUGCAAGAAACAUGUGAAAAGUCACCAAAUUUGAAUGAAAAACGGUCAAAAACUAACCCAACGGUUAGUUUUUAAUAACCAUGCGACCGCAUGGACUAUAGCCAUCACAUGCAGUCGCAUGGUUAUAGCUUCGCUAGCCCUCCCAUUCUCGGGAGGGCCUCAUGAUUAAGCAAAUUUUUUUUUCUUUUCGAUUUUGAUCAACAAAUAAAUUUCCAACAUUAAGUUAUGAGAAAAAAAAGUUAUGUUUAAGGGCGUCGUAUAUAAUAAUACAUGUUUCUUCAAGGAUCAAUACAUAAAAAUAUCAUACCUGAGGGCCUCAUCAUAAUUAUUUGCUAGCCCUGAAAACUUGUCCGCAAUAGUCCCUUUUCUACGAACCACCGUGGUGAGCCUUUCUUCGUCAACGAAUCUAGUUCACAGAUUCGCCUCACUUUCUCCAUCAAUAAGCCUAGUUUGUAGCUUUGCCUCACCGAGCGACUCCAACAAGGUACAUCAACGAGCCUGGAAGUUGUUACUAUGUAGAUGAAUAAGUGGAUCACUAGAUUCUAACAUUUGCUUAGCAACUUAGAACUUUGAGGAUAACAGGAUUCAAGCAGCCCAAUUUCACACCGAACAACUUAUUAAGCAAGAGGAAAUCACUUUCAAUGUGGAUGAGGAAUUUAAUUCAGCAACAUAGGUGGUGUGCUCUAGAUUGCCUGCAAGGAGCCAUGUUUUGAAUUUCUAGAGACCAUCUUGAAACCAAUACUAAUCUCGGCAAGUUUUAAUAAAUAUUUUGGGUUUCCUUCCGACUCCCAUGACUAGUCCCUCCGUUGUGGCACAAUUCUGGUGCCUGUCCCACACUAAGAGUGCCUCAACAGCCGAAGCUAGAGAUGAGGGUGCGCUAGAGCUGCCUCGACAACAGUUGCUAAAGGCUGGAGGCUGGAGGUUGCGGUGUACCCAGAAGCCUCAAAAGUCAUAGUUAGAGGUUGAAUUUUGGUUUAGACAAUUUAUCUAACAUCUGAUGGACAAAGUAGCACUGAGAUUUUAUGAGAACAAACAAAGGCUGCCUCUAAUCCCAUACUCAACACAAUAUCCCAAAUAUGCUCGUUUUAGAAUAUCUGCGUAGUGCGUCCUACGUAGGCAAAAGACAAGGAAGAGACAGUAUUCAUAACCGUGGAGACAUGAGUGGACCCAACGGGGGUCACUUGACCACCCCCAAUUUUUGAGAUUUUUCCCUUUUUUUGAUAAAGUCACGUUCAGUAUCGAUUGAAAUCUAAAUUUUAAUCUAAAUAAAAGUUAAUAAUUAAUUUUAAUAACAUAUUUCACGGAUUCCUUAACUUCUAAAAUUUUAUCCAAAUUUACUAAAAAUCAGACUUUAAUCCUCACCAAACAGGGACAAAAUUACAAUAAAUUUGAAUUUUCUCUCUUUUUAUUGCUCUCGUAUUCUCACGCUCAUGCCUUUUAUCAAAAUCUUAACACUUCUAAUUUUUUAAAAUUUGUUUAUAAUUUCUCUACAAUUAUCAUAUCUAAUACAAAUUUUCAAUUUUCAAUCAAAUUUUCAACUAAUUAAAACAUAAAUUUGCAUUUUCUCCUAUCCUAUUUGUGCAUAUAGCACGUGUUUAAAUUGAUUAUAUAAAAUUUAACUUAUAUCUAACGAAUUGUGUUUAUUUAACUGAUUAUUAGUAUUGAAUAUUGGUUAUUUGUUUUUUCUUUCGACUACUUGAAUUGAUUGUUUGUAUCAAAUAUACAAUUUUUGAAAACAUAAAUAUGCAUUUUUGCGGUGAGCAAAAUAUUAAUAAAAUGAUUGUUCAAAAUCAAAUAGAUGAAAAUGAUGAGCAAAAUAUUAAUGAAAAAUAUUUUUUAAAUGUAAAUCUGCAUUUUUUCGGGUCAAAAAUGAAUCAUUCAAAAAUCAAGAUCAAAAUAUUCGAUUUGUACAAAGUUUGAUUGUACAUUCUAACUCAAUUUCUCUGCGUCCGCCCCUGCAUAAAGAGGUGCCCCUGGUUCAACACGAGGCUUGAAUUGAAUAUCUCCACUAUUUGAGAAGAAUCUAAAGAACUUUCAUACAGCAGGUGACGGGCCAAGGCUCUUACCACCAGUGCAGGAAGAUUCGCAGCCAACAGAAGCUACUACCACUGCACCUGCCUAGAUGGCAUUCAUCGGAUGCUACGGGCGCCUUGGUGGCGGUGAAGCACCGGGGCCAAAUCUUGACCAAUGGGGAUUGAGAUCAAGUGGCACGUAGGCCGCAAUAUCGCUGCAUUUACGAGACAUCGUAGCUGGACUGUUUUAACGACAAUGGCUUGAGGCUUACGCCGUGGAGAUGCAGUCCACGAACCGUUGCUUAGGCUUGAAGACUUUGAAAAUGGGAAAAUGAAAGUGAAAGUUCUAUAUCUUUUGAGUUUUUAUUUUUUUAUUUAAUUUUCCUCAUUCUGGCCAAGGGCUAAAUUUGUAUAUUGAAAAGUAAAGAGGCCAUUUGGACACAUUAUUAAUUUACUGAGUUAGCAGCCAUUCUAUAUUUUAUCAAAUAGCGUAUAACAACGUAUUUUUUCAUUAUAUUUCAAAUAAAUAAAUAAAUAAGUACGAAACAUAUUUUUCCCUCAUUUCAAAGAAUAGAAACAAAAUUUUUUGACGUAAAUUAUCAUCAAGGACGAAAUGUAUUAAUUAAUGAAAAGUCGAAUAUAAGAAUUUGUCGAAAGAAUUGCAAUAAUAAGCAAAAAUUAAGAACCUUAACUGCAAUUAAAAUGUAAUGUAACUAAUAAAAAUUGUAAUACCAAAAUAACCGUCCUAAAAUAAAGCUUGGCAUCCCUUAGUAGAGACAAAAAAAUAAAAAAUAAAAAAACCACCCGAAAGGGUUCUUUCAUCCUAUCUGAAACUUUAAGACAUGUUUUUUUAGCUCGAAUUACAUGGGCUAUAUGCUAAUAUGAAAGAGGCAAAUAAUAGAAAUUUACUACUUUAGAACAUAAUUGUUCUUUCCAAAUACCUAUAUUUAAUUACCGGCAAAGGGCCAAUUGAUAAGCUCCAGAUUUGCAUUUGGCCUAAAUUUGCUGAAUUUGUUCUAUCUCUUGCAAUUCUAAGUCUAGUUAAUCAUCACUGUUUGUUGUUGUUGACAUAAAUAUGGUAAGAACAGAAAUUGUUGGUAGCAGAAGGUGAACACUCAGUGUAAACUUCUCCACGUGCUAGAGAUACAAGCAACACAUAAGGAGAGCAGCAUAAUUAUGGGAUAGAAAUACCAAAAGAUAUCUUGUGGGAAGAACAGUGAGGCCAAGAAACAAACCAAUAGGGAAAUUGAGUAAUUUUUGACUUGAGUGCGUAUGUAACCCAUAUCAACUUGAGGUGUCAAUGAGAUUUCAAUGGAGACAAAGGAGGAGAAAAGGAAAAAGCUAGUGAGAUGCCAAAACUUGAUCCAAAUGAAAUUUCACAGCACUCUCCCUUUCAGAAUGAAAGGGAAAAGGGACAAUAACAUUUUCUUAUGAAAAGGGAAAAAGGAGAAACAGCAUUCUCCCUUUUAGUAUGAAAAGGGAAAAGGGAGAGUAACAUCUAAAGGUAGAAUCAUAGCACUCUCCCUCUUAGGGAUUCUCCUUUUUCAUAUGGUGCCUAGUGGCACCCCUGUUUCAACUAGGCAACCUUAGCCCGAUCCGAAUAAUAUAGCCCUCCUUUUUAGUUAUCCAAUUUGUGCUUCAAUACCGUAUCUGGCUUGACUUUAAUUAAGACUCAUGUUUCUAAGAUUUUCUCGAUCAAUCAUUCGCUAGGAAAGUUAAUUGGCGGACCAAAAUAAACUUAUAUUCUCAUCAUUCUUUAAUAUCUAUGUUUAAAACAACAUUUUAUGGGAAUAAUUUAUUAAUACCUUUGAACAAUAUUUUAUUUUUUCAAAAAAAUCGCAAAUUUUUAUUUUGAAUAUUAUAUUAUUGAUCUCGAAAUAUCGUAAUGUUAAAUAAUAAUAUUCUUUAACAAUAUUCUGUAGUUAUUCUUGGAUAAUUAUGAAUUUAUAAACUUCAAUGUAAAAUAGUGUAUUGAUCCUGAAUUUUAACUAUACUGCAUUUAAAGAAGCAAAAAUUUAUUUAUAUUAAUAUUAAAGAAGAAUAUUGCUUUGAUACUCUAGAAGAGUCAAUAUUGCAUUAUGUGGGAGAAUAAACUUCCUAGAAAUAUGCUCAAUAUCAUUUGAUUGAAUAGUUGACCCAUUCCUUGUUGUUUGAAGAAACCCUCCACUUCAAUACUAUUGAUAAUAAUUUAGUACUAAAUUAGUAAGAAACCUACUAAGUUUCUAAAAUAUUUGUCAUGAUUGAUACUAUAUCGACAUUGGUAUAUUUGAAAUAAACAUUGCAUUGAACAAGAGGUUCAAUUAUUGAAUAUAUUAUUGCUUGACAUUAUUAUUUGGUUCAUCACUUGAUCAAUAAUAAUGCAAAAUUAAGAAUUCAAAUGAAUAUUCAAAAGAACUAUAAAUUCUUCAAUCUAAUGAAUUCCUAAACAAUAAUUUUUCCAUGUGUUACGAAUUGGUCUUGAUCAUCACUAGAUAAAGUUAGAACUAAAUUUCAAUAAUCUUGAAAUUAAAUAGGGCAUGUUGACCAUCUAGUUAUAAUUGUGUGUGAUAGAUAUAUUUACUAGAUGAUUGCAUUGUGUUUGCACCUGAACUUUGCACAUUCUUUUAUUAAGUUUUAAAUUAUUAGCUUAAAUUUUAUAUUAUAUCAUCAAGACAAUGUAUCAUGUCAAUGUUAGUAAAUCUACAUCCAAAUUAAUAUUUUGAUAAAUGUUGAUUGGGAUGACGAUAAAUUGUUUAACACAAUUGAUUGUUAAAUACCUCCAAUUAAUUUCUUAACUGUUAUUGUUAAAAACAAAGUACUUUCCAUUUAUGUUUAGAUAAUGACAUUAUGCACCAAGCCAAUGUCAAAGUUAGAGCCUAAAUUUUCAUUUAUGGUUAGAACCUAAUAGUUUUCAUCUAAUGAUUUUCUAAUGUGCAAUUUAUAUACCAUAGUGCAAUGGGAUAGUUAUUAAAGAAUGAUGAGAAUAUAAAUUUAUUUUGAACCCUUACAAAAUAUUUUAAACUCUAAAGGUUGAUAUUUUAUAACGCAGUUUGCUCACGUCAAUUUAAUUAAAUAAUUCUCUCAAUAUUAAGGGAAGAAAUUGGCAGCUGAAAAUAUUACACAAUGCAUCAUAUUAUGCUGUCUAUAUCCUUGCACUUGAUAAUCUGAAAAAAUAAUUCAAUUGUAAAAUACAUUUCUGGCAUAUAAGAAAUUACUAAAAUCUCAUAUACCAACUAUAGACAUUCAAUGCCGUAUUGUUAUCUUAGAAAGACUAAACUAUUGCAAUGCAUAAAUAAUAUGUUGAAACUUUGUGACAUUUGAUUCUUAAAAAAGUAAAAAAUGAAAGAGAAAAAGAAAAAAAAAAAAAACCAGAAGAAGAAAAGAGGUUGAUCCUAAUUAGGAAGCAUAUAUUCUUGGAGGUUAUAUAGACAUAACUAAUUAUAAAACCUAGAAGAGAUUCAAGUAUUUGAAAUAUUGAAAAAGGACGUCUCUCAUUAAAUUAUGUCAUUAUGAAAAAGAAAUAGAAUUGAAAAGAAAAGAAAAAGUUGUCGACAAUACUUUUGUACAUGAUAUAUCACUUCAUAUUAUGAAUAGCAAAUAUAUCGAAAUAAAUUUGUUGAGCAUAUUGAUUGAAGUAAUGAUUAGCAAAAUUAAGAAUGCAAUCUUAUUAAAACUGAACUUAUUAGGGAAACCAAAAGCAUUUGGACCUAAAGUUCGAGGACCUAAAUGUAUAUACCCAUGCAAAAAGUAAAUAAGAAAAAUGAAGCGUAAUAUGUAAUGCACGACUUUUCAACAUAAUAAAUUUCACCAUGACCAUAAUGAAUGCAAUCACAAGUCAAUAUCGUUAUCAUCACGAUGCAUGAAAUUUGAAAUGUGAUUGGCAUCACUAUUAAUGUUAUCCUUGAAGAAUUUAAGAUGACUGAAACAUAUAAUUCAAGUGAUAUUAUUUUGAGGAGGGAUAAAUGUGUUGUACUUUCUUUUUCUUUUUUUUUUAAAUUAAGAUUUCGUCUCAUUGAAUUUCAUGACGAGAUUUCUAAUGAGACAACUUUUUUAGUAUACUUUAAAGAAAAAUGUACUAUUUUUCCUUUAUUGGAAUUUUUUGCACAAGAUUUUUCUAGUAUGGUUUUAACGUGGCAUAUUCUUUGUGUAAUAGAUGUCUAUAACCCACUAGACAUUUACUCUCAAAAUAAUAUUCUUAUAUGUUACAAAUUGUCGAUAACUCUAGAAGAGAGCAAUAACACAAUCUAAUUUUCAUUGGAUCAUCAUGUUGUCCAAAAUCAAACAAAGAUUGAUAAAAAUCUUCUAUGAAAACAAUAUUACUUGUAUGCUAUAACAAGACAAAAUGAAACGUAUUUUACCAGAAUUGAAAUAUUUAAAACAGUGACGUACAAGACAUAGAUGCUCGAUACAAGAAUUUUUAUUUAUUUAAAUCAAAGGAGUAGAUGUACACUUUUCUUUGUCAAUCAAGUUUUGUCCCAUUGGAUUUUCAUGACACACUAUUAAUGAGGCAGUAUUUUAUUAAUACAUAAUUUGUUAUAAUUAUUUGUACCCUUCUUUCGUUUGUGUUGGUAGUUUUGUCCCACUGAGUUUUUGUCAAAUUAGGUUUUUAAUGAGGAGAAUAUUGCAUACAACUAUGAGAUAAUUAUUGAUGCCGAUUUAGUCUUAUCAAGAUACUUAGAUAAAUCUUAUUUACUUUGUAAGGGUCUAUUUUAUUCAGAUUGUAACGCUCCUUUUAAACCUUAUAAAUAUGUGUCCAUUAUUGCAAUAAACUUACAAACUUAGUCUUGACCCUAUCUAUUCUUUUUUUGUAUCUCUCUCUUUUUCCUUUAGAAUUAUGAAAUUAGUAGAUUUGUUAUCCUUUCAAAUUAUCAAACUAGUAGAUUUGUUAUUAGGUACUUUUAAACUUCAGUUUGUUUUUAAGGUGAUUUAAUAGUAACAUACUGCUUCUUUCUUUAUAAGGUGAUGUUGUUUCCCAACUACCAUAGCAAUGGUUUAUUAUAUUCAAUUCCAUUAUAACGGCAUCUAGCAUAUCUUUAUACUAUGCUUUGUGUUGAAGUCGAGGAUUGGGAAUGAGACCCAUAAUUCUCUCUGUUGGCGUAUUGUCACACGGAUUUUGAUGAGUAAUUUGCUAACGAAGGCAUACUUGCAAGUCCACUCCUGUAACGGAUUUGGUGGUGGUGAAGUUGCAUACUCACUUUAUUCAGUGGUUGUCCAAAACUGCAUUCAAUAUUAUACUCUUAAUUUAACUAGUAUACAACAGAUUUUGCUUCAUCUGCUCCAGCUUGCAUCUGGCAAUGGAUCUUUUUGCCACAGCAUUGCCAAGAAAGCCCUUGAGCCCGACCCAAUGUGAGUGACCAUUGGAGUUGUGCAUAGAAGACGUCACUCGCCUUUCGUAUCAAACCUGUGAUAUGAAAUAAUAUCGGGUGCGACAUAGAGAGUUAAGUAAUUCCCAACCUAUAUUCUCUGUUUCUUGACCAGUAUUUUUCAGCGUACCCUAGGACCAAAAGGACAUUCCAAAAUUAGAUGGAUCAAAACCACCAACCAAAAAACAAAUCUUGAUUCACUUUGUGCCCAUAGAGAUUAAUGAUAAUCUUCAGCAGCAAGAAUACAAAUUGCCAGUAUAUCCAUUACUUCAACGGAAAUUCUUCCUGAAAGAAGAGGAAGAUCGAUUGUCGCAUACCACUAACAACUCACCAUCAUUAUUUAGACGUUCAAUGCCAGGGCAGAGCAUGAAGCAAAAUGGUAAUAACCAUAUACAUAAUGAAGGAAUGAUCCAUGUAAGAAGCCUAUGUACUUAAUAUGCUUCUAGUGUCAGGGUAAAGUAAAAAUAAAAAACUACUAGCGUCUACACCUCAGAAAAGUGUCAUCCUAGUACAACUAACAAUUGAAUAUUCACCAUCCCGAAAGACGUUGAACCGACUAUGCUAAUGAAUUUGCCACUCGCUUAAAUGUCCAUUUACCAGUAUAAUAUAAACAACACUGAAAGUUUAAAUGAGGUACAGGAAUUACCCUGAUGAGCCUGUAUUUUGGCUCGUAUUUCUUUGCACUCUCAACAGAAUCAUAGAUCAAGCCAAAACCAGUGGAAUUGCCUCCACCAAAGUGCGUCCUGAACUUAAAAAACAAAUAUGGCAUUUGGAUCUUUCACUUCAUACAUCCUUGCCAAUUUCUUCUUCAACUCACAGCCUACAAUAAUAGCCAAAGUAGGUAAAACUAAAAGGGACCACGAAUUUGUAUCCAAACCCAAAUUGAAAUUGCCACAAAUUUAAAACAAAGAAUCGAUCACAAAACUUUGCUUUUGGAAACCAUAAACUUAUGGUAACUAAUAAUAAUCAACAAAGAACACCAACAGAUCUAAUUAUUUAUUCAUUUUCCCACAAUGUUUUCAAAAUUAUGCUACGGCUUGUAGAAGCCUGUAUAACUUUCAUAAACCAUAGACUUUACAUUUGCCUUUAAAAAUCAUCAACAAAGAGCAUCAACAAAUAUAUUUAUUUAUUAACAUUCCUUCAAUAAUUCCAUACCAUGUAAUGGCCAAAGGAGAAGCUAGUUUUACUUCUAUAACCCACUGAUUUUACAGUUAACCUUUUCGGAAUCAGACAUGGACCCAGACGAGUACAAAAUAUAAGGACUUCUCGAUUCUCUGACAUAUAUACUUCAUUCCAUAUCUUACGUAAAACAACGAAGGUAGAAAAAAAAAAGAAAAAAAAAAGAAAAAGGGAAAUGACGCAGAAAAAGCAUAAAACUAGCACUUAAAAGGAAUAAUGCGAAUAAGUUGAAUUUUCCAUACAAAAUAGGCUAACCCACCAGUUAAGCGAGUUGCCUUGUAGAACCACAACAACGCCAAAAAUGGACCUCCAAAUGAGUACAUGGAGUCACACAAACUGGCGUCCUCAAUGGGAAAAAUAUUGGAAACCUGUAGAAAUUGAAGCCAACCAAAAGAAAGCAAUCAUGUCAAGGACAAUAUAUGACUUCAAUACAUCACUCCAAUGUACAAUUUCUUUCAUGGUCUGUCGAGACCAAGGGAGAUUGAGAUUGAGUGGCAUGUAGGUCGCAUCGCCGCUGCAACAGGACCUUCAGUGGCGGUGGGAGCACCGGGGCCAAAUCUUGGCCCAGGUUGGUCCGCCAAGACCAAGGGGCACCGAGGCCAGAUCUUGGCCCAGGUGGGUCCUCCGAGACCAAUGGGGGUCGGGAUCGAGUGGCAUGUAGGUCGCAACGCCGCUGCUACCGAGGCCUUGGUGGUGGUGGGAGUACCGAGGCCAGAUCUUGGCCCAGUGUUUCAGUCCAAAACCGAGAUCGGGGGGGAUCGAGAUGGAGUGGCAUGUAGCUCCAUCAUAGCUGGAAUGUUUUAACGACUAUGGCUUGAGGCUUGAUGCAGUCGACUGCACGAUCUCUAGCUAAGGCUGGAAGACUUUGAAAAGGAGAAAAUGGAAUUGAACGUUAUCGAUCCAAACCGGUCUAUAUUUCAUUCUGUAUUUUAAUAAAUAGCGUACAACGAGAUUUUUUUUUAAUCAUAUUUUAAAUAAUAAAUAAUUACGAAAAGUAUUCUCUCCUCGUCUCAAAGCAUAGAACAAAAUAUUUGAAAUAAAUCAUCAUUAAUGAAGAGAUGCACUAAUUAAUGAAAAAUUGAAGAUAAGAAUUUAACUCCAAAAAAAUUAAAAAAAUGAUUGCUAUAACGUAAAGUACAAUUAAAAUGUCGUAUAACGAAUAAAAAUUGUAGUACCAAUAUAAAUUGACAUCCUUUGGUAGAGACAAAAAAUAAAAAAUCUGAAACAUGUUUUUUUGCUCGGAUUAUAUUGGCUAUAUGCUAAUAGAAAUGUAAUACAAAAUAGGUAAAUAACAGAAACUACUUCAAAACAUUAUUGUUCAUUUAAUUAUUGAUUCAAAGCUCUAAAUUUGCAUUUAGCCUAAACUUGCCGAAUUUGCUCCAUCUCCUGCGAUUCUAAGUCUGGUUCCUCGUCAAUAUUUAUUGUUGUAGUCAUAUAUAUGUUAAGAACAGGAAUUGUUGGCAGCAGAAGUUGAACACUCUGCUUAAAACUUCUCCACUUACUAGAGAUACAAGCAGUGCAUAAAGAGAGCAGCAUAAUUACGGGGUAGAUAUACCAAAAGACAUCUUGAGGGAAGAAUAACGAGGCCAAGAAACAAACCAAUAGGGAAAUUGAGUAAUUCUUGACUUGAAUGCGUAUGUAUCCCAUAUCAACUUGAGGUGUCAAUGGGAUUUCAAUGGAGAUGAAGGAGAAGAGAAAGAAAAAGUUAGUGACAAGCCAAAACUUGAUCCAAGUGAAGUUCUCAAUUACUAUACUAAAUGGAUUCCAUUUCCAAGGCAUGGCUGUAUAUGGUUUCAAUAUGUUUACAACGAAUAGGAGUACUUGGAAACUUCAGUUGGAUCCAUUUGGUAUAGUAAUUGGAAACUUCAGUUGGAUCAAGUUUUGGCUUCUCACUAGCCUUUUUUUUUUCUCUCCUCCUUCAUUUCCAUUGACACCUCAAGUUGAUAUGGGAUACAUACGCAUUCAAGUCAAGAAUUACUCAGUUUCCCAAUUGGUUUGUUUCUUGGCCUCAGUAUUCUUCCCACAAGAUGUCUUUUAGUAUAUCUACCCCAUAAUUAAUCUGCUCUCCUUAUGCACUGCUUGUAUCUCUAGCACGUGGAGGAGUUUUAAGUAGAGUGUUCAACUUCUACUGCCAACAAUUCCUAUACUUUAACAUAUAUAUGACUACAACAAUAAAUAUUGACGAAGAACCAGACUUAGAAUCGCAGGAGAUAAAGCAAAUUCGGCAAGUUUUGGCCAAAUGCAAAUCUGGAGCUUUGAAUCAGUAAUUAAAUGAACAAUAAUGUUUUGAAAUAGUUUCUGUUGUUUGCUUCUUUUGUAUUACAUUUCUGUUAACAUAUAGCCAAUGUAAAUCGAGCAAAAAAAAACGUGUUGCAGAUUUUUAGAUUUUUUAUUUUUAUUUUUUUUUCUCUAUCAAGAGAGAAACCUGGGUGGGGCGGUCGCACCAUCCACGUGGUGCGACUGCCCAACCCCGAAGUGCCACCUCUGUAGAUGGUCCACACACCUCGAGGGUGUGUGGUGGCCCACCGCACCGCCACGUGGUGUAACCGCCCUACCUAAAUUUGUUUCCUCUAUCAAAGGAUGUCAAUUUAGAUUGGUACUACAAAUUUUAUUCGUUUCACUACAUUUUAAUUGUACUUCGCAUUAUAGCAAUCAUUUUUAUUUUUAUUUUUAUGUCAAAUUCUUAUCUUCAAUUUUUCAUUAAUUAAUACAUCGUGUCAUUAAUGAUGAUUUACUUCAAAUAUUUUUUUGGGCUUUUUUGGGCGACAAUUUUUCGAUCGAAUCCCUUGGAGUUACGGGGAGAUGUUGGGUGUAAUUGAAGAGAAUAUUGUUGACUUUCCAACAUUAUCAAAAUUUGACGAUAAUCCGUGGUCGAAAGUGGCAGAAAUGUUGCAACAAAAGCAGCCCAAAAAAUUGAAAAUGUGGUUUUAAAUUUCAGUGACCGUUUCUGUAAAUUUUUAAACUUCAAUGACCAUUUCUAAAAGUUUUUAACUUCAAUGACCAUCUCUGAAAGCGCCUCGAAACUUAAGUGACCGUUACUGAAAGUUUUAAACUUUAGUGACUGUUUUGUAAUUUUUGCAUAAGUUCAGUGAACGUUUUUGAAAUUAAUCCAAAAAAGUUUGCAUGUAGAGUUUCAUGUUUCUUAAAAGGUACAAACAAAUCUCACCUAAAAAAAUUUAAAACAUUCUAAUUAAAGAAAAAUAUUUUAUCUUCUUAAUUAACCCACCAACUCCUACACCCAUCCCCUACAUUUCACCACCACUACAAAAUUAAUCAAAGAGAUAAUUAAAAGUAUAAUAAAAGCAAAAUAAUAAUAAUAAUAAUAAUAAUAAUAAUAAUAAUAAUAAUAAUAAUAAUAAUAAUAAACAUAGAAAAAUAAAAAUAAAAAAAUUUAUGGCCCCAUUCGACCCCCAUUAAUUUUAAUUAUAAUGGGGGAAAUAGAAUUUUUUUGAAAAAUGAAUGGUUGUAAAAGAAUAAAAAGUUUUCGAUUUAUUUGUAAUAUUAUUUUAUUGAAAAUUGUGUGAUUUAAAAUAAGAAAGAAAAAUUUAAUUUAAUUUGAUGAGAUGUGAUGGGGGCAAACGAGGGCAAUAUAAAAACGAAUGGCGCUUAUUCCUCAUCAAAUAAUUUUUAAACUUUUAAUUCUUUUUUUUUAAUUAUUUGAUGGUGGUGUUGAUGGAGGAGGAUAUGCAGAGGGGUCGAGAUAGGGAUAGGUGGUUAAUUGGAAAAAUAAUUUUUUUACUAGAAUGUUUUAAAUUGUUUUGCAUAAAAUUCAUUUGUAAUUUUAAAAAAAAAAUUAUAAAAUCUAGAUACAACAUUUUAUAUAUACAUAUAUAUUUGUUUAUCUAAAGACGAUGAUAAAUUAGUCAUUUUAUAAUGUUAUAAUAGAAAAAAUGGAUGGUAAAAAUCUUUUAAGCAAAAAAAUGUCGAUCUAAGUGUUCAAAUGUCAAAAUUGAAAUGAUAAGAACUAUUCACACAAUUAAAGCAAACGAUAGGCACGUUUUUGCUCCAAAUUACACAUAUUUAACUGAAGGAUUUAAUGAAAUAUGAUGGAAAGCACUGAUUCUGCAAGAAAUGUUUGAAAUAAUUGUAAAUGGCAAGUUUGAAACAAUAUGAACCAUUUUCACAAUGAGUACAAACGAUAGGAAUGCCUUUUGCUAAUUACCCUAAAGUAUAUUUACUCUCUAGAUAUCGAGGGAAUUUAGCCCUUGUCUAACACCCGUUAAAAUUUUAAUAUAUUUUUCUCUCUUCUUUUUAAUCACGUAUUCAUCAAUAAAAUAAUAUUACAAGUAAAUCAAAAAAUUCCCUUCUUUUUUAACCACAAAUUUUUCCAAAAAAAUACUAUUCCAUAAUACAGAUUACCAAAAUUUCUCAUUAUAAUAGAUGUAAAACAAAGGUUUAAUAUAAACUAAUUUACACUUUACUUUUAUAAUAAAUAAUGUUAUUCAUAGUGAAGAUUAUUGAUAGUCAUCCUUUGUGACAUAUACAUGACAAUGUGUUAUUUGAUGCAUAGGAUGGUAAAAAACCUAUCAUAUUAAUGUAUUAAAUAAUGUCAUGUGUACGUCACGUAAGAUAGCUAUCGAUAGUCCUCACUAUGAAUAUCAUUACUCUUUUAUAAAUAUAACAUGUCCAAACUUGGAGGCAAAAAUGCAGCCUCCGAGCUCCUAUAGAGAGAUUGCCGCAUUGACUAUAAAUAAACAAAAGCAAUGAAACUAUUGUGAAACAAUAAAAAUUUUCAAAAAUAAUCAAUUCUUCUCGACGAGUAGAGUUAAAAGGCUAGUUUGAAACGAAGGAUAGUGCAUUGCACCGUGAUGCAGCAGGGCAGCAUUGGUGAAAGGGCAAAUAGGGCAGCAUCGGUGAAAGGUAGUGAAAUAAAGGGAACCACCAUAAGAGAGGAGAAUUUGAUUUCAGAAUUUAAAAAUCCCAGCCUCUUAAUAAGUAUAAAGAAAGGAGGGCAAGAGUAAAAAUGCUUAAACGAGAAACUUAGCCUGAACUAAACUGCUCUAUAUAGUAGAAAAGGAUGGAGUUAAAUGUUUCAUUGACCACCAAACUUUACACUAGUCACGAUUUACUCAUCGAACUUCAUUAAUUGUCUCAUUGGCCACUGAACUUUGCUCCGUUCAACUCCAUCACUCACCCGUUCAAAACUGUUAAUAGACGUGCUGAUGUGGUGAAUGGAAAAAUGACUUGGCCGGUUAACUCCUUUCAAGUAGUAAGUGAUUUGCCAACUAAGCUUCCACGUUAGUAAUGGAGCAUCCAAACACGGCAUUAUCAAUUUCAUUUCACACGACUUUACAGAAUUAUAACCCAAUUAGUGUGAAAUCUCUCUCAAAUCACUUCCUCCCAUUCGCGAAGAACCCUAAGUAUCUGAACCAAGAUCCUCCAAAAAUCUCUCAAAUCCUAUCAUCCUGAAAUCCAUUUCUACAAAAUCUCACAUGAAGUCUCUGUAUUCUGAAAAUCCAUUCAAUUCAUUCGGGUAAUUUUUAUCAUGCACCGUGGUAUCCCAAAUCACGUCGUCUAAUUUUUGUGAGCUUCAAAUUCAUCUACCUCAAGAUAGAAAGGUAAUUUUUGUUUAUGUUUGUUGUAAAAUUGUUCCCAUGAUAUGGUAGGACACGAAUUGAUGAUUUUUGAAUGGAAAAUUGGUUUUGUUUAUAACUCAUUUUAUUUUUGGUUUGCAUCUUCGUCUUUCCGAUAAUGGUCAAGAACACUACUUUCUAGUCGUUAAUGGAGGAAAAACAUGUUUAUACCAUUCCUCUCCAUAAUCCAAUUAACACUCAUUUUGGGUAUUCUGCCAAUGUGAAUGUUGGGUAUUUUUUGUUUGGCUCUAAUAAAGAUAGCUCAUUGUUGAAUCCGGUGACUGGAAAAAAGGCCCUGUUGAUGAAACUACUUUGACCGUUGAAGGAUUUGAAUCCUGAUGGAGCUACUUUGCUUGUUGAUGAAAUGAAUAACACUAAAUUAAAAUUUGGAAGUAGGUGUGUUUUAGGUACUGAAUUUCAGAAAAAGCCUCCUAUUUAAACUCUCGAAUGAGAUGAAGGGAUUAAAGAUUGUUAAUUUUGCAGUGUUGCUGAGAAGAGUAAAAAAUUUGGCAGCAAUUCAUCUGUCUGUCACUGCCAAUAACAUAUUCAUGUUUGCAAUCAAUGGAAGGGGGGUAUCCGUUGCCUUUGUCCACCAUUUAUGGUAAUAGGAACUGGGACUGGUUGUGCUUGGAAACAGCUACAAUUUGCUUCAUUAAAAAUACUGGUAAUUUGUUCUAUUUUACUGUAUUAUUUUUUAUUGCAUUCCCAGUUCUAUCAUUAUUUGUUUAUUUAAUUAAUGUUUAAUGACACAUCUUUAUGCUUUUUGUCCUUCAUUUAUCUCAGUUAAGUAUGUUUAUAGAAUUAUUAGUAUGUUUAUAGAUAGUGUGUAGAAUAAUUUAAUUUAUAAUUUGUAAUUAGUUAAAAUUGUAUGUUUUAUUCGAAAGAAUCAUUCUAUUAACUUUUAGGGUCAGUUUGAUUGUAAAGAUGAAAUUUGGAUAGAAAGAAAAUGAAUUUCAGGAAAUUGAAUUGUCUAAAAAUUAUUUUACUGAGAAUUAUCAAUUAUUGUGUUUGAUUGAUAUAAUUUUUUAUGUGAAAAAUGUUAAAAUAAAAGUAUUUUUUGAUGUUCGUUUGACUUUAUUUUACAUAAAAAUUGUCAAUUAAAGGGAUAAAAUUUACUGGUAUUGGGGAUAGAAUUUGUUCCUCUUGCCCAAAGAAAAAAAAAAAGGAGCCAAAAAAAUCAUCUAUCUUUUGGUGUUCAUUUGACUUUGUUUUAUAUGGAAAUUAUCAAUUAAAGAAAAAUAUUUUUUUACAAUUAAUGAUAGAAUUUGUUUUCAAUGCCAAAAAAAUAAAAAAUAAAAAUUGGCAACUUACCUAGAAAACCAAUUCCCACCAUUCCUUGAAAACUAAGAAAAGUCCACUUUUCAAAAAAACCAAGCAAAUGAAUUACAUGGAAAAUAUUUGCUAUCAAACACUAUCAAAAGGUGGAAAAUAGACAAAAUUUUCCAUUUUCCAUGGAAAAGAUGCCCAAUCAAACAGGGCCUUAAUAUAUUUUUCCAACAGAAAUUGUGUAGUUUUAGUUCGAAAAUUUUUAAUAUAGUUUCAGUAUAUUAUUUUCAUAUUACCAAUAGAAUUUUAUCAUUAAAAUUUCUUAAUUUAUUUUUUAGGAUUUUGUUUUUUUUAUAAAUUAAAAAUUUAAAAUAAUCUUUAAUUAAUAGGUAGGAUUGAUUGAAAUUAAAAGUAUGUGAAUUUUUAUUUUUAUUUUUGUUCUUUUUUACAACAAGCAAUAAAUAUAGCAAAUCCUUGUUGCAAAACACACUUUCUCGCAACAUUUAAUGAUUGUUGCAAAAUGUUGUAUCGUAAGAAUUUCAACAAUAUGUACUGAGCAUUGCUAUAGAACAAAAUUUUAAACAGUUCAAUGAACAUUGCAAAAAAAAAAAAAAAAGGAAGAUUAAAACUUUUGCAACAUAAUAAAAAAAAAUUAAAACUUUUGCAACACUCAAAGAACGUUACAAAAAGCUAUAUAUCAAGAGUUUCAAAAACGUUUAUUGAACGUUACUAUAGAACUUUAUUUUUACAACAUUCAUUAAACAUUGCGAAAAAUAAAACUUCUUACAACAUUCAAGAAACGUUGAAAAUGGUAAUAUUGACAACAUGCAAUUAAAAAAAAUAUAUUGCCAAUGCUUAAUUAAAUUAAUCAAUAGCAACAUUUUUCACUUUUUAAAAUGUUGCAAUAAACCAUUUAGCAGCAUACAAUUCACGAAUAUUGCCUUUUGAAUAUUGCAAAAGCUAUUUUAAUUGUAGUGAAAAUUCGUCAUAUGUAUAUAAAAAUUCAUAUGUCAUUAAAUUAAUUUCAGUACACGUGAUAAAUGAUCAUACCUAAAAAAAUUAUUACCUUCACUAAACUUUGAAAAAUUAAGCUUUCGGACCGAUAACGUAUUAUGAAAAGAGAUAGAAAAAGCAGGGAAAAUAAAAGUCAAUAGACUUGUAUGUAUUAUAAUAAGAACUAGAGCCAUGUAUUCAUAAAGAAGGAUUAUGGAUACAAUGAUAAUAAUUUCUAAAUUUAUAGGGGUACAAUUGUCAUUCACAAAUAAAACUUACCAUUUACAACAAAAUGGUCUUUUUUUUUUUUCUUCAAUUUGCUCCUAAAAAGUUUAUUGAUAGCAACAAGAUAAGUCGGACGUUCUCUUUUUUGAAUUUUAAGAGGCGCGUAGGACAUUUUGAUCUUCAUUUUUCGUCCCAUUCAUUUAUGUAUUUACUUAUUUAUAUAUUAUUAUGCGUUUAAAUUUAAAUUUUAUUCAAAAAAAAUUUUAAAAAAAAUAUUAUGAAUCAUGGAUGGGUUUGUGAUAGCGAUCAUGUUUCCUAACCAAAUGCCUAAUAAGGAUUAUAGAAUUCCCGACCUUCAAUCCACGUGGCGCGUUCCGUCCCACAUUGUCCUUCCUUGAAUAGUAAACGAGGCGGGAUGCAAAACCUAUAGUCCCUAGUUUCGAAUUUUUAGUACUAGCUCUGAAUCAUUUUUCAUUAUUAUAUUUCAUUUUAUUGUUAUGUUCUUCAUUUAAAUCAUAUUUAAGAAAAUUUAAUUAAAUAAAUAAAAUGAUGAAUGAUGUUUUUUAUGUCUCAACCUACCCUACAUUCUGAAAAAUCAGAACGAAACAAGAAUGAUAUGAUGGUUACUAUCCAUUGUCAUCCUUAAAUUCAAAUUUCUUGUUGGGCGAAGUAACUUGGGGCCAGAGGCAGUCCUGAGGGCGCACGAGUUGAGCGAUCGCACAGGGCCUCAAAUUUGUAAGGGCAUCAAAAAAAUUUUUGUUAUAAUUGUAUAUUUAUUUAUAAUUAAAUAUUUAAAAUAUAAAAUUUUUAUUAUUAUGCAAAAGAUAUUAAAAUUAAGAAUAAUGUGACUAACUAGUUAUAAUUUUCUUGAAUAUAAUAUUCUUAAAUAGCGUUCCUACCUUAAAUAAUGUGAGGAAAAAGUAAAAAGUCAAAAAGAGAUUAGCCCGACUAGAGAACUGAGAGAAGAGAGAAAAAUUGAGCAACUACAUUUUCCAAAUCGUCUUUUUGGAGAGAAGAAUUAAAGAAAACAACAAUCUUUUCCAAUUGCCCCAAAGAUAAUUGAGGUAGAGAAAAUAGAAACCAACCGUUUUUUUAUUUGUUUAUUUUUUUUUUUGAAGAAAUCAUCUUUUUUUCCAAUCAUCUUUAAUCUGGCUCCAAAAGAUUCUCUUUUUUCUUUAAGCAACGACUGACGAUUCAUAUUUUUCACUGAACUCUCACUGAAAAUUUGAAUUACAUGUUAUCUUUUCUUUAUUAUCUUUUCGUUAAUCUUAUUCUAUGAUUUUACUGAUUUGAAUUCUUUUUGCAAGAACUUGUUAAAAUUUGAAUUCAGGAUUGAGGAUUGAGAAAGCACGACAUAAUUUUCCUCCGGAGAAGUUGAACACUUACAAGUAAGUUUUUGUUUCCUUAACAUAUUUUUCUUCAAUAAUUUCUUUGAAUAUUCAAGAAAAUAUAAAUUCGUUUUUAAUAUUUUUUUCUCAACGUUCUGAAGAUGGAUUCAUCGUUUAUAAUUUAUAAUUACUAAUUUAAUAAGUGAAAUCAAUUAACUGUGAAGAGAUUUACUGUUAAGUGAAAUCAAUUAAUUGUGAAAAUGGGUUCACUGUUCAUAAUUUAUAAUUACUAAUUUGAUAAGUGAAAUCUACUAAUGAAAUUGAUUCAUUGAAUUUUUACUACCCUCUAACUCUCUUUUCAUUAAUUUGUGAUACACGGGUUUUCGAAGAAUCAAGAUUGAUUUAAUUCCUGUUACUGUUGUAUCUGCUGAAAGAAAAUUUUCAAAAUUGAAGUUAUUAAAAUCUUAUUUAUGAUCAACCAUUUUACAAGAACGAUUGAAUGGAUUCGUUUUGAUAUCUAUUGAGCAAGACUUUCUAAAAAAUAUUGAUUACGAAAGUUUAAUUAGUGAAGUUGCUUUUAAAAAUGCGAGAAAAAAUAUUUUUACAUACUUUGUAUCAUUUCAAGCUUUACACUUGACUUGAUUUAUAUAUUUGUUUCAAGGUUUGCUUAUAUGGAAUUGCACGAAGAGGUUAGUGGUUUGGAUGGUUCUUUGUUGAUGACACAUGAAUUUUGAUGAAGUUCGAGAGAUACUUUUGAGUUUUAUUUAUGUUUUUCUUGUUUGUGUAUGUUAAAAAAAAAAUAUUCAAAUAUCAUAUUUUUGCAAUGAAAUAAUAUUAUUGAAAUAUUUUUCUUUACUAUAUGUUUUAAUCACUUGAAGGGGGUACCAUUUUAAAAUUUCGCACAGGACAUCCAAAAUCUUAGGGCUAGCUCUGCUUGAGGCUGGCGUUUUGUUAAAGAUUUCCUCUUAUAAUUUUGUAGAAAAUAAAAAGCAAUGAAAAAUAAAUCCACUUGAAAAUAGGGUCAUCUCUAAAAGAUAAAUGUAUUAUCCAUUGAUUCCCAUUUUUCAGUUGAAACCCAUCUCCGUAGCAAGGCUAUGAUCCAAUCCAACCUUAAAAUUUCUCAAAUUAUCUUUAAAAAAAAAAAAAAAAAAUUUCACCACAUUUUUAACUCUACAAAUAAAGUGGAGUGUUGCCUAAAUAUCCAUUACAACAGCUAUGUAGAGGCAACCCUGAUGGUUCACAGAUGGUGCAACCGCACAAGGCCUCUACAUUACAGGGACACCAAUUUUUUUUUUUUUUAUUUGUGUAUUAUAAUUUUAAAAUUUAAUUUUUUUUUAUUAAAGGGACCAUGUUUUAAAAAUAUCACAUAGUACACCCAAAAUAUUAAGGUCAACGCUACAUCUAAGUACCACUGUGCAACUUCUCCAUUUCCUAGGUAUCAAAAAAUCUUCACCUCUACAACCACGUACUAUGUUAAUUGCUGAAGAUUAUAUUUACAGUCUGUUUGAGCCACAUUAUUUCAAAAAAAUACAUUUUUAAAUAAUAAUUUGACAUUAUUUCAAUCACACAUUCUUCAAUAAAAUAAUAAUACACAUAAAUAAAAAAAUUCCUUAUUUUUUAACCACACAUUUCCCAUCAAUACAUUAUUCAAGAAUGCAUUAUUACCAAAAUAAUGUUGCUCAAACACCCCCUCAGUAGCAAACAUGAUAGAAUAAAAUUCUGUGACAUACUUAGAUGAAAAUUAAUUCAAUACAGUCUGGCGUUCAAGUCAGACGAUAAAGUAUAUUGGGUGUGGAAGAGAUACAAUAGAUAAAGAUAUAGAUACGGUUUACCAAAACUUUCCUUCGAAGGAAAGGGCAGAGUAUUUAUAGGUGGAAGAAGCUCUAUCUGAAUGCUUAACACGUGACUUUAUUUUAAUACCUCAUUUCUCAUGCUUAAUUAUGUCAAUUUAUAGCCAUCAUAGGUAUGGCUUUCCAUAGUCAGAGUAUAAGCUAAAAACUAAGUAUCGUUGUUGCGGAGUUGUUACAUCAAAUAUUUUGUACGGUGUACUUUGGGCAACUUUGUCAAAGCAAGGCUUGUAGUAGAUGUUCAUCACCCUAGAUAUAUACUGCAGUGGAGAGGUGAUGCAUCGCCUCGAAUAACAAUAACAUUUUAAACAAUGCAUCUAAAAGUAUCCCAUGAUCGUAUCAAAAAAGGCAUGAAGAGGAGACGAUGGGAAUUUGAGUGUUUCCCUUGUAUAGCCUCUUCUUAUUUGGCUGUCAUGUGGCCCACAUUGUAGAAAAAUAUGUAACAAUAUCACUUUUAACAAAAUCUAUUCUCAAACAAUGGAGCUUAAAUAGGGUUACCAGUUUUAUGUUACUGAAAUUUUUUUCAAAAGCUCUGUUGAAAAUUAAUUUUUUUUUCUUUUUAUUAUUUUUUUAUUUUUAGGAGAGUUAGGGGCUAGAGAAUAAAUGUAUGUAAAACAAAGUUGUCAGAAUCAAAUGCUAAGAGAGCAAAUCUCUUUGCAAGAAAGAAGGAAAGGAUAAGGCUGCCAAAAUUAUGAUGAUGAUAGAAAUGGAAGCAAGAAUAUUCAUAAUAUAAGUGAAUUUCUUGGUCGUCCAUGCCGGAUUGAAGCUAUCUUGAACACACGACCUUACCUUUGUGAAGUUAUCAAUCCCUCAAUUCUAUUGUUUACUGGUGCAAAUUCAAUUUUUCCCGUGUUAGAAAUUUUCCUUUUUGUUAAAGUUGAAUAACAUCGUCUAAUAACAUUAGCUUAUAGGGAUAGGACAAAUUUAUUUACGGAAUUUCUGAAGAUCCUUGAGCAACUUGGAUUCAUUUUUCAAUUUAUGAGAUGUGCAUAAUUUUGCUCAUCAAACCACAUCAUCUAAAAGUUUAAGCUAGCAAUUAGGACACAAAUUUAUUUAUUUAUUUAAAUCUUCUUCGACAUUUUGGACAUGAAAUGUGAUUCCUACAACAAAUGUGCACACCUCCAAUUUAUUAAAUGAUAGACUACGAAACUGUAUUUUGAGUGGUAAUUGGUAUGCAAGAGUGGUUAACUAAUGGAUUUGUAAUUUCGACAUCUAAGUUCUGCAAGGCCAAUACAAACCGAUAGAUAGAACAUUUAUUUUUGUCUGCAUUAAGCAUCACAGGCUCAAUUACCGAGAAUUGCAUCCACUUUACACCUGUUACAAUGUGGAAGCGGAAUUGUCCAGAAAUUAAAUAAAAAAAAUUUUAAUUAAAUAAACAAGAUCGUUUAUGUGACAUCUCUAAAAUAUUUUUAGGGAAAAAAAUUAUUAUCUAUUCUAUAUAUUAUAUUUGAUUAUUUUGAAAAUGACGGACUUGGAUGAAGUAUAUUUUAAAUUAUUAUAUUCUUGAGGCAAAUAAUUGGAUUUUGAUAGAGUGAUGAUAAGUCUAUCAAUAUUACACUCGUUGGAGAGCCCGUAUCUAAUUAUGUAUUUUAGGCUCGAGAAAAAGUUAAUUCUAAUAAGUUUGGCUCAAGAUAUUGAAGUUUGUAGAAGUUGUUAUUUAAUUGGAAUUAGAAUUUACCAACUUUUAAAAGGGGUAGCCACGUGUGCUCUUCUAUAGAGAUAAGGUGGUGGAUAUGAGAUUGUAGUUAAUUGUUAUUUUAUCACAUUUUGAUGAUGAUUAAUGUAAAUUGAUAAUUAUAAUCCUAUUUUGAGAUAAUUCAACUUCGGAUAUUGUUACUAAAUUAAAUUAAAAUAUUAGUCCUUACGUUUAUUUUACCUGCACUACAUGAGUGGAUAAGGUGAUUGGGAUAUUUCUAAUUAAGCAAAAUCCAAAUUAAAACUAAUCUAGAACUUAUCAUAUGAAUUAGAUAAAUUUUCCAUCUCCUGCUUGGCCAUGCGUUUAAAGAUUUAUUGGUUUUAAAAAUUAUUUUCACCAAGUAGAGAUUUUACAGAGAUGAGAUAAAAUUUUAUGAAGUCAUUUUUAUCCUAUAUUUUGAUAAAGGAUAAAGGUUUAAAUGUAAUCUUAUAUGUGAGAUAUUCAAGUACUAUCAUACAUGUGUCAUAUCAUGGUUUGGGUUAUCAAAAUUUAAAGUUUAUCUAAGUGGUACACGUUUUCCCCACCGUCAAAAUUGUACCAUGACUCAACUACCAUUUUUUUAUUAUAAAUAAUGUGCAUUUGUACUUUGAUUUUCCACCAAGAAAUUUUUACAUAUCAGACAAUAGAGAGAGAGAGAGAGAGAGAGAGAGAGAGAGAGAAUAAUUUUGAAGAUUCAGUCACCAAAAUUUUGACGCAGUCGAGAAAGUAGAAUAUGGGGGUGUUUGAUAGAUAUUUUUAUGUAAAAAUACAUUUUAGAAUAGCAAAUUGAUGUGAAAUGUGUGGUUGAAAAAUGAAGAAAAGUUUUUGAUUUACGUAUAAUAUUAUUUUAAUAAAGAAUGUGUGGUUGAAAAGAAGAGAGAGAAAAAUACUUUUUGAAUAAAAUAUGAAUGAAUUACCUGCAGACAUUCAUUUUUUUAAAAGAAAUAUGAAAUCCUACAGGAUUAUAAGAAGGCCUAAGAUGGGUGUCACUUGGUCACGGAAUUACUCCAUAAGAUCAAAGUGGUAUGAAAUGCAUAAUUUUUAUUGUUAUAUAUUUGUAUAUGAAAAUUGCACGUAUCUUAUUGGGUGUUUUUGAAUACUCACUCUUACAAAUUUUUAAAGGUUAGUUCGGGUUGAUUGAAGUUGUGACGAAUUGGUGACGCGGACAGCCAAGUGAAUCGAAGAAAGGAAAAAGAAAUUAAAUAUUUAGUUUGCUUUUUUUUUUCUGUAAUUCUAAAUUAUUUGCUAGUUUUAUUUGCUCAAAGACUCUUUUGGUUAUUUUAAAUUGAUAUUUAUGGUUGAAAAUAAAGAAUUUCCUUUUAUUUAAAUCGUUCCACAAUUAUUAUAAAAGAAAACAGCGUUUUUCUUAACAUCCUGGCGUUUUUGGAAAUUUAGGACGUUGCAGUUUAGAUGUUCACGUAUAUGUUAAAUCAAGGAUAAAGAAUUUGAAUUUUUACCUAAAUUGAUGAUUAAUUAUUUAAUUAAUUCAAAUCACGAACUUCCACCUUUUUGGAUCAUAGACUUCUAGCUUUUAAUUACAAGAACUUGAUACAUCAAAUCUCCAAGUCUUCUACUGUAUUCUCCAAAAUCAAAACUACACCAAUGAGUGGGCGUUUUUUUUUUUUAAUUAUAUCAAGAAACUAAUUUUUAAACUGACAAUUGAAUAAAAGCAAGAAAAAUAAUAUUCUCUCUUUUUUCCUCUCUUCAAUUUGAACACUGUGGAUUUAUGUAAUAUGAUUAGAAAUUCUAGGUUCUAUAUAAUCUCUAAUUAUAGAGACAGAAUAGUUCUAAUUCUUGUACAAUAAUAAUUUCACAUUCAAAUAAGAGUUCUAAUUAAAAUCUAAGUAGGAGUUUUACCUAAAGUCCAAAUUCAAUUAGUACACAUUUAAUUACAUGUGUAGUCCUAAAACUUUAUAAUUAAGUUUACAAAUUUCAUAAUAAUUAUAACUAAGUACAAAAUUUUAUUGUAAUUAUAGUUAAUCUCAAAAUUAUUAUAAUUACUAUAAUUCAAUUCCAAUAAUUUAUGGAGCUGACAUAGGGACCUGAUAUAACAUAUAUUAUCCAAACUUCAAUAAUUAGAUCUGUCUAGUAGACUUUAGACCACCCAAUCUAAUUAUUAGUCUUUACUUUUUCACCAAAGACACAGAAACCAAUAAAUUUGUAAUGAUUUCCUCUAACAUGUUGUAUAUGUAUUUUAUCCUCGUCCGAGAUUUAAUAAUUAGGUAUGAGCAUAAAUGACCGUUUUGCCCUUUUAUUUAUUAUCACUAGCUUAAGUAUCAUUUUCUUCAACGAUUAUGUAAACUAAUCACAGAUGUCGAAGUUUAACUGUCGCUAAACACUUAGCUCAAAUUUUAACCAUUCAACAAUAAAUACUUAAGUAAUCACUCUACCCAUUUUUCAAUGUGACGAUUCUCGACACGAAUUCUCUACCUUGCUUAUUUUCGAAUUCUUAGCUCAUCAAGACAUUUAACCAAUCAAAUUAAUAUCACCCAUUGAUGAUCAAAGAACCACUAAAAUCACGAAAAUAUAUACAUAACACUAUUAAGGGAUUUAUAUGAAAUACACAGCGAUCAAGUGAAACUUAAUUCUUCGCACGGUCAUGCUAUAGGAAUUAAAUUUGACACGUGAUCCGUUCAAUAGACUCCAAGUGUACUAGUGCCACCUUUAACUAUUUUUGUAAUAAGGACAAAUCACAAACGUGAAUAGUGAAUCGGUCAAUAUUACAACCUUCCAGUACAAGGUGUCAACCCUUAUACAUUGAUAAUGAACAAAUUAUUUAUGAUCAAAAUAUAAGUUGUGUCACCCUAUAUUUCUCAACGCAAGUAUCCAAUUUAUAUUAUCACAAGUGAUUAUAGGCACUUUAAUUCACAUGCUUAAUAAUAAAUAAAUGCAAUAAAUAAAAUAAACACAUUUUUAUUUAAUAUAACAAUAUUGUUAUUUUUACAUCAGCAAAACUAUACUUGAUAUAUUUGAUAGGUUGAUAGGAUCCAAACCUUAGCAUGCCAUUUAGAAAUCCAUUCGUUAAUAGGAUUCAAUUAAGUUACCGUUGCCAAUUAUGAGUUGAUGCAUGGUCAAAUGACAGCCUCUGUAGCUUCACACACUUGAUAUAUUUGAUAACUUGUUAAACUAUUAAUAUGGGUUGCAGUGAGGGUUCCGAAGUAGUAGAAUGGUAGAAUGACCACUUUUCAGGUAUUAUCGGCAUUAAUAUUUUUCUUAAUUUCGAUGAAUUUAAAUGAAUUAAGGAGAAUCUGCAAUGAUUUCAAUGAUGUUUGAAAAGUCUAUAUCAUCAUGGACGGUUAACAUCUGGGAGAUUCAAGUAUAAAAGUUUUGCAUAAUUUCAUUGAAUAUGCCUCUAGCUUUCAUACCUAGAAUAUUAUGCUUGAAUGCUUAAAAGAUUUAUCCAACUUUAGGGUUUCAUUGUAUUGUAUAAAGUAGCCACUUAAAUACUUCUCUCUUGUACUCAUAUUUGAUAUAGUAAAAAUUAUUUUCUUACAUUUUUGUGAAUUACAAGUACUUGAGAGUGCAAAUGAAGUAAACCCAAUUUUACUUGUGGGUCAUUUGGCAUUCACAUAUUAUAACUAUUUUACUUGUGGACUAAAUUACGUAUAUUGAACUAGAGAAAAAGUCGAUUUGAAUAUACGGAGACCAAUAUCAUUCUAUCCUAAGAUAUCAGGACUUACUAUUAAUUAUUAAGAUAUUUUUCCCAAAAUCAAUAUUGCUAGAUUGAGUUUUAACUAUAUAGGGAUUUAAUUCCCAAAAUAAAUUACACACAUCUACAUUGAAUUCCCAAAAUAAAUUACAUUGAACAAGUAAUCACACUCCAAUAAUUUCCUGAAACCAUCAGUCUUCAUAAUUUCCUGAAACUAACUCAAAUCUCCACGCAUUAAAGAUUGAGUCAAUAUGUUAAAUAUUGUAAAUAAAUAUGAUUAAAUAAUUAAAAUUAAACAUAUCUGAUUUGUUUACCAUACAACGUAAAUGGAUAUAAAGACUUCAAAGGGGUAUAACAUAUUCAAAGUCUCCAACUAAACCUAGUCCUCGUAUCCUCAACUUAUCAAAAAGUCAAUACCUUUAAGGUAUGUGCUAAAGAAAGGCACGAGCGUUGACAACCCCACCAUCUAUACAUUUGACACUUGCCUUGAUGAUUAAGAAAAUGCCUGAUCAUCAUUUACUAAAACUCAUAAAAAUGUUUAUAUCAUCUGCCAAACUCAAUUAUUUCAAAAUUUAUUUUCAAUCAUGUAUUUCAUGGAAUUUACAACUUUUACCAAUUUUCCCUUCAAAUCUUACCAAAGCUAAUUAGGCAACGGCUUAAGGCCUUAGAUAUUUGAGGGACCUCAAAAAUAAACCAUUUGUUCUCUGGUUCUUGCAGACAGUGGGAACAUAUCUUGUUAUUGCAAAUUAUCGCAUGACAGGAAUGACCUUUAUGAUUUGCUAAAGAAAUGAAGGUACUUUCCUGGGUUCUUCAUUUUGCUUUAUUUCCACUCGUCAUUCAUUUACCAAUACGGGUUGACUCCCUUUCCUAGAAAAUAUGCUCAUGCCAAUUUCCUAAAUUUGUGGAUUUAAUUGAAACUCAAAAAAGUUUAACCAUAUUUUCUUACCUUCGUUUCAGUCGAUGAUAAUCUUUGUCAAAUUUUUAAUUUGUGGAAUCACAUACACAUUGAAAGAACAUUUAGUCCAACCUAUCCUUUCCAUCCAAUCUCAUCUUUUUAUUGACAUACUUUAUGUGUUGGUUGGACAAUAAAAGAAAAUAUUAGAUAGCGUUAAAGAAUAAACAACCAUCACAAAUUCACGACAUAUUUAUAGAAUACUGCCAAAGAAAUCCAUUUUAAGGAACUUUUAAUCACUUCCAAACAAGCUCUUAGCUCUAAACAUUUUUCAUGAGCUCGAUUUAUAAUACUAAUUAAACAAUAAAAAGAUAUUAAAACUUUUUCCAUAGUAAUCAACAUUUUUGUCCAGCACUAAGCAUGGCUCCUAAAUAUGAUAUGACAGUAAACAUGUGGGCCUUUCCUGUUUUAAUAGGAAUCCUCAUCUUUGAGAAUUAUGUUAGUUGUUAUUAUGUCCUCUGAGCAUGUUUCCUCAAGAAUCAAUAGAAAAUAGCUAUUUAUUUUUAUUUUAUUUUUUCAUUUUACUCAAACUCGUGUAUUUCAUGUUGAACUGCCUCGUAUAGAAAUUACAGGAGAUUAAGUUAUGAGAAAAAAGUUAUGUUUAAGGGCCUCGUAUUUACUAAUACAUUGUUCUUCAAGGAUCAAUAGGUGAAAAUAUCAUACCUGAGGGCCUCAUCAUAAUUAUUUGCUAGCCCCGAGAAACCGACCCCAAUAGUCCCUUUUCUAGGAACCACCUUGGUGAGCCUUUCUUCGUCAACGAAUUUAGCUCACAGAUUCGCCUCACUUUCUCCACCAACAAGCCUAGUUUGCAGCUCUGCCUCACCGAGUGACUCCAACAAGAUACAUCAAGGUUAACAAAAUGUAGCUCACAUGUAGCAUCCAUGUUGGAUGAGGUUCAAUCAUUUUGAGCCACUUUCAACGAGCCUGGAAGGUUGUUACUACGUAGAUGAAUAUGUGGAUCGCUAGAUUCUGACAUUUGCUCAGCAGAUUAGCACUUUGAGGACGACAGGAUUCAAACAACCCAGUUUGACACAGAACAACUUAUUAAGCAACAGGAAAUCUCUUUCAAUGUGGAUGAGGAAUUUUAUUCAGCAACAUAGGUGGUGUGCUCUAAACUGACUGCAAGGAGCCAAUACUCAUCCAACAAUCUUGAAACCAAUACUAAUCUCGGCAAGUUUAAUAAAUAUUUUGGGUUUCCUUUGGAGUCCCAUGUCCACUCCGUUGUGGCGCAACUCUGGUGCCUAUCCCGCACCAAGAGUGCCUCAACAGCUGAAGCUGGAGGUGAGGGUCCGCUAGAGCUGCCUCCACAACAGUUGCUGGAGGCUGGAGGUUGCGGUGUACCCAGAAACCUCAAAAGUCAUAGUUGGAGGUUGAAUUUUGGUUUAGAUAUUUUAUCGAUCGCCUGAUGGACGAAGUAGCGCUGAGAUUUUAUGAGAACAAAUAAAGGCUUCCUCUAAUCCCAUGCUCAACACAAUAUCCCAAUUAUGCCCGUUUUAGAAUAUCCGCGUCCUACGUAGGUUCGGAGCCGUCGGAAGCGACUACCACUGCGCCUGCCUCGACGGCAUUCAACGGAGGCUACGGAAGCCACGGCGGCGGUGGGAGCACCGGGGCUAGAUCUUGGCCCAGUGUUCAGUCUAACACGAAGAGUUGUAAUUGGUCCGGCGAGAUCAAGGAGGAUCGAGAUCGAGUGGCAUGUAGGUCGCAACGCCGGUGCUACGGGAGCCUCUGUGUCGGUGGGAGCACCAGGGCUAGAUCAUGGCCCAGUGUUCAACACCGAGACCAAGGGGGAUCGAGAUGGAGAGGCAUGUUGGUCCGUCGUAGCCGGACUGUUUUAACGACUAUGGAAGCGGUUCUCAUCAGUAGGAUUUUAGCGAAAAUUAUGGAGUUUUGACCGUUACUCACCAAAAUUUAUAGCAUUGCAGCUGCAAUUAUUGACCAAAUUUUUAUAUACCAUUUUGACAUUUAAUUUAUUCCAUUUGACUGAAGGGCAUUUGUGGUAAUUUAACAAAUAUUGAAUCAUAAAAUUGGGCCGAAAGAGGUGAUCGACGUUUCCAAACAACUCAAAUUUUCCUAAAAAUCUUGUCAGAAUAGCUUCCAAAUAAACGGUCAAUUAAUUAUUGACGCAUAUUAAUUUAAUGGAUUAGUAGUCAAGUUAAUGAUGAAAAUUUUGAGAUAACAUGUUAAUUAUUGAUGACAUAUUAAAAAUUAAUUAAAAGGACAGCAAAAUUGGAUAGCAAAUUUCGACUCUAUUUUUCAAAAAGGGCAGCAAACUUUAUUAUUAUCUCACUUUAAUAAAUGGGGACAAUAAAAUGAAUUAUCAAAAACUAAAUAAAAAGGGGUACGUGAACGGGCCAACACCCUAUCCUGCCUUGCCUUUCAUUAUUAUUUUGCAAAUGAAUCCUAGUAAAUUAUUAAAAUGAUAUUUAGCACAAAACAUCCCUAACUUUCAUUAUUAUUAUGCAAAAUGUCCGUAUCUUUUAUUUUUUAACAUUUUCACCAUUAUUUUUAUAUUUCAUUGCCAAAUCGUUAUUUUCAUCAAUUUUCUCAAUUGAAAGCUGUAAAAUAACAAAAAUACGCUCCUAUUUAAAUAAACAAAAAUAAAGAAAUGAAAAAUAAAGAACAAAUUGUAGCUAUUCUCCCAAAAUUUUCAAAAUAAUUUUCAAAUAAAUAAUUAAAAAACAAAAAUCACUUUUUUAAUUAUUUAUUUGAAAUUGAUUUGUAUUUUUUUUGAAAAUUUUGGAAAUAUAAUUGCAAUUUGUUCUUUAUCUUUCUUUAUUUUUAUUUUUAUUUGGCUUAUUUAAAGAAAAGUGUAUAUUUGUUAUUUUAUAGCUUUUAAUUGAGAAAAUAGAUGAAAAUAACGAUUUUCGCAAUGAAAUAUGAAAUAAGGGUGAAAAUGUCAAAAAAUGAAAGGUAUAGACAUUUUGCACAAUAAUAAUGAAAGAUAUGGACUUUUUUUGUUAAUUACCCUUUUAAUAAUUUAUUUGAACUAACUUGCACUUUUUAAAAAAAGUUUAAGAGUAUAAUUAUAAUUUAUUCUUUAAUUUUUCUUUUCUUUUUUAUUAUUUUAUUUAAAUAGGGGGUAUAUUUAUCCUAUUACACGAGAAAUUUGAUGAAAACAAUGAUUUACACAAUAAAAGGUGAAGGUAAGGGUGUGCCAAAAAAAAAAAGAUAGAGACAUUUUACACAAUAACAUUAAAAGAUAAAGAUGUUUUGUGCUAAUUACCAUUCCUAGAAACAUCCAAAUGAACCAAAGAUGGUUGGUGUUAAAGCACAAAGGGAAAAUUUCAUAUAUUCUAGCGUAAGUAUAGGUGAUUUCAAAACUAAGAUGACAAGUUUGAAUUUGCAAAAAUCAGAAAUAUGGUAGUAACAAUCAAUUAGUUUUCUAAAAAUCAAUGUCCACUUACCUUCAAAAGCCGGAUUCCAUAUAUUAUCCCAUAUGGAGAGAGAGAGAGAGAUGAUUCGUUACAGUUAGUCCCUAAAAUCAAGCAUCCAGAUUCAACUCCCUAAAAUACUGAUUUAAAUCCCUCAACCACAUAAUUAAUUAAUUGUAUAAUUUAUUAAUUAAAUAUAUUAAGGUCACAUAUCUAUAUAAUUUGAUCACAAAUUCAUAAUUUAGUUAGUCACAUAUUAUUUUCUGAUCAUAAAUCAUAAUUUUUAAAUAUCAUAAAUUAUUUUAUAGUUACGAUUCAAAAUUUUAUAGGUCACAAUUUGUUCAUCUGUCACAAAUCAAAAAUUAAUACGUCACAAUUUAUGUAUCGGUCACAGAUCACAAGGUCACAGCUUAUUAGAAGGUCAUAAAUUAAUAUAUUUUUUUAGGUCACAUUGGUCACAAUUUAUCUUCAUUCGUCACAUAUUAUUUAUUGGUCACAGAUUAAUCAAUUCAAUGAUCACAAUCAAACAAAUAAUAUGUGACCACCCCAACCUUUAUGAAAACCACUGCCCCCAAUAGUAUCACCGUCAUCAUUGCCUUCAGAACCACCACGAGCACCGACAGCAACAUCGUCUCCUCCCUGAUAUACUCCUGCCCAAUGCUAGAUCGAAACCUAGAACUUAGCCAAUAUCACCAACAACUCACAUCACAGCCAUUACCAUCGCCAACAUCCCCACCACCACAGUCUCACCACCAUCAUGAUUAGCACUGACGUUUUCGCCACAACACCAUAGCAAACCACCACACACAAAAAAAUCCUGAUGAGCAGUAGCACUUUUGGGGAGGAAAAGCCGUGCUGAAACUACAUUUUCCGAAGAGCGAGAGAGAGAGAGAGACGACGGGUGGAGAGGAGAGAGGAGAAAUUGGAAAGGAAAAGCUGCGCUGAAACGACAUUUUUCGGGAGGGGGGGAGAGAGAGAGAGAGAGAGAGGACGGGUGGAGAGGAGAGAGAGAAAAUUGGAGAGAGAAUAAAUUAAUUGGAGAUGAUCGGUGGAGAGAAAGGACGGGUGGAGAGAGAGAAUACAAUUAAUUGGAGAGGAGAGGAAUUGGAGGGAGAAUAUAAUUAAUUGGAGAGAGAAGACAGGUGAGAGGAGAAAUUGAUUUAUAUAAUUAAUAUUUAAAUAUAAAAAUUUUGAUUUUUGAAAUGUUAAACUACUCAUCUUAUUUUUGAACCCUAGAUUUUAAUUCUAAGGUUUUUUGUAAUUAACACAAGCACAAAUUGGCAAUGUUGUACCGAUUCGACCAAUAAAAUUGGGACCGGCCCAAAACAUUGCAAAUUGGACGUCAUAAAUAAUUCCGAAGCACUAUCACAUGCUGACACUUUCAUAGGUGGGCCUGAAAAAUGAUGCAAAUGCAAUUAGGAGUGGGUGCGGUCCGAUUUGGCUCGAUUUCAAAGGAAACCGAAUUGAACUAAAUACCAAUAGGAAUUUUAGAAAUGGAACCGAACCAAUCGGUUCCGAUUCGGUCCGGUCUGGUUCUUUACAUUGAAAACGUCAAAAUAAAAUGUUCACUAAUAAAAAUUCUAAAAAUGCUACCAAUGUGAUACUUUUAACAAAAUAUAGAAGAACUGAACAUACUAUUCAAAGAUCUAUUUAGGUAUAAAUUUACAAAGUGAAACAAAAUAAUAAUCAUGUAAUCAAAGUGAAAACAAAAUAAAAAUUUCGUAUCUUAUAAAUGAAAUUAUAUAUUGUAAAUAAAUUUAUUUAGAUAUAGAUUUACCCAAUAUUCUAAUUUGGUUUGAAAAUCAAUUAAUCAAAGAAUUAUAAAAAGGGCGAAGAAAAAGAUUCUAAAAUUAAGAAGGAACCCAAUUAUUUUUUUAUAAAAAUAAAAGUGUUGGAGAUUGAGUAAUAUAUUUUACCAAAAAAAAAAAUCCAUUGAGAACCGUCUGGUCCCCACAGUUCCCAUACUAGAAUCGGGAACCGGAUCGGAACUGGUCGAUUCUUAAAAAAUUUUCUCGAAAUCAAAUUUUUUUUUAGAAGAUCCAGAACCGAAUCGGCCAAUUCUAAACGAUUCUAGUCCGGUUCCACCGGUUCUGAGAAAAAGUGCCCACUCCUACAUGAAAUGGCAAUAAUCCAGUAUCCAAAAAGAUGCAGUCAAUUUUGAUUGAAAAUGGUAAAAAUUCAAAAUCAGAGUAAUUUUGGAUUGAAGAUAUGGAUUUAAGAGAGCUUGAGAUAUGUGGAAGACUAUUUCAAGGUGUGGAGUCAUAAGCCAAAACUAUUGAUGGUCGUCUCUUCAUAGUUAAUUAAAUCUUCUUUUGUUUUCCAUCAUUACUAAAGAAAUAUGUUUCCGAUAGCGUUCAUUUUGAAACAUAUCUUAUCUUCUGUCUUUCUAAUUCUCUAUCUGAAGCCAAAGAGUAGGGAUAGCAAAAAAACUCCCUUUAAACCUGAUAUCCGUGGGCCCUGUUCCAAACUAGGUGGGUAUUACCCGCUUAAUCAACUAUUCAGGUUGGGUUCGGGUCGAGAAAUUUUGCCCCGAGGCUGGUACGGUUAACACCCGCCUCCAUCCCACUUAUUUAUUUAUUUAAGAAUUCAGUACUUUAAAUCAAAAAUCUCACGAAAUUUCAUUAAUUCUACUAAAAGACGACAAUUAAGAUUCUUUAAGUAAUACGAAAAACAAUAAGAACCUUAAUUUAUCAAAUAUAUUCUAAUAAUUUAACUAUUAAAAUAAAUUAAUUAAUUAAAAAUUUAAUAACUAUAUUAUUAUCUCACUUUAAUGAAUGAAGAUAAUAAAAUAAAUUAUCAAAAACUAAAUAAAUAUAAAUAAAAAAAAGAGUACGUAAACUAGACAAGUCCCGCCCUGCCUUAAACGGGUAAUGGGGCAAGAAAUUACCCAGCGUGGCAGGGUCAUUGCCAUCCCUACUAGUAGAAUAGUUUCUCUUGCAGGCACAGAAAACUAGUAAUAUUAUCCAUGUCAAAUUUUUUUCCUCCUUCAAAAUUUCCUUAUGUUCUCAUUUUUUAGUAAAACAACAAACUAAAAUGCCAUAAAAAUAUUUAAUCGUCUCAAUUAUUAAUUCUUUUCUCUAUUUUUUUUAUCUCAUUUAUAUUGAUAUUAGAAGUGGGUCGAAUAAAAUUUAAUUGUAAUCAAGUUUAUUAAUUAAUUUUUAUUUCUAUAUAUAAGUCAUUUUGAAAAAAAUAACAUAUUUUGUCAAAAAAAAAAUAUGCAUACAUACACACGCACGUGCGCGCACACACAUAUAUAUGUUAUUAACAGUUAGACCUCGAUUUAAUCUUUCAAUCCUUGAUCCUUUAACUUUUUCGGAUAUAUGGCUAGGUUUUUUUUUUUUCAAAAUAUUGGAUAUUGUAAAUUUUUUAUUUUUUUAUUUUUUCCAUAAUCACCAGUAUUGUCCAACCAACACAUAAUGAAUGUUGAUUCGUUGAUGCAAAGAUGCCAUUGAAUCAAAAAAAAUGGGGUGGAUAGUAUGUUCUUCCAAAUAAACACGGUAUAAUACAAUUCAAAGAUUCUCAUUGACCUGAUAUGAAGGCAAGCACAUGUGGCCAACUUUUUGAACUUAUAUUGGUAAAUGAACAAUCAUGCUACUUGUACAAUGAAUUUGACAAUGUGUGAGUUGACAAGCAUCAUAUUCAUUGAUUUGAAAAAUUGUUUCUAAAUUCAAUUGCUGGGAUCUUUACACUUUACACAUUUUCAAACUCAUUGUAAAUAGUCAUUGUACAAAUAGAUUAAUUCUUAUACGAAUGACUGCAUGGAAAUAAAACGAAAGGAAGAAACCAAGAGAAGUACCUUCAUUUUCUUGAGCAAAUCAUAACCAGCAUUCCUUUCACGCGAUAAUUUGUAGAGCAGUGAUUCAGAACCCGGGAUUAAAUCCCGGGUUUUAAUCCAAGGCCUCGACCUCGGCCCUUGAUCUUAAUCACACGGGGCCCGCAUGAUUCGCAUUGGGGGCCGAGGUUUUGCCACCUUGGCCCUGGCUCCAAACCCGAGAUUUUAUCCUUGUUUGAGCAGCAAUUUCCUAAUUUGUAAUACAAGAUUUCUGGUUUUGUAACAAAAUUAAUUGACUGAUGAUGAUUUGUCAGUAAAUAAUGUAAUUAAAAUUGUAUAUUAAAGGAAGAAAAUUAUAUAAGUAAUCAAACUAAAAUUAGAAAAUAAUGUUUUAUAUUGGUUAUGUUAUAAAUAAUUUAAAGUAUAAAACGAUUUAUUGAGCAAUAGAUGAAAAAUAAAAGAAGUAAAUAAAGAAUAAUUUUUUUUGUCGACAAUAAACUACCAAAGUAAUGUCGAUGAUUGCCACAGACAUCAUGAUCGAUAACUGCUUACCGAAGUGGGUUGGUGAAUUAGGAAUCACUUACAGUAUUGAUGAUAUUUCAUCUCGAAUUCUGCUAGAUACCAUAAGUGAUCAUUAAUGUUUGGCAAACUAAAUUUUUUUAUGAUAGUUUCGUCAAUAAAUAAAGUAGUUAAAAUUUAAUAUUAACAAAUAAAUAUUAUGUUGUUAAUACAAUUAAAACUUGAAAAUAACAUAAAAUUAAAAAACCAAAGAUUUCAUAAGUUACUUCAAAAUAAUAAAAGAUGUAAAAAGAUGCUUCCCUACCGCAUGAUUAAUGACCAAAGCACUGUCGAUGAUUGCCACUUACGUAAUUAUCAUCGAUAAAUGUGGAAGGAGAUAGAGAUGUGCCGACAAUCAUCAAUGGUAUCGUUGUCAAAAGUUCCAACCACAUUAUGUACGAAGUUUUCGUUGGUGAUUGUAUGUUCCAUUAAUUUUAUUAUUAUCAUCAUGGUAAUUAUAUGUCUUUUCUUUUUUCGAAUUAUUAAAGUAGUAGAUUUGUUAUUGGGUGCUUUUAAACUUCAGUUAGCUUUUACUGUAAAAUGCGAUAUAGUGGAUGUUAUGUUAUCUGCUUGAAUUUGUAAUAAUCACAUUUGGUUUCCUUAAAGGUGAUGAAGCUGAAGUAAUUUCCCAACGACCAUUCAAUGGUAUAUUACAUUAAAUUCCAUUAUUACGAUAUCUGGUAAACCUAUUUGUUUCUCAUUCUUUUCCCAUUAAAAUGAAAAAUAUGAUUAUUAUCCGUCACAUCAAACCACCAAAUUUGAAUUUCUAUAUCUUGUGUGGAGUCCAUAACGACUAUAUUUUUCAUUCUCUUCUUACAAAAAUGAGAAACAAAAAGGGCUAGAUGUCUGCUUUGCAUUGAAGUCCAGGAUUGGAUAUGAGAACACCCCCUCCCCCCCCCAACAAAAACAAAAAAAUAAAACAAAAACAAAAACAAAAAAAACUCUUACAAAUGAAGUGGAUGUUGAGAAUUAAAAAUUCUUAUUUCAUUCUACCAAGAGCAAUCAAUUGAAGAAAUAAAAAUAAACACUCAAAAGCAAGCAAAAUAUAUAGAGUUUCGCCUCAACGUGAAACUACGUCUUCUCAUGUCGGUACAGUAACUCACUAUGAUGAAAAAAAGGUUUACAAAAGCACUCCUAUUAUCUCUCUCUCUCUCUUUAUAAUAAUUAUAAAGUCAAACCACGGCUCCCUAUUUAUAAAGCAUAUAAAGGCAAAAUCGAAUUUUACAAUAACUCCAAUUCCUUAAUAAAAUUUUACAAGAAUACAAAUAUCUAAACAAUUCUUAGAUUAAAUUUUGGUUAGGGCAUCUCCACCCCCCACCCCUGGGGCCUCCUACUCCCUUCCAACUCCCACGGCAACCUCACCACAGAGAUUGAUCAAUGCUAACUUCAUGAAAUAACAAUAAUUAUAAUCGAUAAUAAUUAAACUCCUUAACUUAACAGUGAAUGAUUACUCAAAUUCGGCAAGUGAUGUGGUAAUGGUACAUGCAAGUACACUUCUACAACGAAUUUUGGUGGUGAUAUGCAAGAGGAGGUAUGUUUUUAGAUGAAUUAUAAGAAACGGAUCGAAUAUUUGAAUUUUUGUGUUGCACUGUCUUAUUCAUUAAAGCAUGUAUUUAUAGACCAAAAAAGCAGAGCGAAUUCCAUUUCAUAUUUGAUUAACUCAAUAGGUAAUGAAAUUCAUUAAUUUGAUUUUCAAAAUUAGUCCUUUGUUUAGACAAGUUGAUUCACAAAGUAAUGUGUGUCAAGUACUUCUAUCAUGUGUUCAUACAUGGACCAUUGAAAGGGCGAACAAGGCAGUGGAAUGAGGGGGACCACCAUAACAGAGGAGAAUUUGAUUUCAUAAUUUGAAAAAAAGGGGCCGAAGUAUAAAAAAAGGUGGGCAUGAGUAAAAAUGCUUAAACGAGAAACUUAGCCACAACUGCUUUAUAUACUAGAAAAAGAUGUUACAGUUUAAAUAACAAGCUUUACAAACUACGAUAACGAGUAAAAAGUCUAUGCACCAUUUGUGCAACACAAGUAAAAUACAUUGAUAUAUCAAUAUUCAAUUGUAUGAAUAGCGAAAGCUAGAACAGAGUUUGGGUUAUCUACUCUAGCUUACAUUUGGCAAUGGAUCCUUUUUGCCACACAUUGCCAAGAAAAAUUUAGAGACCGACCCAGUGUGAGCGAACAUUGGAGUUGUGCAUAGAAGACGCACUUGGAGAUGUCACACGCCAUUCGUACCAAACCAAUGAUAAUUAAAUUAAAUGCAAUUAAUAUCGGGUGAGACAUAAAGAGUUAAGUAAUUCCAAACCUAUAUUCUCUGUUUCUUGCCCAGUGUUUUUAUGCAUGUCCUAGGACUAAAAGGACAUUUCAAAAUUAGAUGGAUUAAACCCACCAACCUAAAACAAAUUCUAAUUCACUUCUUGCCCAUAGAGAAUAAUAAUAAUCAUUUUCAGCAGCAAGUAUAUAAAUUGCCCGUAUAUCCAUUACUUAAGGCUACGCAACAUAAAAAUUUAUUUAGAUAAUUAGCAUAUAAUUUAAAUUAAACAUUGCAAACACAUUGGGACAGAUAUUAUUUAUCUUAGGAUUCCAAAGUGGAGAUGAUCAUCUGACAAGUUAAUAGCACCAACUCUACUUUAUUAUAGGUCUCUUAGUGCAACGCAUGACUGAGAAUUCUACAAGUGCAAGAUUCAAUUUAAUUUGAGCUUUUAUCUCAUUUCAAUCGCUUUAACAUUUUCAACACUACAUAAUCAAGAAUCGAUGGACCUCCAAAUGAGUAUUCCGUGUCACGCAAACUGGCUCACUCAAUAGGAAAAAUAUUGGAAACCUACAGAAAUCGAAGCCAACCAAAAGAGAACAAUCAUCUCAUGGAUAAUAUAUUCACUCCAAUGUACAAUUUCUUUCAUGGUGCAUUUUAUGUUUUGAUAGAACUUUUUCGAUUGAAUUUUCACUUUUUCUUUAUUGUGUGGUUGGGGGAGAGUAGGAGGGUGUCUUAUAUUUUAGUGGCUUUAAAUAGUAUCUUUACUAAUGAAUAUGGGAUCAACGCAUACCAAAACCAACUGUACCUAUAGAUACGAUAAUAGGCAGAAAUAUUUGUCCAUAAUUUUGCAUGAUUAGCAUUCAUCAUAUAGCAUUACCUUAGAUUUUUGGAAAUAUUCAUGAAGGAAAAUAUUUGGUGUUGCUGUUGAUAGUUCAAUAAACCAUUUGACACAAACACCAACUAAAAGAAUAUCUCAAUGGUCGCCAUCAGCUACAUGAUGUCAUUGGAAGUAUAUUUUCUUGAUUAACAAAAUCAACAAUUUACGCUUUAACCUCUCUACAUUCCAGGACAUGUUGUUCUUGUCCAUUAUGUCAUCUUUUCCAACACUGAUUUGACUACAUGAUUGCCAACCAUGGCCUUGGCUUGGAAAAUGAAACACUUUGUCAACAAAUAUGAAUACAACGCAACUGAUAAAGCUAUUGAUAUUAGCCUUCUUCAUCACUAUGGGCAAAGCUUGCAUUGAGCCCAUAACUAGCUAUAAUCAUCAUGUGGUGACUGAUAGGUAUGUUUUUGCACACUCAUUUAAUGUCUAAAUAAAUUUAAAUAUUAAUUAAUUGAGCAAAUUUCCAUUCACAAUUAUGUAAUUAUUGCAUUUGUAAGUAAAAAUCACCCAAGGUAAUAGAAGAGGUAAAAGGAAGUGAAAAGGGACCAAAAGCGUACAAAAUUGUGAAGUUGGGGACCAAAAUGCAUAAGUGCCAAAAGUUCAAGGACUUGGAAUUGCAAAUUUUGGAGGGUGUAAUUGAAAGAAAAGUCAAAAUUUGAGGACCAAAUUGUACAAUACAAAGUUGAGGGAUAGUGUGCAAAUAUGGGAGGACCUGAACUACAAAUAAUGAAAAAUGGGAAGUAACGCCACUGGCACCACUAUAGCAGUGCCGCGGCAACGAACAGGACCUAUUUGGCUAUAUUUUUGUAAUUGGGGAUCAUUUUAAAAUUAACUAAACACGAUUUUUGGGCCUUUUAAAAGGAAAAUUCAACAAUGUUUCCCCUAUUUCUCUCUUGAACUUGAAGAGAACCCUAGCCUCCUCUUUCUCUCACUUUCCUUUUCAUUUUUUCUUUCUUUUUCUUUUCUUCUUCUUCUUAUCUUUUCUUUGGUAAUUUUUGGGGCAAAAUCUAGAGCACAAGGAGAUUUGAUUAAGGAUUUGACAAAAGCUUUGGGGAAAUCAAGAGCAAGCUCAAAAAAGGGUUUUAUCUACAACUUGUAUUUUCUCAAUUAUUUUGACAAACUUGCAAUGUAUUAUACAAAAUAUUCUCCUUUUUAUCAUUUGUAUGAAAUGGGCAAGUUAUUUGUGUUGGGAUUUAUUGUUGUAGUUUAAUCUAGCCUUGAUUAAUUUUAAUAUUUGCCCUUUGAUUUUGAUUUGCUUAUUUUCUUCUAUUGUAUUUCAUGCAUUUUCAUUUAUGUGGUCAAUGAAUGAUUGUGUUUAGUGAAUUUUAUAUCGUUCAAGAGAAGAUUGUGCAUUUUAGACCAAAUUGUAGAAACCCUGGGUUUGUGUAGGGGAUAGAGAUAUACCCCUAACCCUAGGUGACCCAAUGAGCUAUUUUCACAAAUAUUUAAUGCAAUUGUUUGGUUUUAAUCGAUAUAGAAAUAUAAUAGGGUUAAUUUCGUUCAAGAGAAGUAAUUAAUUAAAAUUAAAACAUGGAGUCUAACAUCGUAAAUGAGUAACUUUUUAAUUGACCUGUGGUGAAAUUAAUUAGGCGACGGUUAAAUGAAACCAUGAAUCUCAACCACAUUUUCUUCCAAAAAUUUCAAGAUUUUUAUGUUUUCUUAUUUUGUAGGUUUUUAGUUAAUUUCCUUAUUUCAAAAUCAUAUUUUUAAUUAUGUGUGUUUAUUUUUAUUGUUAGAAUUAAAUUAUUAAUUACGGUUGUGUAAUCUAAAGUAUAUAUUCCUCAAGGGAUCAACAAUCCGGACUCAAAAUGUCCACUUUAUUACUUGAACGCGACUCGUGUACUUGUGAUGUAUAAUUUUAGCGAAACAGUAACAAGUAAUCAAAAGUACAAGGAUGUUACAAGUAAAGCCUGACAAUAAUACCAUAAUCAAGGAAUGGAAAGUCUUUCCAAUUGAAACUAACGUUCAGCUUGAGCCACCAUAGCUUUGCAAUCCUAAAACAGACAUAAAUUUAGAUAAUAGUAGUUCUUAUUAUAUUAAUUCAUCAACUGCAAUCCUAAAACAGACAUAAAUUUAGAUAAUAGUAGUUCUUAUUAUAUUAAUUCAUCAUCUAACAUAUAAAUCAGUCCUUCCUAUAGAUUACUAGUUGAGUGUGAAGGGGCAAAGCAACAUUGAUGAUUUAUUGUGGUUGAUAAUGGGGGUUGGCUAACAAACCUUACGUAGAAACUAUACCAUUCGCAGUCAAACCAUGAUCCCUGAAUUUGAAACGGGCAUAUAACGAUUUGCAAAAGAGAUAAUGGUGUUGGAUUCCCGGUGCAUAAUGCACAUGUAGACUCUAAUUUCCUGCGCACUAGGAUUGAACAUAGAGGAAAUCAUUGAAAAUGACCUAAUAAACCAUGUGUAUUUUCAAAGUAACCUUUGACUAGUUUUUAGAGAAAAAAAAAACGAAAAUUGAUUUUAAAGGUCAAAAUCCCAAAAGACCCUCAGACUGUCACUUUCUUGUUUGCUUAGAGUCGGCCAAAACCAAGGAAAAGCUACGGUCAAUUUCCAAUUGGUAGACGUUUUCAGUUCAUCUCCGGCGACCUUCUUCUUGUUAAAGUAAGCUUCGAGUUGUUAAUUAACUAGAUUAAUGUUUAGAUUUUCAUAUUGUGUGCGAAUGUUGAAUUUGUGAAGGUUUUUGGAAUGUAAUAUUGGUUAUGUAGGUGUAGAAUUAUGAAUAUGGGUCUAAAUUGGAGAAUAAUAGGUGGAUUUUGAGAUUUGCAAGUUUUUCUCGUUGGAAAUGGAGAUUUUUCGACGAAAAAAGCCGAAAAAAUGCAGGCUACGUUUGUAGCUGGCAUUUUGGGUAAAACCCGAUUGCGUUUGCAGCCGGCAUUUUGGGGAAAACCCGGCUGUUAACAGUCGGGUGCCCGACUGUUAACAGCCGAUUGGCCCAAUUGUCAUGGGGACUGUUUUUAUUUUUCAUGGGCUGAAGUGGGCCGACUGUUAUAGUCGGUCCAAUAACAAUUUUUUUUUAUUUGGGCUGAUUAACAGUCGUCCCAUUAUUUGGGUUGACUAUUUAGUCAGCCCAUUGACUGUUAAGCAGGCCGAAUGUUAUGGUUGGGUCGAUGCCUUUAUUUUUAUUUUUUUACUUUUUUCUUACAUAUAUUUAAGAAUUUCAUUUUAAAUCAUUUUAAUUAUUAGUUUUUAAUAAAUAAUAAUUUAUUUAUUUAUAAAAUUUAAAUGUGAUAUUUAAUUUGAAUAUUUAUUUUUAUUUCCUCAUUUUUGAUAAAUAAUAAUUUUUCAUUCUCGAAUUUAAUUAAUUUUUAUAAUUUUAAUAUUUAGUAAUUCUUUUAAUUUUAAAUUUAAAUUUCAUAUUUAGUUUUAUUAAUAGUUUUUAUAAAUAAUAUUCUUUUCGUUAAUCGAAUUUCAUUAAUUCUUGUCAUUGUAAUUUUGAGUAAUUAUUUAAUUUUAAAUUUCGUUUUUAUUUUUAUUAAUAGUUUUUUAUAAAUAAUAUUCUUUUCGUUAAUCGAAUUUCAUUAAUUCUUGCCAUUGUAAUUUUGAAUAAUUAUUUAAUUUUUAAAUUUCAUAUUUAUUUUUAUUAAUUGGGCUGAUUGUUAAUUGUAGACUGACUGUUAACAGUCUUAGGCCGACUGUUAACAGUCACACUAUUAACAGUUUAAUUUUUUAAAAAAUAUAUAUAUUUAAUUUUUUAUUUUUUAAAUAUAAUUUAUAAUUAAUUUAUUAAUAAUUAUGUUAUUUAUUUAUUUUUUUUAAUUGUCUUUUAUUUAUAUAAUUUAAUAAUUGAAUAUUAUCUGAAAGUAACAAUUUAUUUUCCAUGUUAUUUAUUUAAUUAAAAUUUUUUUUUGUAAAUAUAUUUUCCAAGUGUAAUAUACAAGAUUAAUUUUCUUUAUAAUUUUCAUUUGAUUAAAUAAUAAUUAUGUUAUUUAUUUAUUUAAUUUUUAUAUUCUUUAAUUUUUUAAAAUUUAUUUAAAUAAUAUUUAUAUUCUUUAAAUUUUUUUGAAAAUAUAUUUAAUCUUUAAUUUUUAACUUUUUGUAUUAUUUAAAUAUUAAUAAUUUCCUUUUGCUGAAAAUCUCAUUAAUUUGUAUUUUAAUUUAAUUAAUUAUUUUUAACAUUUGUAUUGAAUUUAUUUUGUUAUAGGCGUCAAGAAUUCGGUUCCCAUUGAUUUUUUGAGAUUAUGCGUUAUUAUAUUAUCUCUUGUUCAAUGUUCUAAUAUUUGAAUUUUUGCAGGAUAGAGUAUCAUUUAGAUGGGGAGUUGAGACGGAUGGCGGGGAAAGCUACUUGGAACAGUAGCUUUGAGAUUUUUACUGUUGUAUUGGAGAUGCUCAAUGAUCAUCAUGAAAAUAUGCUACGACAGUCCUUCUUGUGGGCACUGUACUAGAUGCGAGAGUUGCAGUACUCAGGACUAAUCAUCGAUGUACUUCUAUGUCAGCUUCUGAGGCCAGUCGACGGCGAUUCCCUCCACUUCGACCUCAGGGGCAAGGUCGUCAGUUUCUCGAUAUAUGAGUUUAGCUUGAUCACUGGACUGAAGAUUAUGGGCGAAGAUGCAGCCAUUGAGAGAAGUAAUAGGUUGUACAAGACGUACUUCUAGGGACAUGGGUCGGUGCAUCUACCCGAGUUGAUGGUUGCGAUCAGGGGGUACGACCAGAUGUUAGAUAGAUUGAAACUUGGGCUGGUCUACAUCCUCAAGAAUGUGAUGAGGUGUCAUCACAAGAAGAUUGCCAUCGACAUUUUUUCAUUUGCAAGUUGUUGACGACAUCGAUGCGUUCAACAACUAUCUAUGGGGCCGGAGAUGCUACGAAGACACCGUACAUGUGCAUGUGUUUAUUAAAUGAAUAAUUCAUACUUUUUUGGUGUUUCUUGAUGCAACACAUCGACCUGGCCAUGGACUUGCUACGAGAUCAAGCUCAAAGACAUCCAAAAUCAUUUGACGUCCAUGGUCGAGUCAUAUUAAACACCGAGUUCCUGCGUGCCGUUAUCAUAGAGUAUCAGUCGCUCCAACUUAUGAGUAACGAGUACACGGUGCUAGAAUAUAUGCUCAAGUGGGUCAUAUGAAUGUCGUCGAGUGUCGGGGGGGAAAUCAUGGGAGGGUUGUACACAUAUGUAUAUUCUAGCGUGCAUCAAUAAUCACUAUGUUACGCUGGAGAUCGUUUUUGCCGACACGACUAUAUAUGUGUAAGACGCAAAUCAUUCAUGUUUGACACAAGGCCAGCUGGAGCAAAACCUGGAGUCCGUAGCUGUAAUUGUUCCUAUGAUGGCCAGACGAGCGGGGAUGACUGUACAGGAUAGAUUGCGGAUUGUUCGGAACACGACAACAGUGUGACAGUCCAUAUAGUAAGUGUUUGAACUUUGUUAUUUUCAUUUUUUAGAUUUAGUUUUUAGCUACACAGUACUGAAUUGAUCCAUUCUUGUACAAUUGUAGCGACGACUGCGGCAUAUUUGUCAUUAAGUACGUUGAAUUUUUAAGUAUAGGACAUAAGGUUGAUGGAAUCAACCAAUUGUGGAUACAGAACUGGAGAAAGAAGCUAGCUUGUGAUUUGUUUUAAAUUUUAUGGUGACCCGUAAACUUGUAUUAAAUAUAUGUAACAUUCAAAUUGUAAAUUUAAUUAUUUUUUGUGAUUAUGAAAUAAUUGUAAAUUUGUGUUCAAUAUAUAUAACAUUCAUAUUGAAAAUUUAAUUAUUUUUUUGUAAGUUGAUUUUUUGUUAUUUUACACAUAUGCCGAGUAUGGAACUACUUUUUUCAUAUGAAUCAUUAUAAAUACCAUUUAUCAAGAAUAAAUAUUGAAUAUUGAACAUUUAUGAAGAACAAAUAUUGAACGGUGUAAAGUAAAUGAAAAUAUUAUUCAUUUAACGUACCUGUCUAAUUGUCAUUUAAGGGAAUUUGACUGGUACAAAAUUGCCCAGUAUGCCCUAUGGCUCUGCACCUGCCACACCUACGCGAUCGAGAAAACUCUCUGGUAGAUGGUAUUCUAGAUGUACUUGGACGUCCAGGACCAUGCGGUUCAACUACUGGUGACAACAAAUUAUGAAACGGGAGAAUGUGUUCGGGAACUUCCCACUCGACUUCAUUCGGCAGAGGAAAUAUAGUCUUAGCAUAUGCUGUUCUCCAAGACUCAGUCGUAUAAUACAAAGAGCAUAACGUUCUCGCAGCAAAGUCUCGAAUCAUGGCCACCGCAACUGCAUGCUCACAUGAAAAACUUUCCAACUGAAAUCUUGUACAAAUACAUAUGUUAUCAGUCAAGUCCACCAUAUAUGCCGUAUUACGUACACAUUGCACGAAGAAGCGAAACUUAUCUAGUGCUUCCACAUUCAACUUCCUCACAACCUCUGCCGCCUUAAAGAGUUUCUCCUCUUGAGCUGGGGCCAACACGCUAGUGCAACUCUGUGAUACCGCACGUCGAUUAUGAAACCACUGUUGCAGCUUGUUACGAAUGUGCUCAAUCAUUGCGAGAAUUGGUAACUCUCGAUCCUUCUUAAAUAAUUCAUUAAGAGACUCUGCGUUAUUCGACGUCAUCAUGUUGUAUCGACGUCCUGGAAAGUAUGAUCGCGCCCAAUGUUCUAUCCCCAUGUUCAUCAGAUACUUCAACUCCGGUAAUGAUUUACUUCCUAUCUCGAACAUGAACUUAUUACACUCUUCAACACCGAUACCUAGUUUUCAAAUUAUCUUGUAAAUGGUACAUGCAAUACCCGUGAUGCGCCUCGGGAAAAAUUUUAGUGAUACCGUUUAUUAUAGACUGUCCCCAAUUGGUUACAAAGGCAAGGUCUUCGACUUCCCCGAUCACUUUCUUCAGUUUAGAAAAGAACCAACGCAUGAACAGAUUAUUCUCGUUGUCACUAUGCUGAAUGCAAUAGGGUAAAUUUGGAUGUUGGCAUCUUGACAUGUAGCAAUAAUUAAUUUGCCUUGAUAUUUAGCUUUCAGAGUUGUACCAUCAACUAGAAUUACAGGUCGCAUUGCAUUUCGAAAACCCCAAAUACAUUGUCCGAAAGCCAUAAAGAAAUACGUAAAAUUAUUAUCGCCCCCCAUCUCAAUAAAAAAUGCCAUCUCAGGAUUAGUUGUCCCCAUGUUAUGACAAUACCUAGCCAAUUUAGCAUAGCUCUCCUCAGUCGAUCCCAUUAAAUCCUCCAACGCACAUUCUUUGGCCUUCCAGGCUUUCUGGUAGCUCAUGACCACUCUAUACUCUCAACCGACGUCGUUAAUGAUGUCUGAAGGUCUGUAAAUCGUCCGUGGGUCCUGAUACUUGUGCCUUAUCUGUCGACCAAUAAACCAUGCUCGAGCUUGCUUGUGAUCAUUUCGACAAAUUUCCAAUUCCCAAGUAUGUUCCCGUGCCUAUUUGCGAACUACAAAGCACUCAUUAUUGUCCAUCUUAGUCGCUCUCAAGCACCAAUUGCAAUUGUCAUCAACGCAGGCAACUGUCAACAAUGAUUUGGUUGAUUUCUUUACAUUGAAUUCAAAGUUAUAUUUUAAUGUCAUUCGGUGCACAACUUCCUGCAAAUCUUUCUUGGUUUCAAAUAGUUGUUCAACAUACAAAUCCUCAUCAUCAGGAGCCACACGGGAAAAAUUGGAGGACGGUCCACUUGUUCCACUCCUUGAGCUCCCACCCCGCUCAGAUCUCUGUCGGGAUAAAGUAAUUAAAAUUUCAUUUGUAAAAUCAUUUAUAUUUUCGUUGUCCUCAACUGUCGAUGGAAUUCUAUGCGUAAUAAUGGCUUCACGAUCAGUAGCAAUGGUUUCGCGAAUAACCACAUCAUCUGCAAGAAUUAUCUCCACUGUCUCCCAAAAAUCUCGAUCAUUAUUAUCUGCUCCAUCUGAAUCUUCGCGUUCACCUUCGACAACAUCAUUCUUAACUAAAGUCACGCCAAGAGCAGUCGGAGUCCUAUGCAUUUUAUUCAAUUCUAAUCGAUAAUUCAAUCCAACAUCAUUAAAUAUAGGUGGCAUCGGAAUGGACGAAUCCCCAUAACCAUGGAAUAAAUAUCUCAGUUGCAUAUUGUACUGAGAAGGAUCGACAUUCAACUUAUUUUACAAAUCCUGGUACACUUUCGCGCCGCAUAUGAUGUACUCUCUGUUACGGGAAUUGCAAUACAGCCACAUACAUCACUCGUCCAUCUCCAUUCCCAUCUAUUAUUUUCAUUCAGUUCGAAAUCACCGAAAUAACAAAUCGAGAUUAUCAUAUCUAUAUGACUAUAUAGAAUUUUUAAAUCAAUUACAAUAACAAAAAUUCAGAUAUUUAAUCAACUUGUAAUUAAAAUUAUAAGACAAUUGUCAAAAGAGAAAUUAUAAUAUAAAAAAAAUUCGUAAAACAAUCGGGAAAAACGGCCGACUGUGGACUGUUUUACAGCCGACUGUCAAUUCGACUGUUUAACAACCGACUAACAGUUGGCUGUCGACUGUUAGAUAGCCGACUGUCUAACAACCGUCGGUCAACUAUUAGAGAGUCGUCUAACAGCUGACUGUCGGCUGUUAGACAGUCAGCUGUCUGCUGUGUAACAUUUUUCGUUAACAUCCCACAGUUAAUCGCCGGAUUGUUUAUUUUGCGUAUGACUUUUUAUUUUUCUAUAGUUCUAAAGAAAAAAAUUAUAGAUCUGUUAAAAUUUUUUUUUACUAACUACUGUGUUAUUUAACUACUCAAACGUACACUAAUUUACUGAAAUCGAAAUUAAGCAUGGGUAAAAAUAUACUUACCGAUUUGAAGUAAUUGAUCUGAAAAAAGUUCUGACUUCGACGUUUGAAGUUUUUUGAUAUUUUGAGGUUCAAGCAGAUGAAAAAUGAGAGUUUUUCUGUGUUCGAAGCUCGUUCUGCAGUUUUAUAAAUGGGGUAGUAUUUGGUUUUCAAUUAUUAACUAAAAGGCUAAUAAUGUCUUUAAAACUAUCCAAUAUUUUGUAAUUAUAUAAUAUAUUUAAGGGCAUCUCUGUCUUUUACCAUUCAAGAGGUUAAUGCGAUAAUUUUCAAGUUUUCAAAAGUCAAAGUGGAAAUAAGGGUCUUUGACUAGGUCAAUUUUAAAAAUACCCCAUUGAACAUAGCUGCUUUAAAUGUCCCAUUACAAGAGAACAAAAACUCCCAGAAUCAUCUACAAAUUUAAAGAAGUUAAAUUUGGGUCUGCGAAUUCUUUAAAGGAAAUACCAUAUGCAAGAGCCAAUAACAAGGCUCAAACACAGAUCCAACCCCGAUUUUGCCCUAAUUGGCAUUGGCGACUAGCUGUGACGAUUGACAUUGCAGAUUUGACGACGAUUGACAUUGCAGAUUUUUCAGAUCAAUUACUUCAAAUCGAUAAGUAUAUUUUUAUACAUGCUUAAUUUCUAUUUCAGUAAAUUAGUGUGCAUUUGUGUAGUUAAAUAAUAGAGAAGUUAGUAGAAUUUUUUUUUUAACAUAUCUAUAAUUUUUUUUCUUUAAAACCAUAGAAAAAUAAAAAUUCAUACGCAAAAUAAAUAGUCCCACCAUUAACUGUGGGAUGUUAACGAAAACUGUUAGAUAGUAGACAGCAGACUGUUAAAAGACUUUCUAACAGCCGCCAGACGACUGUCUAACAAUCGACCGACGACUGUUAGACAGUCGGCUGUCUAACAGCUAGGGCUGGGCAAAUCUCCCGAACCGAACCGAUCGAACCGAACCCGAACCAAACUGAACUGAACGCAACGGUUCUUGUCAAAUUAAAUACCCGAACGGGUGUCUAAAUUGAGAACCGACGGGUACAGUUUGAUUCCCGGUUCUAGACCGAGAACCGAAGAACCGAAUAAGAACCGAAUCUUUCUAAUUUUUUUUAUAUUGAGUAAAUCAAAUUAUUUUAAUUUUAAUUUUUCUAAACAAAUUAACAAUUUCUAAAUCCAAAAUUUUGACCCAAUAAUUUGUUUCAUUUCUAAUUUUUUAAUUUUUGGCCCAAUUACCCAUUUUAUUGUAUCAUUUCUUAGCCCAACAAAAUCCAAUCCACUAAAUAACUCUAAACACCUACAAUAAAGUGCAUAACGUUGUUUCGACUCUCGCACUCACUCUCGUAACCUCGCUAACAUUCCAAAACCUAUACAAUCGUCGGCCGACGCUGUGACCUCCGAUCGAAGCUGUGACAUCUGCUGACCGAAGCUUUGACCGUAGCGAUCAUUUGAACAAUAUAGUAUACUACUCUCUGACAUUCCAAAAACCAUUGAAUGUAAGUAUUUUUAUAAUGUUGUUAUAAAUGUUAAAAAAUUUAAUUAUAGUACAGAACCAAAUGGAAUCGAACCGAACUUAAUCUAACGGAACCAAACCCGAACGGUUCCAUAAUUAUAUUUGAACCUGACGGUUCCAUUUACUAGAUACCUGAAAAUUUCGGUUCGGUUUGAUUCUCUUUAGAACCGAACCGACCCGCACCCACCCUACUAACAGCCGAUAGCCGACUAACAGUUGGCUGUUUUUCCUGACUGUUUUACGAAUUUUUUUAUUAUAAUUUCAGUUUGGCGAUUGUCUUAUAAUUUUAAUUACAAGUUGAUUAAAUAUCUGAAUUUUUGUUGUUGUAAUUGAUUUAAAAAUUCUUUAUCAUUAUGGAGAUAUGCUAAUCCCGGUUUGUUAUUUCGGUGAUUUCGAACUGAACGAAAAUAAUAGAUGGGAAUGGAGAUGGAUGAGUGAUGUAUGUGGUUGUAUUGCAAUUCCCGUAACAGAGAGUACAUCAUAUGCGAAAGUGUACCAGGAUUUACAAAAUAAGCUGAAUGUCAAUUUUUCUCAGUGCGAUAUGCAACUGAGAUAUUUAUUCAAUGGUUAUGGGGAUUCGUCCAUUCCGAUGCCACUUAUAUUUAUUACUUAUGAUGCUGAAUUGAAUUAUCUAUUAGAAUUGAAUAAAAUGCAUAGGACUCCGACUGUUCUUGGUGUGACUUUAGUUAAGAAGGAUGUUGUCGAAGGUGAACGCGAAGAUUCAGAUGGAGUGGAUAAUAAUGACUGAGAUUUUUGGGAGACAGUGGAGAUGGUCCUGCAGAUGAUGUGGUUAUUCCCGAGACAGUUGCUACUGAUUCUGAAGUUACUGUUACGCACAAAAUUCCAUCGACGGCUGAGGACAACAAAAAUAUAAUUUACAAAUGAAAAUUUAAUUGCUUUAUCCCGACAGAGACCUGAGCAGGUGAGAGCUCAGGGGAUGGAAAAAGUGGACCGUCCUCCAAUUCUUCAUGUGUGGCUGCCGAUGAUGAGAAUUUGUAUGUUAAGCAACUAAGAUUUGUAGGAAGCUGUGCACCGGAUAGCAUUAAAAUAUAACUUUGAGUUCAAAGUAAAGAAAUCAACCAAGUCAUUGUUGACAGUAGGCUGCGUUGACGAUAAUUGCAAUUGGCGCUUGAGAGCAACUAAAAUGGACAUGAAUGAGUGCUUUGUAGUUCGUAAAUAUGUAUGGAAACAUACUUGUGAAGUGGGAAUUUGUCGAAAUGAUCACAGGCAAGCUCGAGCAUGGUUUAAUGGUCGACAGAUAAUGCACAAGUAUCAGAACCCACGGACAAUCUAUAGACCUUCGAAUAUUAUUAACGACGUCCGUUGAGAGUAUGGAGUGGUCAUGAGCUACCAGAAAACCUGGAAGGCCAAAAAAUGUGCGUUGGAGGAUUAAAUGGGAUCGGCUGAGGAGAGCUAUACUAAAUUGGCCAAGUAUUGCCAUAACAUAAGGACAGCUAAUUCUGACACGGCAUUUUUUAUUGAGACGGGGGGGGGGGGCGAUAAUUGUUUUAAGUAUUUCUUCAUGGCUCUCGGACAAUGUAUUUGGGGUUUUUGAAAUGCAAUGCGACCCGUAAUUCUAGUUGAUGGUACAACUCUGAAAGCUAAAUAUCAAGGCAACUUAAUUAUUGCUACAUGUCAAGACGCCAACAUCCAAAUUUAUCCUAUUGUAUUCGACAUAGUCGACAUCGAGAAUGAUCUGUCCAUGUGUUGGCUCUUUUCUAAAUUGAGGGAAGUGAUCGGGGAAGUCGAAAACCUUGCCUUUGUAACCGAUUGGGGACAAUCUAUAAUAAACAGUAUCGCUGAAGUUUUUCUCGAGGCACAUCACGGGUAUUGCAUGUAUCAUAUACAAGGUAAUUUGAAGACUAGGUAUCGGGGCAAAGGCAUCGUUUCAUUGUUUAGAAGAGCAGCCAAAGCUUACAGUGCUGAAAAGUGUAAUAAGUUCGUGUUCGGAUAGGAAGUAAAUCAUUACCGGCGUUGGAGUAUCUGACGAACAUGGAGAUCGAACAUUGGGCGCGGUCAUACUUUUCAGGACAUUGACACAACAUGAUGACGUCGAAUAACGUGGAGUCUCUCAAUGCAUUGUUUAAGAAGGAUCGAGAGUUAUCAAUUCUCGCAAUGAUUGAGAACAUUUGUAACAAGCUACAACAGCGGUUUCAUGACCGACGUGUGGCAUCACAGAGUUGCACUAGCGUGUUGGCCCCAGCUCAAGAGGAGAAACUCUUUAAGGCAGCAGAUGUUGGGAGGAAGUUGAAUGUGGAAGCACUAGCUGAGUUCCACUUCUCCGUGUAAUGUGCACGUAAUACGAUAUAUAUGGUGGACUUGACUUAUAACACAUGCACUUGUACGAGAUUUCAGUUGGAGAGUUUUCCAUGUGAGCAUGUAGUUGCGGUGGCCAUGUAUCGAAGCUUUGCAGCGAGAACGUUAUGCUCUUUGUAUUAUACGACUGAGCCUUGGAGAACAGCAUAUGCUGAUACUAUAUUUCCUCUGACAAAUGAAGCCGAGUGGGAAGUUCCCGAGCACAUUCUCCCGUUUCAUAAUUUGUUGCCACCAACAGUUGAACCACGUGGUCCUGGACGUCCAAGUACAUCUAGAAUACCAUCUACCAGAGGGUUUCCUCAACCGCGUAGGUGUGGCAGGUGCAGAGCCAUAGGGCAUACUGGACAAUUUUGUACCAGUCAAAUUUCCCUAAAUGACAAUUAGACAGGUACGUUAAAUGAAUAAUAUUUCUGUUUACUUUACACUGUUCAAUAUUUGUUUUUCAUAAAUGUUCAAUGUUUAGUAUUUAUUCUUGAUAAAUAGUAUUUAUAAUGAUUCAUAUAAAAAAAUAGCUCCAUACUCGGCAUAUGUGUAAAAUAACAAAAAAUCAACUUACAAAAGAAUAAUUAAAUUUCCAAUGUGAAUGUUAUAUUUAUUAAACACAAAUUUACAAUUAUUUCAUAAUCACAAAAAAUAAUUAAAUUUACAAUUCGAAUGUUACAUAUAUUUAAUAUAAAUUUAUGGGUCACCAUUAAAUUUGAACAAAUCACAAGCUAGCUUUUUCUCCAGUUCUGUAUCCACAAUUGGUUGAUUCCAUCAACAUUACGUCCUAUACUUAAAAAUUUAAGGUACUUAAUGGCAAAUAUGCCGCAGUCACUGCUGCAAUUGAAUAAGAAUGGAUCAGUUCAGUACUGUGUAGCUAAAAACUAAAUCUGAAAGAUGAAAAUAAUAAAGUUCAAACACUUACCUUAUGGACUGUCGCGCUGUUGUCGUGUUUCGAACAAUCCGCAAUCUGUCCUGUACAGUUAUCCCCACUUGUAUGGCCAUUAUAGGAACAAUUACAAUUACGGACUCCAGGUUUUGCUCCAGCUGGCCUUGUGUCAAACAUGAAUAAUUUGGGUCGUAGACAUAUAUAGUUAUGUUAGCAAAAACGAUCUCCAGCGUAACAUAGUGAUUAUUGAUGCACGUUGGAAUGUACAUAUGUGUACAACCCUCUCAUGAUUUUCCCCCGACAUUUGGUGACAUUCCUAUGACCCACUCGAGCAUAUAUUCUGGCACCGUGUACUCGUUAUCCAUAAGUUGGAGCAACUGAUACUCUAUGGUAACGGCACGCAGGAACUCGGUGUUUAAUAUGACUCGACCACGGACGUCAAAUGAUUCUGGAUGUCUUUGAGCUCGAUCUCGCAGCAAGUCCAAGGCCAAGUUGAUGUACUGCAUCAGGAAACACCAAAAAAGUAUGAGUUAUUCAUUUAAUAAACACAAAGUGACGUGUACAUAAAAAACACGAAAUGAAUAGUUCACUUACAUCGUCGGUGAGUCAAGCUCCCGAAGUGGUGAUAUCGUGGAACCACUUGUAAGCGUCCGAGACCGUCGUUUGACCUAUCGUGCGGCUAACUCUGAAAAAAAGGGAAAUGUUAAAAUAUGCAUAGACGAGUUAGCGUAUAGUGCUUUGUUAAAAUCAUACAAUACUUACCCGGGGAUAAUUCUCCUCCACUCCAUCUCGAACGCUUUCCACUAGGCGUUGUCCACCUCUUUGAAUAAGUUCGGAUGCGUCCCAUCGAUGAACGUCCUCCUCUUGGCCUCAGUCGUAAAGGGGAAAACAACAUACUGUGAUGACACUCUCAACCUCUUGCCGACCACCUGCUCCGUUUCAUCAACAGCAUGUCUCUUACCCUCAAUCACGAUGGGCGUCCUCUCGACCUCCGGGGCCACCUUCUCCGUCCCUCCCAUUGGGGCCACCCCCUCUCCCUCCAUAGGCAACCACAAUGAUUAUAAUGUCUUAUCACGCCAAAAAUGUGGGUGACCCCCUUUCCAUCACCACUCUGCCACCCUCUCGAUCAUCAUCUCCACCAUCCCCUCUGUCCCCCCAUCGCCUACCGGCUAAAUCUCCUCUAGGUGCCACUACCGUAUCCUGAAGAUCGACAACGCAAGACCGUAGCAUUCCAACAUCAUGGGAUAGAUCGUCAACCCUCUCUGUCAACUCUCGUCCCAUAUCAUCGAUCUUCCCUAUCAGAUAAUCGACCUUCCCAGUCAGAUCGUCGACCUUCCUUGUCAACUCUCUUCCCAGAUCAUCGACCCUCUCCGUCAACUCUCGUCGUAGCGCGCCGACCUCCUCCACUAUAAAUCCAGUCAAACAGGCAUACAAAUCAUCACUGUGUGUCAGAGAUACACGGGGGAGGUGUCUGGACGAGGGAGAAGGAGAUACCCUCGGCGGUGGCGAUGCCAAUGGCGGCGGCGAUGCCCUUAAUGGAGGUGAUGCCAAUGGCGACGACGAUGCUCUUGGGGGAGGUGAUGCCAAUGGUGGUGGUGAUACCCUCGGCGGAGGUGAUCAUCGAUCAACUGGACUGCCCUCCUACAUAAAUAACAUUAAAAAUUAUUCAAUAAAUUUAUAGGUCGACGAUAUUCAAUAAAUUAUAUUUAAUUCAUAUACCCAAUCUCGGUCUAGGUUUGGAUCAGACAUCUCCUCGUCUUGGGUCUGCGGAAUGCCUAAAUCUCGCACAAGACCCCGAGCCUCCUCUUCCAUCGAUGACGUCAACUCAAGUAUGACUUCAAGCUGACAUAUUGACAUUUCAACUAAUUAACGAUCAUGUAAACAUAUUUUAAACUACGCAUAAUAUAAAUCACAAAUGCAUAAUACUUACCUGAGGAUCAUCGAAGAAAGUCGAUAAUUGUUUCCCAGUGGGGCAUCCGUCUGCUCGCGAUGAUCUCCAAUGAUGCAUCUGAGGGCAUCGUGUCUCUCCUCGCUUCGCAAAGCGGGCCCCUAGUACAGGGACUAUCUCAUACACCCAAAUCUGCAACACAUACACUUAUUAUGCGUAAAUAUAAUAUACUAAAACUUUAACUUUAAUUAUAUUAAACAUUUAUCUGUACCGCUAAGGGCAAUCCAUAUGUAUCGUAUUUACACAUUGACCCCUUGGGCCUCGAGUGUGAUUUGGUGAAAACAUGUAAGGUGUCUUUGCAGUAUCUCCGACCCCAUGGAUAGUUGUUGAACGCAUCGAUAUCGUCAACAACUUGCAAUUGAAAAAUGUCGAUGGCAAUCUUCUUGUGAUGACACCUCAUCAUACUCUCGAGGAUGUAGACCAACCCAAGUGUCAAUCUAUCUAGCAUCUGGUCGCACCCCCUGAACGCGACCAUCAACUAGGGUAGAUGCACCCAUCCAUGUCCUUGGAAGUACGUCUUGUACAGCCUAUUUCUUCUCUCAAUGGCUACAUCGUCGCCAAUAAUCCUUAGUCCAGUAAUCAAGCUAAACUCAUACAUCGAGAAACUGACAACCUUGCCCUCGAGGUCGAAGUGGAAGGAAUCGCCGUCGACUGGCCUCAGAAGCCAACACAGAAGUGCAUCGAUGAUCUGUCCUGAGUACUGCACCUCUCUCAUAUGGUACAGUGGCCACGAGAAGAACUGUCAUAGCAUAUCUCCGUGAUGAUAUCGAGCAGCUCCAACACAGCAGUAAAACUCUCAAAGCUACUAUUCCAAGUAGCUUUCCCCGCCAUCCGUCUCAACUCCCCAUCUAAAUGAUACUCCAUCCUGUAAAAAUUCAAAUGUUAGAACAUUGAACAAGAGAUAAUAAAAUAACGCAUAAUCUCAAAAAAACAAUGGGAACCGAAUUCUUGACGCUAAUAACAAAAUAAAUUCAAUACAAAUGUAAAAAAUAAUUAAUUAAAUUAAAAUACAAAUAAAUGAGAUUUUCAGCAAAAGAAAAUUAUUAAUAUUUAAAGAAUACAAAAAAGUUAAAAAUUAAAGAUUAAAUAUAUUUUCAAAAAAAAUAAAGAAUAUAAAUAUUAUUUAAAUAAAUUUAAAAAAAAUUGAAGAAUAUAAAAAUUAAAUAAAUAAAUAACAUAAUUAUUAUUUAAUCAAAUGAAAAUUAAUCUUGUAUAUUACAUUUGGAAAAUAUAUUUACAAAAAAAUUUAAAAUUAAAUAAAUAACAUGGACAAUAAAUUGUUACUUUCAGAUAAUAUUCAAUUAUUAAAUUAUAUAAAAAAAGACAAUUAAAAAAAUAAAAAAAUAAAUAACAUAAUUAUUAAUAAAUUAAUUAUAAAAUAUAUUUAAAAAAACUAAAUAUAUAUAUAUUUUAAAAAAUUAAACUGUUAACAGUCUGAUUAUUAACAGUCGGCCCAAGACUAUUAACAAUCUACUAUUAACAGUUAACAGUCGGCCCAAUUAAUAAAAAUAAAUCUAAAAAUUAAAAAUUAAAUAAUUAUUCAAAAUUUCAAUGAUAAGAAUUAAUGAAAUUCGAUUAAUGAAAAGAAUAUUAUUUAUAAAAAAUUAUUAAUAAAAAUAAAAACGAAAUUUAAAAUUCGAUAAUUAUUCAAAAUUACAAUGACAAGAAUUAAUGAAUUUCGAUUAACAAAAAGAAUAUUAUUUAUAAAAAAAACUAUUAAUAAAACUAAAUAUGAAAUUUAAAUUUAAAAUUAAAAGAAUUAUUAAAUAUUAAAAUUAUAAAAAUUAAUUAAAUUCAAGAAUGAAAAAUUAUUAUUUAUCAAAAAUGAGGAAAUAAAAAUAAAUAUUCAAAUUAAAAUUUAAAUUAAAUAUCACAUUUAAAUUUUACAAAUAAAUAAACUAUUAUUUAUUAAAAACUAAUAAUUAAAAUUAUUUAAAAUGAAAUUCUUAAAUAUAAGUAACUAAAAAAUAAAGGCAGUGGGCCGACCGUAACAAUCGGACCGCUUAACAGUCAAUGGGCUGACUAAACAGUCAGCCCAAAUAAUGGGCCAACUGUUAAUCAGCUCAAAUUAAAAAAAAAAAUAUUAUUGGGCCGAGUCAUGGGCUGAUUGUUAGUCAGUCCAUGACAAUUGGGCCAACUGGCUGUUAACAGUCGGGUGAUUAGGCACCCGACUGUUAACAGCUGAGUUUUCCCCAAAAUGCCGGCUGCAAACGCAGUCGGCAUUUUUUCCGGCUUUUCUCCUCGAAAAAUCUCUAUUUUCGGCGAGAAAAGCUUGCAAAUCUCGAAAUCCACAUAUUAUUCUCCAAUUUAGACUCAUAUUCAUACUUCUACACCUACAUAAUCAAUAUUACAUUUCAAAAACCUCCACAAAUUCAACAUUCACACACAAUAUGAAAAUUAAAACAUUAAUCUGGUUAAUUAACAACUCGAAACUCACCUUAACAAGAAGAAGGUCGCUGGAGAUGAACUGAAAAUGUUUACCGAAUAGCUUUUCCCUGGUUUUAGCUGACUGUAAGCAAAUGGGAAAGUGACCGUCUGAUGGUAUUUUGGGAUUUUGACCUUUAAAAUCAAUUUUCGUUUUUUUUCCUCUAAAAACUGGUCAAAGGCUACUUUGGAACUACACAUGAGUUAUUGGGUCAUUUUCAAUGAUUUCCUCCCCUUUCCUCGUGUUUUCAAAUUUCUACUUCCGAUUUGUACCUUUUUUUUUCUAAUUGACAAAUUAAUUAUAAGUACGUUUAUAGAUAGUAAAUAGAAUAAUUUAAUUUAUAAUUUCUGAUUGGUUAAAAUUUGUAUAUUUUAUUCGAAAGAAUCAUUCAAUUAACUCUAAUAUAUUUUUCCAACUGAAAUUGUCUAAUUUUAGUUCGAAAAAUUUUAAUAUAGUUUCAGUUUAUUAUUUUCAUAUUACCAAUAGAAUUUUAUCAUUAAAAUUUUUUAAUUUAUUUUUUAGGAUUUUGGUUAUUUUGUAAAUUAAAGUUUUAAAAUAAUCUUUAAUUAAUAGUUAGGAUUGAUUGAAAUUAAACGUAUGCUGAAUUUUUAUUUUUAGUUUUGUUCUUUUUUACAACAAGCAAAAAAUAUUGCAAAUCCUUGUUGCAAAACACACUUGCUCGCAACAUUUAAUGAUUGUUGCAAAAGGUUAUAUAGUAAGAAUUUCAACAAUAUGUACUGAACAUUGUUAUAGAACAAAAUUUUAACAAGUUCAAAAAAAAAAAAAAAAAAGAAUUAAAACUUUUACAACAUUCAAAGAACGUUACAAAAAGCUAUAUAUUAAGAGUUUCAACAACGGUUAUUGAAUGUUGUUAUAGAACUAUAUUUUUACAACAUUCAUUAAAUGUUGUGAAAAAUUAAACUUCUUACAACAUUCAAGAAACGUUGAAAAUGGUAAUAUUGACAAAAUGCAAUUAAAAAAAAUAUUGCCAAAGCUUAAUUAAGUUAAUCAAUGGCAUUAUUCACUUAUUAAAAUGUUGCGAUAGACCCAUUUAGCAACAUUCAAUUCACGAGUGUUGCCUUUUGAGUAUCUUAGGGAAGGAUUAGGGAUACAAUAGUAAUAAUUUCUAGAGUUACAGGAGUACAAUUGUCAUUCACGAAUAAACUUACCAUGUACAACAAAAUGGUCUUUUUUUUUUUCCUUCAAUGUGCUCCUAAAAAGGUUUUUAUUGAUAGCAACAAGGUAAGUCGGACGUUCUCUUUUUUAAAUUUUAAGAGGCAGUAAGGAUAUUUUGAUCUUCAUUUUUCGUCCCAUUUAUUUAUUUAUUUAUUUACUUAUUUAUGUAUUAUUAUCUGUUUAAAUUUAAAUUAUAUUCAAAAAAAAUUUUUAAAAAAAUAUUAUGAGUCAUGGAUGGGUCUGUGACAGAGAUCAUGUUUCCCAAGCCCAUCCCUAAUAGGGAUUAUAGAAUUCCUGACCUUCGAUCCACAUCAUGCCCUGUCCCACAUUGUCCUACCUUGAAUAGUAAAUGGGGCGGGAUGCAUAACCUAUAGUCCCUAGUUUCGAAUUUUUAGUACUAUCUCUGAAUCAUUUUUGAUUAAUAUACUUUAUUUUAUUCUUAUGUUCUUCAUUUAAAUCAUAUUAAAAAAUAAAUAAAUAAAUAAAAUGACGAAUGAUGGUUUUUAUGUCUCAACCUACCCUACAUUCUGAAAAUUCGAAACGAAACAAGAAUGAUAUGAUAGCUCCUAUCCAUUGUUAUCCUUAAUUUCAAAUUUCCCGUUGGGCGGAGUAACUUGAAACUGGCGUUUUGUUAAAGAUUUCCUCAAAUAAUUUAGCAGAAAAUAAAAACAAUGAAAAAUAAAUCCACUUUAAAAUAGGGUCAUCUCUAAAAGAUAAAUGUAUUCUCCAUUGAUUCCCAUUUUUCACUUGAAACUCAUCUCUGUAGGAAGGCUAUGAUCCAAUCCAACCUUAAAAUUUCUCAAAUUAUAUUAAAAAAAAAAAUCACCGUACCUUAACUCUACAAAUAAAGUAGAGUUAACUCUACAAAUAAAGUGGAGUGUUGCCCAAAUAUCCAUGGCAGCAGCUACGCAGAGGCAACACUGAUGGUUCGCAGAUGGUGCAACCACAAAGGGCCUCGACAUUAUAGGGACACCAAAAAAUUUUAUUUGUAUAAUAAUUUUAAAAUUUUAAUUUUUUUUAUUAAAAGGACCAUGUUUUAAAAUAUCACACAGGACACCCAAAAUAUUAAGGUCAACCCUACAUCUAAGUACUGCUAUGCAACUUCUCCAUUUCCUAGGUAUUUGAUCAAUAAAAAUAGGGAAUGUGGCUCAAGGGAGUGACAAAAUUAUUAAUAAGAUGAGGCAAAUUAAAGAAACAAACAAAUGUAGGAAGUUGAAAUCUACUUAAGAAACAAAAUGUACUUUCCUAUUAGCCGGAAGGGACAAUAUGACAGAUACCAAAACAAGGCAAUAGCUUAAGAGAUUCAUAGAUUACAUAAUUAUAAGCCAGAAAAAAAUAAACAUUGAUGAUUUAUUGUAGUUGAUAAUGGGGGUUGACUAACGAACCUUAUGUAGAAACUAUAUCAUUCGCAGUCAAACCAUGAUCCCUGAAUUUGAAACGGGCAUAUAACGAUUUGCGAAAGAGAUAAUGGUGUUGGAUUCCCAGUGGAUAACGCACAAGAAGAAUCUGAUUUCCUGCGCACUGGGAUUGAACAUAGCUGCUUUAAAUGUCCCAUUACGAGAGAACAAAAACUCCUAGAAGCAUCUACAGAUUUGAAAUUUGAAGGAGUUAAAUUAGGGUAUGCAAAUUCUUUAAAGGAAAAACCAUAUGCGAGAACCAAUAAUAAGGCUAAAACACACAGAUCUAAUCCAGAUUUUGCCCUAGUCGGCAUGGGUGACUAGCUGUGACAAUUGACUUUGCAGAUUUGACGGCGAGGGGAAAUACAUGAAAUUGACCCAAAUAAAAGAGGCUCUUUUCUAAAAUGGCCCUUGUCUUUUCCAAACAUUUGGAGCUACCUAAAAUACCCUUAGACAAACAUUAAAAACAACCUAUUUCAUAAUAAAAAUCUUCUAUCUAAGUCCUUAAAAAAUUAACAAGUAAUUUUUCUAAAAAUUUGAAAGAAUUAUUAAUCUUUAUGAAUAAUUAUAAAAUGAAAAAACCCAAAUAUAAGAGAGGACCAUAUAAUAUAAAAAAGGUUGUUAAAAAUAAAAAAGAAAUUAAGAUUGGAAAAGAAAUUGAUAAGAUAGGAUAUCAAGAACAAUUAUAUGCAUCACAAGAAGUAUUAAAGUGUUUCAAAGAAAACUUAUUAGAAAAUUUUGCUAAAAGAAUUGUAAGAUCAAUAAUUAUAAAAGAUAUACAAGGUAUCAUAGAUAAAUUAGAAAAAAGGAAGAAAAAUAUCUUAAAAUACGAUAUACCUUUUAGAACAGACAUAGAUAUGAUAAUAGAUGUUGAUAUUAUAAAUUCUCAGACAUUACUAGACUUUGAAGAAUUACUUAAAAAUUUAUGAGAAGGCCAAUAAAAAAUAGAUUACCACAAAGAAUUUUUAGAAUAUUAGAUUUUUGUUCGCUCAUAGUAGCAUCAUCCCGUUGGUAUCAGAGCCAUAGAGAUCAUGAGAAAAUUAUAAAAAUAAAUUACCUAAAAAUAUUGAAAAUAAAUAAAAUUUAUGAUUUUUGAAAUUAUUGAAACUUAUAAAAAUAGACUAAGGUAUCAAGUAAAAUAUAGUUCUAAUAUAAAAGGCUAUAUAGAAGAAGAUAAUAUAGUUGGAACAUAUAGUAAAGACAUAAAAGAAGUAUUAGAAAUUUUUAGAGUAAUUAAAAAUUUACCUUUAGAACUAAAAGAAAAAAUAAUUAAAAAGAUAUUAUUUGAAGAAUAUAAGCAUAUAUAUAUAUUAGAAGAAAUCCAGAGUGAAAUAGAUUUCAUAGUAAUCUAAAAAAAAUAUAUUUUAUUAUGGAAAUCAUAAAAAUAAAUAAUUAUUAUUAAUGUAUUGAAGAAAAAGGAUGUUAUAUAUUUUUCAACCCUAUCCCUAAUAAAUUAAAAAUAAUAACAUUAUAUGUAACUAGGAAUUUACCUAGAGAAAUAAAGGAACAAAUAUUAUAUAAAUUAAUUGUAGGAUUUAUCAAAGAUAGACGUACAUAUGAAAUAAUUAUCGAAGUAUUUGAAAAUGAAUUAUACCAUAGAGAAAUAUUUGAAUCAUCAUAAAGUAUAAUGGAAGAAACUAAAAAUAUUUUGGAAAGAAAGUUAAGAAGAAUAAGAUUAAUAAAUAAUAAAAUUUGAGAUGAAUUAUUAAUACCUGAAGAUAUAACUAAAACUCAAGAAAAACAAAUAUUAAAAUUAAAACAAGAAAGGUAUAAAGAAAAAGCAAGGUAUUAUGAAAAAUUAAAAGAAUUAACAAAUAUUAAAGUUAUAAAACAAAAGUAUGAUAAAAUGAUAAGAGAUUGUAAAAAUGCUGAGUAUAUAGCAUUUUAUUAUUGUCAAUCAAAAAAUCGAUAAAAGAAAAUGUCAAUCAGUGAACAUAUGGAAGAAUUAAAACAUUUAAUAAGAACAUUAAUAAAUGAUGUACAAGAAAUAAAGAAUGAAAUAAAAGAAGCAAGAAAUGAUAUAAAUAUAUUAAAACUUGAAGUUAGAAAAUUAAAAGAAAAUGAAGAAAAGAAUAAUAGGAUAGAUAAAAAAAUUUAUAGAAAAAGAAAUAACCAGAAUAUGAAAAAAACAUAUUGAAAGAGAAAAUAUAAUAAUAGAAACAGGAAGCAUGGAUGAUGAGUUUAGAAAAAAUAUAUUACCUAAAAUAUUAGAAGAAAAUGAAUCUAGAGAAAAAAUGUUAAGUAAACAAAAAAUUAAAGAAAAUCAAGAUAAAGAAAAUGAAUGAAGAAUUAGAUCUACUUAUAGAUAAUUUUGAUCAUUUAAGUUUAGAAAGUAUAGAUGAUGAAUACCAAAAUCUGAAUGAAUACUGGAGGAGGGCCUAAUCCCGUAAGAACCUCUAAACAAGAAUUAAUAGAUCCAAAUGAAAGUUAUGCUCUGAUGUAUAAUAAAUCAUAUAGACAAUUUUAUGAUAAGAUAAGAGAUAAACAACUGUCUAAAGGAAAUAAAUAUAGUAAUAGAUUUGAAUUAAAUAAUAAUUAUGAUAAACCUGUUAACCAUGGAGGAACAAAAUUAGACUUAGAUUGUAAAAUAGAUACUAAGAAAGUUUUAAUAACUUGGGCAGACUCAAUGAUAUUAUUCUUUUUAUAUAAUAAAGAUGAUACAUGGAAAAAUACUAAAAGAAGAAUAGAUUUUUUAAUUGCAUCUUUUGAAAGAAAUGUUAGAAAUUGGUGGGAAUGAAUUAGUAGUGAUACAAAAUUAUUAAUAAAAAGAAAUGUACAAACAGAAAUAAUAAAGUCAGAUAAACUAGGAAUAGAAAGAUUAGUAGAAUAUAUUGCAAAUGAAUUCUUAGGAGAAAAUUGGUUAAGAAAUUAUGAAGAAGAAACAAUACGAGAAAAAGAUAAUGCAAGAGUUAAGUUAAUUAAUUUAACAAUUUGUGAUAUGUGUAAAAUUAAAUAAUAUACUUGUGAAUUCAAGGAUUACUAUUAUAUUCAAUUUUAUAGUAAUGAGAAUCAAGAAAUAUAUCAAGAUAUGUAUUACAAUAAAUUACUAGGAUCAUGGGGAAUAUAUUUUAAAAUAGAAUUUGAAAAAUAUAUUAAAGAAAAUAUAGGAAUACCUAGAACACUAGGAUCAAGAAUAAUAUUCUUAUUUGAAAGACUUGCAUAUAUAUGUCAACAAAGACAAUUAUUGAAAAAAUCAGGAAAAUUAACUAGAAUAUGUUGUGAAGAUAUGGAAAAACCUACAAGAUGGGGAUGUAAUUCUGAAAAAAGAAAUAAAAGAAAGUAUAAAAACAGAAAGUUUAAAAAAUAUAGAAACUUUAAGAAAAAAUACAUAAAACCUGGAAGGAAAUAUUAUUAAAAAAAAUAAUAUACAGAGAAAUAAACCUUAUAAGAAAAAUAAAAAAAACAAUGUAAGUGUUGGAAUUGUGGAGAAAUGGGUCAUAUAAGUCCUGAUUGCGCACAAAAAAAGUGAGAAUAUUACAAAAGGAUUAUUUUGAAAUAGAAAGUGAAUUAAGUAAAAUAUAUGAUAUUAACAUUAUAAUAAUCAGGAAAUAUUUAUAAGUGAAGCAGAUUCAGAAGAUAAUGGAUCAGAAUCUGAAUAGAGAAAUUGAAGAAAUAGAAAAUAAUAACAUAGAAAUCCAAGAAUAUGAGGGAAUGGAAAGUUAUGGAUUAAAAAUAACUUUUGACAAUAAUAAAUUUAAGAAAAUACAAAAGUUAUCCUUAGAUUUGAAAAUAGGAAAAUGGGAAAUUCUAGAUAGAAUAUGGAGAAGAGAAAUAAUAGCAAUAAAUGAAUACCAUAAGAUUGAAAAAACUAUAGAUGUCAAAACAACUCAAAGAACACAUAAAAUAAACAUUUUAACAAAAAGUACAGUAUCAGAAUUAUUAUCAAAAAUAAGUAAAAAAUAUAGUGAAAAGAUCCAAUAUGUUUAUUUAGCAGGAAUAUAAAUAAUGUUUAAAUCUUUAUUUAGGGAAGGAAUAGAUUCACCAUUAAUUGUAAGUUUACAUGAUGGAAGAAUUAUAAAUUUUGAAGAUGGUCAUUUAAGAACUAUAGAAGGAAAUUUAGCAUAUCAAAAGUUAAUAUUUACUUGUUCCCCAAAAUAUUGUGUCUCAUUGAAAGAUAAAAACUUUAAUGAAGUCUUAGGAUUACAUUUCAAAUUACAUAGAAAUGAUAUAAUGGAAUCAAGAGAUCAAAUUAUGAUUAUGGAAUAUAGAGCAUUAUAUACAUUUACUAAUUCUAAUUAUGGGAAUAUUUAUUCCAAUAAACCAUACAUAGAAAUUCAUAAGGAAUGCAAUGAUAUUGGUAGAAUAGUGAAACCAAACAAACAAAUAAAUCUUAUUCCAAAAGAAUAUGAAUUUAAUAUAACUAAAAAUAAGCCUGAAAUAACAGAGUUAAGAGAAGAAGAAGAUUAUAAAAUAAUAUUUCACAAUGGAAGGUUGAUAAAGAAAUCAAAAAGCCUUAAGACUACCGAAUAAAAAAGAAUAUUUGGGAGAAACUAGUGGUAUAAAAGAAAUAAAAUCUCAUGGAAAUAUUGGAAAUAUGAAAAUAGAAGGAAAAUAUUUCAACGGUAGAAGGUAUAUAAAAGGACCAAAUAUAUUGAUAAAUACAGGAGCUGGUGAAUGUUAUAUGGCUGCAAGUAAAAAUGAAGGAUUAAUGACUUACAAGAUAGAACCAUAUGAAUAUAGGAAUUUUGAUGAACAACUAUAUAUUACAGAAUUAAAGGUAAAGGUACCAAUAAAAAUAGGCGGGAUUGAUUUAUUAGUACCAUGUUAUUUGGUUGAAAGUAUGGAUAUUGAACCUCAUAUAUUAUUAGGAAUGAGUUUCUUAAAUGGAUUAGAAGAUUAUAGUAUAAAAAGAGAAGGCUUAGAUAUAACUCAUAAAGGACAAACUACAUUAUGUAAAAUAGGAAGUAGAUGAGUAAUCAAAUAAGUUUUCCAUUGGCAGUAUAUAUACAAGUUACUAUAGUAGAAACAAACAUAACAACUUGUGCCUUAAUUGAUAUAGGAAGUGAUAUAACAAUUUUCAAAAAUUUCUUAAUAAAAUCAUGGAAUAAAAAUAGUAAAAUAAAAAUAACAGGAGUGACUGGAGAAAGUACUCAAAUAAUUGAUAGUGCUAAAAAAAUUAAUAUAAUACUUGGUAUUAAACAAGUUAUAAUAAAUAAAGUAUACAAUUAUAAUAACCUAGAAUGUGAUAUAUUAUUAGGAAAUGACUUUAUCCAACAAUUUCAAUACUAUAAACAAAAUAAUUACAUGAUAAUGUUACAAAUACCUUGUGACAUCUAUUAAAAAUAUCAAGAGAAUUUAGAUCCUAGAGAGUUCAGCCAGCCCAGCGUGGUGAUAAAUGGGAAAAACGACCAAUAGUACAAGAUGAACUAAAAAAUAAAAAACUAUCAUAUAAAAAGAUCCUAAAAACAGAAAUAGAAAUAAGUAUGGAAAAAAUUAUAGAACAAUUAGAAAAGAUUUAUGGAGAAAACCCAUUAUUAUUUUGGAAACAUAUUAUCCUAAAACUAAAAUAGAAUUAACAGAAAAUGUUAUAAUAAGAGUUAGUCCAAUGAUGUAUACCUUACAAGAUAUGCAAGAAUUUAAAAUUCAAAUAAAAGAACUAUUAGAACAAAAAUUAAUUAGACCCAGUAAUUGACCUCAUAGUAGUCCAGCUUUUAUGGUUAUAAAACAUUCUGAGCAGAUUAGAGAAAAAGCUAGAAUGGUAAUAAACUAUAAGGAAUUAAAUAAAUAUACUAAAUUUGAUGGUUACUUUUUACCAAAUAAAAAAGUCCUAAUAAAUCUUGCAAAAGGAAAACAAUAUUAUUCCAAUUUGAUUGUAAAUCAGGAUUUUGGCAAAUAAAAAUGGAAGAAGAUAGUAUAUAAUAUACAGCUUUUAGUACACAUCAAGGAAAAUAUGAAUGAUUAGUUAUGAAAUUUGGUUUAAAAAAUGCACCACAAAUAUUUCAAAGGAAAAUGGAUAAUAUAUUCAAAAAGUUUAGUGAUUUUCUUAUUGUUUAUAUAGAUGAUAUACUAAUAUGCUCUAAUAAUAAAAAAGAACAUAGGAAUCAUUUAUUACAAUUCAUAAAUGAAUGCAAAAAGGAAGGAAUUGUACUUUCUAAAAAGAAAUCUAUAAUCAAGAAUAAGAAAUAGAUUUUAUGGGAUUAUCAAUAGAUAGAAAAAGAAUAAAAUGACAUACUCAUAUAUCUAAAAAGAUAGAAAGCUUUCCAAAUGAAUUAAAAUCCAAAGAAUAAAUAAAAAAAUUUUUAGGAUGUUUAAACUAUGCUAAAGGAUUUAUUGAAAAUCUCUCAAAAAAGAGACAUAAGAUACAAAUUCUACUUAGGAAAACAAAUACUAAAGGUAACAAAGAACAUACUGAAAUUGUUAAAUCAUUAAAAGAAGAAUGUAAAAAUUUAUCAAAAUUAAGGUUACCAGAUGAAAAAGAUAAUCUAAUUGUUAAUACUGAUGCCUCAGAUAAAUAUUGGGCAGUUAUAUUAAAAACAGAUUUAAAUGAAAUAUGCAGAUAUUCAAGUGGAACUUUUAACCAAGCAGAAAUAAAUUAUACUACUCAUGAAAAAGAAUUGUUAACAAUUAUUAGAGGAAUAAAAAAGUUUUCAUUAUUCCUUUUAUCUAAAAAAUUUAUUGUUGAAACUGAUAAUUCUCAUGUUGUAGGACUUAUUAGAAAUAAGUUACCUAUGGAAUCUCAAUAUAAAAGGUUACACAGAUGGCAAGCAUAUUUAUCAUUCUACAAUUUUGAUAUUAUUCAUAUUAAAGGAAUAAAUAACUAUCUUGCAGAUUUUUUGAGCAGGAAUAUCGAAUUUGGAGAUGGAUAAUAUCAAAAAUUUAUUAAUAGACGUCAACAGACGAAUGAAAUUCCUCAUGGAAGAAUCAGAAGAUAUGAAAAUUGGAAUUGAGCAAUUAGAGCAAAUGGCAGAAUCUAUCCAACAAAAUGUCAAAUUGUUGGUGGAAAUCUCUAAUUCUCAUUCCAAAUAUACCAAAGAAUUGAAUGACAGAAUUGUUGAUAUUACUUCACAAUUCGAGUCAUUAAAUACCAAACAAGAAAUACCAAUUGAUACAAUCUAAAAAAUACAAACAGGUACGCAGCAAGGAAGCAGCAAUAGACCCAGCAAUAUCAAACGAGAUAUAGCAAGUCCCCGGAAGGUAACUAUAAAAAAUGGUGAUGAGCAUAUAAGAGUUAUCAGAAUCAAAACUGAUGAAGAUGAUGAUACCCCUUUAUCAUCAAAAGAAGAAGAAUAUAGAUCAUUUGCCAAACUUGUUCAUGAAUUGGAAGAAAAUGAAUCAUAUUUUAUUGCAUCAGGAGAUCAUGUUUAUCCCAGAUUAAUAAUUAUCAAAGAUGCAGACCCUUUCAUGGUCAAAAUGGCGACAGAUUAUGAAUUUCUUGAUUUGAUCUAUCCAGUAAAAGAUUUAAAAGAAAUUGAAAAAUUUGAUGAUAUAUUCAGGGCAGAGGUUUCAAAAUUUGUCCAAGGGAGAUCGAUUUAUAUCAAAUUUUAUUCAAUAAGUCCCGAGGUUGAUGGAAGGAUAUAUUAUCCUGCUGAACAUAUUAUCACAAUUGGAUAUGUUGGCCGAGAUUUUCGUAUUGAAGUUGGCCGAAAUAAUAAACUAUUGCCUAAAAUCAAUAAAUCAUGGAUAAAAUCCCAAAGAGUUUUGGGGAUGAAAGUUCUUUAUAACAUUGCAAAAAACUUAUAUGAUAAAAAAUUCAGAUGCUUGUGUCAAUAUGAAGGAUGGACACUCCUUACGAAUAAUGGAAAAGAAAAAUCUACUAUUUUGAAAGAAUAUAUCUAGAAAUUUGAUACUCAUCAAAUGAAUGGAAGUUCUACAACAAUCCAAGAAUCAUGUAGAUUGAGGGAGUGCCCCACACGCAGACAAGAUUAAAAAGAUUGACAAAAGAUGAAUGGAAGGGGACCUACCACUACCAAAGCAUCUAGCCAGCUGCAUAUGGAGCCAAAGAUGGAGAGACAAUAAUAGAGGAAAAGAUGUCCCUUUGAUGAAAAAGCAAAAAAUGCAUGUGAAAAUGUAGACCCCAGGAGGAAAAGAAUAGAGAGGCAUGCGAGCCUUUUCAAAUUCUGAUGUAUGCAAUGAUGUAAUAGACCAAUAAUAGCAAGUUUGAGUCAUGUAUAAAUAGAGGUCUUUGGGGAAAGAAUGGAUCAUCUCGAAUUAGAAACCAUUCUCUUUCCUUAAACUUUCUUUAAAACCAAUUUUUCUGGAAACCCCUUGUAUACAAUAGAAAUCUUGUAUAAAUCAUUAUAGAAAUAAAAUCUCAAUCUUUUGAUAUCAGAAAAAUAUGAGUUUUUAAACUUCAUAUCCCAUAGAUUCUUGACAGAUUGAAGAAGAUAAUCUCUUUCUUACUUUAACAAAGGGGGAAUUUUCUUUACUUAAAAUCCUUAUUCUUAAUUCUAAGAAAAGAUACAGUGAGGGUAGGAAGCUGAAAUAGCAGAAUUUCCAUUAAGGCAAAAGACCGUUUGAGGGAGCAGUUUGCAGAUUCAGAGCCUGAAAGUCACUCAGUUCUAAGAAUACAAAUUUAAGAUCAUAAGUAAGGUAAAAUUAUUGUCUUUGUUAAAUUUAGAAAGAAUUCUUCUAAUAUCUUGAAAGAAUCGUAGGGAUUAUUACUUUUCAUGUUUGCAAAAAAUUUAUCUAUCAUGUUAUUAUUCAUAAAGCUUGUAAGGAAUUAUCUAAAUGAUACCAGGCUAUACAAUUAAAGGAUUAGAUAAUCUGUUAGAAAGACUGUUAGAAAAAAUAAAAAAUAUUUUUUCUCAACUAGAGACUAUGGAUAUAUCAUAUAAGGAAUAUGAUAAUCUUAAAGAAUUAUAUGACAAUUAUAUUACAGAUUAUACUAAUUUAUUAGAUCAAAAGAUGGAACUAUAUAUUAAAAUUCGAAACGAGAGAAAUAGAAGAAUUUUGGAACUAUUCCAAUAAAUUAGGAUAUUUUGUGCAAAAUAUGGCAAGCCAUUUCAUUAAGGGUAUUAUAGACAUUUUGGCAAAAAUGAAUAACGAUAGGCCAUUUAGAAAAAUUCCUCGACGGCGAGAGUAGAGGAAGAAGAGAUAUUAUAUUUGUCUUAAGAGAUUAGGGCUUCCACUUCCCCUUUCCUCUUGUUUUCAAAUUUCUACUUUUGAUUUGUACUUUUUUUUUAAUCUAAUUGACAAAUUAAUUAUAAGUAUGUUUAUAGAUAGUGUGUAGAAUAAUUUAAUUUAUAAUUUGUAAUUAGUUAAAAUUUGUAUGUUUUAUUCGAAAGAAUCAUUCUAUUAACUUUUAGGGUCAGUUUCAUUGUAAAGAUGAAAUUUGGAUGGAAAGAAAAUGAAUUUCAGGAAAUUGAAUUGUCUAGAAAUUAUUUUAUUGGGAAUUAUCAAUUAUUGUGUUUGAUUGAUAUAAUUUUUUAUGUGAAAAAUGUUAAAAUAAAAGUAUUUUUUGAUGUUCGUUUGACAUUAUUUUACAUAAAAAUUGUCAAUUAAAGGGAUAAAAUUUAUUGGUAUUGGUGAUAGAAUUUGUUCCUCUUGCCCAAAAAAAAAAAAAAAAAAAAAAGGGGCAAAAAAAAAAAUUAUUUUUUGGGGUNNNNNNNNNNNNNNNNNNNNNNNNNNNNNNUCAUCUAUCUUUUGGUGUUCAUUUGCUUUUGUUUUAUAUGGAAAUUAUCAAUUAAAGAAAAAUAUUUUUUUACAAUUAAUGAUAGAAUUUGUUUUCAAUGCCAAAAAAAUAAAAAAUAAAAAAUAAAAAUUGGCAACUUACCUAGAAAACCAAUUCCCCCCAUUCCUUGAAAACUAAGAAAAGUCCACUUUUCAAAAAAAACCAAGCAAAUGAAUUACAUGGAAAAUAUUUGCUAUCAAACACUAUCAAAAGGUGGAAAAUAGACAAAAUUUUCCAUUUUCCAUGGAAAAGAUGCCCAAUCAAACAAGGCCUUAAUAUAUUUUUCCAACAGAAAUUGUGCAGUUUUAGUUCGAAAAAUUUUAAUAUAGUUUCAGUAUAUUAUUUUCAUAUUACCGAUAGAAUUUUAUCAUUAAAAAUUCUUAAUUUAUUUUUUAGGAUUUUGGUUUUUUUUUAAAUUAAAAAUUAAAAAUAAUCUUUAAUUAAUAGGUAGGAUUGAUUGAAAUUAAACGUAUGCUGAAUUUUUAUUUUUAUUUUUGUUCUUUUUUACAACAAGCAAUAAAUAUAGCAAAUCCUUGUUGCAAAACACACUUUCUCUCAACAUUUAAUGAUUGUUGCAAAAUGUUAUAUAGUAAGAAUUUCAACAAUAUGUACUGAGCAUUGCUAUAGAAUAAAAUUUUAAACAGUUCAAUGAACAUUGCUAAAGGAAAAAAAAAAAGAGAAGAAUUAAAACUUUUGCAACAUAAAAAUAAAUAAAUUAAAACUUUUGCAACAUUCAAAGAACGUUACAAAAAGCUAUAUAUCAAGAGUUUCAAAAACGUUUAUUGAACGUUGCUAUAGAACUUUAUUUUUACAACAUUCAUUAAACAUUGCGAAAAAUAAAACUUCUUACAACAUUCAAGAAACGUUGAAAAUGGUAAUAUUGACAACAUGCAAUUAAAAAAAAAUAUAUUGCCAAUGCUUAAAAUUAAAUUAAACAAUGGCAACAUUUUUUACUUUUUAAAAUGUUGCAAUAAACCCAUUUAGCAGCAUACAAUUCACGAAUGUUGCCUUUUGAGUAUUGCAAAAGGCUAUUUUAAUUGUAGUGAAAAUUCGUGAUAUGUAUAUAAAAAUUCAUAUGUCAUUAAAUUAAUUUCGGUACACGUGAUAAAUGAUCAUACUUAAAAAAAUUAUUACCUUCACUAAACUUUGAAAAAUUAAGCUUUCGGACUGAUAACGUAUUAUGAAAAGAGAUAGAAAGAGCAGGGAGAAUAAAAGUCAAUAGACUUGUAUGUAUUAUAAUAAGAACUAGAGUCAUGUAUUCAUAAAGAAGGAUUAUGGAUACAAUGAUAAUAAAUUCUAGAUUUACAGAGGUACAAUUGUCAUUCACAAAUAAAACUUACCAUUUACAACAAAAUGGUUUUUUUUUCCUUCAAUUUGCUCCUAAAAAGGUUUUUAUUGAUAGCAACAAGGUAAGUCGGACGUUCUCUUUUUGAAUUUUAAGAGGCGCGUAGGACAUUUUGAUCUUCAUUUUUCGUCCCAUUUAUUUAUGUAUUUACUUAUUUAUAUAUUAGUAUGUGUUUAAAUUUAAAUUUUAUUCAAAAAAAAUAAAAAAAAAAUAUGAAUCAUGGAUGGGUUUGUGAUAGCGAUCAUGUUUCCUAACCCCAUCCCUAAUAAGGAUUAUAGAAUUCCUGACCUUCAAUUCACGUGGCGCUUUCCGUCCCACGUUGUCCUACCUUGAAUAGUAAACGAGGCGGGAUGCAGAACCUAUAGUCCCUAGUUUCGAAUUUUUAGUACUAGCUCUGAAUCAUUUUUCAUUAUUAUAUUUUAUUUUAUUGUUAUGUUCUUCAUUUAAAUCAUAUUUAAAAAAAUUUAAUUAAAUAAAUAAAAUGAUGAAUGAUGGUUUUUUAUGUCUCAACCUACCCUACAUUCUGAAAAAUUGGAACGAAACAAGAAUGAUAUGAUGGCUACUAUCCAUUGUCAUCCUUAAUUUCACAUUUCUUGUUGGGCGCAGUAACUUGAGGCUGGAGUUUUGUUAAAGAUUCCUCAAAUAAUUUAGCAAAAAAUAAAAACAAUGAAAAAUAAAUCCACUUUAAAAUAGGGUCAUCUCUAAAAGAUAAAUGUAUUAUCGAUUGAUUCCCAUUUUUCAGUUGAAACUCAUCUCUGCAGGAAGGCUAUGAUCCAAUCCAACCUUAAAAUUUCUCAAAUUCUUUUAAAAAAAACUUUUUUCACCGCAUUUUUAACUCUACAAUUAAAGUGGAAUAUAUUUCAAAUGACAGAAUGAAACUUAAUUGAAGGAACUCGUUUUAACAAUAUUUGCAGUGAACCAUAAAUUUGAUCAUGGGCCACAAUUGCAUGACUAUUUGUUUGAACUCAUGAAGUUCGUUCUAUAAAUCAUGAUAAAGAAUUCAUCUAGCGACAAAGGCAUGCUUUGGAUCAACGAAGCUUCUUUCUUAGCUAAGAGUCUAUAGCAUUUGUUUUUCAAUAAAAAGUGUGUACAAUUUGAUCAACUCGUCAAUAAAUAUUCCAUACAAGUCUUCAAUUCGACGUAUACGCCUUUUAAAAUUGUAUUUAGUCAUAAUUUUAUGUUCCAAGCAAAUAAUUUUAUGAUUUAUUCUUCUCAAUAUUAGGAUUUGGGGUCAACAUUGUUAAGAAGGACAGCUCAAACUUUUAUAAGUUGGUCUAUGUUUUCAUCUUUUUUCGAUAUGAAAUUUUAUCCCUUGACAAUCAAGUUAUUAGUAAGUUCUGGAUCCGUAAAAUGAAACCUUAGCAUGUCAUUAAGAAAUCCAUUCGUUAAUAGGAUUCAAUUAAGCUACUGUUGCCAAUUACGAGUUGAUACAUGGUUAAAUGACAUUCAAACACUUGAUAUACUUGAUAACUUGUUAAACUGUUGAUAUAGGUUGCAGUUUGAGAGUUCUGAAGUAGUAGAACGAUAUAAUGACCACUUUUCGAGUAUUAUUGACAUUAAUAUUUUUCUUAACUUCCAAUGAAUUUAAAUGAAUAAAUCUAGAGAUCAUAGUAAAUAUGAGGCUUAAGGAGAAUUUGCAAUGAUUUCAGCUACGUUUGAAAAGUCAAUAGGGUCAAAUUCAUCAAUGACAACCCAACUUUAUUUAAAUAAAUUCACAUAUUCGACGUUAAUUUUAAUAUUUAAAUAAAGUGAUCAUUUGACAUCUUACUAGUGCUACCAAAGAACGUGUGAACCAUAAUAUUAAACACAUCUGAUUUGUUUAUUGUACAAUGUAAAUGGAUAUAAAGACUUCAAGGGGCAUCGCAUAACAUAUUCAAAGUUUCCAAAUAAAUAAAGUCAUCAUGUCCUCAACUCGUCAAAAAGUUAAUACCUUUAAGGUAUCUGCCAAAGAAAGGCAUGAAAAUUGACACCCCCACUAUCUAUAUACACCAUUUGACACUUACCUUAACGAUUAAGAAUAUGUCUAAUCAUCAUUUACUAAAACUCAUAAAUAUGUUUGUGAGUUUCAAAUUUUAUUUUCAAUCAUACAUUUCAUUGAAUUCACAACUUUUUAUCCUCUUUUCUAUCAAGCCUGACCAAAGCCACUUAGGUAACAGCCCAAGGCCUUGGAUAUUCGAUGGAGAAUAAAUCUCCCUGUCCCGGGUUGGGGACAUGGAGGAAGGGUUGGGGACAGGGAGGAAGACAUGCGGCGCCCCUGUCCCUAACCCUGUCCCCAACUCGGGACAGGGAGCAGGGCUCUUCGAGGGACCUCAAAAAUAAACAAUUUGUUCUCUGGUUCUUGCAGAAAGUGGAAAUAUAUCUUGUUAUUGCACAAUGCAUAUUAGUGCAUGACAAGAAUGACGUGUAUGAUUUGCCAAAGAAAUGAAGGUACUUUCCUUGGUUUCCUCCUUCUGCUUUAUUUCCAGUCGUCAUCCAUUUACCAAUAUGAGUUGAUUUCCUUUCCUAGAAAAUAUGCUCAUGCCAAUUUCCUAAAUUUGUGGAUUUAAUUGAAACCCAAAAAAGUUUGACCAUAUUUUCUUACCUUCAUUUCAAUCCAUGAGAAUCUUUGUCAAAUCUUUAAUUUGUGGAAUCACACACAUUGAAAGAACAUUUUAGUCCAACCUAUCUUUUCCGUUCAAUCUCAUCUUUGCAUUGACAUACAUUAUGUGUUGGUUGGACAAUACUGGAGAUUAUAAAAUAAAAUAUUAGACAGCAUUAAAGAAUAAACAACUAUCACAAAUUCACGGCAUAUUUAAAAGAUGCUGCCAAAGAAAUCCAUUUUAAGGAGCUUUUAAUCACUUCCAAACAAGCUUUUAGCUCUGAACAUUUUUCAUUAGCUCGAUUUAUAGUACUAAUUAAACAAUAAAAAGACGUUAAAAUUUUUUCCAUAGUAAUCUACAUUUUUGUCCAGCACUAAGCAUGGCUCCUAAAUAUGAUAGUAAACAUGUGGGCCUUUCCUGUUUAAUAGGAAUCCUCAUCUGAGUAUGUUUCCUCAAGGAUCAAUAGACAAUAGCUAGUUUUUUUUUCACAUUUUACUCAAACUCGUGUAUUUCAUGUUGAACUGCCUCAUAUAGAAAUUCCGAGAGAUUAAGUUAUGAGAAAAAAGUUAUGUUUAAGGGCGAUGUAUUUACUAAUAUCAUACCAGAGGGCCUCAUCAUAAUUAUUUGCUAGCCUUGAGAACCUGACCCCAAUAGCCCCUUUUCUACGAACCACCUUGGUGAGCCUUUCUUCGUCAACGAAUCUAGUUCACAGAUUCGCCUCAUUUUCUCCAUCAACAAGCCUAGUUUGCAGCUUUGCCUCACCAAGUGACUCCAACGAGGUACAUCAACGAGCCUGGAAGUUGUUACUAUGUAGAUGAAUAUGUGGAUCCCUAGAUUCUGACAUUUGCUCAGCAUCUUAGCACUUUGAGGAUGACAGUAUUCAAGCAGCCCAGUUUCACACCUAACAACUUGUUAAGCAAGAGGAAACCUCUUUCAAUGUGGAUGAGGAAUUUAAUUCAGCAACAUAGGUGGUGUACUCUAAGCUGCCUGCAAGGAGCCACGAUCUGAAUUUCUAGAGAGCAUGUUGAAACCAAUACUGAUCUCGGCAAGUUUUAAUAAAUAUUUUGGGUUUCCUUCCGACUCCCAUGACCAGUCCCUCCAUUGUGGCACAAUUCUGGUGCCUGUCCCGCACCAAGAGUGCCUCAACAGCCGAAGCUGGAGGUGAGGGUGCGUUGGAGCUGCCUCGACAAUAGUUGCUAGAGGCUGGAGGUUGCGGUGUACCCAGAAGCCUCAAAAGUCAUAGUUGGAGGUUGAAUUUUGGUUUAGACAAUUUAUCUAACAUCUCAUGGACGAAGUAGCACUGAGAUUUUAUGAGAACAAACAAAGGCUGCCUCUAAUUCCGUGCUCAACAUAAUAUCCCAAUUAUGCUCGUUUUAGAAUAUCUGCGUAGUGCGUCCUACGUAGGCGAAAGACAAGGAAGAGACAGUAUUCAUAACGAUGGAGAGGUGCCCCCUGGUUCAAUGCGAGGCUUAAUUGAAUAUCUCCAGUAUUUGAGAAGAAUCUAAAAGACUUUCAUACAGCAGGAGGCGGCCCAAGGCUCUUACCACCAAUGCAGGAAGAUUUGCAGCCAUCGGAAGCGACUACCACUGCGCCUGCCUCUACGGCAUUCAUCGGAUGCUACGGGAGCCUUGGUGGCGGUGAGAGCACUGGGGCCAGAUCUUGACCAAUGGGGAUCGAGAUCGAGUGGCACAUAGGUCGCAAUGCUGCUGCGACUACGAGAUGUCGUAGCUGGACUAUUUUAACGACAAUGGCUUGAGGCUUACGCCGUGGAGAUGCAGUCCACGAACUGCUGCUUAGGCUUGAAGACUUUGAAAACGGGAAAAUGAAAGUGAAAGUUCUAUAACUUUUAAGUUUUUAUUUUUCAUUUAGGGGGUGUUUGAGAGUCAUUUGUAUGUAAAAAUGUAUUUUAGAAUAGUAAUUUGAUGGGAAAUGUAUAGUUGAAAAAUAAGGAAAAAAUUUUGAUUUACGUGUUAUAUUAUUUUAAUAAAGAAUGUGUAAUUGAAAAGAAGAGAGAAAAAAUACAUUUUAGAAAAAAAUGGGUACCAAAUGGGGGCUUAAUUUCCCUUAUUCUGGCCAAGGGCUCAAUUUGUAAAUUGAAAAGUAAAGAGCCAUUGGACACAUUAUUAAUUUAGUGGGUUAGCGACGAAAUUAUGCCAUUCUAUAUUUUAUUAAAUAGCGUAUAACAACGUAUUUUUUCAUUAUAUUUCAAAUAAAUAAAUAAAUAAGUACGAAAAAUAUAUUUCCCUAAUUUCAAAGUAGAGAAACAAAAUUUUUUGACGUAAAAUAUUAUCAAGGACGAAAUGUAUUAAUUAGGGCUUGUUUGAGCCACAUUAUUUUCAAAAAAAUACAUUAUUUAAUAGUGAUUUGACAUCAUUUCAACCAUAAAUUUUUCAAUAAAAUAAUAUUACACGUAAAUUUAAAACUUUUCAUUAUUUUUUAACCAUACAUUUUUCAUCGAUUUGACAUGAAUAAUGCAUUUUUCCUAGAAUGUGGCUCAAAUAUGGGCUUAAUUAAAAAGUCGAAUAUAAGAGUUUGACGAAAAAAAUUGCAAUAAUAAGCAAAAAUUAAGAACCUUAACUAUAAUUAAAAUGUAGUGUAGCUAAUAAAAAUUGCAAUACCAAUAUUACCGUCCUAAAAUAAAACUUGGCAUCCCUUAGUAGAGACAGAAAAAAAUGAACAAACCACUCGAAAGGGUUCUUUCAUCCUAUCCGAAACUUUAAGAUAUGUUUUUUUAUAUGCUAGCAGAAAUAUAAUACAAAAGAGGCAAAUAAUAGAAAUUUACUACUUUAAAACAUAAUUGUUCUUUCCAAGUACCUAUAUUUAAUUAUCCGCAAAGGGCCAACUGAUUCAAAGCUCCAAAUUUGCAUAUGGCUUAAAUUUGCUGAAUUUGUUCUAUCUCCUACAAUUCUAAGUCUGCUUCAUCAACAAUGUUUGUUGUUGUUGUUGUCAUAAAUAUGGUAUGAACAGGAAUCAUUGGCAGCACAAGUUGAACACUCAGCUUAAAACUCCUCCACGUGCCAGAGAUAUAAACAGUGCAUAAGAAGAGCAGCAUAAUUAUGGAGUAGGUAUACCAAAAGAUAUCUCGUGGGAAGAAUUAGGGGUGUAAGCGAUCCUAUUUUACCGAUUUUUGACAGAUUUUCAAACCAAACCGGUUUGAAAGAAACCCAAACUUAAACCAAACCAUUUUAAACGGUUUGAAAAAAACUCAAACCUAAACCUAACGGUUUGGUCUGAUUUUAAACAGCCGAUUUCGUCAUAUAUAUUUUUUCCGUCUACUUUUAUAUCAUUAAUUCAUUGAAUUAAAUAUAUAUUUAUAUCUUACUAGUAAUAAAUCUAAGACAAACUAAACCCCUGUUUGAACCAAAUUUCUGGAACAAAAAAAUGAAAAUUUGGAUCAUUAUCCCACAAGUCCAGCCUCCUUUGUUGACCUGUUAUUUCAUGUGUGGGACCCAGCCUCCUCUCCAACGAUCAAUUUUCUUGUUACGAUGAUAUGGAAAAUAUGGCUCAAACGAGACUAAAUAUAUCUACUAUAAAUUUAAAUACCAACUAGAUCAAAGAAAAAUUACAAUAAACUAAAACGUAGUUUUUUUUUUUUUGUUCAUCUUUUUUAGGCUAAUAACGAUAUAAUAAUGUUACAGUACAAGUCUAUUAAAUUAGAUAUAAGGGCCAAAAAAUAUAAUGAUGUUCAAUAAGACCUCUUGAUCAUCAUAUCUGAAUAAAGGAUACUGAUUAGACAAAGAGAAUAACCAACCACAAUAAUAAAGCAAUUGUUUAUAAUAUCUAAACAUAACAAUUACACAAGUUUACGUUUGUUUGAUGUUACGAAACGCAUUUAAUUUCAGAUUCUUACCUUAAUUUGUUCCAAAAAAAAUUAUUGAUCUGAAACUUUAUUCGUAGCAAAUAUUAUCACCGAAUGUUUAGGAUCUCUUUGUCUCGGAUUUGGUAUAAUAGAUUACUAUUCAACUUUGAAGAGGCGUGAAAAAUCUAAAAAAGAAGUGUGUGGUGCCGAUGGCUCAAGACUGUGUUGGAUGUCGGCUGGGAGUUCAUUUAAAUUUUGAAGAGGAAAAUGACUUUUGAUAAAUUAUGUUAGUCUUGAGAUUAUUAUAUAUAUAUAUAUUAGGAUUAUUGGAUGAUAAUAAUAAUAAUAUAUCUGUAUUAGAAAAUUAGAAAUUGACUAAAAUACCCACAAAUGACAAAACUAUUAAAUUUUACAUAUUUGGAUGAAUUUCCAAAAAAAUUCAUUUCUUCAUUUUUUUUAUUUUUAUAUAUUUUUUCGCCGGUCCGAUUUGGUUUUAAACCGCAAUUAAAAUUCUCAAACCUAAACCAAACCAUUUUGACCGGUUUGGUUUGGGUCAAAACCAUUUCGUUGAUCGGGUUCACGUGGCACCAAACCGACGGUUUAUAAAAUGCGAUUUCGAUUCAAUUUUUCGAUUUGUCGAUUUUUGCUUACAGCCUAAGAAGAAUAGUGAGGCCAAGAAACAAACCAAUAGGGAAAGAGUAAUUCUUGACUUGAAUGCGUAUGUAUCCCCUAUCAACUUGAGGUGUCAAUGAGAUUUCAUGGAAACAUCCACUAGUGUGAAAAUGAAAACAGUUUCAGAAAAAAAUGGAUGUUUCCAUGAAACUUCCAAUUUUCUUAUAUAUAGGGAUAUAUCAUGCUGCUCAAUGCAAGCAUCAUUAAUGAAAACAGUUUCAGAAAAAAAUGGAUGUUUCCAUGAAACUUCCAAUUUUCUUAUAUAUAGGGAUAUAUCAUGCUGCUCAAAGCAAGUAUCAUCUUCAUAUUCAAUUCAUCACUUCUCCUUAAUUUCUCUCUCUAACCAAAAUCCAAGCAUUCUGCAAUCUAUCCAACCAAAAACCAAGAAUUCUUCAAUUCAUCACUUCUCCUUAAUUUCUCUCUCUAACCAAAACCCCAAGAAUUCUGGAAUUCAUCACUCUCUCAAACCAAAAACCAAGAAUUCUGCAAUUCAUUACCUCUCCUUAAUUUCUCUUUCUUAACAAUCUUUCAGGUAAGAAUAAUGUCAUACUUUGAUCUAAGACACGCUACCCCAUUAGUUGUAAACAUACUGAAAUCAUCUAUAGCCAUGCCUUGGGAAUGGGAUCCAUUUGGUAUAGUAAUUGAAAACUUCACAUGGGUCAAGUUUUGGCUUCUCACUAGCUUUUUUCUUUCUCUUCUCCUUCAUCUCCAUUGAAAUCCCAUUGGCAUCUCAAGUUGAUAUGGGAUGCAUACGCAUUCAAGUCAAGAACUACUCAGUUUCCCUAUUGGUUUGUUUCUUGGCCUCACUAUUCUUCCCACAAGAUGUCUUUUGGUAUAUCUACCCCAUAAUUAUGCUGCUCUCUUUAUGCACUACUUGUAUCUCUAGAAUAUGGAGGAGUUUUAAGCAAAAUGUUCAACUUCUGCUGCCAACAAUUCCUGUUCUUAACAUAUAUAUGACCACAACAAUAAAUAUUGAUGAGGAACCCGACUUAGAAUCGCAUGAGAUUGAACAAAUUCAGCAAGUUUAGGCCAAAUGCAAAUUUGAAGCUUUGAAUCAGUAAUUAACUAUAGUUAUAUGGAAAGAACUAUAAUGUUUUGAAGUUGUAAAUUUUUGUUAUUUGCCUCUUUUGUAUUACAUUUCUGUUAGCCUAUAGCGAAUAUAAUUAGAGCAAAAAAACGUGUUUUAGAUUUUCAGAUUUUUUUUAAUUAUUUUUUUGCCUCUAUCAAGGGAUGUCAAUUUAUAUUGGUACUAUAAUUUUGAUUAGUUGCACUACAUUUUAAUUGUAGUUCUCGUUAUAGCAAUCAUUUUCUUAAUUUUUUUCAUCAAAUUUUUAUCUUCAACUUUUCAUUAAUUAAUACAUUUUGUCAUUAAUGAUGAUUUACUUCAAAUAUUUUGUUCUAUGCUUUGAGAUGACGAAAAAUAUUUUUAGUACUUAUAUAUUUAUUUAAAAUAUGAUAAAAAAAAAAAGUCAUCGUACGCUAUUUAUUAUAAUAUAGAAUGACAUAUAUACCGGUUUGGAUCAAUAACGUUCACUUCAAUUUUCUACUUUUCAAAGUCUUCUAGCAUGAGCUGGAGAUUUUGCAGUCGACUGCAUCAAGCCUCAGGCCAUAGUCGUUAAAACAGUUCAAUUACGACAGGGCUACAUGCCACUCCAUAAAGAUCUGAACACUGGGCCAAGAUCUGGCACCGGUGCUCCCACCGCCACCGAGGCUCUUGUAGCAGCGGCGUUGCGACCUACACGACACACAAUCUUGAUCCCCCUUGGUCUCGGCGGACCAAGUACGACUCUUCGUGUUAGACUGAACACUGGGCCAAGAUCUAGCACUGGUGCUCCCACCGCCACCGAGGCUCCCGGAGCAGCUGCGUUGGACCUACAUGCCACUCGAUCUCGAUCCUCAUUGGUCUCGACUGACCAACCUGGGCCAAGAUCUGGCGCGGUGCUCCCACCGCCACCGAGGCUCCCGUAGCAGCGACGUUGCGGCCUACAUGCCACUCGAUCUUUAUCCCCCCUGGUCUCGGCAGACCAUGAAAUAAAUUGUAAAUUGGAGUAAUUUAUUGAAGUCAUAUAUUGUCCUUGAGAUGAUUGCUCUUUUUUGGUUGGCUUCAAUUUCUACAGGUUUCCAAUAUUUUUCCCAUUGAGAACGCCAGUUUGUGUGACACCAAAUACUCAUUUGGAGGUCCAUUUUUGGUGUUGUUGUGGUUCUACAAGGUAACUCGCUUAACUGGUGGGUUAGCAUAUUUUGUACGGGAAAAGCUAGGAAACCCAUAUUUGUGGGGUUUCUGUCACCGCCUCCCUGUUUUCCCCAGCUUUUCCAUUCUGUAUAGCAUCUAUUGAUCCUUGAUUGUGUACUGAAAAUGUUAAAAAGUGAUUGAAAAGUGACAAAAAGUUCAAAUUAAAUUUGCCCCUGUUUGAUCCCCAUUUUUAUCCAUAAUGCAUUUUUUCCAUCACAUCAACGUGGGACCAACACGCCAUUUUUUAUUGCAAAUUUGAAUUCAAAAGGCAUAAAAUUUCAACUUUACCCUUUGUAUCAAAACAAUUCAAAAAGUUACCAAAAAUCUGUUGAAAAGUCAAAGGACAGGUAAUGGAAAAGAAAAAGCCAUUUUCUCUGUGCAAGUUACAUAGGCUAUCAGAACAAUAAUUGGCAACGGUCCCAAAAUUAAUUUUUGACCGAAAUUAAUGGCCCCCAAACAGCCCCAGAGACCAAUAAUAAAAUAGAGUUGGUGCUAUUAACUGGUCAGAUAAUCAUCUCCACUUUGGAAUCCUAAAAUAUUAUCUGUUGCAAUGUAUUUGUGAUGUUUAAUUUAAAUAAUAUGAUAAUUAUCUAAAUAAAUUUUUAUGUUGGAUAGCCUCAAGUAAUGGAUAUACUGACAAUUUGUAUACUUGCUGCGGAAAAUGAUUAUUAUUAUUCUCUCACAAGUUUGAUACGAAAGGUGAGUAAUGUCUUCUAUGCACAACUCCAUUGGUCACUCACACUGGGUCGGGGUUAAGGGUUUUCUUGGCAAUGCUGUGGCAAAAGGAUCCAUUGCCAGAUGCGAGCUAGAGCAGAUGACCCAAAAUCUGUUGUAUACUGGUUAAAUUAAGAGUAUAAUUUUGAAUGCAGUUCUGGACAACCACUGAAUAAAGUGAGUAUGCAACUUCCCAUUUACCGGCUUCAUUGUUCAAACUAUAAAGCUUUACUGUCUUUUUUUCUGUUCCAAUUUUCGCUGUUCGUCCAAUUUGUGGAUAGUCUUUUUACUCAUUAUCAUGUUUGCCCUCUCACCAAUGCUGCCCUACUGCAUCACGGUGUAAUGCACUAUCCUUCGUUUCAAACCAUCCUUUUAACUCUACUCGUUGGGAAGAAAUUGAAUAUUGUUGAAGAUUACUUUUGUUUAUUUAUAGUCAAUGUGGCAAUCUCUCUCCGGGAGCCUGGAGGCUCCAUUUUUGUCACGAAGUUUGGAUAUGUUAUAUUAUAAAAUUAGAGAGUAAUUGAGUUUAUAUUAAAUCUUCUCAUAUAUAUAUAUAUAUAUAUAUAUAUAUAUGAGUUCUAUACAAGAUAUCAGACCUAUGAAUCUAUUUUAUUUGUGAUUAUUCACAGAUGGCAGAAGUAUUAGACAUUGGUUACUUGUCGAUAUAUAAAUACAUACCUUAAUAAAUAAGACGGUGCAACGUAAAAGUCGGGACUCAAUUCCUUUCUUUUAUUUCCUCUAAAAAUGUUCCUCUGUGGCACAUCACUACCAAAUCCAUUACAGAAGUGGACUUGCAAGUAUGCCUCCGUUAGCACAUUACUCAUCAAAAUCCGAGUAACAAUCUACUCCAUCAGAGUCAAAAUUAUGGGUCUCAUUCCCAAUCCUCGACUUCAACACAAAGCAUAGAAUAAAGAUAUACUAGGGCUCCCUUUGAGAGGAAUUUUGAGAAUUGAUUUUUUGACCGUUAGAAGAAAAAUGAGGUCCACCUGUGAAAAAAAAAAGUCAAAAAUUACGGUUCGAAUAGUGAAAUAACAAUCAAAAAAUCAAUUUUUUGGAGUAAAAAAUCCUUCCUAAACAGGCUCUAGAUGCCGUUAUAAUGGAAUUUAAUAUAAUAUACCAUUGCAAUGGUAGUUGGGAAACUACAUCACCUUAUCAAAAAAAAAUGAAACAGCAUGUGACCAUUACAAAUUUAAAGGAAACAACGGGUGACUAUUAAAUCACCUUAAAAACAAACUGAAGUUUAAAAGUACCUAAUAACAAAUCUACUAAUUUGAUAAUUCGAAAGAAUAACGAAUCUACGAAUUUCAUAAUUCUAAAGGAAAAAGAGAGAGAGAUACAAAAAAAGAAUAGAUAGAGUCAAGACUCAAGUUUGUAAGUUUGUUGCAGUAAUGGAUACAUAUUUAUAUAGUUUAAAAGGAGAGUUACAAUCUAAAUAAAAUAGACCCUUACAGAGUAAAUAAGAUUUAUCUAAGUAUCUUGAUAAGACUAAAUAGGCAUCAAUAAUUAUCUCAUAGUUUUACAAUAUUCUCUUCACUAAAAACCUAGUUUGACAAAAACUCAGUCGGGUCAAAACUACCAACACAAACAAAAAAAGUGUACAAAAAAUUACAACAAAAUUUGUAGUAAUAAAAUAUUGCCUCAUUAAUACCAUGUCAUGAAAAUCCAAUGAGACAAAACUUGAUUGAAAAAAAAAAAAGAAAAAAAGAGAAAAAAAAAGAGAGAGUAUAUCUACUCCUUUGAUUUCAAUAAAUAAAAAUUCUUGUAUUGAGUCAUCUAUGUCUUGUACGUCAUUAUUUUAAAUAUUUCAAUUCUGGUAAAAUAUGUUUCGUUUUGUCUUGUUAUAGCAUAAAAGUAAUAUUGUCUUCAUAGAAGAUUUUUAUAAAUCUUUGUUUGAUUUUAGACAACAUGAUGGCUUUUGAAAUGGCAAUAAUAAGCAAAAAUUAGACCUUAAUUUUUAUCAAUCUUAGAAACACGAGUCUUGAUUUUUAGACCUUCUUAAUUUGAAAUGGCUUUUAAGAACCGAACCAAGUAUGUUGCAUAAUACAAGGAUGACUUCUGGCUAAGGAUGGAAGGCCAACCAAAAUUAGAUACUUUGACUAAAAAAUUGCAAUAAUAAGCAAAAAUUAAGAACCUUAACUACAAUUAAAAUGUAGUGUAACCAAUAAAAAUUGUAAUACCAAUAUAACCGUCCUAAAAUAAAGCUUGGCAUCCCUUAGUAGAGACAAAAAAUAAAAAUAAAACCACCCGAAAGGGUUCUUUCAUCCUAUCUAAAACUUUAAGACAUGUUUUUUUAGCUCGAAUUACAUGGGCUAUAUGCUAAUACGAAAGAGGCAAAUAAUAGAAAUUUACUACUUUAGAACAUAAUUGUUCUUUCCAAAUACCUAUCUUUAAUUACCGGCAAAGGGCCAACUGAUUCAAAACUCCAGAUUUGCAUUUGGCCUAAAUUUGCUGAAUUUGUUCUAUCUCCUGCAAUUCUAAGUUUGGUUAAUCAUCAAUGUUUGUUGUUGUUGACAUAAAUAUGGUAAGAACAGGAAUUGUUGGUAGCAGAAGCUGAACACUCAGUUUAAAACUCCUCUACAUGCUAGAGAUACAAGCAAUGCAUAAGGAGAGCAACAUAAUUAUGGGGUAGAAAUACCAAAAGAUAUCUUGUACCAGUGAGGCCAAGAAACAAACCAAUAGGGAAACUGAGUAAUUCUUGACUUGAGUGCGUAUGUAACUCAUAUCAACUUGAGGUGUCAAUGAGAUUUCAAUGGAGAUGAAGGAGAAGAAAAAGAAAAAGCUAGUGAGAUGCCAAAACUUGAUCCAAGUGAAAUUUCACAGCACUCUCCCUUUCAGAAUGAAAGGGAAAAGGGACAAUAACAUUUUCUUAUGAAAAGGGAAAAAGGAGAAACAACAUUCUCCCUUUUCGUAUGAAAAGGGAAAAGGGAGAGUAACAUCUAAAGGUAGAAUCAUAGCACUCUCCCUCGCAGGGAUUCUCCUUUUUCAUAUGGUGCCUAGUGGCACCCCUGUUUCAACUGGGCAACCUCAGUCCGAUCCAAAUAAUAUAGCCCCCCCCCCUUUUUAGUUAUCCAAUUUGUGCUUCAAUACCGUAUCUGGCUUGACUUUAAUUAAGACUCAUGUUUCUAAGAUUUUCUCGAUCAAUCAUUCGCUAAGAAAGUUAAUUGGCGGACCAAAAUAAACUUAUAUUCUCAUCAUUCUUUAAUAUCUAUGUUUAAAACAAUAUUUUAUGGGAAUAUUAUAUUAAUACCUUUGAACAAUAUUUUAUUUUUUCUAAAAAAUCGCAAAUUUUUAUUUUGAAUAUUAUAUUAUUGAUCUCGAAAUAUCGUAAUGUUAUACAGUAAUAUUCUUUAACAAUAUUCUGUAGUUAUUCUUGGAUAAUUAUGAAUUUAUACACUUCAAUGUAAAAUAUUGUAUUGAUCUUGAAUUUUAACUAUACUGCAUUUAAAGAAGCAAAAAUUUAUUUAUAUUAAUAUUAAAGAAGAAUAUUGCUUUGAUACUCUAGAAGAGUCAAUAUUGCAUUAUGUGGGAGAAUAAACUUCCUGGAAAUAUGCUCAAUAUCAUUUGAUUGAAUAGUUGACCCACUCCUUGUUGUUUGAAGAAACCCUCCACUUCAAUACUAUUGAUAAUAACUUAGUACUAAAUUAGUAAGAAACCUACCAAGUUUCUAAAAUAUUUGUCAUGAUUGAUACUAUAUCGACAUUGGUAUAUUUGAAAUAAACAUUGCAUUGAACAAGAAGUUCAAUUAUUGAAUAUAUUAUUGCUUGACAUUAUUAUUUGGUUCAUCACUUGAUCAAUAAUAAUGCAAAAUUAAGAAUUCAAAUGAAUAUUCAGAAGAACUAUAAAUUCUUCAAUCUAAUGAAUUCCUAAAUAAUACUUUUUCCAUGUGUUACGAAUUGGUCUUGAUCAUCACUAGAUAAAGUUAGAACUAAAUAUCAAUAAUCUUGAAAUUAAAUAGGGCAUGUUGACCAUCUAGUUAUAAUUGUGUGUGAUAAAUAUAUUUACUAGAUGAUUGCAUUGUGUUUGCACCUGAACUUUGCAAAUUCUUUUAUUAAAUUUUAAAUUAUUAGCUUAAAUUUUAUAUUAUACCAUCAAGACAAUGUAUCAUGUCAAUGUUAGUAAAUCUACAUCCAAAUUAAUAUUUUGAUAAAUGUUGAUUGGGAUGACAAUAAAUUGUUUAACACAAUUGAUUGUUAAAUACCUCCAAUUAAUUUCUUAACUAUUAUUGUUAAAAACAAAGUACUUUCCAUUUAUGUUUAGAUAAUGACACAUUAUGCACCAAGCCAAUGUCAAAGUUAGAGCCUAACUUUUCAUUUAUGGUUAGAACCUAAUAUUUUUCAUCUAAUGAUUUUCUAAUGUGCAAUAUAUAUACCAUAGUGCAAUGGGAUAGUUAUUAAAGAAUGAUGAGAAUUUAAUUUUAUUUUGAACCCUUACAAAAUAUUCUAAACUCUCAAGGUUGAUAUUUUAUAACACAGUUUGCUCACGUCAAUUUAAUUAAAUAAUUCUCUCAAUAUUAAGGGAAGAAAUUGGUAGCUGAAAAUAUUACACAAUGCAUCAUAUUAUGCUGUCUAUAUCCUUGCACUUGAUAAUCUGAAAAAAUAAUUCAAUUGCAAAAUACAUUUCUGGCAUAUAAGAAAUUACUAAAAUCUCAUAUACCAACUAUAGACAUUCAAUGCCGUAUUGUUAUCUUAGAAAGACUAAACUAUUGCAACGCAUAAAUAAUAUGUUGAAACUUUGUGACAUUUGAUUCUUAAAAAAACAAAAAAGAAAAGAGAAAAAAGAAAAAAAGAAAAAAAAAACAAGAAGAAGAAAAGAGGUUUAUCCUAAUUAGGAAGCGUAUAUUCUUGGACGUCUCUCAUUAAAUUAUGUCAUUAUGAAAAAGAAAUAGAAUUGAAAAGAAAAGAAAAAGUUGUCGACAAUACUUUUGUACAUAAUAUACCACUUCAUAUUAUGAAUAGCAAAUAUAUCGAAAUAAAUUUGUUGAGCAUAUUGAUUGAAGAAAUGAUUAGCAAAAUUAAGAAUGCAAUCUUAUUAAAACUGAACUUAUUAGGGAAACCAAAAGCAUUUGGACCUAAAGUUCGAGGACCUAAAUGUAUAUACCCAUGCAAAAAGUAAAUAAGAAAAAUGAAGCGUAAUAUGUAAUGCACGACUUUUCAACAUAAUAAAUUUCGCCAUAGUGAAUGCAAUCACAAGUCAAUAUAUUGUUAUCAUCACGAUGCAUGAAAUUUGAAAUGUGAUUGGCAUCACUAUUAAUGUUAUCCUUGAAGAAUUUAAUAUGACUGAAACAUAUAAUUCAAGUAAUAUUAUUUUGAGGAGGAAUAAAUGUGUUGUACUUUUUUUUUUUUUUUUAAAUCAAGAUUUCGUCUCAUUGAAUUUCAUGAUGAGAUUUCUAAUGAGACAACUUUUUUAGUAUACUUUAAAGAAAAAUGUACUAUUUUUCCUUUAUUGGGAUUUUUUGCACAUGAUUUUUCUAGUAUGGUUUUAACGUGGCAUAUUCUUUGUGUAAUAGAUGUCUAAAACCCACUAGACAUUUACUCUCAAAAUAAUAUUCUUAUAUGUUACAAAUUGCCGAUGACUCUAGAAGAGAGCAAUAACACAAUCUAAUUUUCAUUGGAUCAUCAUGUUGUCUAAAAUCAAACAAAGAUUGAUAAAAAUCUUCUAUGAAAACAAUAUUACUUGUAUGCUUUAACAAGACAAAAUGAAACAUAUUUUACCAGAAUUGAAAUAUUUAAAACAGUGACGUACAAGACAUAGACGGUCGAUACAAGAAUUUUUAUUUAUUUAAAUCAAAGGAGUAGAUGUACACUUUUCUUUGUCAAUCAAGUUUUGUCCCAUUGGAUUUUCAUGACACAAUAUUAAUGAGGAAGUAUUUAUUAAUACAUAGUUUGUUAUAAUUAUUUGUACACUUCUUUCGUUUGUGUUCGUAGUUUUGUCCCACUGAGUUUUUGUCAAAUUAGGUUUUUAAUGAGGAGAAUAUUGUAUACAACUAUGAGAUAAUUAUUGAUGCCGAUUUAGUCUUAUCAAGAUACUUAGAUAAAUCUUAUUUACUUUGUAAGGGUCUAUUUUAUUCAGAUUGUAAUGCUUCUUUUAAACCUUAUAAAUAUGUGUCCAUUAUUGCAACAAACUUACAAACUUAGUCUUGACCCUAUCUAUUCAUUUUUUGUAUCUCUCUCUUUUUCCUUUAGAAUUAUGAAAUUAGUAGAUUUGUUAUCCUUUCAAAUUAUCAAACUAGUAGAUUUGUUAUUAGGUACUUUUAAACUUCAGUUUGUUUUUAAGGUGAUUUAAUAGUAACAUACUGCUUCUUUCUUUAUAAGGUGAUGUAGUUUCCCAACUACCAUUGCAAUGGUAUAUUAUAUUAAAUUCCAUUAUAACGGCAUCUAGUAUAUCUUUAUACUAUGCUUUGUGUUGAAGUCGAGAAUUGGGAAUGAGACCCAUAAUUCUCUCUGUUGGCGUAUUGUCACACGGAUUUUGAUGAGUAAUGUGCUAACGAAGGCAUACUUGCAAGUCCACUCCUGUAACGGAUUUGGUGGUGAUGUGCCAAAAGAGGUACAUUUUCAGAGGAUGUAAAAGAAAGGAAUUUGAGUCUUUCGUGUUGCACCGUCUUAUUUAGCUUCCAUUUCAGCCCCUUCUCAUUUUCUGCCAAUUGCUGAAGUCGUGUGUGCUACCUUGACCGUUGGAAAUACAUUUACAAUUUCACCCUUCUUCUCAACUUGCCGAUUCCUAAUUCAAAACUAUUAUAAGGGCAGUAUUGUAAUUGGUGUUGGCUAUGAUAGUAUUAUUUUAUUGUAAAUUCCACAUCCAAAUGACAAACUGGACGGUUCAAUGAAGUAAUAGACACGUUGAUCUAUCAAUAUCCAAUUGGACGAACGGUGUAAACUAGGAACAGAGAAAAAGACAGUAUAGCUUUAUAGUUUGAACAAUUGAGCUGGUAAAUGGGAAGUUGCAUACUCACUUUAUUCAGUGGUUGUCCAGAACUGCAUUCAAAAUUAUACUCUUAAUUUAACUAGUAUACAACAGAUUUUGGGUCAUCUGCUCCAGCUUGCAUCUGGCAAUGGAUCUUUUUGCCACAGCAUUGCCAAGAAAACCCUUGAGCCCGACCCAAUGUGAGUGAUCAUUGGAGUUGUGCAGAGAAGACGUCGCUCGCCUUUCGUAUCAAACCUGUGAUAAUUAAAUCAUAUGAAAUAAUAUCGGGUGCGACAUAGAGAGUUAAGUAAUUCCCAACCUAUAUUCUCUGUUUCUUGACCAGUAUUUUUCAGCGUAUCCUAGGACCAAAAGGACAUUCCAAAAUUAGAUGGAUCAAAACCACCAACCAAAAAACAAAUCUUGAUUCACUUUGUGCCCAUAGAGAUUAAUGAUAAUCUUCAGCAGCAAGUAUACAAAUUGCCAGUGUAUCCAUUACUUCAACGGAAAUUCUUCCUAAAAGAAGAGGAAGCUCGAUUGUCACAUACCACUAACAACUCACCAUCUUUAUUUAGACUUUCAAUGCCAGGGCAGAGCAUGAAGCAAAAUGGUAAUAACCAUAUACAUAAUGAAGGAAUGAUCCAUGUAAGAAGCCUAUGUACUUAAUAUGCUUCAAGUGUCAGGGUAAAGUAAAAAUAAAAAACUACUAGCGUCUACACCUCAGAAAAGUGUCAUCCUAGUACAACUAACAAUUGAAUAUUCACCAUCCCGAAAGACGUUGAACCGACCAUGCUAAUGAAUUUGCCACUCGCUUAAAUGUCCAUUUACCAGUAUAAUAUAAACAACACUGAAAGUUUAAAUGAGGUACAGGAAUUACCCUGAUGAGCCUGUAUUUUGGCUCGUAUUUCUUUGCACUCUCAACAGAAUCAUAGAUCAAGCCAAAACCAGUGGAAUUGCCUCCACCAAAGUGCGUCCUGAACUUAAAAACAAAUAUGGCAUUUGGAUCUUUCACUUCAUACAUCCUUGCCAAUUUCUNNNNNNNNNNNNNNNNNNNNNNNNNNNNNNNNNNNNNNNNNNNNNNNNNNNNNNNNNNNNNNNNNNNNNNNNNNNNNNNNNNNNNNNNNNNNNNNNNNNNNNNNNNNNNNNNNNNNNNNNNNNNNNNNNNNNNNNNNNNNNNNNNNNNNNNNNNNNNNNNNNNNNNNNNNNNNNNNNNNNNNNNNNNNNNNNNNNNNNNNNNNNNNNNNNNNNNNNNNNNNNNNNNNNNNNNNNNNNNNNNNNNNNNNNNNNNNNNNNNNNNNNNNNNNNNNNNNNNNNNNNNNNNNNNNNNNNNNNNNNNNNNNNNNNNNNNNNNNNNNNNNNNNNNNNNNNNNNNNNNNNNNNNNNNNNNNNNNNNNNNNNNNNNNNNNNNNNNNNNNNNNNNNNNNNNNNNNNNNNNNNNNNNNNNNNNNNNNNNNNNNNNNNNNNNNNNNNNNNNNNNNNNNNNNNNNNNNNNNNNNNNNNNNNNNNNNNNNNNNNNNNNNNNNNNNNNNNNNNNNNNNNNNNNNNNNNNNNNNNNNNNNNNNNNNNNNNNNNNNNNNNNNNNNNNNNNNNNNNNNNNNNNNNNNNNNNNNNNNNNNNNNNNNNNNNNNNNNNNNNNNNNNNNNNNNNNNNNNNNNNNNNNNNNNNNNNNNNNNNNNNNNNNNNNNNNNNNNNNNNNNNNNNNNNNNNNNNNNNNNNNNNNNNNNNNNNNNNNNNNNNNNNNNNNNNNNNNNNNNNNNNNNNNNNNNNNNNNNNNNNNNNNNNNNNNNNNNNNNNNNNNNNNNNNNNNNNNNNNNNNNNNNNNNNNNNNNNNNNNNNNNNNNNNNNNNNNNNNNNNNNNNNNNNNNNNNNNNNNNNNNNNNNNNNNNNNNNNNNNNNNNNNNNNNNNNNNNNNNNNNNNNNNNNNNNNNNNNNNNNNNNNNNNNNNNNNNNNNNNNNNNNNNNNNNNNNNNNNNNNNNNNNNNNNNNNNNNNNNNNNNNNNNNNNNNNNNNNNNNNNNNNNNNNNNNNNNNNNNNNNNNNNNNNNNNNNNNNNNNNNNNNNNNNNNNNNNNNNNNNNNNNNNNNNNNNNNNNNNNNNNNNNNNNNNNNNNNNNNNNNNNNNNNNNNNNNNNNNNNNNNNNNNNNNNNNNNNNNNNNNNNNNNNNNNNNNNNNNNNNNNNNNNNNNNNNNNNNNNNNNNNNNNNNNNNNNNNNNNNNNNNNNNNNNNNNNNNNNNNNNNNNNNNNNNNNNNNNNNNNNNNNNNNNNNNNNNNNNNNNNNNNNNNNNNNNNNNNNNNNNNNNNNNNNNNNNNNNNNNNNNNNNNNNNNNNNNNNNNNNNNNNNNNNNNNNNNNNNNNNNNNNNNNNNNNNNNNNNNNNNNNNNNNNNNNNNNNNNNNNNNNNNNNNNNNNNNNNNNNNNNNNNNNNNNNNNNNNNNNNNNNNNNNNNNNNNNNNNNNNNNNNNNNNNNNNNNNNNNNNNNNNNNNNNNNNNNNNNNNNNNNNNNNNNNNNNNNNNNNNNNNNNNNNNNNNNNNNNNNNNNNNNNNNNNNNNNNNNNNNNNNNNNNNNNNNNNNNNNNNNNNNNNNNNNNNNNNNNNNNNNNNNNNNNNNNNNNNNNNNNNNNNNNNNNNNNNNNNNNNNNNNNNNNNNNNNNNNNNNNNNNNNNNNNNNNNNNNNNNNNNNNNNNNNNNNNNNNNNNNNNNNNNNNNNNNNNNNNNNNNNNNNNNNNNNNNNNNNNNNNNNNNNNNNNNNNNNNNNNNNNNNNNNNNNNNNNNNNNNNNNNNNNNNNNNNNNNNNNNNNNNNNNNNNNNNNNNNNNNNNNNNNNNNNNNNNNNNNNNNNNNNNNNNNNNNNNNNNNNNNNNNNNNNNNNNNNNNNNNNNNNNNNNNNNNNNNNNNNNNNNNNNNNAUAUUGAUACAAGAUAUCACUUCAUAAGAGAAAGUAUUGCAAAGAAAGAAGUGCAGCUGAAAUAUGUAACCUCCCAGGAGCAGAUCGCUGACAUUCUCACUAAGCCACUCAAGCAUGAUGUGUUCCGCAAGUUAAGAACUCUACUUGGAGUGUCAAAAUCAAGUUUAAGGGGGGAUGUUGAGUAGUAAACUUGAUUUUUGGACUAAAUAAUAUGGGCUUAAGGAUUUUGCUUAUAGGCCCAAAUCAAUUAAAAGACCCAACAUGCAUAGCAUUUCUAGAAGCAUUAUCUAGAAAAAUCUAUAUAAAUAUCUACUAGAAAUAUCUAUAUAAAUAUCUAAGUAAGAUAUGUAGUUUUAUAAAGAAUAUCUAGAGAAUUCUAGGAAAAUAUCUUGAUAUGUGGUCUAGGUGUCUCUAGAAAAUAUGUGGACUAGAAUCUUCUUGUAAACACUAUAUAAAGGGGUAGUGCCCUCCAUUUUGUAACAAGCCAAAAAGUGUGUAAAGUCUUGAAUUUGAGAAAUACAAGUUUCCUCUUUUUUCACUUCCUUCUUCCUAUUAGUGUUGUCCUCUUAAAAGCCUUAGUCAAUCCAAGUUAGUAAACCCAUCUUUCCUCCAACAAGUUUUACUUCUAUAACCCACUGAUUUUACAGUUAACCUUUUCGGAAUCAGACAUGGACCCAGACGAGUACAAAAUAUAAGGACUUCUCGAUUCUCUGACAUAUAUACUUCAUUCCAUAUCUUACGUAAAACAACGAAGGUAGGAAAUAAAAAAAAAAGAAAAAAAGGGAAAUGAUGCAGAAAAAGCAUAAAACUAGCACUUAAAGGAAUAAUGCGAAUAAGUUGAAUUUUCCAUACAAAAUAGGCUAACCCACCAGUUAAGCGAGUUGCCUUGUAAAACCACAACAACGCCAAAAAUGGACCUCCAAAUGAGUACAUGGAGUCACACAAACUAGCGUCCUCAAUGGGAAAAAUAUUGGAAACCUGUAGAAAUUGAAGCCAACCAAAAGAAAGCAAUCAUCUCAAGGACAAUAUAUGACUUCAAUACAUCACUCCAAUGUACAAUUUCUUUCAUGGUCUGUAGAGAUCAAGGGAGAUCGAGAUUGAGUGGCAUGUAGGUCGCAUCGCCGCUGCUACAGGACCCUCAGUGGCAGUGGGAGCACCGGGGCCAAAUCUUGGCCCAGGUUGGUACGCCAAGACCAAGGGGCACCGAGGCCAGAUCUUGGCCCAGGUGGGUCCUCCGAGACCAAUGGGGGUCGGGAUCGAGUGGCGCGUAGGUCGCAACACCGCUGCUACCGAGGCCUUGGUGGUGGUGGGAGUACCGAGGCCAGAUUUUGGCCCAGUGUUCAGUCUAAAAUCGAGAUCAGGGGAGAUCGAGAUGGAGUGGCAUGUAGCUCCAUCAUAGCUGGAAUGUUUUAACGACUAUGGCUUGAGGCUUGAUGCAGUCGACUGCACGAUUUCUAGCUCAGGCUGGAAGAUUUUGAAAAGGAGAAAAUGGAAUUGAACGUUAUCGAAUCCAAACCGGUAUAUAUUUCAUUCUGUAUUUUAAUAAAUAGCGUACAACGAGAUAUUUUUUUUAUCAUAUUUUAAAUAAUAAAUAAUUAAUUACGAAAAGUAUUCUCUCCUCGUCUCAAAGCAUAGAACAAAAUAUUUGAAGUAAAUCAUCAUUAAUGAAGAGAUGUACUAAUUAAUGAAAAAUUGAAGAUAAGAAUUUAACUCCAAAAAAAUAAAAAAAAAUGAUUGCUAUAACGUGAAGUACAAUUAAAAUGUCAUGUAACGAAUAAAAAUUGGAGUACCAAUAUAAAUUGACAUCCUUUGAUAGAGACAAAAAAUAAAAAAUCUGAAACAUGUUUUUUUUGCUCGGAUUAUAUUAUAUUGGCUAUAUGCUAACAGAAAUGUAAUACAAAAGAGGUAAAUAACAGAAACUACUUCAAAACAUUAUUGUUCAUUUAAUUAUUGAUUCAAAGCUCCAAAUUUGCAUUUAGCCUAAACUUUCCGAAUUUGCUCCAUCUCUUGCGAUUCUAAGUCUGGUUCCUUGUCAAUAUUUAUUGUUGUAGUCAUAUAUAUGUUAAGAACAUGAAUUGUUGGCAGCAGAAGUUGAACACUCUGCUUAAAACUUCUUCACGUACUAGAGAUACAAGCAGUGCAUAAAGAGAGCAGCAUAAUUAUGGGGUAGAUAUACCAAAAGACAUCUUGAGGGAAGAAUAACGAGGCCAAGAAACAAACCAAUAGGGUAACUGAGUAAUUCUUGACUUGAAUGCGUAUGUAUCCCAUAUCAACUUGAGGUGUCAAUUGGAUUUCAAUGGAGAUGAAGGAGAAGAGAAAGAAAAAGCUAGCAAAACUUGAUCCAAGUGAAGUUCUCAAUUACUAUACCAAAUGGAUUCCAUUCCCAAGGCAUGGCUGUAUAUGGUUUCAAUAUGUUUACAACGAAUAGGAGUAAUUGGAAACUUCAGUUGGAUCCAUUUGGUAUAGUAAUUGGAAACUUUAGUUGGAUCAAGUUUUGGCUUCUCGCUAGCUUCUUCUUUCUCUCCUCCUUCAUUUCCAUUGACACCUCAAGUUGAUAUGGGAUACAUACGCAUUCAAGUCGAGAAUUACUCAGUUUCCCAAUUGGUUUGUUUCUUGGCCUCAGUAUUCUUCCCACAAGAUGUCUUUUGGUAUAUCUACCCAUAAUUAAGCUGCUCUCCUUAUGCACUGCUUGUAUCUCUAGCACGUGGAGGAGUUUUAAGUAGAGUGUUCAACUUCUACUGCCAACAAUUCUUAUACUUAACAUAUAUAUGACUACAACAAUAAAUAUUGACGAGGAACCAGACUUAGAAUCGCAGGAGAUAAAGCAAAUUGAGCAAGUUUAGGCCAAAUGCAAAUCUGGAGCUUUGAAUCAGUAAUUAAAUGAACAAUAAUGUUUUGAAGUAGUUUCUGUUAUUUGCCUCUUUUGUAUUACAUUUCUGUUAGCAUAUAGCCAAUGUAAUUCGAUCAAAAAAAAUGUGUUGCAGAUUUUUAGAUUUUUUAUUUUUAUUUUUUUGUCUCUACAAGAGAGAAACUUGGGUGGGGCGGUCGCACCAUCCACGUGGUACGAUUGCCCAACCCCGAGGCGCCAGCUCUGUAGAUGGCCCACAUACCCCCGGCCACCGCACCGCCACGUGGUGCAACCGCCCUACCUAAAUUUUUUUCCUCUAUCAAAGGAUGUCAAUUUAGAUUGGUACUACAAAUUUUAUUCGUUUCACUACAUUUUAAUUGUACUUCGCAUUAUAGCAAUCAUUUUUAAAUUUUUUUUGUCAAAUUCUUAUCUUCAAUUUUAAUACAUCGUGUCAUUAAUGACGAUUUACCUCAAAUAUUUUUUUGGGCGACUUUUGCGACAAUUUUCCCAUCGAAUCCCUUGGAGUUACGGGGAGAUGUUGGGUGUAAUUGAAGAGAAUAUUGUCGACUUUCCAACGUUAUCAAAAUUUGACGAUAAUCCAUGGUCAAAAGUGGCCGAAAUGUUGCAACAAAAGCAGCCCAAAAAAUUGAAAAUGUGGUUUUAAACUUCAGUGACCGUUUCUGUAAAUUUUUAAACUUCAAUGACCAUUUCUGAAAGUUUUUAACUUCAAUGACCAUCUCUAAAAGCGCCCUGAAACUUAAGUGACCGUUACUGAAAGUUUUAAACUUUAGUGACCGUUUUGUAAUUUUUGCAUAAGUUCAGUGACCGUUUUUGAAAUUAAUCCAAAAAAGUUUGCAUGUAGAGUUUCAUGUUUCUUAAAAUGUACAAACGAAUCUCACGAAAAACAAUUUAAAACAUUCUAAUUAAAGAAAAAUAUUUUAUAUUCUUAAUUAACCCACCAACUCCUACACCCAUCCCCUACAUUCCACCACCACUACAAAAUUAAUCAAAGAUAUAAUUAAAAGUAUAAUAAAAGCAAAAUAAUAAUAAUAAUAAUAAUAAUUAACAUAGAAAAAUAAAAAUAAAAAAAUUUAUGGCCCCAUUCGACCCCAUUAAUUUUAAUUGUAAUGGGGGAAAUAGAGUUUUUUUGAAAAAUGAAUGGUUGUAAAAGAAUAAAAAGUUUUCGAUUUACUUCCAAUAUUAUUUUAUUGAAAAUUGUGUGAUUUAAAAUAAGAAAGAAAAAUUUAAUUUAAUUUGAUGAGAUGUAAUGGGGGGCAAACGAGGGCAAUAUAAAAACGAAUGGCGCUUAUUCCUCAUCAAAUAAUUUUUAAACUUUUAAUUCUUUUUUUUAAUUAUUUGAUGGUGGUGUUGAUGGAGGAGGAUAUGCAUAGGGGUUGAGAUAGGGAUAGGUGGUUAAUUGGAAAAAUAAUUUUUUUACUAGAAUGUUUUAAAUUGUUUUGCAUAAAAUUCAUUUGUAAUUUUAAAAAAAAUUAUAAAAUCUAGAUACAACAUUAUAUAUAUAUGUCUAUCUAAAGACGAUGAUAAAUUAGUCAUUUUAUAAUGUUAUAAUAGAAAAAAUGGAUGGUAAGGAUCUUUUAAGCAAAGAAAUGUUGAUCUAAGUGUUCAAAUGUCAAAAUUGAAAUGAUAAGAACUAUUCACGCAAUUAAAGCAAACGAUAGGCACGUUUUUGCUCCAAAUUACACAUAUUUAACUGAAAGAUUUAAUGAAAUAUGAUGGAAAGCACCGAUUCUGCAAGAAACGUUUGAAAUAAGAGUGUAAAUGGCAAGUUUGAAACAAUAUGGACCAUUUUCACAAUGAGUACAAACGAUUGGAAUGCCUUUUGCUAAUUACCCUAAAGUAUAUUUACUCUCUAGAUAUCAAGGGAAUUUAGCCGUUGUCUAACACCAAUUAAAAUUUUAAUAUAUUUUUCUCUUUUCUUUUCAAUCAUGUAUUCAUCAAUAAAAUAAUAUUACAAGUAAAUCAAAAAAUUUCCUUCUUUUUUAACCACAAAUUCUUCCAAAAAAUACUAUUCCAUAAUACAGAUUACCAAAAUUUCUCAUUAUAAUGGAUGUAAAACAAAGGCUUAAUAUAAACUAAUUUACACUUUACUUUUAUAAUAAAUAAUGUUAUUCAUAGUGAAAAUUAUUGAUAGUCAUCCUUCAUAACAUACACAUGACAAUGUGUUAUUUGAAUUUUGAUGCAUAGGACGAUAAAAAAUUAUCAUAUUAAUGUAUCAAAUAAUGUCAUGUGUACGUCACGUAAGAUAGCUAUCGAUAGUCCUCACUAUGAUUAUCAUUACUCUUUUAUAAAUAUAACAUGUCCAAACGUGGCGACAAAAAUGGAGCCUCCGAGCUCCUAUAGAGAGAUUGCCGCAUUGACUAUAAAUAAACAAAAGCAAUGAAACUAUUGUGAAACAAUAAAAAUUUUCAAAAAUAAUCAAUUCUUCUCGACGAGUAGAGUUAAAAGGCUAGUUUGAAACGAAAGAUAGUGCAUUGCACCGUGAUGCAGCAGGGCAGCAUUGGUGAAAGGGCAAACAGGGCAACAUCUGUGAAAGGUAGUAAAAUAAAGGGAACCACCAUAAGAGAGGAGAAUUUGAUUUCAGAAUUUAAAAAUCCCAGCCUCUUAAUAAGUAUAACGAAAGGAGGGCAAGAGUAAAAAUGCUUAAACGAGAAACUUAGCUUGAACUAAACUGCUCUAUAUAGUAGAAAAUGAUGGAGUUAAAUGUUUCAUUGACCACCAAACUUUACACUAGUCACGAUUUAUUCACCGAACUUCAUUAAUUGUCUCAUUGGCCACUGAACUUUGCUCCGUUCAACUCCAUCACUCACCCGUUCAAAACCGUUAAUAGACGUGCUGAUGUGGCGAAUGGAAAAAUGACGUGGCCGGUUAACUCCUUCCAAGUAGUAAGUGAUUUGCCAACUAAGCUUCCACGUUAGUAAUGGAGCAUCCAAACACGGCAUUACCAAUUUCAUUUCACACGACUUUACAGAAUUAUAACCCAAUUAGUGUGAAAUCUCUCUCAAAUUACUUCCUCCCAUUCGCGAAGAACCCUAAGUAUCUGAACCAAGAUUCUCCAAAAAUCUCUCAAAUCCUAUCAUCCUGAAAUCCAUUUCUAUAAAAUCUCACAUGAAGUCUCUGUAUUCUGAAAAUCCAUUCAAUUCAUUCGGGUAAUUUCCCAUGAUAUGGUAGGACACGAAUUGAUGAUUUUUGAAUGGAAAAUUGGUUUUGUUCAUAACUCAUUUUAUUUUUGGUUUGCAUCUUCGUCUUUCCGAUAAUGGUCAAGAACACACUACUUUCUAGUCGUUAAUGGAGGAAAAACAUGUUUAUACCAUUCCUCUCCAUAAUCCAAUUAACACUCAUUUUGGGUAUUCUGCCAAUGUGAAUGUUGGGUAUUUUGUGUUUGGCUCUAAUAAAGAUAGCUCAUUGUUGAAACAGGUGACUGGAAAAAAGGCCCUGUUGAUGAAACUACUUUGACCGUUGAAGGAUUUGAAUCCUGAUGGAACUACUUUGCUUGUUGAUGAAAUGAAUAACACUAAAUUAAAAUUUGGUAGUAGGUGUGUUUUAGGUACUGAAUUUCAGAAAAAGCCUCCUAUUUAAACUCUCGAAUGAGAUGAAGGGAUUAAAGAUUGUUAAUUUUGCAGUGUUGCUGAGAAGAGUAAAAAAUUUGGCAGCAAUUCAUCUGUCUGUCACUGCCAAUAACAUAUUCAUGUUUGCAAUCAAUGGAAGGGGGGUAUCCGUUGCCUUUGUCCACCAUUUAUGGUAAUAGGAACUGGGACUGGUUGUGCUUGGAAACAGCUACAAUUUGCUUCAUUAAAAAUUCUGGUAAUUUGUUCUAUUUUACUGUAUUAUUUUUUAUUGCAUUCCCAGUUCUAUCAUUAUUUGUUUAUUUAAUUAAUGUUUAAUGACACAUCUUUAUGCUUUUUGUCCUUCAUUUAUCUCAGUUAAGUAGAGCCAUAUACCACACCAACAAUUUGAAGCAGAUCAAGGAUGGAACAAUUGUGAAGCACCUCUAUACUAAAGUUUUCAACCGAUUUCGUAUUUUGUAAUGUCCAAAGUUUUGUUUUUGGCAUGUAAAUUGAAGUCAGAUUGGGAUGGUACAAUGUUGUUGUUGAGAUAGAACAUAUUCACAUUUAUGAAAUCAGUGGGUUGCUGCUUCCAUAACUAUUUUAAGCACUAGACGUUGAGAUGAAUUAUGUUUAAAGCACUACAUGAAAUCAGUAUGUUGCUGUUGCCAUAACUAUAUUAGCUUUCGACUAGUUGAAGAAUGAGGUAUUAGAACAUCGUGGAACUUGUACGAAAGCAAGUCUUCGAAGUCUUAACUGCAGCAGUAAUGUAAUUAGACUACAAAUAUUAUAGUACUGUAACUAUCUUCAAAUGAUUCUAUAAUAUCUUGAUGAAUGAAACUAACAACAUCAACAAGCAUACCUACACAUGGUAAAAUAUCAAAUCAAAUCAAUUCAAUUUCCCGAAUAAUGGUAAGAUCCCAGGUGAACAAAAUCAAUUCAAGCUUUAUAAGAAGUGCAUACAACGGCAUAACUAAAAACACAUUACGAAUACAAUAACAUUGGUCCAACUUGAUGAAUAUUCUAACAUUUUUUAAAUCAACAACAUAGGCAGUCUAAUUUCACGGAGUUCUUCCCUUCUAUUUCCCGUUCUUUUCUACAUGACCUUUACCCUUGCGGAUAGUAACAUUGAAUGAGAUUUCCACUUCCUCUUGUUCGAUUAUGUGAAUCCUUCAAUACCCAAGACAAAUCUUCAAUUGGAAUGUCGGGCUGAGAGUUACCCGAACAAACACAUCGGUUUUCACCACUGGACUCACCCUCAAAUUGCACAUAUUCUUCCAUGCCAUGGAAACCUGCCAUUGCAGCCACGAACAGUAAGACAGUCAUAUGGUUAUCGUAAUGAAUUGGCAAUACACACACCAACAUUUAUGCUUACUACUCAUAAUUAACAUCUAGGAACUUGAAGGUAUGAGGGCAAUAUUUAAUGGAUGAGCUGUUUGUUUAUACUCUAGCACAAAAUUUCCAAACGAAAAUCAACAACGUGCUUAAUCCAACUUUGUGAAUAGCAUUAAGUUGUAAGCAUGGCAUUAAGAGUUCAUCAAGCUUAGAAACAUCUAAUCUCGUUCGGCAUAGUUAAUUCUGUCAUAAAAUUACAACUCAUUAACAUUUGGACAGUAACAUAUGAAGAAGAAAAUAUUCAACUUUAACAUUCAAAAUGUACUGCAAUUUCACCGUCUCACAUUUAAGGUGCUAAAUGUGAAAAUUGUUAAUAAGAGACUCAACUUUAUCAAAAACGCAAAACCAAAAAUCAUGCAUUUUCUAUUAAAGUUUGACAGACUCAACGUUAAGUGCUUGGUUUCACAUCAAUUAAACAUUGCAGAAACUUUUCCAAUUGAGUUAUCGCACAACUUCAAUUUUUUUCGGGUCGUGUCAUUAUAAUAAAAAAAAGCACAGAAAUAAGAACCAAGAAAUCCAUUAUUAAAUAAAGCCAAAAAUGAGUUAUUUAUCUAAAUUUCCAAAACAGAGGCAGAAAAAAAUUAUUCCACUAAGCCCACUAAAAUGGCGGAAUUACCUUCAUCAGAACCGUCCAUGUGUAUGCCUUCAAGUGUGUAGAACAAUUGCGGAUUUUUAGCUCACAUACUUCGCAAUUUGAUCGGGGCUAGGAUUCUUGAGCUGAAUUUGGGGAUCACGACAUAGAAGAGUGGCCUAUUGUUUGUUCACAUACUUUCGAUUCAAUCUUGCAGGUUGGGUGCUUGAGUUGCAGUUGGGAUUGCAACCUAGAAUAAUGGUCUAUUCUUUGUUCCCAUACUUCACGAAUCCAUUUUGAGGGUUAGGGUUCUUCAGGUGAACGUUGGGGAUCAAUUGAUUUGAGGAAGAAGCUUAGUUGAGAUGAAAUUAGGAUUCUUCGUGAAUGGGAGAGGAGCAAUUGAUUUUGAAGGAGAAUCUGAUUUGGCAUUUAGCCCCUGUUUGAUCUCCAUUAAAUUAAAUUACAUUACAUUACAUUUUUCUCUCUCCUAUUUUCAACCACACAAUCUUCCAUAAAAUAAUAUUACACGUAAAACGAAAACUUUUCUUCUUUUUCAACCGUUCAUUUUUCUAAAAAAAUACUAUUUUUCCCAUUUUCAUUUUCAGGUAAUGGGGGUCAAACAGGGGCUUAAUANNNNNNNNNNNNNNNNNNNNNNNNNNNNNNNNNNNNNNNNNNNNNNNNNNNNNNNNNNNNNNNNNNNNNNNNNNNNNNNNNNNNNNNNNNNNNNNNNNNNNNNNNNNNNNNNNNNNNNNNNNNNNNNNNNNNNNNNNNNNNNNNNNNNNNNNNNNNNNNNNNNNNNNNNNNNNNNGAGUUCAUCAAGCUUAGAAACAUCUAAUCUCGUCCGGCAUAGUUAAUUCUGUCAUAAAAUUACAACUCAUUAACAUUUGGACAGUAACAUAUGAAGAAGAAAAUAUUCAACUUUAACAUUCAAAAUGUACUGCUAUUUCACCGUCUCACAUUUAAGGUGCUAAAUGUGAAAAUUGUUAAUAAGAGACUCAACUUUAUCAAAAACGCAAAACCAAAAAUCAUGCAUUUUCUAUUAAAGUUUGACAGACUCAACGUUAAGUGCUUGGUUUCACAUCAAUUAAACAUUGCAGAAACUUUUCCAAUUGAGUUAUCGCACAACUUCAAUUUUUUUCGGGUCGUGUCAUUACGUAAUAAAAAAAAAAGCACAGAAAUAUGAACCUAGAAAUCCAUUAUUAAAUAAAGCCAAAAAUGAGUUAUUUAUCUAAAUUUCCAAAACUGAGGCAGAAAAAAAUUAUUCCACUAAGCCCACUAAAAUGGCGGAAUUACCUUCAUCAGAACCGUCCAUGUGUAUGCCUUCAAGUGUGUAGAACAAUUGCGGAUUUUUAGCUCACAUACUUCGCAAUUUGAUCGGGGUUAGGAUUCUUGAGCUGAAUUUGGGGAUCACGACAUAGAAGAGUGGUCGAUUGUUUGUUCAAAUACUUUCGAUUCAAUUUUGCAGGUUGGGUGCUUGAGUUGCAGUUGGGAUUGCAACCUAGAAUAAUGGUCUAUUCUUUGUUCCCAUACUUCACGAAUCCAUUUUGAGGGUUAGGGCUCUUCAGGUGAACGUUGGGGAUCAAUUGAUUUGAGGAAGAAGCUUAGAUGAGAUGAAAUUAGGGUUCUUCGUGAAUGGGAGAGGAGCAAUUGAUUUUGAAGGAGAAUCUGAUUUGGCAUUUAGCCCCUGUUUGAUCUCCAUUAAAUUAAAUUACAUUACAUUACAUUUUUCUCUCUCCUAUUUUCAACCACACAAUCUUCCAUAAAAUAAUAUUACACGUAAAACGAAAACUUUUCUUCUUUUUCAACCGUUCAUUUUUCUAAAAAAUACUAUUUUUCCCAUUUUCAUUUUCAGGUAAUGGGGGUCAAACAGGGGCUUAAUAAAAAGAUUUUGUUAAAUCGUGUUUGACGAAAAUUGCAAGUCGUGUUGGUAAGGUUUAAGGCUUUUUUGCUGUCGUGGGAGCUGAUUUGGUGAAAGAGUUAUUAUUUGUAGUGAUUUAACUGGCCAACUCAUUUUGCCGUCUUCCACAUAGGCACGUCUAUUAACGGUUUUCAUCGGGUGAGUGAUGAAGUUGGAUGGAUCAAAGUUCAGUGAUCAAUGGGACAAUUAAUAAAGUUCGGUGACCAACGAAACAUUUAACUCAAAAAGAUGUUACAGAUUUAAAAACUACGAUAACGAGUAAAGAGUCUAUAAACCAGAGUAAAACACUUUGAUCUAUCAAAUAUCCAAUUGGAUGAACAGUGAAAACUGGAACCGAGAAAAAGAUAGUAAAGCUUUAUAAUUUGAAUAAUGGAGCCGAUAAAUGGGAAGUUGCAGACUCACUUCAUUCAGUGGUUGUCCAGAACUGCAUUGAGAAGUAUACUCUUAAUUCAGUUGGUGUACCACGUUUUCUUCCGAAAUUUUCAAGAUUUUAUACUUUCUUAUUUUGUAGGUUUUUAGUUAAUUUCCUUAUUUCAAAAUCAUACUUUUAAUUAUCUGUGUUUAUUUUUAUUGUUAAAAUUAAAUUAAUUAAGGUUGUGUAAUCUAAAGAAUACAUUCCUCGAGGGAUCGACAGCUUGGACUCAAAAGAUCCACUUUAUUACUUGAACGCGAUCCGUGUACUUGCAGUGUACAAUUUUAGGGAAACAGUAACAAGUAAUCAAAAUUACAGGGAUGUUACAAGUAAAACUUGACAAUAAUACCGUAAUCAAGGAAUAGAAAGUCUUUCAAGCUAACGUUCAAGCUGAGCCACCAUAGCUUGGCAAUCCUAAAACAGACAUAAAUUUAGAUAAGAGUAGUUCUUAUUAUAUAAUUCAUCAGCAGCAAUCUUAAAACGGACAUAAAUUUAGUUAAUAGUAGGUCUUAUUAUAUUAAUUCUUCAGCUAAUAUAUAAUCAGUCCUUCCUAUAGCUUACUAGUUGAGUGUGAAAGGGGAUAGCAAAACAAAAAUAAAUUACUUUACAUUAUUAUUAUACAAAAUGGCUACAUUUUUGGCAGAAGGGAGAAAAAUACUAGGCAACCCUUUCAUUUCUGAUUAAACAGAUAUACCAUAAAAGAAUAAUUGACAUUCCUUCCCCUUUCAUCAUCCAACUGAACUUUCUUUAAGAAAAAAAAUAUCUUAAGUUAAAAAUCCAUGAGUAACAAAGAAUUUUUUCUGUUGUUUUUUCUCCUCUUUGCCCACUGUUUUUCCCGUCUUGGAUUUUCAAGUAAAUUUUGUGCUCUUGUUAUCAUUUUAUAUUGUCAAUUCUUGCUUUUUCGUAAUAUGUAAUUUGGAAAAAAAAAAUAGCCUUGUAAAAUAGGUAGUCCUGGUAAAGUUAGCAGUGAACAAAUAUAAUAUGAAUGUGAAAAACCAAGUGACAUCAAGCCAAAAAGCAGCUCGAUGAACUAUGUAAAUUUAUUAUUAUUAUGAUUAUGGUUAGUAGAUCUGUAGUAUGCUACAAAUACCUAGAUAUAUAAUUACUAAAGUCCAAGGUAAACCCAAUUUAUUUUCACUUGCAAUUCAACUUACAUAGUGAAUAAUUAUUCAUUAUCAACAACUUCUACAUCAUUAUAGAAAAAAUGAGAUAUCUAGGAACUAGGUAUUUGAUCAAUAAAAAUAGGGAACAUGGCUCAAGGGACUAACAAAAUUAUUAAUAAGAUGAGGCAAAUUAAAGAAACAAACAAAUGUAGGAAGUUGAAAUCUACUUAAGAAACAAAAUGUACUUCCCUAUCUGUCGGAAGGGACAAUAUGACAGAUACCAAAACAAGGCAAUAGCUUAAGAGAUUCAAAGAUUACAUAAUUAUAAGCCAGAAAAAAAAAAUAUUGAUGAUUUAUUGGAGUUGAUAAUGGGGGUUGACUAACAAACCUUAUGUAGAAACUAUACCAUUCGCAGUCAAACCAUGAUCCCUGAAUUUGAAACGGGCAUAUAACGAUUUGCAAAAGAGAUAAUGGUGUUGGAUUCCCAGUGGAUAAUGCACAAGUAGAAUCUGAUUCCCUGCGCACCGGGAUUGAACAUAGCUGCUUUAAAUGUCCCAUUACGAGAGAACAAAAACUCCCAGAAGCAUCUACAGAUUUGAAAUUUGAAGGAGUCAAAUUAGGGUAUGCGAAUUCUUUAAUGGAAAUACCAUAUGCGAGAACCAAUAAUAAGGCUAAAACACACAGAUCUAACCCCGAUUUUGCCCUAGUCGGCAUGGGCAACUAGCUGUGACGAUUGACAUUGCAGAUUUGACGGCGAGAGUAGAGGAAGAAGAGAUAUUACCUUUGUCUUAAGAGAUUAAGGCUUCCACUACCCCUUUCCUCUUGUUUUCAAAUUUCUACUUUUGAUUUGUACUUUUUUUUAUCUAAUUGACAAAUUAAUUAUAAGUAUGUUUAUAGAUAGCGUGUAGAAUAAUUUAAUUUAUAAUUUGUAAUUAGUUAAAAUUUGUAUGUUUUAUUCGAAAGAAUCAUUCUAUUAACUUUUAGGGUCAGUUUGAUUGUAAAGAUGAAAUUUGGAUAGAAAGAAAAUGAAUUUCAAGAAAUUGAAUUGUCUAGAAAUUAUUUUACUNNNNNNNNNNNNNNNNNNNNNNNNNNNNNNNNNNNNNNNNNNNNNNNNNNNNNNNNNNNNNNNNNNNNNNNNNNNNNNNNNNNNNNNNNNNNNNNNNNNNNNNNNNNNNNNNNNNNNNNNNNNNNNNNNNNNNNNNNNNNNNNNNNNNNNNNNNNNNNNNNNNNNNNNNNNNNNNNNNNNNNNNNNNNNNNNNNNNNNNNNNNNNNNNNNNNNNNNNNNNNNNNNNNNNNNNNNNNNNNNNNNNNNNNNNNNNNNNNNNNNNNNNNNNNNNNNNNNNNNNNNNNNNNNNNNNNNNNNNNNNNNNNNNNNNNNNNNNNNNNNNNNNNNNNNNNNNNNNNNNNNNNNNNNNNNNNNNNNNNNNNNNNNNNNNNNNNNNNNNNNNNNNNNNNNNNNNNNNNNNNNNNNNNNNNNNNNNNNNNNNNNNAAAAAAAAAACCAAGCAAAUGAAUUACAUGGAAAAUAUUUGCUAUCAAACAAAAGGUGGAAAAUAGACAAAAUUUUCCAUUUUCUAGGGAAAAGAUGCCCAAUCAAACAGGGCCUUAAUAUAUUUUUCCGACAGAAAUUGUGUAGUUUUAGGUCGAAAAAUUUUAAUAUAGUUUUAGUAUAUUAUUUUCAUAUUACCAAUAGAAUUUUAUCAUUAAAAUUUCUUAAUUUAGUUUUUAGGAUUUUGGUUUUUUUGUAUAUUAAAAAUUAAAAAUAAUCUUUAAUUAAUAGGUAGGAUUGAUUGAAAUUAAACGUAUACUGAAUUUUUAUUUUUAUUUUUGUUCUUUUUUUACAACAAGCAAUAAAUAUAGCAAAUCCUUGUUGCAAAACACACUUUCUCGCAACAUUUAAUAAUUGUUGCAAAAUGUUAUAUAGUAUGAAUUUUAACAAUAUGUACUGAGCAUUGCUAUAGAACAAAAUUUUUACAGUUCAAUAAACAUUGCAAAAAAAAAAAACGAAGAAUUAAAACUUUUGCAACAUUCAAAGAACAUUACAAAAAGCUAUAUAUCAAGAGUUUCAAAAACGUUUAUUGAACGUUGCUAUAGAACUUUAUUUUUACAACAUGCAUUAAACAUUGUGAAAAAUAAAACUUCUUACAACAUUCAAGAAACGUUGAAAAUGGUAAUAUUGACAACAUGCAAUUAAAAAAAAAAUAUUGCCAAUGCUUAAUUAAAUUAAUCAAUGGCAACAUUUUUCACUUUUUAAAAUGUUGCAAUAAACCCAUUUAGCAACAUACAAUUCACGAAUGUUGCCUUUCGAGUAUUGCAAAAGGCUAUUUUAAUUGUAGUGAAAAUUCUUGAUAUGUAUAUAAAAAUUCAUAUGUCAUUAAAUUAAUUUCGGUAUAUGUGAUAAAUGAUCAUGCUUAAAAAAAUUAUUACCUUCACUAAACUUUGAAAAAUUGAACUUUCGGACUGAUAACGUAUUAUGAAAAGAGAUAGAAAGAGCAGGGAGAAUAAAAGUCAAUAGACUUGUAUGUAUUAUAAUAAGAACUAGAGUCAUGUAUUCAUAAAGAAGGAUUAUGGAUACAAUGAUAAUAAUUUCUAGAUUUACAGGGGUACAAUUGUCAUUCACAAAUAAAACUUACUAUUUACAACAAAAUGGUCUUUUUUUAUUUUUAUUUUUCUUCAAUUUGCUCCUAAAAAGGUUUUUAUUGAUAGCAACAAGGUAAGUCGGACGUUCUCUUUUUUGAAUUUUAAGAGGCGCGUAGGACAUUUUGAUCUUCAUUUUUCGUCCCAUUUAUUUAUGUAUUUACUUAUUUAUAUAUUAUUAUGUGUUUGAAUUUAAAUUUUAUUCAAAAAAAAAUUUAAAAAAAAUAUUAUGAAUCAUGGAUGGGUUUGUGAUAGCGAUCAUGUUUCCUAACCAAAUGCCUAAUAAGGAUUAUAGAAUUCCCGACCUUCAAUCCACGUGGUGCGUUUCGUCCCACAUUGUCCUACCUUGAAUAGUAAACGAGGUGGGAUGCAGAACCUAUAGUCCCUAGUUUCGAAUUUUUAGUACUAGCUCUGAAUCAUUUUUUCAUUAUUAUAUUUUAUUUUAUUGUUAUGUUCUUCAUUUAAAUCAUAUUUAAAAAAAUUUAAUUAAAUAAAUAAAAUGAUGGAUGAUGGUUUUUUAUGUCUCAACCUACCCUACAUUCUAAAAAAUUGGAACGAAACAAGAAAGAUAUGAUGGCUACUAUCCAUUGUCAUCCUUAAUUUCAAAUUUUUGUUGGGUGAAGUAACUUGUGGCCAGAGGCGGUCUUGAGGGCGCGCGAGUUGAGUGACCGCACAGAGCCUCAAAUUUGUAGGGGCAUCAAAAAAAAUUUUGUUAUAAUUGUAUAUUUAUUUAUAAUUAAAUAUUUAAAAUAUAAAAUUUUUAUUAUUAUGCAAAAGAUAUUAAAAUUAAGAAUAAUGUGACUAACUAGUUAUAAUUUCCUUAAAUAUAAUAUUCUUAAAUAGUGUUUCUACCUUAAAUAAUGUGAGAGAAAAGAAAAAAGUCAAAAAGAGAUUAGGCCGACUAGAGAACUGAGAGAAGAGAGAAAAAUUGAGCAAUUGCCUUUUCCAAUUGUUUUUUAAAGAGAAGAAUUAAAGAAAACAACCAUCUUUUCCAAUUGCCUCAAAGAUAAUUGAGGCAGAGAAGAUAGAAACCAACCGUUUUUUUUUUUUUUUUUUUUAAAAAAUUUGAGAAGAAAAAACACCGUUUUUUUUUUUUUUUUUUUGAAGAAAUCAUCUUUUUUUCCAAUUAUCUUUAAUCUGGCUCCAAAAAAUUCUCUCUUUUCUUUAAGCAACGACUAACGAUUCAUAUUUUUCACUGAACUCUCACUAAAAAUUUGAAUUACAUGAUAUCUUUUCUUUAUUAUCUUUUCAUCAAUCUUAUUCUAUGAUUUCACUGAUUUGAAUUCUUUUUGCAAGAACUUGUUAAAAUUUGAAUUCGCUUUGCCUGAACGUGGGGACUGAGGAUUGAGAAAGCACGACAUAAUUUUCCUCCGGAGAAGUCGAACACUUACAAGUGAGUUUUUGUUUCUUUAUCAUAUUUUUCUUCAAUAAUUUCUUUGAAUAUUUAAGAAAAUAUAAAUUCUUUUUUAAUAUUUUUUUUCAACGUUCUGAAGAUGGAUUCAUCGUUUAUAAUUUAUAAUUACUAAUUUAAUAAGUGAAAUCAAUUAAUUGUGAAGAGAUUUACUGUUAAGUGAAAUCAAUUAAUUGUGAAAAUGGGUUCACUGAUCAUAAUUUAUAAUUACUAAUUUGAUAAGUGAAAUCUACUAAUGAAAUUGAUUCAUUGAAUGUUUAUUACUCUCUAACUCUCUUUUCAUUAAUUGGUGAUACACGGGUUUUCGAAGAAUCAAGAUUGAUUUAAUUCCUGUUGCUGUUGCAUCUGCUGAAAGAAAAUUUUCGAAAUUGAAGUUAUUAAAAUCUUAUUUAUGAUCAACCAUGUUACAAGAACGAUUGAAUGGAUUAGUUUGAUAUCUAUUGAGCAAGACUUUCUAAAAAAUAUAGAUCACGAAAGUUUAAUUAGUGAAUUUGCUUUUAAAAAUGCGAGAAAAAUUAUUUUUACAUAAUUUGUAUCAUUUCAAGCUUUACACUUGACUUGAUUUAUAUAUUUGUUUCAAGGUUUGCUUAUAUGGAAUUGCACGAAGAGGUUAGUGGUUUGGAUGGUUCUUUGUUGAUGACAUAUGAAUUUUGAUGAAGUUCGAGAGAUGCUUUUGAGUUUUAUUUAUGUUUUUCUUGUUUGUGUAUGUUAAAAAACAAAUAUUUAAAUAUCAUAUUUUUGCAAUGAAAUAAUAGUAUUGAAAUAUUUUUUUUUACUAUAUGUUUUAAUCACUUGAAGAGGGUACCAUUUUAAAAUUUCGCACAGGGCAUCCAAAAUCUUAGGGCCGGCUCUGCUUGAGGCUGGCGUUUUGUUAAAGAUUUCCUCAAAUAAUUUAGUAGAAAAUAAAAGCAAUGAAAAAUAAAUCCACUUGAAAAUAGGGUCAUCUCUAAAAGAUAAAUGUAUUAUCCAUUGAUUCCCAUUUUUCAGUUGAAACUCAUCUCUGUAGCAAGGCUAUGAUCCAAUCCAACCUUAAAAUUNNNNNNNNNNNNNNNNNNNNNNNNNNNNNNNNNNNNNNNNNNNNNNNNNNNNNNNNNNNNNNNNNNNNNNNNNNNNNNNNNNNNNNNNNNNNNNNNNNNNNNNNNNNNNNNNNNNNNNNNNNNNNNNNNNNNNNNNNNNNNNNNNNNNNNNNNNNNNNNNNNNNNNNNNNNNNNNNNNNNNNNNNNNNNNNNNNNNNNNNNNNNNNNNNNNNNNNNNNNNNNNNNNNNNNNNNNNNNNNNNNNNNNNNNNNNNNNNNNNNNNNNNNNNNNNNNNNNNNNNNNNNNNNNNNNNNNNNNNNNNNNNNNNNNNNNNNNNNNNNNNNNNNNNNNNNNNNNNNNNNNNNNNNNNNNNNNNNNNNNNNNNNNNNNNNNNNNNNNNNNNNNNNNNNNNNNNNNNNNNNNNNNNNNNNNNNNNNNNNNNNNNNNNNNNNNNNNNNNNNNNNNNNNNNNNNNNNNNNNNNNNNNNNNNNNNNNNNNNNNNNNNNNNNNNNNNNNNNNNNNNNNNNNNNNNNNNNNNNNNNNNNNNNNNNNNNNNNNNNNNNNNNNNNNNNNNNNNNNNNNNNNNNNNNNNNNNNNNNNNNNNNNNNNNNNNNNNNNNNNNNNNNNNNNNNNNNNNNNNNNNNNNNNNNNNNNNNNNNNNNNNNNNNNNNNNNNNNNNNNNNNNNNNNNNNNNNNNNNNNNNNNNNNNNNNNNNNNNNNNNNNNNNNNNNNNNNNNNNNNNNNNNNNNNNNNNNNNNNNNNNNNNNNNNNNNNNNNNNNNNNNNNNNNNNNNNNNNNNNNNNNNNNNNNNNNNNNNNNNNNNNNNNNNNNNNNNNNNNNNNNNNNNNNNNNNNNNNNNNNNNNNNNNNNNNNNNNNNNNNNNNNNNNNNNNNNNNNNNNNNNNNNNNNNNNNNNNNNNNNNNNNNNNNNNNNNNNNNNNNNNNNNNNNNNNNNNNNNNNNNNNNNNNNNNNNNNNNNNNNNNNNNNNNNNNNNNNNNNNNNNNNNNNNNNNNNNNNNNNNNNNNNNNNNNNNNNNNNNNNNNNNNNNNNNNNNNNNNNNNNNNNNNNNNNNNNNNNNNNNNNNNNNNNNNNNNNNNNNNNNNNNNNNNNNNNNNNNNNNNNNNNNNNNNNNNNNNNNNNNNNNNNNNNNNNNNNNNNNNNNNNNNNNNNNNNNNNNNNNNNNNNNNNNNNNNNNNNNNNNNNNNNNNNNNNNNNNNNNNNNNNNNNNNNNNNNNNNNNNNNNNNNNNNNNNNNNNNNNNNNNNNNNNNNNNNNNNNNNNNNNNNNNNNNNNNNNNNNNNNNNNNNNNNNNNNNNNNNNNNNNNNNNNNNNNNNNNNNNNNNNNNNNNNNNNNNNNNNNNNNNNNNNNNNNNNNNNNNNNNNNNNNNNNNNNNNNNNNNNNNNNNNNNNNNNNNNNNNNNNNNNNNNNNNNNNNNNNNNNNNNNNNNNNNNNNNNNNNNNNNNNNNNNNNNNNNNNNNNNNNNNNNNNNNNNNNNNNNNNNNNNNNNNNNNNNNNNNNNNNNNNNNNNNNNNNNNNNNNNNNNNNNNNNNNNNNNNNNNNNNNNNNNNNNNNNNNNNNNNNNNNNNNNNNNNNNNNNNNNNNNNNNNNNNNNNNNNNNNNNNNNNNNNNNNNNNNNNNNNNNNNNNNNNNNNNNNNNNNNNNNNNNNNNNNNNNNNNNNNNNNNNNNNNNNNNNNNNNNNNNNNNNNNNNNNNNNNNNNNNNNNNNNNNNNNNNNNNNNNNNNNNNNNNNNNNNNNNNNNNNNNNNNNNNNNNNNNNNNNNNNNNNNNNNNNNNNNNNNNNNNNNNNNNNNNNNNNNNNNNNNNNNNNNNNNNNNNNNNNNNNNNNNNNNNNNNNNNNNNNNNNNNNNNNNNNNNNNNNNNNNNNNNNNNNNNNNNNNNNNNNNNNNNNNNNNNNNNNNNNNNNNNNNNNNNNNNNNNNNNNNNNNNNNNNNNNNNNNNNNNNNNNNNNNNNNNNNNNNNNNNNNNNNNNNNNNNNNNNNNNNNNNNNNNNNNNNNNNNNNNNNNNNNNNNNNNNNNNNNNNNNNNNNNNNNNNNNNNNNNNNNNNNNNNNNNNNNNNNNNNNNNNNNNNNNNNNNNNNNNNNNNNNNNNNNNNNNNNNNNNNNNNNNNNNNNNNNNNNNNNNNNNNNNNNNNNNNNNNNNNNNNNNNNNNNNNNNNNNNNNNNNNNNNNNNNNNNNNNNNNNNNNNNNNNNNNNNNNNNNNNNNNNNNNNNNNNNNNNNNNNNNNNNNNNNNNNNNNNNNNNNNNNNNNNNNNNNNNNNNNNNNNNNNNNNNNNNNNNNNNNNNNNNNNNNNNNNNNNNNNNNNNNNNNNNNNNNNNNNNNNNNNNNNNNNNNNNNNNNNNNNNNNNNNNNNNNNNNNNNNNNNNNNNNNNNNNNNNNNNNNNNNNNNNNNNNNNNNNNNNNNNNNNNNNNNNNNNNNNNNNNNNNNNNNNNNNNNNNNNNNNNNNNNNNNNNNNNNNNNNNNNNNNNNNNNNNNNNNNNNNNNNNNNNNNNNNNNNNNNNNNNNNNNNNNNNNNNNNNNNNNNNNNNNNNNNNNNNNNNNNNNNNNNNNNNNNNNNNNNNNNNNNNNNNNNNNNNNNNNNNNNNNNNNNNNNNNNNNNNNNNNNNNNNNNNNNNNNNNNNNNNNNNNNNNNNNNNNNNNNNNNNNNNNNNNNNNNNNNNNNNNNNNNNNNNNNNNNNNNNNNNNNNNNNNNNNNNNNNNNNNNNNNNNNNNNNNNNNNNNNNNNNNNNNNNNNNNNNNNNNNNNNNNNNNNNNNNNNNNNNNNNNNNNNNNNNNNNNNNNNNNNNNNNNNNNNNNNNNNNNNNNNNNNNNNNNNNNNNNNNNNNNNNNNNNNNNNNNNNNNNNNNNNNNNNNNNNNNNNNNNNNNNNNNNNNNNNNNNNNNNNNNNNNNNNNNNNNNNNNNNNNNNNNNNNNNNNNNNNNNNNNNNNNNNNNNNNNNNNNNNNNNNNNNNNNNNNNNNNNNNNNNNNNNNNNNNNNNNNNNNNNNNNNNNNNNNNNNNNNNNNNNNNNNNNNNNNNNNNNNNNNNNNNNNNNNNNNNNNNNNNNNNNNNNNNNNNNNNNNNNNNNNNNNNNNNNNNNNNNNNNNNNNNNNNNNNNNNNNNNNNNNNNNNNNNNNNNNNNNNNNNNNNNNNNNNNNNNNNNNNNNNNNNNNNNNNNNNNNNNNNNNNNNNNNNNNNNNNNNNNNNNNNNNNNNNNNNNNNNNNNNNNNNNNNNNNNNNNNNNNNNNNNNNNNNNNNNNNNNNNNNNNNNNNNNNNNNNNNNNNNNNNNNNNNNNNNNNNNNNNNNNNNNNNNNNNNNNNNNNNNNNNNNNNNNNNNNNNNNNNNNNNNNNNNNNNNNNNNNNNNNNNNNNNNNNNNNNNNNNNNNNNNNNNNNNNNNNNNNNNNNNNNNNNNNNNNNNNNNNNNNNNNNNNNNNNNNNNNNNNNNNNNNNNNNNNNNNNNNNNNNNNNNNNNNNNNNNNNNNNNNNNNNNNNNNNNNNNNNNNNNNNNNNNNNNNNNNNNNNNNNNNNNNNNNNNNNNNNNNNNNNNNNNNNNNNNNNNNNNNNNNNNNNNNNNNNNNNNNNNNNNNNNNNNNNNNNNNNNNNNNNNNNNNNNNNNNNNNNNNNNNNNNNNNNNNNNNNNNNNNNNNNNNNNNNNNNNNNNNNNNNNNNNNNNNNNNNNNNNNNNNNNNNNNNNNNNNNNNNNNNNNNNNNNNNNNNNNNNNNNNNNNNNNNNNNNNNNNNNNNNNNNNNNNNNNNNNNNNNNNNNNNNNNNNNNNNNNNNNNNNNNNNNNNNNNNNNNNNNNNNNNNNNNNNNNNNNNNNNNNNNNNNNNNNNNNNNNNNNNNNNNNNNNNNNNNNNNNNNNNNNNNNNNNNNNNNNNNNNNNNNNNNNNNNNNNNNNNNNNNNNNNNNNNNNNNNNNNNNNNNNNNNNNNNNNNNNNNNNNNNNNNNNNNNNNNNNNNNNNNNNNNNNNNNNNNNNNNNNNNNNNNNNNNNNNNNNNNNNNNNNNNNNNNNNNNNNNNNNNNNNNNNNNNNNNNNNNNNNNNNNNNNNNNNNNNNNNNNNNNNNNNNNNNNNNNNNNNNNNNNNNNNNNNNNNNNNNNNNNNNNNNNNNNNNNNNNNNNNNNNNNNNNNNNNNNNNNNNNNNNNNNNNNNNNNNNNNNNNNNNNNNNNNNNNNNNNNNNNNNNNNNNNNNNNNNNNNNNNNNNNNNNNNNNNNNNNNNNNNNNNNNNNNNNNNNNNNNNNNNNNNNNNNNNNNNNNNNNNNNNNNNNNNNNNNNNNNNNNNNNNNNNNNNNNNNNNNNNNNNNNNNNNNNNNNNNNNNNNNNNNNNNNNNNNNNNNNNNNNNNNNNNNNNNNNNNNNNNNNNNNNNNNNNNNNNNNNNNNNNNNNNNNNNNNNNNNNNNNNNNNNNNNNNNNNNNNNNNNNNNNNNNNNNNNNNNNNNNNNNNNNNNNNNNNNNNNNNNNNNNNNNNNNNNNNNNNNNNNNNNNNNNNNNNNNNNNNNNNNNNNNNNNNNNNNNNNNNNNNNNNNNNNNNNNNNNNNNNNNNNNNNNNNNNNNNNNNNNNNNNNNNNNNNNNNNNNNNNNNNNNNNNNNNNNNNNNNNNNNNNNNNNNNNNNNNNNNNNNNNNNNNNNNNNNNNNNNNNNNNNNNNNNNNNNNNNNNNNNNNNNNNNNNNNNNNNNNNNNNNNNNNNNNNNNNNNNNNNNNNNNNNNNNNNNNNNNNNNNNNNNNNNNNNNNNNNNNNNNNNNNNNNNNNNNNNNNNNNNNNNNNNNNNNNNNNNNNNNNNNNNNNNNNNNNNNNNNNNNNNNNNNNNNNNNNNNNNNNNNNNNNNNNNNNNNNNNNNNNNNNNNNNNNNNNNNNNNNNNNNNNNNNNNNNNNNNNNNNNNNNNNNNNNNNNNNNNNNNNNNNNNNNNNNNNNNNNNNNNNNNNNNNNNNNNNNNNNNNNNNNNNNNNNNNNNNNNNNNNNNNNUUUUUUGUGUAUUAUAAUUUUAAAAUUUAAUUUUUUUUAUUAAAGGGACCAUGUUUUAAAAAUAUCACACAGUACACCCAAAAUAUUAAGGUCAACCCUACAUCUAAGUACUACUGUGCAACUUCUCCAUUUCCUAGGUAUCAAAAAAUCUUCACCUCUAGUCCUCUACAACCACGUAUUAUGUUAAUUGCUGAAGAUUAUAUUUACGGUCUGUUUAAGCCACAUUAUUUCAAAAAAACAAAUUUUUAAAUAAUGAUUUGACAUUAUUUCAAUCACACAUUUUUCAAUAAAAUAAUAUUACACGUAAAUAAAAAAAAUUCUUUAUUUCUUAACCACACAUUUCCCAUCAAUACAUUAUUCAAGAAUGCAUUAUUACCAAAAUAAUGUGGCUCAAACACCCCCUCAGUAGCAAAUAUAAUAGAAUAAAAUUCUAUGACAUACUUAGAUGAAAAUUAAUUCAAUACAGCCUGGCGCUCAAGUCAUGCGAUAAAGUAUAUUGGGUGUGGAAGAGAUAUAGAUACGGUUUACAAAAACUUUCCUUCAAAGGAAAGGGCAGAGUAUUUAUAGGUGGAAGAAGCUCUAUCUGAAUGCUUAACACGUGACUUUAUUUUAAUACCUCAUUUGUCAUGCUUAAUUAUGUCAAUUUAUAGCCAUCAUAGGUAUGGCUUUCCAUAGUCAGAGUAUAAGCUAAAAACGAAGUAUCGUUGUUGUAGAGUUGUUACAUCAAUUAUUUUGUACGGUGUACUUUGGGCAACUUUGUCAAAGCGAGGCUUGUAGUAGAUGUUCAUCACCUAGAUAUAUACUGCAGUGGAGAGGUGAUGCAUCGCCUCGAAUAACAAUAACAUUCUAAACAAUGCAUCUAAAAGUAUCUCAUGAUCGUAUCAAAAAAGGCAUGAAGAGGAGACGAUGGGAAUUUGAGUGUUUCCCUUGUAUAGCCUCUUCUUAUUUGGCUGUCAUGUGGCCCACAUUGUAGAAAAAUAUGUAACAAUAUCACUUUUAACAAAAUCUAUUCUCAAACAAUGGAGCUUAAAUAGGGUUACCAGUUUUAUGUUACUGAAAUUUUUUUCAAAAGCUUUGUUGAAAAUUAAUUUUUUUUCUUUUUAUUAUUUUUUUAUUUUUAGGAGAGUUAGCGGCUAGAGAAUAAAUGUAUGUAAAACAAAGUUGUCAGAAUCAAAUGCUAAGAGAGCAAAUCUCUUUGCAAGAAAGAAGGAAAGGAUAAGGCUGCCAAAAUUAUGGUGAUGAUGGAAAUGGAAGCAAGAAUAUUCAUAAUAUAAGUGAAUUUCUUGGUCAUCCAUGCGGGAUUAAAGCUAUUUUGAACACACGGCCUUCGUGAAGUUAUCAAUCCCUCAAUUCUAUUGUUUACUGGUGCAAAUUCAUUUUUUCCCGUGUUAAAAAUUUUCCUUUUUGUUAAAGUUGAAUCUCAUCGUCUAAUAACAUUAGCUUAUGGGGAUAGGACAAAUUUAUUUACGGAAUUUCUGAAGAUCCUUGAGUAACUUGGAUUCAUUUUUCAAUUUAUGAGAUGUGCGUAAUUUUGCUCAUCAAACCACAUCAUCUAAAAGCUUAAGCUAGCAAUUAGGACACAAAUUUAUUUAUUUAUUUAAAUCUUCUUCGACAUUUUGGACAUGAAAUGUGAUUCCUACAACAAAUGUGCACACCUCCAAUUUAUUAAAUGAUAGACUACGAAACUGUAUUUUGAGUGGCAAUUGGUACGCAAGAGUGGUUAACUAAUGGAUUUGUAAUUUCGACAUCUAAGUUCUGCAAGGCCAAUACAAACCGAUAGAUAGAACAUUUAUUUUUGUCUGCAUUAAGCAUCACAGGCUCAAUAACCGAGAAUUGCAUCCACUUUACACCUGUUACAAUGUGGAAGCGGAAUUGUCCAGAAAUUAAAUAAAAAAAAUUUAAUUAAAUAAACAAGAUCGUUUAUGUAACAUCCCUAAAAUAUUUUUAGGGAAAAAAAUUAUUAUCUAUUCUAUAUAUUAUAUUUGAUUAUUUUGAAAAUGACGGACUUGGAUGAAGUAUAUUUUAAAUUAUUAUAUUCUUGAGGCAAAUAGUUGGAUUUUGAUAGAGUGAUGAUAAGUAUAUCAAAUUACACUCGUUGGAGAGCCCGUAUUUAAUUAUGUAUUUUAGGCUCGAGAAAAAGUUAAUUCUAAUAAGUUUGGCUCAAGAUAUUGAAGGUUGUAGAAGUUGUUAUUUAAUUGGAAUUAGAAUUUACCAACUUUUAAAAGGGGUAGCCACGUGUGCUCUUCUAUAGAGAUAAGGUGGUGGAUAUGAGAUUGUAGUUAAUUGUUAUUUUAUCACAUUUUGAUGACGAUUAAUGUAAAUUGAUAAUUAUAAUCCGAUUUUGAUAUAAUUCAACUCCGGAUAUUGUUACUAAAUUAAAUUAAAAUAUUAGUCCUUACGUUUAUUUUACCUGCACUACAUGAGUGGAUAAGGUGAUUGGGAUACUUCUAAUUAAGCAAAAUCCAAAUUAAAACUAAUCUAGAACUUAUCAUAUGAAUUAGAUAAAUUUUCCAUCUCCUGCUUGGCCAUGCGUUUAAAGAUUUAUUGGUUUUAAAAAUUAUUUUCACCAACUAGAGAUUUUACAGAGAUGAGAUAAAAUUUUAUGAAGUCAUUUUUAUCCUAUAUUUUGAUAAAGGAUAAAGGUUUAAAUGUAAUCUUAUAUGUGAGAUAUUCAAGUACUAUCAUACAUGUGUCAUAUCAUGGUUUGGGUUAUCAAAUUUUAAAGUUUAUCCAAGUGGUACACGUUUUCCCCACCGUCAAAAUUGUACCAUGACUCAACUACCAUUUUUUUACUAUAAAUAAUGUGCAUUUGUACCUUGAUUUUCCACCAAGAAAUUUUUACAUAUCAGACAAUAGAGAGAGAGAGAGAGAGAGAGAGAGAGAAUAAUUUCGAAGAUUCAGUCACCAAAAUUUUGAUGCAAUCGAGAAAGUAGAAUAUGGGGGUGUUUGAUAGACAUUUUUAUGUAAAAAUACAUUUUAGAAUAGCAAAUUGAUGUGAAAUGUGUGGUUGAAAAAUGAAGAAAAGUUUUUGAUUUACGUGUAAUAUUAUUUUAAUAAAGAAUGUGUAGUUGAAAAGAAGAGAGAGAAAAAUACAUUUUAAAUAAAAUAUGAAUGAAUUACCUGCAGACAUUCGUUUUUUAAAAGAAAUAUGAAAUCCUACAGGAUUAUAAGAAGGCCUAAGAUGGGUGUCACUUGGUCACGAAAUUACUCCAUAAGAUCAAAGUGGUAUGAAAUGCAUAAUUUUUAUUGUUAUAUAUUUGUAUAUGAAAAUUGCACGUAUCUUAUUGGGUGUUUUUGAAUACUCACUCUUACAAAUUUUUAAAGGUUAGUUCAAUUUAAUUGAAGUUGUGACGAAUUGGUGACGCAGACAGCCAAGUGACUCGAAGAAAGGAAAAAGAAAUUAAAUAUUUAGUUUCCUUUUUUUUCUGUAAUUCUAAAUUAUUUGCUAGUUUUAUUUGCUCAAAGACUCUUUUGGUUAUUUUAAAUUGAUAUUUAUCGUUGAAAAUAAAGAAUUUCCUUUUAUUUAAAUCGUUCCACAAUUAUUAUAAAAGAAAACAGCGUUUUUCUUAACAUCCCGGCGUUUUUGGAAAUUUGGGACGUUGCAGUUUAGAUGUCCACGUAUAUGUUAAAUCAAGGAUAAAGAAUUUGAAUUUUUACCUAAAUUGAUGACUAAUUAUUUAAUUAAUUCAAAUCACGAAAUUCCACCUUUUUGGAUCAUAGACUUCUAGCUUUUAAUUGCAAGAACUUGAUACAUCAAAUCUCCAAGUCUUCUAUUGUAUUCUCCAAAAUCAAAACUACACCAAUGAGUGGACGUUUUUUUUAAUUAUAUCAAGAAACUAAUUUUUAAACUGACAAUUGAAUAAAAGCAAGAAAAAUAAUAUUUUCUCUCUUUUUUCCUCUCUUCAAUUUGAACACUAUGGAUUUAUGUAAAAUGAUUAGAAAUUCUAGGUUCUAUAUAAUCUCUAAUUAUAGAGACAGAAUAGUUCUAAUUCUUGUACAAUAAUAAUUUCACAUUCAAAUAAGAGUUCUAAUUAAAAUCUAAGUAGGAGUUUUACCUAAAGUCCAAAUUCAAUUAGUACACAUUUAAUUACAUGUGUAGUCCUAAAACUUUAUAAUUAAGUUUACAAAUUUCAUAAUAAUUAUAACUAAGUACAAAAUUUUAUUGUAAUUACAGUUAAUCUCAAAAUUAUUACAUUUACUAUAAUUCAAUUCCAAUAAUUUAUGGAGCUGACAUAGGGACCUGAUAUAACAUAUAUUAUCCAAACUCCAAUAAUUAGAUAUGUCUAGUAGACUUUAGACCACACAAUCUAAUUAUUAGUCUUUGCUUUUUCCACCAAAGACACAGAAACCAAUAAAUUUGUAAUGAUUUCCUCUAACCUGUUGUAUAUGUAUUUUAUCCUCGUCCGAGAUUUAAUAAUUAGGUACGAGCAUAAAUGACUGUUUUGCCCUUUUAUUUAUUAUCACUAGCUUAAGUAUCAUUUUCUUCAACGAUUAUGUAAACUAAUCACAGAUGUCGAAGUUUAACCGUCGCUAAACACUUAGCUCAAAUUUUAAUCAUUCAACAGUAAAUACUUAAGUAAUCACUCUACCCAUUUUUCAAGGUGACGAUUCUCGACACGAAUUCAUGUUCUCUACCUUGCUUAUUUUCAAAUUCUUAGCUCAUCAAGAUAUUUAACCAAUCAAAUUAAUAUCACCCAUUGAUGAUCAAAGAACCACUAAAAUCACGAAAAAAUAUACAUAACACUAUUAAGGGAUUUAUAUGAAAUACACAGCGAUCAAGUGAAAUUUAAUUCUUUGCACGGUUAUGCUGUAGGAAUUAAAUUUGACACGUGAUCCGUUCAAUAGACUACAAGUGUACUAGUACCACCUUUAACUAUUUUUGUAAUAAGGACAAAUCACAAACGUGAAUAGUGAAUCGAUCAAUAUUACAACCUUCCAGUACAAGGUGUCAACCCUUAUACAUUGAUUAUGAACAAAUUAUUUAUGAUCAAAAUAUAAGUUGUGUCACCCUAUAUUUCUCAACGCAAGUAUCCAAUUUAUAUUAUCACAAGUGAUUAUAGGCACUUUAAUUCACAUGCUUAAUAAUAAAUAAAUGUAAUAAAUAAAAUAAACACAUUUUUAUUUAAUAUAACAAUAUUGUUAUUUUUACAUCAGCAAAACUAUACUUGAUAUAUUUGAUAGGUUGAUAGGAUUCAAACCUUAGCAUGCCAUUUAGAAAUCCAUUCGUUAAUAGGAUUCAAUUAAGUUACCGUUGCCAAUUAUGAGUUGAUGCAUGGUCAAAUGAUAGCCUCUGUAGCUUCACACACUUGAUAUAUUUGAUAACUUGUUAAACUAUUAAUAUGGGUUGCAGUGAGGGUUCCGAAGUAGUAGAAUGGUAGAAUGACCACUUUUCAGGUAUUAUUGGCAUUAAUAUUUUUCUUAAUUUCAAUGAAUUUAAAUGAAUUAAUCUAGAGACCGUAGCAAAUAUGAGGCUUAAGGAGAAUCUGCAAUGAUUUCAAUGAUGUUUGAAAAGUCUGUAUCAUCAUGGACGGUUAAUAUCUGGGAGAUUCAAGUAUAAAAGUUUUGCAUAAUUUCAUUGAAUAUGCCUCUAGCUUUCAUACCUAGAAUAUUAUGCUUGAAUGCUUAAAAGAUUUAUCCAACUUUAGGGUUUCAUUGUAUUGUAUAGAGUAGCCGCUUAAAUACUUCUCUCUUGUACUCAUAUUUGAUAUAGAAAAAAUUAUUUUCUUACAUUUUUGUGAAUUACAAGUACCAGAGAGUGCAAAUGAAGUAAACCCAAUUUUACUUGUGGGUCAUUUGGCAUUCACAUAUUAUAACUAUUUUACUUGUGGACUAAAUUACGUAUACUGAACUAGAGAAAAAAAUCGAUUUGAAUAUACGGAGACCAAGAUCGAUCUAUCCUAAGAUAUCAGGACUUAUUAUUAAUUAUUAAGAUAUUUUUCCCAAAAUCAAUAUUGCUAGAUUGAGUUUUAACUAUAUAGGGAUUUAAUUCCCAAAAUAAAUUACACACAUCUACAUUGAAUUCCCAAAAUAAAUUACAUUGAACAAGUAAUCACACUCCAAUAAUUUCCUGAAACCAUCAGUCUUCAUAAUUUCCUGAAACUAACUCAAAUCUCCACGCAUUAAAGAUUGGGUCAAUAUGUUAAAUAUUGUAAAUAAAUAUGAUUAAAUAGUUAAAAUUAAACAUAUCUGAUUUGUUUACCCUACAACGUAAAUGGAUAUAAAGACUUCAAAGGGGUAUAACAUAUUCAAAGUCUCCAACUAAAUCUAGUCCUCGUAUCCUCAACUUAUCAAAAAGUCAAUACCUUUAAGGUAUGUGCCAAAGAAAGGCACGAGUGUUGACAACCCCACCAUCUAUACAUUUGACACUUGCCUUAAUGAUUAAGAAAAUGCCUGAUCAUCAUUUACUAAAACUCAUAAAUAUGUUUAUAUCAUCUACUAAACUCAUUUUUUCAAAAUUUAUUUUCAAUCAUACAUUACAUUUCGUAGGAUUCACAACUUUUACCAAUUUUCCCAUCAAAUCUUACCAAUUAGGCAACGGCCUAAGGCCUUAGAUAUUUGAGGGACCUCAAAAAUAAACCAUUUGUUCUCUGGUUCUUGUAGACAGUGGGAACAUAUCUUGUUAUUGCAAAUUAUUGCAUGACAGGAAUGACCUUUAUGAUUUGCUAAAGAAAUGAAGGUACUGUCCUUGGUUUCUUCAUUUUGCUUUAUUUCCACUCGUCAUUCAUUUACCAAUAUGGGUUGAUUCCCUUUCCUAGAAAAUAUGCUCAUGCCAAUUUCCUAAAUUUGUGGAUUUAAUUGAAACUCAAAAAAGUUUAACCAUAUUUUCUUACCUUCGUUUCAGUCCAUGAUAAUCUUUGUCAAAUUUUUAAUUUGUGGAAUCACACACAUUUAAAGAACAUUUUAGUCCAACCUAUCCUUUCCAUCCAAUCUCAUCUUUGCAUUGACAUACGUUAUGUGUUAGUUGGACAAUAAAAGAAAAUAUUAGACAGCAUUAAAAAAUAAACAACCAUCACAAAUUCACGACAUAUUUAUAGAAUACUGCCAAAGAAAUCCAUUUUGAGGAACUUUUAAUCAUUUUCAAACAAGCUCUUAGCUCUCAACAUUUUUCAUGAGCUCGAUUUAUAGUACUAAUUAAACAAUAAAAAGAUAUUAAAACUUUUUCCAUAGUAAUCUACAUAUUUGUCCAGCACUAAGCAUGGCUCCUAAAUAUGUGAUAUGACAGUAAACAUGUGGGCCUUUCCUGUUUUAAUAGGAAUCCUCAUCUUUGAGAAUUAUGUUAGUUGUUAUUAUGUCCUCUGAGCAUGUUUCCUCAAGAAUCAAUAGAAAAUAGCUAUUUAUUUUUUUUUUAUUUUUUCAUUUUACUCAAACUCGUGUAUUUCUGCCUAGUAUAGAAAUUAAAGAAGAUUAAGUUAUGAGAAAAAAGUUAUGUUUAAGUUCUUCAAGGAUCAAAAGGUGAAAAUAUCAUACCUGAGGGCCUCAUCAUAAUUAUUUGAUAGCCCCGAGAAACCGACCCCAAUAGUCCCUUUUCUAGGAACCACCUUGGUGAGCCUUUCUUCGUCAACGAAUUUAGUUCACAGAUUCGCCUCACUUUCUCCACCAACAAGCCUAGUUUGCAGCUCUGCCUCACCGAGUGACUCCAACAAGAUACAUCAAGGUUAACAAAAUGUAGCUCACAUGUAGCAUCCAAGUUGGAUGAGGUUCAAUCAUUUUGAGCCACUUUCAACGAGCCUGGAAGGUUGUUACUACGUAGAUGAAUAUGUGGAUCGCUAGAUUCUGACAUUUGCUCAGCAGAUUAGCACCUUGAGGACGACAGGAUUCAACCAACCCAGUUUGACACAGAACAACUUAUUAAGCAACAGGAAAUCUCUUUCAAUGUGGAUGAGGAAUUUUAUUCAGCAACAUAGGUGGUGUGCUCUAAACUGACUGCAAGGAGCCACGUUCUUAAUUUCUAGAAACAAUCUCGAAACCAAUACUAAUCUCGGCAAGUUUAAUAAAUAUUUUGGUUUUCCUUCCGAAUCCCAUGGCCACUCCGUUGUGGCACAACUCUGGUGCCUAUCCCGCACCAAGUGUGCCUCAACAGCCGAAGCUGGAGGUGAGGGUCCGCUGGAGCUGCCUCGACAACAGUUGCCGGAGGUUGGAGGUUGCGGUGUACCCAGAAACGUCAAAAGUCAUAGUUGGAGGUUGAAUUUUGGUUUAGAUAUUUUAUCGAUCGCCUGAUGGACGAAGUAGUGCUGAGAAUUUAUGAGAACAAAUAAAGGCUGCCUUGCACAUCACAAUAUCCCAAUUGUGCCCGUUUUAGAAUAUCCGCGUCCGACGAAAGACAAGGAAGAGACAUUAUUUAUAAAAAUGGAGCGGGGUCCCAUGGUUCAACGCGAGGCUUGAAUUGAAUAUCUCCACUAUCUGAGAAAAAUCUAAAAAACUUUCAUACAGCAGGUGGCGGCCCAAGGUUCUUACCACCAGUGAAGAUUCGGAGCCGUCGAAAGUGACUACCACUGCGACUGCAUCCAACGGAGGCUACGGGAGCCUCGGUGGCGGUGGGGGCACCUGCGGCAGAUCUUGGCCUAGUGUUCAGUCUAACACGAAGAGUUGUACUUGGUCCACCGAGACCAAGGGGGAUCGAGAUCGAGUGGCAUGUAGGUCGCAACGCCGCUGCUACGGGAGCCUCGGUGGCAGUGGGGGCACCAGGGCCAGAUCUUGGCCCAGUGUUCAGUCUAACACGCAGAGUUCUACUUGGUCCACCGAGAUCAAGGGGAAUCGAGAUCGAGUGGCAUGUAGGUAGAAACGCCGGUGCUACGGGAGCCUCGGUGGCGGUGGAGUUCAACACCGAGACCAAGGGAGAUCGAGAUGGAGAAGCAUGUUGGUCCGUCGUAGCUGGACUGUUUUAAUGACCAUGGAGGCGAUUCUCAUCAGUAGGAUUUUGGUGAAAAUUUUGACAGUUACACAGCGAAAUUUGUGGAGAUUUCCAUUUGUACCCGAAUGUGAGUGAGUGAGUGGUCGGACCCCGCAAACUUAAUGGCGUAGACAGUCCAAAUUAUCCCCAAAAUCGAAUAGCUUCCAAAUAAACGCACAAUUAAUUCAUGACACAUUAAUUUAGUGGGUUAAUGAUGAUAAAUUUAAGAUAACAUAUUAAUUAUUAAUGACAUGUCAAGAAUUAAUUAGAUAGAUAGUAGAUCUCGACUCUAUUUUCCAAAAAGGUAUAUAGUAUGUCAUUUAUAUAUUUUAUUACAUAGUGUAUACCAACUUAUUUUUUCAUUAUAUUUUUAAAAAAAAAAAAAGUAAGAAAAAUAUUUUCCCCUCACUUCAAAGCAUAGAACAAAAUAUUUUGAUAUAAAUUAUCGUCAAGGACGAGAUGUACUACCUAAUGAAAAUUUGAAAAUAAGAAUUCCACGAAAAAAAUUAAGAAAAUAAUUACUAUAAUGAGCAAAAUAAAAUGUAGUGUAAUUAAUAAAAAUUAUAGUGGCAAUACAACCAUCCUAAAAUAAAACUUGACUUCCCUUUGUGGGGACCAAACAAACCACUGGAGAGGUGAUUCUUUCAUCCUAUAAUAAAACUUGACCUCCCUUUGUGGGGACCAAACAAAUCACUGGAGAGGUGAUUCUUUCAUCCUAUCUGAAGCUUUGAAACACUGUGUUUUCCUCGAAUUACAUUUGCUAUGCGCUAACAGAAAUGCAAUACAAAAGAGGCAAAUAAACUACAUCAAAACAUUAUUGUUCUUUCCAAAUAACUAUAUUUAAUUACUAACUCAGCUCCAGUUUUGCAUUUGGCCUAAUCUUGCUGAAUUUGUCUCCUCACCUGCGAUUCUAUGUCGGGUUCCUCAUCAAUAUUUAUUGUUGUGGUCAUAUAUAUGUUAAGAACAGGAAUUGAUGGCAAUAGAAGUUGAAAACUCAGCUUAAAACUCCUCCACAUGCUAGAGAUACAUGUAGUGCAUAAGGAAAGCAACAUAAUUAUGGGGUAGAUAUUCCAAAAGACAUCUUGUGGGAAGAAUAGAGAGGCCAAGAAACAAACCAAUAGGGAAACUGAGUAAUUCUUGACUUGAAUGCGUAUGUAUCCUAUCUCAACUUGAGGUGUCAAUGGGAUUUCAAUGGAAAUGAAGGAGAAGAGAAGGAAAAAGCUAGUGAGAAGCCAAAACUUGAUCCAAGUGAAGUUUUCAAUUGCUAUACCAAAUGGAUCCCAUUCCCAAGAUGUGGCUGUAUAUGAUUUCAAUAUGUUUAUAACGAAGAGGGCAGCGUGUCUUAGAUCAAAGUAUAACAUUAUUCUUGGGUGAGAGAAUUUAAGGAGAAGUGAAGAACUGAAUAUGAAGAAGAUACUGGUGAGAGAAUUUAAGGUAAUAUGAAAAUGAUACUCGCCUCUCUCUCUCUCUCUAUCUAUCUAUCUAUCUGUCUAUAUAUAUAUAUAUAUAUAUACACAUAUAUAUAUAUACACAGACAUAUGUAUGUUUCUAGGAAACUUUACAAAUAGACGCGUGUAUGUUUCUAGGAAACUUUAUAUAAACGUACGUGCGUUUCACUCUCAUUUGGAUGUUUUCAGGAAAAUUUACAAAUAUAUAUAUAUAAACGUACGUUUCACUCUCAUUUGGAUGUUUUCACUCUCCUUUGGAUGUUUGAUGUUUCUAGGAAACUUCUCUCUCUCUCAAUAUUCCAGUACAGUAUGUGUGCAAAGUCAAUUUUAGCAUAGAACAUUAUGUAAAAGAUAAGAAACAAAACAUAGAAGGAUUUUAAAGCACCUCACGUUGGAAAACAAAGCGUCACACUGGAAUCUUUGUCUCGCAGGAGAAACAAUUCACAAAUUUGCAUGUUCCAAGCACGCAAACAGGAGAACAAGCCACAAGGUUACUUGGAUAUAUGUAAAGUCUGCCUCCGGGACAUAGUCUAGUGGUACAAAUGAUAGGAGUGAGGUUAUCUCACGCCUUGCUGGCAGUCGCAGUGUGGGGGUUCGAUUCCUGAAACAUGGAAUUGGACUCCUUAUAAGCGCAGUGUACAGGCAAUUCUUGUUCCCUGGCCUGUUGGGGCACAUCCUGCGAUUUACCUCCCUCACAAAGCUCUAGGGACGGGACGGGACGGUGGGGGCCCUCAAGGUUGGGGUUCAACCUUUAUAUAUGCAACGUCUAUAAUCCAGUAGUCUGUCUUCUCUUUAAAGAAAAAAAAAUGCUGCUCAAAUAGGUGUAGCAUAGGUGUGGAGUCAUGACUCAUAAGCCAAAACUAUUGUCAUCUCUUCGUAGUUAAUUAAUUAAAUCUUCUUUUCUUUUCCAUCAUUGCUAGAGAAAUAUAUUUCCAAAAGCAUUAAUUUUGAAUCAUAUCUUAUCUUCCGUCCCUCUAGUUCUCUAUUUGAAGCCAAAGAAAGAAAAUGAUGUCAACUGGUAGAUAGAAAUGGCUAAAAAUUCCCUUCAAACCCAUCUCCGUGGACCCUGCUCUAAAUUGGGUGGGUAUUACCCUCUUAUUCAGCUAUUCAGGUAGGGGAAUUUCGUCCCGAGACGGGUUGGGUAACACCCGCCCCCAUGCCAUUUAAUUUAAUUUAAUUUUUUUUUUAAAAUUCAAUACUUUAAAUGAAAAAUUUUACGAAAUGUCAUUAAUUCUAAUAGAAUAUAACAAUUAAAAUUAUCUAAAGAAUAUGAUAAAUAAUAAAAAUCUUAGUUUAGAAAAUAUAUUCGAAUAAGUUAACUUUUAAAAUAAAUUAAUUAAUUUAAAAUUUUAAUAACUAUAUUAUUAUCUCACUUUAAUGAAUGGGGACAAUAAAAUUAAUUAUCAAAAAUCAAAUAAAAAAAUAAAAAAAGGGUACGUGAACGGGCCAACACCCUAUCCUGCCCUGCCUUUCAUUAUUAUUUUGCAAAUGAAUCCUAAUAAAUUAUUAAAAGGUUAUUUAACACAUAACAUCCCUAACUUUCAUUAUUAUUAUGCAAAAUAUCCCUACCUUUUAUUUUUUAAUAUUUUCACCCUUAUUUUUAUAUUUCAUUGCAAAAAGCAUUAUUUUCAUCUAUUUUUUCAAUUAAAAGCUGUAAAAUAACAAAAAUACCCUCCUAUUUAAAUAAACAAAAAUAAAGAACAAAUUGUAACUAUACUCCCAAAAUUUUCAAAAUAAACUACAAAUAAUUUUCAAAUAAAUAAUUAAAAAACAAAAAUCACUUUUUUAAUUAUUUAUUUGAAAUUGAUUUGUAUUUUUUUUGAAAAUUUUGGAAAUAUAAUUGCAAUUUGUUCUUUAUCUUUCUUUAUUUUUAUUUUUAUUUAGCUUACUUAAAUAAGAGUGUAUAUUUGUUAAUUUACAGCUUUUAAUUGAGAAAAUAGAUGAAAAUAACGAUUUUCGCAAUGAAAUAUGAAAUAAGGGUGAAAAUGUCAAAAAAUGAAAGGUAUAGAUAUUUUGCACAAUAAUAAUGAAAUGUAUGGACUUUUUUUAUUAAUUACCCUUUUAAUAAUUUAUUUAAACUCAUUUGCACUUUUUAAAAAAAGUUUAAGAGUAUAAUUGUAAUAUAUUCUUUAAUUUUUCUUUCUUUUUUAUUGUUUUAUUUAAAUAGGGAGUAUAUUUAUCAUGUUACACGAGAAAUUUGAUGAAAAUGAUGAUUUGCGCAAUAAAAGGUGAAGGUAGGGGUGUGCCAAAAAAAUAAAAGAUAGAGACGUUUUACACAAUAACAUUAAAAGAUAAAGAUGUUUUGUGCUAAUUACCAUUCCUAGAAACAUCCAAAUGAACCAAAGAUGGUUGGUGUUAAAGCACAAAGGGAAAAUUUCAUAUAUUCUAGCGUAAGUAUAGGUGAUUUCAAAACUAAGAUGACAAGUUUGAAUUUGCAAAAAUCAGAAAUAUGGUAGUAACAAUCAAUUAGUUUUCUAAAAAUCAACGUCCAUUUACCUUCAAAAGCCGGAUUCCAUAUAUUAUCCCAUAUGGAGGGAGGGAGGGAGAGAGAGAGAGAGAGAGGGAGAGAGAGAGUUAGUCCCUAAAAUCAAGCAUUCAGAUUCAACUCCCUAAAAUACUGAAUACACAUUAAAUCCCUCAACUACAUAAUUAAUUAAUUAUAUAAUUUAUUAAUUAUAUAUAUUAAGGUCACAUAACUAUGCAAUUUGAUCACAGAUUCUUAAUUUAGUUAGUCACAUAUUAUUUUCUGAUCAUAAAUCAUAAUUUUUAAAUAUCAUAAAUUAUUUUACGGUUACAAUUCAAAAUUUUAUAUGUCACAAUUUAUUCAUCGAUCACAAAUCAAAAAUUAAUACGUCACAAUUUAUGUAUCGGUCACAGAUCACAAGGUCACAACUUAUUAGACGGUCAUAAAUUAAUAUUUUUUAGGUCACAUUGGCCACAAUUUAUCUUCAUCCGUCACAUAUUGUUUAUUGGUCACGGAUUAAUCAAUUCAAUGGUCACAAUCAAACAAAUAAUAUGUGACCACCCCAACCUUUAUGAAAACCACUGCCUCCAAUAGUAUCACUGUCAUCAUUGCCUUCAGAACCACCACGAGCACCGACAGCAACAUCGUCUCCUCCCUGAUGUACUCCUGCCCAAUGCUAGAUCGAAACCUAGAACUUAGCCAACAUCACCAACAACUCACAUCACAGCCAUUACCAUCGCCAACAUCCCGACCACCACAGUCUCACCACCAUCAUGAUUAGCAUUGACGUCAUCGCCACACCACCAUAGCAAACCACCACAAAAAAAAAAAAUCACGAUGAGCAGUAGCACUUUUGGGGAGGAAAAGUCGCGCUGAAACGGCAUUUUUCGAAGAGAGAGAGAGAGAGAGAGACGGGUGGAGAUGAGAGAGGAGAAAUUGGAGAGGAAAAGCUGUGCUGAAACGACAUUUUUCUGAGAGAGAGAGAGAGAGGACGGGUGGAGAGGAGAGAGAGAAAAUUGGAGAGAGAAUAUAAUUAAAUGGAGAUGAUCGGUGGAGAGAAAGGACGGGUAGAGAGAGAAUACAAUUAAUUGGAGAGGAGAGGAAUUGGAGAGAGAAGACGGAUGAGGGGAGAAAUUGAUUUAUAUAAUUAAUAUUUAAAUAUAAAAAAUUUGAUUUUUGAAAUGUUAAAUUACUCAUCUUAUUUUUGAACCCUAGAUUUUAAUUCUAGGGCUUUUUGUAAUUACCACGAGCACAAUUUGGCAAUGUUGUACCGGUUCGACCAAUAAAAUGUGGACUGGCCCAAAACAUUGCAAAUUGGACGUCAUAAAUAGUUCCAAAGCACUAUCACCUGUUGACGCUUUCAUAGGUCGACUUGAAAAUGAUGCACAUGCAAUUAGGAGUGGGCGCGAUCUGAUUUGGUUCGAUUUCCGUGGGCGAGGUCCGAUUUGGCUCGAUUUGAAAGGAAAUCGAACCGAACUAAAUACCAAUGGGAAUUUUAGAAAUGAAACCGAACCGGAACCGAACCAAUCGGUUCCGAUUCGGUCCGAUCUGGUUCUUUACAUUGAAAAUGUCAAAAUAAAAUGUUCACUAAUAAAAACUUUAAAAAUGCUACCAAUGUGAUACUUUUAACAAAAUAUAGAAGAACCAAACAUACUAUUCAAAGAUCUAUUUAGGUAUAGAUUUACAAAGUGAAAACAAAAUAAUAAUCAGGUAAUCAAAGUGAAAACAAAAUAAAAAUUCCGUAUCUUAUAAAUGAAAUUAUAUAUUGUAAAUAUUUAUUUAGAUAUAGAUUUACCCAAUAUGCUAAUUUGGUUUGAAAAUCAAUUAAUCAAGGAAUUAUAAGAAGGGACAAGGAAAAGAGUCUAAAAUUAAGAAGGAACCCAAUUAUUUUUUAUAAAGGUGUUGGAGAUUGAAUCAUAUAUUUUACCAAAAAAAAAGAGGAAAAAAUCCAAUGAGAACCGUCUGGUCCCCGCAGUUCCCGUACUAGAAUCGGGAACCAAAUCGGAACCGAUCGAUUCUUAAAAAUUUGUCUCGAAAUCAAAUUUUUUUAGAAGAUCCAAAACCGAAUGGGCCAGUUCUAAAUGGUUCUGGUCCGGUUCCACCAGUUCUGGGAAAAAGCGUCCACUCCUAUAUGCAAUGUCAAUAAUCCAGUAUCCAAAAAGAUGCCGUCAAUUUUGAUUGAAAAUGGUAAAAAUUCAAAAUCAGAGUAAUUUUGGACUGAAGAUAUGGAUUAAAGAGAGCUUGAGAUAUGUGGAAGACUAUUUCAAGGUGUGGAGUCAUAAGCCAAAACUAUUGAUGGUCGUCUCUUCAUAGUUAAUUAAAUCUUCUUUUGUUUUCCAUCAUUACUAAAGAAAUAUGUUUCCAAUAGCAUUCAUUUUGAAACAUAUCUUAUCUUCCGUCUCUCUAAUUCUCUAUAUGAAGCCAAAGAGUAGGGAUAGCAAAAAACUCCCUUUAAACUUGAUAUCCGCAGGCCCCGUCCCAAACUAGGUGGGUAUUACCCACUUAAUCAACUAUUCAAGUUGGGUUCGGGUCGGGAAAUUUUGCCCCGAGGCUGGUACGGUUAACACGCACCUCCGUCCAACUUAUUUAUUUAUUUAAGAAUUCAAUACUUUAAAUCAAAAAUCUCGCGAAAUUUCAUUAAUUCUACUAAAAGACGACAAUUAAGAUUAUUUAAGGAAUACGAAAACAAUAAGAACCUUAAUUUAUCAAAUAUAUUCUAAUAAUUUAACUAUUAAAAUAAAUAAAUUAAUUAAAAAUUUAAUAACUAUAUUAUUAUCUCACUUUAAUGAAUGGAGACAAUGAAAUGAAUUAUCAAAAACUAAAUAAAUAUAAAUAAAAAAAAGUACGUAAACGAGACCAGUCCCGCCUCGCCUUAAACAAGUAACGGGGCGAGAAAUUACCCAGCGGGGCGGGGUCAUUGCCAUUCCUACUAGUAGAAUAGUUUCUCUUGCAGGCACAGAAAACUAGUAAUAUUAUCAACGUCAGAUUUUUUUCCUCCUUCAAAAUUUCCUUAUGUUCUCAUUUUUUAGUAAAAUAACAAACUAAAAUGCCAUAAAAAUAUUUAAUCGACUCAAUUAUUAACUCUUUUCUUUAUUUUUUUAUCUCAUUUAUAUUAAUAUUAGAAGUGGAUCGAAUAAGAUUUAAUUGUAAUCAAGUUUAUUAAUUAAUUUUUAUUUCUAUAUAUAAGUCAUUUUGAAAAAAUAACAUAUUUUGUCAAAAAAUACACACACACACACACACACACAUAUAUGUUAUUAAAGAUUCGACUUCGAUUUAAUCUUUCAAUCCUUGACCCUUUAACUUUUUCGGAUAUAUGGCUAGGUAUUUUUUCACAAUAUUGGAUAUUGUAAUUUUUUUUUCCAUAAUCACCAAUAUUGUCCAACCAACACAUAAUGAAUGUUGAUUCGUUGAUGCAAAGAUGCCAUUGAAUGAAAAAAAUGGGGUGGAUAGUAUGUUCUUCCAAUAAACACGGUAUUAUACAAUUCAAAGAUUCUCAUUCACCUGAUAUGAAGUCAAGCACAUGUGGCCAACUUUUUGAACUUAUAUUGGUAAAUGAACAAUCAUGCUACUUGUACAGUGAAUUUGACAAUGUGUGAGUUGACAAGCAUCAUAUUCAUUGAUUUGAAAAAUUGUUUCUGAAUUCAAUUGUUGGGAUCUUUACACUUUACAAAUUUUCAAACUCAUUGUACAAAUAGAUUAAUUCUUAUACGAAUGACUGCGUGGAAAUAAAACGAAAGGAAGAAACCAAGAGAAGUACCUUCAUUUUCUUGAGCAAAUCAUAACCAGCAUUCCUUUCACACGAAAAUUUGUAGAGGAGUGCUUCAAAACCAGGGAUUAAAUCCUGGGUUUCAAUUCUAGGCCGAGGUGGACAUCCGCUCUUGAUCAUCAAUCACGCAAGGCUCGCACAGUUUCGCAUUGGGGGCCAAGGAAACCCGGGAUUUUAUCCCUGUUUGAGCAGCAAUUUCCUAAUUUGUAAUACAAGAUUUCAGAUUUGUAACGAAUUUAAUUGAAUGAUGAUGAUUUGUCAGUAAAUAAUGUAAUUAAAAUUGUAUAUUAAAGGAAGAAAAUUAUAUAAGUAAUCAAACUAAAAUUAUAAAAUAAUGUUUUAUAUUGGUUAUGUUAUAAAUAAUUUAAAUUAUAAAACGAUUUAUUGAGCAAUAGAUGAAAAAUAAAAGAAGUAAUAAAGAAUAAUUUUUUUGUCAACAAUAAACUACCAAAGUAACGUCAAUGAUUGCCAGAGACAUCAUGAUCAAUAACUGCUUACCGAAGUGGGUUGGUGAAUUAGGAAUCACUUACGGUAUUGAUGAUAUUUUAUCUCGAAUUCUGCCGGAUACCGUAAGUGAUCAUUAAUAUUUGACAAACUAAAUUUUUUUAUGAUAGUUUCGUCAAUAAAUAAAGUAGUUAAAAUUUAAUAUUAACAAAUAAAUAUUAUGUUGUUAAUACAAUUAAAACUUGAAAAUAACAUAAAAUUAAAAAACCAAAGAUUUCUUAAGUUACUUCAAAAUAAUAAAAGAUGUAAAAAGAUGCUUCCCUACAGCAUAAUUAAUGACCAAAGCACUGUCGAUGAUUGUCACUUACAUAAUUAUCAUCGAUAAAUGUGGACGGAGAUAGAGAUGUGCCGACAAUCAUCGAUGGAAUCGUCGUCAAAAGUUCCAUCCACAUUAUGUAACGAAGUUUUCGUUGAUGAUUGUAUGUUCCUUUAAUUUUAUUAUUAUCAUCAUGGUAAUUAUAUGUCUUUUCUUUUUUCGAAUUAUUGAAGUAGUAGAUUUGUUAUUGGGUGCUUUUAAACUUCAGUUAGCUUUUUCUGUAAAAUGCCAUAUAGUGGAUGUUAUGUUAUCUGCUUGAAUUUGUAAUAAUCACAUUUGGUUUCCUUAAAGGUGAUGAAGCUGAAGUAAUUUCCCAACGACCAUUUAAUGGUAUAUUACAUUAAAUUCCAUUAUUACGAUAUCUGGUAAAUCUGUUUAUUUUCCAUUCUUUUCCCAUUAAAAUGAAAAAUAUGAUUAUUAUCCGUCACAUCGAGCCACUUGUGUAGAGUCCAUAACAACUAUAUUUUUCAUUCUCAUUCUUACAAAAAUGAGAAACAAAAUGGGCUAGAUGUCUGUUUUACAUUGAAGUCCAGGAUUGGAUAUGAGAACACCCCCUCCCCCCCCCUCAACUAAUCAGACGCAAGCCCCUCCUCGGGCGGAUUCCUCCUUUUGCUCCUCAGCCUACGGGGUAUUAGCAGCCGUUACAAAAACAAAAACAAAAAAACUGUUACAAAUGAAGUGGAUGUUGAGAAUUAAAAAUUCUUAUUUUAUUCUACCAAGAGCAGUCAAUUGAAGAAAUAAAAAUAAACACUCAAAAGCAAGCAAAAUUUAUAGAGUUUCGCCUCAACGUGAAACUACGUCUUCUUCUGUCGGUACAGUAACCCACUAUGAUGAAAAGAAGGUUUACAAAAGCACUCUCUCUCUCUCUCUCUCUCUCUCUCUCUCUCUCUCUAUAAUAAUUAUAAAGUCGAACCACGGCCCCCUAUUUAUAAAGCAUAUAAAGGCAAAAUCGAAUUUUACAUUAACUCCAAUUCCUUAAUAAAAUUUUACAAGAAUACAAAUAUCUAAACAAUUCUUAGAUUAAAUUUUGGUUAGGGUAUCUCCACCCCCCACCCUCGGGGCCUCCUGCUCCCUUCCAACUCCCACGGCAACCUCACCACAGAGAUUGAUCAAUGCCAACUUCGUGAAAUAACAAUAAUUAUAAUCGAUAAUAAUUAAACUCCCUAACUUAACAGUGAAUGAUCACUCGAAUUCGGCAAGUGAUGUGGUAAUGGUACAUGCAAGUACACUUCUACAACGAAUUUUGGUGGUGAUAUGCAAGCGGAGGUAUGUCUUUAGAUGAAUUAUAAGAAACGGAUCGAAUAUUCGAAUUUUUGUGUUGCAUUGUCUUAUUCAUUAAAGCAUGUAUUUAUAGACCAAAAAAGCAAAGCGAAUUCCAUUUCAUAUUUGAUUAACUCAAUAGGUAAUGAAAUUCAUUAAUUUGAUUUUCAAAAUUAGUCCUUUGUUUAGACAAGUUGAUUCAUAAAGUAACGUGUGUCAAGUACUUCUAUCAUGUGUUCAUACAUGGACCAUUGAAGGGGCGAACAAGGCAGUGGAAUGAGAGGGACCACCAUAAUAGAGGAGAGUUUGAUUUCAUAAUUUGAAAAAAAGGGGCCGAAGUAUAAAAAAAGGUGGGCAUGAGUAAAAAUGCUUAAACGAGAAACUUAGCCUCAACUGCUUUAUAUACUACAAAAAGAUGUUACAGUUUAAAUAACAAGCUUUACAAACUACGAUAACGAGUAAAAAGUCUAUGUACCAUUUGUGCAACACGAGUAAAACACAUUGAUAUAUCAAUAUCCAAUUGUACGAACAGCGAAAGCUAGAACAGAGUUUGGGUUAUCUACUCUAGCUUUCAUUUGGCAAUGGAUCCUUUUUGCCACACAUUGCCAAGAAAAACUUAGAGACCGACCCAGUGUGAGCGAACAUUGGAGUUGUGCAUAGAAGACGCACUUGGAGAUGUCACACGCCAUUCGUAUCAAACCAGUGAUAAUUAAAUUAAAUGCAAUUAAUAUCGGGUUAGACAUAAAGAGUUAAGUAAUUCCCAACCUAUAUUCUCUGUAUCUUGCCCAGUGUUUUUAUGCAUGUCCUAGGACUAAAAGGACAUUUCAAAAUUAGAUGGAUUAAACCCACCAACCUAAAACAAAUUCUAAUUCACUUCUUGCCCAUAGAGAAUAAUAAUAAUCAUUUUCAGCAGCAAGUAUAUAAAUUGCCCGUAUAUCCAUUACUUAAGGCUACGCAACAUAAAAAUUUAUUUAGAUAAUUAGGAUAUAAUUUAAAUUAAACAUUGCAAACACAUUGGGACAGAUAUUAUUUAUCUUAGGAUUCCAAAGUGGAGAUGAUCAUCUGAGAAGUUAAUAGCACCAACUCUACUUUAUUAUACGUCUCUUAGUGCAACGCAUGACCGAGAAUUCUACAAGUGCAAGAUUCAAUUUAAUUUGAGCUUUUAUCUCAUUUCAAUCGCUUUAACAUUUUCAACACUACAUAAUCAAGAAUCGAUGGACCUCCAAAUGAGUAUUCCGUGUCACGCUAACUGGCGUACUCAAUAGGAAAAAUAUUGGAAACCUGCAGAAAUCGAAGCCAACCAAAAGAGAACAAUCAUCUCAUGGAUAAUAUAUUCACUCCAAUGUACAAUUUCUUUCAUGGUGCAUUUUAUGCUUUCAUAGAACUUUUUCGAUUGAAUUUUCAAUUUUUCUUUAUUGUGCGGUUGGGGGAGAGUAGGAGGGUGUCUUAUAUUUUAGUGGCUUUAAAUAGAAUCUUUACUAAUGAAUAUGGGAUCAACGCAUACCAAAACCAACUGUACCUAUAGAUACGAUAAUAGGCAGAAAUAUUUGUCCAUAAUUUUGCAUGAUUAGCAUUCAUCAUAUAGCAUUACCUUAGAUUUUUGGAAAUAUUCAUGAAAGAAAAUAUUUGGUGUUGCUGUAGAUAGUUCAAUAAACCAUUUGACACAAACACCAACUAAAAGAAUAUCUCAAUGGUCGCCAUCUGCUACAUGAUGUCAUUGGAAGUAUAUUUUCUUGAUUAACAAAAUCAACAAUUUACGCUUUAACCUCUCUACAUUCCAGGAUAUGUUGUUCUUGUCCAUUAUGUCAUCUUUUCCAACACCGAUUUGACUGCAUGAUUGCCAACCAUGGCCUUGGCUUGGAAAAUGAAACACUUUGUCAACAAAUAUGAAUACGACGCAACUGAUAAAGCAAUUGAUAUUAGCCUUCUUCAUCACUAUGGGCAAAGCUUGCAUUGAGCCCAUAAUUGGCUAUAAUUAUCAUAUGGUGACUGAUAAGUGUGUUUUUGCACCCUCAUUUAAUGCCUAAAUAAAUUUAAAUAUUGAUUAAUUGAGCAAAUUUUCAUUCACAAUUAUGUAAUUAUUGCAUUUGUAAGUAAAAAUCACCCAAGGUAAUAGAAGAGGUAAAAGGAAGUGAGAAGGGACCAAAAGCGUACAAAAUUGUGAAGUUGGGGUCCAAAAUGCAUAAGUGCCAAAAGUUCAAGGACUUGGGAUUGCAAAUUUUGGAGGGCGUAAUUGAAAGAAAAGUCAAAAUUUGAGGACCAAAUUGUCCAGUCCAAAGUUGAGGGAUAGUGUGCAAAUAUGGGAGGACCUGAACUACAAAUAAUGAAAAAUGGGAAGUAAUGCCACUGGCACCACUAUAGCAGCACCGCGGCAACGAACAGGACCUAUUUGGCUAUAUUUUUGUAAUUGGGGACCAUUUUGCAAUUAACCUAACAUGAUUUUUGGGCCUUUUAAAAGGAAAAUUCAACAAUGUUUCCCCUAUUUCUCUCUUGAACUUGAAGAGAACCCUAGCCUCCUCUUUCUCUUUCACUUUCCUUUUCAGUUUUUCUUUCUUUUUCUUUUCUUCUUCUUCUUAUCUUUUCUUUGGUAAUUUUUGGGGCACAAUCUAGAGCACAAGGAGAUUUGAUUAAGGAUUUGACAAAAGCUUUGGGGAAAUCAAGAGCAAGCUCAAAAAAGGGUUUUAUCUACAACUUGUAUUUUCUCAAUUAUUUUGUCAAACUUGCAAUGUAUUGUACAAAAUAUUCUCCUUUUUAUCAUUUGUAUGAAAUGGGCAAGUUAUUUGUGUUGGGAUUUAUUGUUGUAGUUUAAUCUAGCCUUGAUUAAUUUUAAUAUUUGCCCUUUGAUAUUGAUUUGCUUAUUUUCAUGUGUUUUUCUUCUAUUGUAUUUCAUGCAUUUUCAUUUAUGUGGUCAAUGUAUGAUUGUGUUUAGUGAAUUUUAUAUCGUUCAAGAGAAGAUUGUGCAUUUUAGACCAAAUAGUAGAAACCCUGAGUUUGUGUAGGGGAUAGAGAUAUACCCCUAACCCUAGGUGACCCAAUGAGCUAUUUUUACAAACAUUUAAUGCAAUUGUUUAGUUUUAAUCUAUAUAGAGAUAUAAUAGGGUUAAUUUCGUUCAAGAGAAGUAAUUAAUUAAAAUUAAAACAUCGCUCUAACAUCGUAAAUGAGUAACUUUUUAAUUGACUUGUGGUGAAAUUAAUUAGGCGACGGUUAAAUGAAACCAUGAAUCUCAACUACGUUUUCUUCCAAGAUUUUCAAGAUUUUUAUGUUUUUUUAUUUUGUAGGUUUUUAGUUAAUUUCCUUAUUUCAAAAUCAUAUUUUUAAUUAUGUAUGUUUAUUUUUAUUGUUAGAAUUAAAUUAUUAAUUACGGUUGUGUAAUCUAAAGUAUAUAUUCCUCAAGGAUCAACAAUCCGGACUCAAAAUGUCCACUUUAUUACUUGAACGCGACUCGUGUACUUGUGAUGUAUAAUUUUAGCGAAAUAGUAACAAGUAAUCAAAAGUACAAGGAUGUUACAAGUAAAGCCUGACAAUAAUACCAUAAUCAAGGAAUGGAAAGUCUUUCCAAUUGAAACUAACGUUCAGCUUGAGCCACCAUAGCUUUGCAAUCCUAAAACAGACAUAAAUUUAGAUAAUAGUAGUUCUUAUUAUAUUAAUUCAUCAGCUAACAAAUAAAUCAGUCCUUCCUCUAGAUUACUAGUUGAGUGUGAAGGGGCAAAGCAAAUCGAAAAUAAAUUACUUUACAUAAUAAUUAUACAAAAUGGCUAAUUUUGGGCAAAAGGUGGAAAAAUACUAGGCAACCCUUCCAUUUCUGAUGAAACAGAUAUACCAUAACAGAAUAAUUGACAUUCCUUCCCCUUUCAUCAUCCAACUAAACUUUCUUUAAGAAAAAAAAUCUCGAAGUUAAAAAUCCACGAGUAACAGAAUUUUUUUCUGUGGUUUUUUCUCCUCUUUGCCCAUUGUUUUUACCUUCUUGGAUUUUCACGUAAAUUUUGUGCUCUUGUUAUCAUUUUAUAUUGUCGAUUCUUGCUUUUUCUUAAUAUGUAAUUUGAAAAAAAUAAUAAUAAUAAAAUAAAAUUAGGCUUGUAAAAUAGGUAGUCCGGGUAAAGUUAGCAGUGAACAAAUAUAAUAUGAAUGUGAAAAACCAAGUGACAUCAAGCCAAAAAGCAGCUGGAUGAACUAUGUAUAUGUAUUAUUAUUAUGAUUAUGGUUAGUAGAUCUAUAGCAUGCUACAAAUACCUAGAUAUACAAUUACUAAAUUCCCAGGUAAACCCAAUUUAUUUUCACUUGAAUUCAACUAUACAGUGAAUUAUUCAUUGUCAACAACUUCUACAGCAUUAUAGAAAAAAUGAGAUAUCUAGGAACUAGGUAUUUUAUCAAUAAAAAUAGGGAAGGUGGCUCAAGGGAGUGACAAAAUUAUUAAUAAGAUGAGGCAAAUUAAAGAAACAAACAAAUGUAGGAAGUUGAAAUCUACUUAAGAAACAAAAAGUACUUCCCUAUCAGUCGGAAGGGACAACAUGAUAGAUACCAAAACAAGGCAAUUGCUAAGAGAUUCAAAGAUUACAUAAUUAUAAGCGAGAAAAAAAUAAAUAUUGAUGAUUUAUUGUGGUUGAUAAUGGGGGUUGGCUAACAAACCUUACGUAGAAACUAUACCAUUCGCGGUCAAACCAUGAUCCCUGAAUUUGAAACGGGCAUAUAACGAUUUGCAAAAGAGAUAAUGGUGUUGGAUUCCCGGUGGAUAAUGCACAUGUAGACUCUGAUUUCCUGCGCACUAGGAUUGAACAUAGAGGAAAUCAUUGAAAAUGACCCAAUAACCCUUGUGUAUUUCCAAAGUAACAUUUGACUAGUUUUUAGAGAAAAAAAACGAAAAUUGAUUUUAAAGGUCAAAAUCCCAAAAUACCCUCAGACGGUCACUUUCCCAUUUGCUUAGAGUCGGCAAAAACCAAGGAAAAGCUACGGUCAAUUUUCAAUCGAUAGGCGUUUUCAGUUCAUCUCUGGCGACCUUCUUCUUGUUAAAGUAAGCUUCGAGUUGUUAAUUAACUAGAUUAAUGUUUAGAUUUUCAUAUUGUAUGUGAAUGUUGAAUUUGUGAAGGUUUUUGGAAUAUAAUAUUGGUUAUGUAGGUGUAGAAUUAUGAAUAUGUGUCUAAAUUGGAGAAUAAUAGGUGGAUUUUGAGAUUUGCAAACUUUUCUUGUUGGAAAUGGAGAUUUUUCGACAAGAAAAGCCGAAAAAAAUGCCGGCUGCGUUUGUAGCCGGCAUUUUUGGUAAAACCCAACUGCGUUUGCAACUUGCAUUUUGGGGAAAACCCGGCUGUUAACAGUCGGGUGCCCGACCGUUAACAGCCAGUUGGCCCAAUUGUCAUGGGGACUGUUUUUAUUUUUCAUGGGCUGACUAACAAGUGGGCUGACUAUAACAAUUUUUUUUUAUUUGGGCUAAUUAAUAGUCGUCCCAUUAUUUGGGCUGACUGUUUAGUCAGCCCAUUGACUGUUAAGCAGGUCGAACAGUCAGCCCAUUGACUGUUAAGCAGGCCGAAUGUUAUGGUCAAGCCGAUGCCUUUAUUUUUUUUAUUAUUUUUUUCUUACAUAUAUUUAAGAAUUUCAUUUUAAAUAAUUUUAAUUAUUAGUUUUUAAUAAAUAAUAAUUUAUUUAUUUGUAAAAUUUAAAUGUGAUAUUUAAUUUGAAUAUUUAUUUUUAUUUCCUCAUUUUUGAUAAAUAAUAAUUUUUCAUUCUCGAAUAUAAUUAAUUUUUAUAAUUUUAAUAUUUAAUAAUUCUUUUAAUUUUAAAUUUAAAUUUCAUAUUUAGUUUUAUUAAUAGUUUUUAUAAAUAAUAUUCUUUUCGUUAAUCGAAUUUCAUUAAUUCUUGUCAUUGUAAUUUUGAAUAAUUAUUUAAUUUUAAAUUUCGUUUUUAUUUUUAUUAAUAGUUUUUUAUAAAUAAUAUUCUUUUCGUUAAUCGAAUUUCAUUAAUUCUUGUCAUUGUAAUUUUGAAUAAUUAUUUAAUUUUAAAUUUCGUUUUUAUUUUUAUUAAUAGUUUUUUAUAAAUAAUAUUCUUUUCGUUAAUUGAAUUUCAUUAAUUCUUGCCAUUGUAAUUUUGAAUAAUUAUUUAAUUUUUAAAUUUCAUAUUUAUUUUUAUUAAUUGGGUUGAUUGUUAAUUUUGACUGACUGUUAACAGUCUUAGGCCGACUGUUAACAGUCAGACUAUUAACAGUUUAAUUUUUUUUAAAAAUAUAUAUAUAUAUAUUUAAUUUUUUAAUUUUUUUAAAUAUAUUUUAUAAUUAAUUUAUUAAUAAUUAUGUUAUUUAUUUAUUUAUUUUUUUAAUUGUCUUUUAUUUAUAUAAUUUAAUAAUUGAAUAUUAUCUAAAAGUAACAAUUUAUUUUCCAUGUUAUUUAUUUAAUUUAAAUUUUUUUUGUAAAUAUAUUUUCCAAGUGUAAUAUACAAGAUUAAUUUUCUUUUUAAUUUUCAUUUGAUUAAAUAAUAAUUAUGUUAUUUAUUUAUUUAAUUUUUUAAAAUUUAUUUAAAUAAUAUUUAUAUUCUUUAAAUUUUUUUGAAAAUAUAUUUAAUCUUUAAUUUUUAACUUUUUUGUAUUAUUUAAAUAUUAAUAAUUUCCUUUUGCUGAAAAUCUCAUUAAUUUGUAUUUUAAUUUAAUUAAUUAUUUUUAACAUUUGUAUUGAAUUUAUUUUGUUAUUGGCGUCAAGAAUUCGGUUCUCAUUGAUUUUUUGAGAUUAUGCGUUAUUAUAUUAUCUCUUGUUCAAUGUUCUAGCAUUUGAAUUUUUGCAGGAUGGAGUAUCAUUUAGAUGGAGAGUUGAGACGGAUGGCGGGGAAAGCUACUUGGAACAGUAGCUUUGAGAUUUUUACUACUGUGUUGGAGAUGCUCAAUGAUCAUCACGAAAAUAUGCUAUGACAGUCCUUCUUGUGAGCACUGUACUAGAUGCAAGAGUUGCAAUACUCAGGACUAAUCAUCGAUGCACUUCUAUGUCGGCUUCUGAGGCCAGUCGAUGGCGAUUCCCUCCACUUCGACCUCGGAGGCAAGGUCGUCAGUUUCUCGAUGUAUGAGUUUAGCUUGAUCACUGGACUGAAGAUUACGGGCGACAAUGCAGCCAUUAAGAGAAGCAAUAGGUUGUACGAGACGUACUUCCAGGGACAUGGGUCGGUGCAUCUACCCGAGUUGAUGGUUGCGAUCAGGGGGUACGACCAGAUGCUAGAUAGAUUGAAAUUUGGGUUGGUCUACAUCCUCGAGAAUGUGAUGAGGUGUCAUCACAAGAAGACUGCCAUCGACAUUUUUUCAUUUGCAAGUUGUUGACGACAUCGAUGCGUUCAACAACUAUCUAUAGGGCCGGAGAUACUACGAAGACACCGUACAUGUGCAUGUGUUUAUUAAAUGAAUAAAUCAUACUUUUUUGGUGUUUCUUGAUGCAGUACAUCGGCCUGGCCAUGGACUUGCUACGAGAUCGAGCUCAAAGACAUCCAAAAUUAUUUGACGUCCAUGGUCGAGUCAUAUUAAACACCGAGUUCCUACGUGUCGUUACCAUAGAGUAUCAGUCGCUCCAACUUAUGAGUAACGAGUACACGGUGCUAGAAUCUAUGCUUGAGUGGGUCAUAUGAAUGUCGCCGAGUGUCGGGAGAAAAUCAUGGGAGGGUUGUACACAUAUGUACAUUCCAGCGUGCAUCAAUAAUCACUAUGUUACGUUGGAGAUCGUUUUUGCUGACACGACUAUAUAUGUGUACGACGCAGAUCAUUCAUGUUUGACACAAGGCCAGCUGGAGCAAAACCUAGAGUCCGUAGUUGUAAUUGUUACUAUGAUGGCCAGACGAGCGGGGAUGAUUGUACAGGACAGAUUGCGGAUUGUUCGGAGCACGACAACGGUGUGACAGUCCAUAAGGUAAGUGUUUGAACUUUGUUAUUUUCAUCUUUUAGAUUUAGUUUUUAGCUACACAGUACUGAAUUGAUCCAUUCUUGUUCAAUUGUAGCGGCGACUGCGGCAUAUUUCUCAUUAAGUACGUUGAAUUUUUAAGUAUAGGAUAUAAGGUUGAUGGAAUCAACCAAUCGUGGAUACAGAACUGGAGAAAGAAGCUAGCUUGUGAUUUGUUUGAAUUUAAUGGUGACCCGUAAAUUUGUAUUAAAUAUAUGUAACAUUCAAAUUGUAAAUUUAAUUAUUUUUUGUGAUUAUGAAAUAAUUGUAAAUUUGUGUUCAAUAUAUAUAACAUUCACAUUGAAAAUUUAAUUAUUUUUUUGUAAGUUGAUUUUUUGUUAUUUUACACAUAUGCCGAGUGUGGAACUACUUUUUUCAUAUGAAUCAUUAUAAAUACUUGAGAGCUCAGGGGGUGGAACAAGUGGACCGUCCUCCAAUUCUUCAUGUGUGGCUCCCGAUGAUGAGAAUUUGAAUGUCAAGCAACUAUUUGAAACCAAGAAAGAUUUGUAGGAAGCUGUGCACCGGAUAGCAUUAAAAUAUAACUUUGAAUUCAAGGUAAAGAAAUGAACCAAGUCAUUGUUGACACUUGCCUGCGUUGACGACAAUUGCAAUUGGCGCUUGAGAGCGACUAAAAUGGACACGAAUGAGUGCUUUGUAGUUCGUAAAUAUGCACGAAAACAUACUUGUAAAGUGGGAAUUUGUCGAAAUGAUCACAGGCAAGCUCGAGCAUGGUUUAAUGGUCGACAGAUAAUGCACAAGUAUCAGAACCCACGGACGAUCUAUAGACCUUCGGAUAUCAUUAACGACGUUCGUUGAGAGUAUGGAGUGGUCAUGAGCUACCAGAAAAUCUGGAUGGCCAAAAAAUGUGCGUUGGAGGAUUAAAUGGGAUCGGCUGAGGAGAGCUAUACUAAAUUGGCCAGGUAUUGCCAUAACAUGGGGACAACUAAUUCUGGCACGGCAUUUUUUAUUGAGACGGGGGGCGAUAAUUGUUUUAAAUAUUUCUUCAUGGCUCUCGGACAAUGUAUUUGGGGUUUUUGAAAUGCAAUGUGACCCGUAAUUCUAGUUGAUGGUACAACUCUGAAAGCUAAAUAUCAAGGCAAAUUAAUUAUUGCUACAUGACAAGACGCCAACAUCCAAAUUUACCCUAUUGCAUUCGACAUAGUCACAUCGAGAAUGAUCUCUCCAUGCGUUGGCUCUUUUCUAAACUGAGGUAAGUGAUCGGGGAAGUCGAAAACCUUGCCUUUGUAACCGAUUGGGGACAAUCUAUAAUAAACAGUAUCGCUAAAGUUUUUCCUGAGGCACAUCACGGGUAUUGCAUGUACCAUAUAUAAGGUAAUUUGAAGACUAGGUAUCGGGGCAAAGGCAUCGUUUCAUUGUUCAGAAGAGCAGCCAAAGCUUACAGUGCUGAAAAGUGUAAUAAGUUCAUGUUCGGAUAGGAAGUAAAUCAUUACCGACGUUGGAGUAUCUGACGAACAAGGAGAUCGAACAUUGGGUACGGUCAUACUUUUCAGGACAUCGAUACAACAUGAUGACGUCGAAUAACGCGGAGUCUCUCAAUGCAUUGUUUAAGAAGGAUCGAGAGUUAUCAAUCCUCGUAAUAAUUGAGAAUAUUUGUAAUAAGCUGCAACAGCGGUUUCAUGACCAACGUGCGGCAUCACAGAGUUGCACUAGCGUGUUGGCCCCAGCUCAAGAGGAUAAACUCUUUAAGGCGGCAGAUGUUGGGAGGAAGUUGAAUGUGGAAGCACUAGAUGAGUUCCACUUCUCCGUGCAAUGUGCACGUAAUACGGCAUAUAUGGUGGACUUGACUUAUAACACAUGCACUUGUACGAGAUUUCAGUUGGAGAGUUUUCCAUGUGAGCAUGUAGUUGCGGUGGCCAUGUAUCGAGGCUUUACAGCGAGAACGUUAUGCUCUUUGUAUUAUACGACUAAGUCUUGGAGAAUAGUAUAUGCUGAUACUAUAUUUCCUCUGCCGAAUGAAGCCGAGUGGGAAGUUCCCGAGCACAUUCUCCUGUUUCAUAAUUUGUUGCCACUAACAGUUGAACCGCGUGGUCCUGGACGUCCAAGUAUAUCUAAAAUACUAUCUACCAGAGAGUUUCCUUGACCGCGUAGGUGUGGUAGGUGCAGAGCCAUAAGGCAUACUCGACAAUUUUGUACUAGUCAAAUUUCCCUAAAUGACAAUUAAACAGGUACGUUAAAUGAAUAAUAUUUCUGUUUACUUUACACUGUUCAAUAUUUGUUUUUCAUAAAUGUUCAAUGUUUAGUAUUUAUUCUUGAUAAAUGGUAUUUAUAAUGAUUCAUAUGAAAAAAAUAGUUCUAUACUUGGCAUAUGUGUAAAAUAACAAAAAAUCAACUUACAAAAAAAUAAUUAAAUUUUCAAUGUAAAUGUUAUAUAUAUUGAACACAAAUUUACAAUUAUUUCAUAAUCACAAAAAAUAAUUAAAUUUACAAUUCGAAUGUUACAUAUAUUUAAUACAAAUUUAUGGGUCACCAUUAAAUUCGAACAAAUCACAAGCUAGCUUUUUCUCUAGUUUUGUAUCCACUAUUGGUUGAUUCCAUCAACAUUACGUCCUAUACUUAAAAAUUCAACGUACUUAAUGGCAAAUAUGCCGCAGUCAUCGCUGCAAUUGAAUAAGAAUGGAUCAGUUCAGUACUGUGUAGCUAAAAACUAAAUCUGAAAGAUGAAAACAAUAAAGUUCAAACACUUACCUUAUGGACUGUCGCACUGUUGUCGUGUUCUGAACAAUCCGCAAUCUGUCCUGUACAGUUAUCCCCACACUUGAGCAUAUAUUCUGCCACCGUGUACUCGUUAUUCAUAAGUUGGAGCAACUGAUACUCUAUGGUAACGGCACGCAGGAACUCGGUGUUUAAUAUGACUCGACCAUGGACGUCAAAUGAUUCUGGAUGUCUUUGAACUCGAUCUCGCAGCAAGUCCAUGGCCAAAUCGAUGUACUGCAUCAGGAAACACCAAAAAAGUAUGAGUUAUUCAUUUAAUAAACACAAAGUGACAUAUACAUAAAAAACACAAAAUGAAUAGUUCACUUACAUCGUUGGCAAGUCAAGCUCCUGAAGUGGUGACAUCGUGGAACCACUUGUUAGCGUCCGAGACCGUUGUUUGACCUAUCGUGCAGCUAACUCUGAAAAAAUAGGGAAAUGUUAAAAUAUGCAUAGACGAGUUAGCGUAUAGUGCUUUGUUAAAAUCAUACAAUACUUACUUUGGGAUAAUUCUCCUCCACUCCAUCUCGAACGCUUUCCACUUGGCGUUGUCCACCUCUCUGAAUAAGUUCAGAUGCGUCCCAUCGAUGAACGUCCCCCUCUUGGCCUCAGCCGUGAAGGGAAAAACAACAUACUGUGAUGACACUCUCAACCUCUUGCCGACCACCUGCUCCAUUUCAUCAACAGCAUGUCUCUUACCCUCAAUCACGAUGGGCGUCCUCUCGACCUCCGGGGCCAUCUCCUCCGCCCCUCCCAUCGGGGCCACUCCCUCUGUCGUCCCCUCUCCUAUCCUCGUCGGGGCCACCUCCUCUCCCUCCAUAGGCAACCACAAUGAUUCUAAUGUCUCAUCACGUCAAAAAUGUGGGUGACCCCCUCUCCAUCACCAUCUCUGCCACCCUCUCGAUCAUCAUCUCCACCAUCCCCUCUGUCCCCCCAUUGCCUACCGGCUAAAUCUCCUCUAAGUGUCGCUACCGUAUCCUGAAGAUCGACAACGCAAGACCGUAGCAUUCCAACAUCAUGGGAUAGAUCUUCAACCCUCUUUGUCAACUCUCGUCCCAUAUCAUCGACCUUUCCUAUCAGAUAGUCGACCUUCCCAGUCAGAUCGUCGACCCUCCUUGUCAACUCUCGUCCCAGAUCAUCAACCCUCUCCGUCAACUCUCGUCGUAGCGCACUAACCUCCUCCACUAUAAAUCCAGUCAAACGGGCAUACAAAUCAUCACUGUGUGUCAGAGAUACACGGGGGAGGUGUCUGGACUAGGGAGAAGGAGAUACCCUCGGCGGUGGUGAUGCUAAUGGCGGCAGCGAUGCCCUUGAUGGAGGUGAUGCCAAUGGUGACGACGAUGCUCUCGGCGGAGGUGAUGCCAAUGGUGGCGGCGAUACCCUCGGCGGAGGUGAUCGUCGAUCAACUGGACCACCAUCCUACAUAAAUAACAUUAAAAAUUAUUCAAUAAAUUUAUACGUCGACGAUAUUCAAUAAAUUAUAUUUAAUUCAUAUACCCAAUCUUGGUCCAGGCUCGGAUCAGACAUCUCCUCGUCUUGGGUCUGCGGAACGCCUAAAUCUCGCACAAGACCCCAAGCCUCCUCUUCCAUCGACGGCGUCAACUCAAGUAUGACUUCAAGCUGACAUAUGAACAUUUCAACUAAUUAACGAUCAUGUAAACAUAUUUUAAAUUACGUAUAAUAUAAAUCACAAAUGCAUAAUACUUACCUUAGGAUCGUCGAUGAGAGCCGAUAAUUAUUUCCCAGUGGGACAUUCGUCCGCUCACGAUGAUCUCCAAUGAUGCAUCUAAGGGCAUCAUGUCUCCCCUCACUUAUGCGUAAAUAUAAUAUACUAAAACUUUAACUUUAAUUAUAUUAAACAUUUAUCUGCACCGCUAUGGGCAAUCCAUAUGUAUCGUAUUUACACAUUGACCCCCUGGGCCUCGAAUGUGAUUUGGUGAAAACAUUUACGGUGUCUUUGCAGCAUCUCCGACCCCAUGGAUAGUUUUCGAACGCAUCGAUGUCGUCAACAACUUGCAAAUGAAAAAUGUCGAUGGCAGUCUUAUUGUGAUGACACCUCAUCAUACUCUCGAUGAUGUAGACCGGCCCAAGUUUCAAUCUAUCUAGCAUCUGGUCGCACCCCCUGAUCGCGACCAUCAACACGGGUAGAUGCAUCGACCCAUGUCCUUGGAAGUACGUCUUGUACAGCCUAUUUCUUCUCUCAAUGGCUGCACUGUCGCCCGUAACCUUCAGUCCAGUGAUCAAGCUAAACUCAUACAUCCAAAAACUGACGACCUUGCCCCCGAGGUCGAAGUGGAGGGAAUCGCCGUCGACUAGCCUCAGAAGCCAACAUAGAAGUGCAUCGAUGAUUAGUCCUGAGUACUGCAACUCUCGCAUCUAGUACAGUGCUCACAAGAAGGACUGUCGUGGCAUAUUUUCGUGAUGAUCUUCGAGCAGCUCCAACACAGCAGUAAAACUCUCAAAGCUACUUUUCCAAGUAGCUUUCCCCGCCAUCCGUCUCAACUCCCCAUCUAAAUGAUACUCCAUCCUGCAAAAAUUCAAAUGUUAGAAUAUUGAACAAAAGAUAAUAAAAUAACGCAUAAUCUCAAAAAAUUAAUGGGAACCGAAUUCUUGACGCUAAUAACAAAAUAAAUUCAAUACAAAUGUAAAAAAUAAUUAAUUAAAUUAAAAUACAAAUUAAUGAGAUUUUCAGCAAAAGAAAAUUAUUAAUAUUUAAAGAAAAAAAAGGUUAAAAAUUAAAAAUUAAAUAUAUUUUCAAAAAAAAUUAAAGAAUAUAAAUAUUAUUUAAAUAAAUUUUAAAAAAUUAAAGAAUAUAAAAAUUAAAUAAAUAAAUAACAUAAUUAUUAUUUAAUCAAAUGAAAAUUAUGAAGAAAAUUAAUCUUGUAUAUUACAUUUGGAAAAUAUAUUUACAAAAAAAAUUUAAAAUUAAAUAAAUAACAUAAUUAUGAAAUUUACAAAAAAAAAAUUUAAUAAAUAAAUUUACAAUAAAUUGUUACUUUCAGAUAAUAUUCAAUUAUUAAAUUAUAUAAAUAAAAGACAAUUAAAAAAUAUAAAUAAAUAACAUAAUUAUUAAUAAAUUAAUUAUAAAAUAUAUAUAAAAAAUUAAAAAACUGAAUAUAUAUAUAUAUAUUUUUAAAAAAAUUAAACUGUUAACAGUCUGAUUGUUAACAGUCGAUCCAAGAUUGUUAACAGUUAACAGUCGGCCCAAUUAAUAAAAAUAAAUAUGAAAUUUAGAAAUUAAAUAAUUAUUCAAAAUUGCAAUGAUAAGAAUUAAUGAAAUUCGAUUAGCGAAAAGAAUAUUAUUUAUAAAAAAUUAUUAAUAAAAAUAAAAACACAAUUUAAAAUUAAAUAAUUAUUCAAAAUUACAAUGACAAGAAUUAAUAAAAUUCGAUUAACAAAAAUAUUAUUUAUAAAAAAAACUAAUAAUAAAACUAAAUAUGAAAUUUAAAAUUAAAAUUAAAAGAAUUAUUAAAUAUUAAAAUUAAAAGAAUUAUUAAAUAUUAAAAUUAUAAAAAUUAAUUAAAUUCGAGAAUGAAAAAUUAUUAUUAAUCAAAAAUGAGGAAAUAAAAAUAAAUAUUCAAAUUAAAAUUUAAAUUAAAUAUCACAUUUAAAUUUUACAAAUAAAUAAAUUAUUAUUUAUUAAAAACUAAUAAUUAAAAUUAUUUAAAAUGAAAAUGUAACUAAAAAAUAAUAAAAAAAAUAAAGGCAGCGGGCAGACCGUAACAAUUGGACCGCUUAAUAGUCAAUGAGCUGACUAAACAGUCAGCCCAAAUAAUGGGCCAACUGUUAAUCAGGUCAAAUUUAAAAAAAAAAUUGUUAUUGGGCCCACUUAACAAUCAUGGGCUGAUUGUUAGUCAGUCCAUGACAAUUGGGCCAACCGAGUUUUCCCCAAAAUGCCGGCUGCAAACGCAGUUGGCAUUUUUUCUGGCAUUUCUCGUCGGAAAAUCUCUAUUUUCGGUGAGAAAAGCUUGCAAAUCUCGAAAUCCACAUAUUAAUCUCCAAUUUAGACCCAUAUUCAUACUUCUACACCUACAUAAUCAAUAUUACAUUUCAAAAACCUCCACAAAUUCAACAUUCACACACAAUAUGAAAAUCUAAACAUUAAUCUGGUUAAUUAACAACUCGAAACUCACCUUAACAAGAAGAAGGUCGCUUGAGAUGAACUGAAAACGUCUACCGAGUAGCUUUUCCCUGGUUUUAGCCGACUGUAAGCAAAUGGGAAAGUGACCGUCUGAGAGUAUUUUGGGAUUUUGACCUUUCAAAUCAAUUUUCGUUUUUUUUUCUCUAAAAACUAGUCAAAUGCUACUUUGGAACUACACAUGAGUUAUUGGGUCAUUUUCAAUGAUUUCCUCCCCUUUCCUCGUGUUUUCAAAUUUCUACUUCCGAUUUGUACCUUUUUUUUUCUAAUUGACAAAUUAAUUAUAAGUACGUUUAUAGAUAGUAUAUAGAAUAAUUUAAUUUGUAAUUUCUGAUUAGUUAAAAUUUGUAUAUUUUAUUCAAAAGAAUCAUUCAAUUUACUUUAAUAUAUUUUUCCUACUGAAAUUGUCUAAUUUUAGUUCGAAGAAUUUUAAUAUAGUUUCAGUAUAUUAUUUUCAUAUUACCAAUAGAAUUUUAUCAUUAAAAUUUUUUAAUUUAUUUUUUAGGAUUUUGGUUAUUUUGUAAAUUAAAAUUUUAAAACAAUCUUUAAUUAAUAGUUAGGAUUGAUUGAAAUUAAACGUAUGCUGAAUUUUUAUUUUUAGUUUUGUUCUUUUUUACAACAAGCAAAAAAUAUUGCAAAUCCUUGUUGCAAAACACACUUGCUCGCAACAUUUAAUGAUUGUUGCAAAAGGUUAUAUAGUAAGAAUUUCAACAAUAUGUACUGAACAUUGUUAUAGAACAAAAUUUUAACAAGUUCAAAAAGAAAAAAAAUAGAAUUAAAACUUUUACAACAUUCAAAGAACGUUACAAAAAGCUAUAUAUUAAGAGUUUCAACAACAGUUAUUGAAUGUUGUUAUAGAACUAUAUUUUUACAACAUUCAUUAAAUGUUGUGAAAAAUCAAAUUUCUUACAACAUUCAAGAAACGUUGAAAAUGGUAAUAUUGACAACAUGCAAUUAAAAAAAAUAUUGCCAAAGCUUAAUUAAAAUUAAUCAAUGGCAAUAUUCACUUAUUAAAAUAUUGCGAUAGACCCAUUUAGCAACAUUCAAUUCACGAGUGUUGCCUUUUGAGUAUUGCAAAAGGCUAUUUUAAUUGUAGUGAAAACUAGAGCCAUGUAUUCAUAGGGAAGGAUUAGGGAUACAAUAGUAAUAAUUUCUAGAGUUACAGGAGUACAAUUAUUAUUCACAAAUAAACUUACCAUGUAUAACAAAAUGGUCUUUUUUUAUUUUUAUUUUUCUUCAAUGUGCUCCUAAAAAGGUUUUUAUUGAUAGCAACAAGGUAAGUCGGACGUUCUCUUUUUUAAAUUUUAAGAGGCGGUAAGGACAUUUUGAUCUUCAUUUUUCGUCCCAUUUAUUUAUUUAUUUACUUAUUUAUGUAUUAUUAUGUGUUUAAAUUUAAAUUAUAUUCAAAAAAAAAUUUUAAAAAAAUAUUAUGAGUCAUGGAUGGGUCUGUGACAGAGAUCAUGUUUCCCAAGCCCAUCCCUAAUAGGGAUUAUAGAAUUCCUGACCUUCAAUCCACAUCGUACCCCGUCCCACAUUGUCCUACCUUGAAUAGUAAAUGGGGCGGGAUGCAUAACCUAUAGUCCCUAGUUUCGAAUUUUUAGUACUAGCUCUGAAUCAUUUUUCAUUAAUAUACUUUAUUUUAUUCUUAUGUUCUUCAUUUAAAUCAUAUUAAAAAAAUAAAUAAAUAAAAUGAUUGUUUUUUAUGUCUCAACCUACCCUACAUUCUGAAAAUUCGAAAUGAAACAAGAAUGAUAUGAUGGCUCCUAUCCAUUGUUAUCCUUAAUUUCAAAUUUCCCGUUGGGCGGAGUAACUUGAAAUUGGCGUUUUGUUAAAGAUUUCCUCAAAUAAUUUAGCAGAAAAUAAGAACAAUGAAAAAUAAAUCCACUUUAAAAUAGGGUCAUCUCUAAAAGAUAAAUGUAUUCUCCAUUGAUUCCCAUUUUUCACUUGAAACUCAUCUCUGUAGGAAGGCUAUGAUCCAAUCCAACCUUAAAAUUUCUCAAAUUAUAUUUAAAAAAAAAUAAAAAAUCACCGUACCUUAACUCUACAAAUAAAGUGGAGUAUUGCCCAAAUAUCCAUGGCAGCAGCUACGCAGAGGCAACACUGAUGGUUCGCAGAUGGUGCAACCACAAAGGGCCUCGACAUUAUAGGGACACCAAAAAAAUUUAUUUGUAUAAUAAUUUUAAAAUUUUAAUUUUUUUAUUAGAAGGACCAUGUUUUAAAAUAUCACACAGGACACCCAAAAUAUUAAGGUCAACCCUACAUCUAAGUACUGCUAUGCAACUUCUCCAUUUCCUAGAUAUUUGGUCAAUAAAAAUAGGGAACGUGGCUCAAGGGAGUGGCAAAAUUAUUAAUAAGAUGAGGCAAAUUAAAGAAACAAACAAAUGUAGGAAGUUGAAAUCUACUUAAGAAACAAAAUGUACUUCCCUAUCUGUCGGAAGGGACAAUAUGACAGAUACCAAAACAAGGCAAUAGCUUAAGAGAUUCAAAGAUUACAUAAUUAUAAGCCAGAAAAAAAAAAUAUUGAUGAUUUAUUGGAGUUGAUAAUGGGGGUUGACUAACAAACCUUAUGUAGAAACUAUACCAUUCGCAGUCAAACCAUGAUCCCUGAAUUUGAAACGGGCAUAUAACGAUUUGUGAAAGAGAUAAUGGUGUUGGAUUCCCAGUGGAUAACGCACAAGUAGAAUCUGAUUUCAUGCGCACUGGGAUUGAACAUAGCUGCUUUAAAUGUCCCAUUACGAGAUAACAAAAACUCCCAGAAGCAUCUACAGAUUUGAAAUUUGAAGGAGUUAAAUUAGGGUAUGCGAAUUCUUUAAAGGAAAUACCAUAUGCAAGAACCAAUAAUAAGGCUAAAACACACAGAUCUAAUCCAGAUUUUGCCCUAGUUGGCAUGGGCGACUAGCUGUGACAAUUGACAUUGCAAAUUUGACGGCGAGGGGAAAUACAUGAAAUUGACCCAAAUAAAAGAGGCUAUUUUCCAAAAUGGCCCUUGACUUUUCCAAACAUUUGGAGCUACCUAAAAUACCCUUAGACAAAUAUUAAAAACAACCUAUUUCAUAAUAAAAAUCUUCUAUCUAAGUCCUUAAAAAAUUAACAAGUAAUUUUUCUAAAAAAUUGAAAGAAUUAUUAAUCUUUAUGAAUAAUUAUAAAAUGAAAAAACCCAAAUAUAAGAGAGGACCAUAUAAUAUAAAAAAAGGUUGUUAAAAAUAAAAAAGAAAUUAAGUUUGGAAAAGAAAUUGAUAAGAUAGGAUAUCAAGAACAAUUAUAUGCAUCACAAGAAAUAUUAAAGUGUUUCAAAGAAAACUUAUUAGAAAAUUUUGUUAAAAGAAUUGUAAGAUCAAUAAUCAUAAAAGAUAUACAAGGUAUCAUAGAUAAAUUAGAAAAAAGGAAGAAAAAUAUCUUAAAAUACGAUAUACCUUUUAGAACAGACAUAGAUAUGAUAAUAGAUGUUGAUAUUAUAAAUUCUCAGACAUUACUAGACUUUAAAGAAUUACUUAAAAAUUUAUGAGAAGGCCAAUAAAAAAUAGAUUACCACAAAGAAUUUUUAGAACAUUAGAUUAUUAGAUUUUUGUUCGCUCAUAGUAGCAUCAUCCCGUUGGUAUCAGAGCCAUAGAGAUCAUGAGAAAAUAUAUAAAAAUAAAUUACCUAAAAGAUAUUGAAAAUAAAUAAAAUUUAUGAUUUUAGAAAUUAUUGAAACUUAUAAAAAUAGACUAAUGUAUCAGGUAAAAUAUAGUUCUAAUAUAGAAGCAUAUAUAGAAGAAGAUAAUAUAGUUGGAACAUAUAGUAAAGACAUAAAAGAAGUAUUAGAAAUUUUUAGAGUAAUUAAAAAUCAACCUUUAGAACUAAAAGAAAAAAUAAUUAAAAAGAUAUUAUUUGAAGAAUAUAAGCACAUAUAUAUAUAAGAAAUCCAGAGUGAAAUAGAUUUCAUAGUAAUCUAAAAAAAAUAUUUUAUUAUGGAAAUCAUAAAAAUAAAUAAUUAUUAUCAAUGUAUUGAAGAAAAAGGAUGUUAUACAUUUUUCAACCCUAUCCCUAAUAAAUUAAAAAUAAUAACAUUAUAUGUAACUAGAAAUUUACCUAGAGAAAUAAAGGAACAAAUAUUACAUAAAUUAAUUGUAGGAUUUAUCAAAGAUUGACGUACAUAUGAAAUAAUUAUCGAAGUAUUUGAAAAUGAAUUAUACCAUAGAGAAAUAUUUGAAUCAUCAUAAAAUAUAAUGGAAGAAACUAAAAAUAUUUUAGAAAGAAAGUCAAGAAGAAUAAGAUUAAUAAAUAAUAAAAUUUUAGACAAAUUAUUAAUACCUGGAGAUAUAACUAAAAUUCAAGAAAAACAAAUAUUAAAAUUAAAACAAGAAAGGUAUAAAGAAAAAGUAAGGUAUUAUGAAAAAUUAAAAGAACUAACAAAUAUUGAAGUUAUAAAACAAAAGUAUGAUAAAAUGAUAAGAGAGUGUAAAAAUGCUGAGUAUAUAGCAUUUUAUUAUUAUCAAUCAAAAAAUUGAUAAAAGAAAAUGUCAAUCAGUGAACAUAAGGAAGAAUUAAAACAUUUAAUAAGAACAUUAAUAAAUGAUGUACAAGAAAUAAAGAAUGAAAUAAAAAAAGUAAGAAAUGAUAUAAAUAUAUUGAAACUUGAAGUUAGAAAAUUAAAAGAAAAUGAAGAAAAGAAUAAUAGGAUAGAUAAAAAAUUUGUAGAAAAAGAAAUAACCAGAAUAUGGAAAAAACAUAUUGAAAGAGAAAAUAUAAUAAUAGAAAUAGGAAGCAUGGAUGAUGAGUUUAGAAAAAAUAUAUUACCUAAAAUAUUAGAAGAAGAGGAAUCUAGAGAAAAAAUGUUAAAUAAACAAAAAAUUAAAGAAAAUCAAGACAAAGAAAAUGAAUUAAGAAUUAGAUCUACUUAUAGAUAAUUUUGAUCAUUUAAGCUUAGAAAGUAUAGAUGAUGAAUACCAAAUCUUAAUAAAUAUUGGAGGAGGAUCUAAUCCCGUAGGAACCUCUAAACAAGAAUCAAUAGAUUCAGAUGAAAGUUAUGCUCCGAUAUAUAAUAAACCAUAUAGACAAUUUUAUGAUAAAAUAAGAAAUAAACAACCGUCUAAAGGAAAUAAAUAUAGUAAUAGAUUUGAAUUAAAUAAUAAUUAUGAUAAACCUGUUAACCAUGGAGGAACAAAAUUAGACUUAGAUUGUAAAAUAGACACUAAGAAAGUUUUAAUAAAUUGGGCAGACUCAAUGAUAUUAUUAUUUUUAUAUAAUAAAGAUGAUACAUGGAAAAAUAUUGAAAGAAGAAUAGAUUUUUUAAUUGCAUCUUUUGAAGGAAAUGUUAGAAAUUGGUGGGAAUGAAUUAGUAGUGAUACAAAAUCAUUAAUAAAAAGAAAUGUACAAACAGAAAUAAUAAAGUUAGAUAAACUAGGAAUAGAAAGAUUAGUAGAAUGUACUGCAGAUGAAUUCUUAGGAGAAAAUUGGUUAAGAAAUUAUGAAGAAGAAGCAAUACGGGAAAAAGAUAAUGCAAGAGUUAAGUUAAUUAAUUUAACAAUUUGUGAUAUGUAUAAAAUUAAAGAAUAUACUUGUGAAUUCAAGGAUUACUAUUAUACUCAAUUUUAUAGUAAUGAGAAUCAAGAAGUAUAUCAAGAUAUGUAUUACAAUAAAUUACUAGGAUUAUGGGGAAUAUAUUUUAAAAUAGAAUUUGAAAAAUAUAUUAAAGAAAAUAUAGGAAUAUCUAGAACACUAGGAUCAAGAAUAAAAUUCUUGUUUGAAAGGCUUGCAUAUAUAUGUCAACAAAGAUAAUUAUUGAAAAAAUCAAGAAAAUUAACUAGAACAUGUUGUGAAGAUAUGAAAAAACCUACAAGAUGGGGAUGUAGAAAUAAAAGAAAGUAUAAAAACAGAAAGUUUAAAAAAUAUAGAAACUUUAAGAAAAAAUACAUAAAACUUGGAAGGAAAUAUUAUAAAAGAAAAAAUAAUAUACAGGAAAAUAAACCUUAUAAGAAAGAUAAAAAACAAUGUAAGUGUUGGAAUUAUGGAGAAAUAUGUCAUAUAAGUCCUGAUUGCACAAAAAAAAGUGAGAAUAUUACAAAAUGAUUAUUUUGAAAUAGAAAGUGAAUUAAGUGAAAUAUCUGAUAUUGAACAUUAUAAUAAUCACGAAAUAUUUAUAAGUGAAGCAGAUUCAGAAGAUAAUGGAUCAGAAUCUAAAUAGAGAAAUUGAAGAAAUAGAAAAUAAUAACAUAGAAAUCCAAGAAUAUGAGGGAAUAGAAGGUUAUGGAUUAAAAGUAACUUUUGACAAUAAUAAAUUUAAAAAAAUACAAAAGUUAUCCUUAGAUUUGAAAAUAGGAAAAUAGGAAAUUCUAGAUAGAAUAUGGAGAAGAGAAAUAAUAGCAAUAAAUGAAUACCAUAAGAUUGAAAAAACUAUAGAUGUCAAGACAACUCAAGGAACACAUAAAAUAAACCUUUUAACAAAAAGUACAGUAUCAGAAUUAUUAUCAAAAAAAAGUAAAAAAUAUAGUGAAAAGAUCCAAUAUGUUUAUUUAGCAAGAAUACAAAUAAUGUUUAAAUCUUUAUUUAGGGAAGGAAUAGAUUCACUAUUAAUUGUAAGUUUAUAUGAUGGAAGAAUUAUAAAUCUUGAAGAUGGUCAUUUAGGAACUAUAGAAGGAAAUUUAGCAUAUCAAAAGUUAAUAUUUACUUGUUACCCAAAAUAUUGUGUCUAACUGAAAGAUAAAAACUUUAAUGAAGUCUUAGAAUUACAUUUCAAAUUACAUAGAAAUGAUAUAAUGGAACCAGGAGAUCAAAUUAUGACUAUGGAAUAUAGGGCAUUAUAUACAUUUACUAAUUCUAAUUAUGGGAAUAUUUAUUCCAAUAAACCAUACAUAGAAAUUCAUAAGGAAUACAAGGAUAUUAGUAGAAUAGUGAAACCAAACAAACAAAUAAAUCUUAUUCCAAAAGAAUAUGAAUUUAAUAUGACUAAAAAUAAGCCUGAAAUAACAGAGUUAAGAGAAGAAGAAGAUUAUAAAAUAAUAUUUCAUAAUGGAAGGUUGAUAAAAAAAUCAAAAAGUCUUAGACUACCGAAUAAAAAAGAAUAUUUGAGAGAAACUAAUGGUAUAAAAGAAAUAAAACCUCAUGGAAAUAUUGGAAAUAUGAAAAUAGAAGGAAAAUAUUUCAACGGUAGAAGAUAUAUAAAAUGACCAAAUAUAUUGAUAAAUACAGGAGCUGGUGAAUGUCAUAUGGUUGCAAAUAAAAAUGAAGGAUUAAUCACUUACAAGAUAGAACCAUAUGAAUACAGGAAUUUUGAUGAACAACUAUAUAUUACAGAAUUAAAGAUAAAGGUACCAAUAAAAAUAGGUGGGAUUGAUCUUUUAGUACCAUGUUAUUUGGAUGAAAGUAUGGAUAUUGAACCUCAUAUAUUAUUAUGAAUGAGUUUCUUAAAUGGAUUAGAAGAUUAUAGUAUAAAAAGAGAAGGAUUAUAUAUAACUCAUAAAGGACAAACUACAUUAUGUAAAAUAGGAAGUGGAUGAAUAAUCAAAUAAAUUUUCCAUUGGCAGUAUAUAUACAAGUUACUAUAGUAGAAACAAACAUAACAACUUGUGCCUUAAUUGAUACAGGAAGUGAUAUAACAAUUUUUAAAAAUUUCUUAAUAAAAUCAUGGAAUAAAAAUAGUAAAAUAAAAAUAACAAGAGUGACUGGAGAAAGUACUCAAAUAAUUGAUAGUGCUGAAAAAAUUAAUAUAAUACUUGAUAGUAAACAAAUUAUAAUAAAUAAAGUAUACAAUUAUAAUAACCUAGAAUGUGAUAUAUUAUUAGGAAAUGACUUUAUCCAACAAUUUCAAUAUUAUAAACAAAAUAAUUACAUGAUAAUGUUACAAACACCUUGUGCACAUCUAUUAAAAAUACCAAGAGAAUUUAGAUCCUACAGAGUUCAGCUAGCCCAGCGUGGUGAUAAAUGGGAAAAACGACCAAUAGUACAAGAUGAACUAAAAAAUAAAAAACUAUCAUAUAAAAGAUCCUAAAAACAGAAAUAGAAAUAAGUAUGGAAAAAAUCAUAGAACAAUUAGAAAAAAUUUAUGGAGAAAACCCAUUAUUAUUUUGGAAACCAUAUCAUCCUAAAACUAAAAUAGAAUUAACAGAAAAUGUUAUAAUAAGAGUUAGACCAAUGAUGUAUACCUUACAGGAUAUGCAAGAAUUUAAAAUUCAAAUAAAAGAACUAUUAGAACAAAAGUUAAUUAGACCCAGUAAUGGAUCUCAUAGUAGUCCAGUUUUUAUGGUUAUGAAACAUUCUGAGCAGAUUAGAGGAAAAGCUAUAAUGGUAAUAAACUAUAAGGAAUUAAAUAAAUAUACUAAAUUUGAUGGUUACUUUUUACCAAAUAAAGAAGUCCUAAUAAAUCUUGCAAAAGGAAAACAAUAUUAUUCCAAAUUUGAUUGUAAAUCAGGAUUUUGGCAAAUAAAAAUGGAAGAAGACAGUAUACAAUAUACAACUUUUACUACACCUCAAGGAAAAUAUGAAUGGUUAGUUAUGCCAUUUGGUUUAAAAAAUGCACCACAAAUAUUUCAAAGGAAAAUAGAUAAUAUAUUCAAAAAGUUUAGUGAUUUUCUUAUUGUUUAUAUAGAUGAUAUACUAAUAUGCUCUAAUAAUAAAAAAGAACAUAGGAGUCAUUUAUUACAAUUCAUAAAUGAAUGCAAAAAUGAAGGAAUUGUAUUUUCUAAAAAGAAAUCUAUAAUCGAGAACAAGAAAUAGAUUUUCUGGGAUUAUCAAUAGAUAGAAAAAGAAUAAAAUUAUAGACUCAUAUAUCUAAAAAGAUAGAAAACUUUCCAAAUGAAUUAAAAUCCAAAGAACAAAUACAAAAAUUUUUAGGAUGUUUAAACUAUAUUGAAGGAUUUAUUGAAAAUCUCUCAAAAAAGAGACAUAAGAUACAAAUUCUAACUUAGGAAAACAAAUACUAAAGGUUGGAACAAAGAACAUACUGAAAUUGUUAAAUCAUUAAAAGAAGAAUGUAAAAAUUUACCAAAAUUAAGGUUGCCAGAUGAAAAAGAUAAUCUAAUUGUUAAUACUGAUGCCUCGGAUAAAUAUUGGGCAGUUAAAUUAAAAAUAGAUUUAAAUGAAAUAUGCAGAUAUUCAAGUGGAACUUUUAACCAAGCAGAAAUAAAUUAUACUACUCAUGAAAAAGAAUUGUUAGCAAUUAUUAGAGGAAUAAAAAAGUUUUCAUUAUUCCUUUUAUCUAAAAAAUUUAUUGUUGAAACUAAUAAUUCUCAAGUUAUAGGACUUAUUAGAAAUAAGUUACCUAUGGAACCUCAAUAUAAAAGGUUACACAGAUGGCAAGCAUAUUUAUCAUUCUACAAUUUUGAUAUUAUUCAUAUUAAAGGAAUAAAUAACUAUCUUGCAGAUUUUUUGAGCAGGAAUAUCGAAUUUGGAGAUGGAUAAUAUCAAAAAUUCAUUAAUAGACGUCAACAGACGAAUGAAAUUCCUCAUGAAAGAAUCAGAAGAUAUGAAAAUUGGAAUUGAGCAAUUAGAGCAAAUGGCAGAAUCUAUCCAACAAAAUGUCAAAUUGUUGGUGGAAAUCUCUAAUUCUCAUUCUAAAUAUACCAAACAAUUGAAUGAUAGAAUUGUUGAUAUUACUUCACAAUUCAAGUAAUUAAAUACCAAACAAGAAAUACCAAUUGAUACAAUCUCAAAAAUAUAAACAGGUACACAGCCAGGAAGUAGCAGUGGACCCAGCAAUAUCAAACGAGAUAUAGCAAGUCCCCGGAAGGUGACUAUAAAAAAUGGUGAUGAACAUACAAGAGUUAUCAGAAUCAAAACUGAUGAAGAUGAUGAUACCCCUUUAUCAUCAAAAGAAGAAGAAUAUAGAUCAUUUGCCAAAAUUGUUUAUGAAUUGGAAGAAAAUGAAUCAUAUUUUAUUGCAUCAGGAGAUCAUGUUUAUCCCAGAUUAAUAAUUACCAAAGAUGCAGACCCUUUCAUGGUUAAAAUGACGACAGAUUAUGGAUUUCUGGAUUUGAUCUAUCCAGUAAAAGAUUUAAAAGAAAUUGAAAAUUUUGAUGAUAUAUUCAGGGCAGAGGUUUCAAAAUUUGUCCAAGGGAGAUCGAUUUAUAUCAAAUUUUAUUCAAUAAGUCCCGAGGUUGAUGGAAGGAUAUACUAUCCUGUUGAACAUAUUAUCACAAUUGGAUAUGUUGGCCGAGAUUUUCAUAUUGAAGUUGGUUGAAAUAAUAAACCAUUGCCUAAAAUCAAUAAAUCAUGGAUAAAAUCCCGAAGAGUUUUGGGGAUGAAAGUUCUUUAUAACAUUGCAAAAAACUUAUAUAAUAAAAAAUUCAGAUGCUUGUGUCAAUAUGAAGGAUGGACACUCCUUACGAAUAAUGGAAAAGAAAAAUCUACUAUUUUGAAAGAAUAUAUCUAGAAAUUUGGUACGCAUCAAAUGAAUGGAAGUCUUACAACAAUCGAAGAAUCAUGUAGAUUGAGGGAGUGCCCCACAUGCAGACAAGAUUAAAAAGAUUGACAAAAGAUGAAUGGAAGGGGACCUACCACUACCAAAGCAUCUAGCCAGCUGCAUAUGGAGCCAAAGAUGGAGAGACAAUAAUAGAGGAAAAGAUGCCCCUUUGAUGAAAAAGCAAAAAAUGCAUGUGAAAAUGUAGACCCCAGGAGGAAAAGAAUAGAGAGGCAUUUGAACCUUUUUAAAUUUUGAUGUAUGCAAUGAUGUAAUAGAUCAAUAAUAGCAAGUUUGAGUCAUGUAUAAAUAGAGGUCUUUGAGGAAAGAAUGGAUCAUCUCGAGUUAGAAACCAUUUUCUUUCCUUAACCUUUCGUUAAAAGCAGUUUUUCUGGAAACCCCUUGUAUACAAUAGAAAUCUUGUAUAAAUCAUUAUAGAAAUAAAAUCCCAAUCUUUUGAUAUCAGAAAAAUAUGAGUUUCUAAACUUCCUAUCCCAUAGAUUCUUGACAGAUUGAAGAAGAUAAUAUUUUUCUUACUUUAACAAAGGGGGAAUUUUCUUUACUUAAAAUCCUUAUUCUUAAUUCUAAGAAAAGAUACAGUGAGGGUACGAAGCUGAAAUAGCAGAAUUCCAAUUAAGGCAAAAGGCCGUUUGAGGGAGCAGUUUGCAGAUUCAGAGCCUGAAGGUCACUCGGUUCUAAGAAUACAGAUUUAAGAUCAUAAGUAAGGCAAAAUUAUUGUCUUUGUUAAAUUUAGAAAGAAUUCUUCUAAUAUCUUGAAAGAAUCGUAGGGAUUAUUACUUUUCAUGUUUGCAAAAAAUUUAUCUAUCAUGUUAUUAUUCAUAAAGCUUGUAAGGAAUUAUCUAAAUGAUGUCAGGCUAUACAAUUAAAGGAUUAGAUAAUCUGUUAUAAAGACUGUUAGAAAAAAUAAAAAAUAUUUUUUCUCAACUAGAGACUAUGGAUAUAUCAUAUAAGGAAUAUGAUAAUCUUAAAGAAUUUUAUGACAAUUAUAUUACAGAUUAUGCUAAUUUAUUAGAUCAAAUGAUGGAACUAUAUAUUAAAAUUCGAAACGAGAGAAAUGGAAGAAUUUUAAAACUAUUCCAAUAAAUUAGGAUAUUUUGUGCAAAAUAUGGCAAGCCAUUUCAUUAAGGGUAUUAUAGACAUUUUGACAAAAAUGAAUAAUGAUAGGCCAUUUAAAAAAAUCCCCCGACGGGGAGAGUAGAGGAAGAAGAGAUAUUACAUUUGUCUUAAGAGAUUAGGGCUUCCACUUCCCCUUUCCUCUUGUUUUCAAAUUUCUACUUUUGAUUUGAAUUUUUUUUUUAUCUAAUUGACAAAUUAAUUAUAAGUAUGUUUAUAGAUAGUGUGUAGAAUAAUUUAAUUUAUAAUUUGUAAUUAGUUAAAAUUUGUAUGUUUUAUUCGAAAGAAUCAUUCUAUUAACUUUUAGGGUCAGUUUGAUUGUAAAGAUAAAAUUUGGAUGGAAAGAAAAUAAAUUUCAGGAAAUUGAAUUGUAUAGAAAUUAUUUUAUUGGGAAUUAUCAAUUAUUGUGUUUUAUUGAUAUAAUUUUUUAUGUGAAAAAUGUUAAAAUAAAAGUAUUUUUUGAUAUUCGUUUGACUUUAUUUUACAUAAAAAUUGUCAAUUAAAGGGAUAAAAUUUAUUGGUAUUGGGGAUAGAAUUUGUUCCUCUUGCCCAAAAAAAAAAAAAAGGAGCCAAAAAAAAUCAUCUAUCUUUUGGUGUUUAUUUGACUUUGUUUUAUAUGGAAAUUAUCAAUUAAAGAAAAAUAUUUUUUUAUAAUUAAUGAUAGAAUUUGUUUUCAAUGCCAAAAAAAUAAAAAAUAAAAAUUGGCAACUUACCUAGAAAACCAAUUCCCACCAUUCCUUGAAAACUAAGAAAAGUCCACUUUUCAAAAAAAACCAAGCAAAUGAAUUACAUGGAAAAUAUUUGCUAUCAAACACUAUCAAAAGGUGGAAAAUAGACAAAAUUUUCCAUUUUCCAUGGAAAAGAUGCCCAAUCAAAUAGGGCCUUAAUAUAUUUUUCCAACAAAAAUUGUGUAGUUUUAGUUCGAAAAAUUUUAAUAUAGUUUCAGUAUAUUAUUUUCAUAUUACCAAUAGAAUUUUAUCAUUAAAAUUUCUUAAUUUAUUUUUUAGGAUUUUGGUUUUUUGUAAAUUAAAAAUUUAAAAUAAUCUUUAAUUAAUAGGUAGGAUUGGUUGAAAUUAAACGUAUGCUGAAUUUUUAUUUUUAUUUUUGUUCUUUUUUACAACAAGCAAUAAAUAUAGCAAAUCCUUGUUGCAAAACACACUUUCUCUCAACAUUUAAUGAUUGUUGCAAAAUGUUAUAUAGUAAGAAUUUCAACAAUAUGUACUGAGCAUUGCUAUAGAACAAAAUUUUAAACAGUUCAAUGAACAUUGCACAAAAAAAAAAAAGAAAGAAAAAAAAGAAGGAAGAAUUAAAACUUUUGCAACAUAAAAAAAAUGCAAAAGGCUAUUUUAAUUGUAGUGAAAAUUCGUGAUAUGUAUAUAAAAAUUCAUAUGUCAUUAAAUUAAUUUCGGUACACGUGAUAAAUGAUCAUACUUAAAAAAAUUAUUACCUUCACUAAACUUUGAAAAAUUAAGCUUUCGGACUGAUAACGUAUUAUGAAAAGAGAUAGAAAGAGCAGUGAGAAUAAAAGUCAAUAGACUUGUAUGUAUUAUAAUAAGAACUAGAGCCAUGUAUUCAUAAAGAAGGAUUAUGGAUACAAUAAUAAUAAUUUCUAAAUUUACAGGGGUACAAUUGUCACUCACAAAUAAAACUUACCAUUUACAACAAAAUGGUCUUUUUUUAUUUUUCUUCAAUUUGCUCCUAAAAAGGUUUUAAUUGAUAGCAACAAGGUAAGUCGGACGUUCUCUUUUUUGAAUUUUAAGAGGCGCGUAGGACAUUUUGAUCUUCAUUUUUCGUCCCAUUUAUUUAUGUAUUUACUUAUUUAUAUAUUAUUAUGUGUUUAAAUUUAAAUUUUAUUCAAAAAAAUUUAAAAAAAAAAAUUAUGAAUCAUGGAUGGGUUUGUGACAGAGAUCAUGUUUCCUAACCCCAUCCCUAAUAAGGACUAUAGAAUUCCCGACCUUCAAUCCACAUUGCGCCCCAUCCCACGUCGUCCUACCUUGAAUAGUAAACGGGGCGAGAUGCAAGACCUAUAGUCCCUAGUUUUGAAUUUUUAGUACUAGCUCUGAAUCAUUUUUCAUUAUUAUAUUUUAUUUUAUUGUUAUGUUCUUCAUUUAAGUCAUAUUUAAAAAAAUUAAUUAAAUAAAUAAAAUGAUGAAUGAUGGUUUUUUAUGUCUCAACCUACCCUUCAUUCUGAAAAAUCGAAACGAAACAAGAAUGAUAUGAUGGCUCCUAUCUAUUGUCAUCCUUAAUUUCAAAUUUCUCGUUGGGCGAAGCAACUUGAGGCUGGCGUUUUGUUAAAGAUUUCCUCAAAUAAUUUAGCAGAAAAUAAAAACAAUGAAAAAUAAAUCCACUUUAAAAUAGGGUCAUCUCUAAAAGAUAAAUGUAUUAUCCAUUGAUUCCCAUUUUUCAGUUGAAACUCAUCUCUGUAGGAAGGCUAUGAUCCAGUCCAACCUUAAAAUUUUCAAAUUAUCUUCAAAAAAACAAAAAAUCCUUUUUUCACCGCAUUUUUAACUCUACAAAUAAAUGGAUUGUUGCAUAAAUAUCCAUUACCGCAGCUACGUAGAGGCAACCCUAAUGGUUCGCAGAUGGUGCAACCGCAUAGGGCCUCGACAUUAUAGGGACACAAAAAAAAAAAAUUUGUAUUAUAAUUUUAGAAUUUAAUUUUUUUUUAUUAAAGGGACCAUGUUUUAAAAAUAUCACACAGUACACCCAAAACAUUAAGGUCAACCCUACAAUGCCUAUAUCUAAGUACUACUGUGCAACUUCUCCAUUUCCUAGGUAUCAAAAAAUCUUCACCUCUACAACCAAGUACUAUGUUAAUUGCUGAGGAUUAUAUUUAGUAACAAACAUAAUAGAAUAAAUUUCUAUGACAUACUUAGAUGAAAAUUAAUUCAAUACAGCCUGGCGCUCAAGUCAGAUGAUGAAGUAUAUUUUGGGUCAGUCGACCUUUUUGGGUCAGCACACCAGUGGCAGAUGAACUCCUCCUCUAACUUUACAAAGCUUGGACACACUUGACGCGAAGGCCCUUUUGGGUUAUCGCCUCGGACGCUGUGUUACCUCCCAUGCUUUACAAAGUUUCAGCCAUCUCCCAACGCGUCGGUCUGUGGGGUUAGCGCACCAUAUUCGCGAAGCUUCGAUGCACCUUACGCAACGUUCCAUGCUGGUUAACCACCUUGUACACUAUGCACAAUAAUGAAACUUUGGCACGUCUGCCUGUUAUCAUAACCUCGAUUGCUGCAACAGAUCAACCCCCCAAAACUCCCAUGACUUGAGGUCCGGUCAGGAAAGCAAGUCCAUGCAUGAUAUAAAUAUUCAUCCCCGGCCUUGGGGGACACAACUGUUACGCUCCGAUUCUACACGCCUCGGAUCCCGAAGUGUCAUCUCGCUUCCGAGGUCGAGAUCAAGUGGACCCCGUGCAGCACCACAUAUUUCGAUCUGAAAAUGACCCUUCUGAAGUGUCUCCGAAGUGAUAUAGCGAUUCCUACUACUGACCUGUCGAAGCAUCUCACCUCCGAGGUCGAGAUCAAGUGGGCCCCGGUUAGAAGAUUCGUCGCCAAUUUAAGAUUUGUCCUGCACCUAAGGCUUAAAUUGAUUUGACGUCUCCAUGAGGCUAGUUGAUGUGACUUAUCAACUUUAUGUCAAUUCAACUCAGAAGAAACAAACUGUCCGCCCACUCUACAAACGCGGCUAAUUGACGCCUAUGAGCAGACGCUUCAUACCGUCAGAUGUAUACACGCGUUCCACAUCCAACGGUUCAUACCACCUAUAAAUACCCAAGGUUUGGCAAGAGGCAAAGGUAAUGAAACUCUUACUACAUAGCACUCCAUAGCAAGUUUAUAUAUUUUCUACUCCCCCUUUAUCGUUGGUUUGCAUAGCCCCUGGGUACUGUUCCGAUCACUCAAACCUGACUUGACCGUUGGAGUGUAUACGGCCACCACCACCCCCACUGGUUCCCGCCGUGUGCGCCUGACUAUUCGCUGAUUGUGUACAGGGAGGAACACGUGGAGUAGCUUUCAGUUGGUCACGUGGAAGGACCAAUUUUCGAGGUCAACAUUCAUAAUAUAAGUGAAUUUCUUGGUCAUCCAAGCGGGAUUAAAGCUAUUUUGAACACACGGCCUUUGUGAAGUUAUCAAUCCCUCAAUUCUAUUGUUUAAUGGUGCAAAUUCAUUUUUUCCCGUGUUACAAAUUUUCCUUUUUGUUAAAGUUGAAUCACAUCGUCUAAUAACAUUAACUUAUAGGGAUAGGACAAAUUUAUUUACGGAAUUUCUGAAGAUCCUUGAGUAGCUUGGAUUCAUUUUUCAAUUUCUGAGAUGUGCAUAAUUUUGCUCAUCAAACCACAUCAUCUAAAAACUCAAGCUAGCAGUUAGGACAAAAAUUUAUUUAUUUAUUUAAAUCGUCUUCAACAUCUUGGACAUGAAAUGUGAUUCCUACAACAAAUAUGCACACCCACAAUUUAUUAAAUGAUAAACUACGAAAUUGUAUUUUGAGUGGCAAUUGGCAUUCAAGAGUGGUUAACUAAUGGAUUUGUAAUUUCGACAUCUAAGUUCUGCAAGGCCAAUACAAACCGAUAGAUAGAACAUUUAUUUUUGUCUGCAUUAAGCAUCACAAGCUCAAUUACCUAGAAUUGCAUCCACUUUACACUUGUUAGAAUGUGGAAGCGGAAUUGUCUAGAAAUUAAAUAAAAAAUUUUAAUUCAAUAAACAGGAUCGUUUAUGUAACAUCCGGAAAAUAUUUUUAGGGAAAAAUUAUUAUCUAUUCUAUAUAUUAUAUUUGAUUAUUUUGAAACUGAGGGAUUCAGAUGAAGUAUAUUUUAAAUUAUUAUAUUUUUGAGGCAAAUACUUGGAUUUUGAUAGAGUGAUGAUAAGUAUAUCAAUAUUAUACUCGUUGGAGAGCCCGUAUUUAAUUAUGUAUUUUAGGCUUGAGAAAAAGUUAAUUCGAAUAAAUUUGGUUCAAGAUAUUGAAGUUUGUAGAAGUUGUUAUUUAAUUGGAAUUAGAAUUUACCAACUUUUAAAAGGGGUAGCCACGUGUGCUCUUCUAUAGAGAUAAGGUGGUGGAUAUGUAAUAGCAGUUAAUUGUUAUUUAAUCACAUUUUGAUUAUGAUUAAAGUAAAUUGAUAAUUAUAAUCCUAUUUUGAUAUAAUUCAACUCUGCAUAUUGUUGCUAAAUUAUAUUAAAAUAUUAGUCUUCACAUUUUAUUUUAACCGCACUGCAUGAGUGGAUAAGGUGAUUGCGAUACUUCAAUUAAGCAAAAUCCCAAUUAAACUAAUCUAGAACUUAUCAUAAGAAUUAGAUAACUUUCCCAUCUCCUACUUGGCCAUGCGUUUAAAGAUUUAUUGGUUUUAAAAAUUAUUUUCACCAACUAGAGAUUUUACAGAGAUGAGAUAAAAUUUUAUAAAGUCAUUUUUAUCCUAUAUUUUGAUAAAGGAUAAAGAUUUAAAUGUAAUCUUAUUUGUGGAAUUUUCAAGUACUAUCGUACAUGUGUCAUAUCAUAGUUUGGGUUGUCAGAAUUUAAAGUUUAUUCAAGUGUUACAUGUUUUCCCCACCAUCAAAAUUGUACCAUGACUCAACUACCAUUUUUUUUACUAUAAAUAAUGUGCAUUUGUCCCCUAAUUCUCCACUAAGAAAUUUUUACAUAGCAGACAAUAGAGAGAGAAUAAUUUCGAAGAGUUAGUAACCAAAUUUUUGACACAGUCGAGUAAGUAGAACAUAUAUUGGAAUUUACUCAAAAAUCCAUUUUUUUUUCAGGUAAUAUACUUUAUGUUCAAGUUUUUUUCCUUAUGCUUUUACAUUCAAUUAAAUAUGAAUGGAUUGUCAGUAUACAUUUGUUUUUUAAAGAGAUAUGAAAUCAUACGAAUUAUAAGAGGACAUAAGAUGGGUUUGUCACUUGGUCAUCAAUAUACUCCAUAAGAUCAGAGUGGUAUGAAAUGUAUAAUUUUUAUUGUUAUAUAUUUGUAUAUGAAAACUGCACGUAUCUUAUUUGGUAUUUUCGAAUACUCACUCUUACAAAUUUUUACAGGUUAAUUCGAGUCAAUUGAAGCUGUGUUGAAUUAGUGAUGCGGACGGCCAAGUGAAUCGAAGAAAGGAAAAAGAAAUUAAAUAUUUAGUUUGUUUUUUUUUUCUUUUUUUUUUUUUGGUGUCUCUAAAUUAUUUGUUAGUUUUAUUUGUUCAAAGACUCUUUUGGUUCUUUUAAAUUGAUAUUUAUGGUUGAAAAUAAAGAAUUUCUUUUUAUUUAAAUCGUUUCACAAUUAUUAUAAAAGAAAACUGAGUUUUUCUUAACACCCCCGCGUUUUUGGAAAUUUGCGGCAUUACAGUUUAGAUGUUCACGUAUAUGUUAAAUCAAGUAUAAAGAAUUCGAAUUUUUAGCUAAAUUGAUGGUUAAUUAUUUAAUUAAUUCAAAUGACAAACUUCAACCUUUUUGGAUCAUAGACUUCUAGCUUUUAAUUGCAAGAACUUGAUGCAUCAAAUCUCCAAGUCUUCUAUGUUAUUUUCCAAAGUCAAGACUACACCAAUGGGUGGUGUAUAUGUGUAUAUAUAUAUGUAUCAAGAAACUAAUUUUUAAACUGACAAUUGAAUAAAAGCAAGAAAAAUAAUAUUUUCUCUCUUUUUUCCUCUCUUCAAUUUGAACACUAUGGAUUUAUGUAUUAUGAUUAUUGUAGAAAUUCUAGGUUCUAUAUAGUCUCUAUUUAUAGAGAUAGAAUAGUUCUAAUCCUUGUACAAUAAUAAUUUCACAUUCAAAUAAGAGUUCUAAUUAAAAUCCAAGUAGGAGUUUUACUUAAAAUUCAAAUCCAAUUAGUUCACAUACAAUUACAUGUGUAGUCCUAAAACUUUAAUUACAAUUAUAAUUAAGUUUACAAAUUCAUAAUAAUUAUAACUAAGUACAAAAAUUUAUUGUAAUUACAAUUAAGCUCAAAAUUAUUAUAAUUACUAUAAUUAAUUUUCUAUAACUCAUGGAGCUGACAUAGGAACUUAGUGUAACAUGUAUUAUCCAAAUUCCAAUAAUUAGAUAUGUCUAGUCGACUCUAGACCAUCCAAACUUUGCUUUUUUCACCUAAGACAGAUGAGUGAACUCCUGGAAUAUAUAAGAUCACAGAAACUAAUAAAUUUGUAAUGCUUUCCUCUGACCUGUUGUAUAUGUAUUUUAUCCUCGUCAUAGAUAUGAUAAUUAAGUACGAGCAUAAAUGAUCGUUUUGCCCUUCUAAUUUUUAUCACUAACUUAAGUAUCAUUUUCUUCAACGGUCUUGUAAACUAAUCACAGAUGUCGAAGUUUAAUUGUCGCUAAACAUUUAGCUCAAAUUUUGAUGAUUAGAGAACCACUAAAAUCACGAAAAGAUAAAUAUAACACUAUCAAGGGGUUUAGAUGAAAUACACAGCGAUCAAGUGAAAUUUAAUUCUUCGCAUGAUCAUGUUGUAGGAAUUAAAUUCAACAUGUGAUUCAUUCAAUACACUUCAUGAGUACUAGUCUGUAAUAAGGACAAAUCACAAACAUGAAUAAUGAAUCGGUCAACACUACAACCGUUCAGUAGAAGAUGUCAACUCUUAUACAUUGACUGUAAACAAAUUAUUUAUGAUUAAAAUAUAAGUUGUGUCACACUGUAUUUCUCAAUGCAUGUAUCCAAUUUAUAUUAUCACAAGUAAUCAAAAAACUUUAAUUUGCAUGCUCAAUAAUAAAUAAAUACAAUAAAUAAAAUAAACACAAUUUUAUUUAAUAUAAGAAUAUUGUUAUUUUUACAUCGGCAAAACUAUACUAUAUAUAUAUGCACGCCCCAAUAACAAUUGCUCUAUUGGCCUGAUUAUAACAUUCUGCUACUCUAAGGCUAAUUAGAUGCUGCUUUUCUUGGAACUGUAUGAAAUAAUUGUGAAUUGGUUUCUAUCUAAUUGACAUGUUUUCUAUGACAUGGUACAUUACAAAUCAUGUUUAGUGUUCAAGAUCAAUUAAAUGUAUAGAGUAAAUGGGAGUAACGAUGUUGUUGGGUUGAUAUUUUGGUAUAUAUCCAUAAUUUUGAGCACAGGGAGAAAGCUGAGAAAGCCCCGAUACUAGCUAUGAGUUAGAUGCACGAAUAUUAUGUGUAUUAACAUAUAAUGUAUGCAGAUUAUUCCUUUAGUAGCAUGCCAACUUUGGUUGGCUCCUGAUCUGAUAAUAGGUUAUUCAAAGUAUUUCAACUAGAAUGGAUAGGUAGAUAUUCGAUAACAAUAGAGGUUCUAGCCGUAAGUAGGUUUUCGUUGGCGGCAUUAUCCCCCUCGGUCACUCAACAACUCGAGAAAGUACCUAAUUUACAUAGGGAAAAUAAGAAAAGCAGAAUUUUAUGCAUCGUGUUUUCCCCAUCAAACUUAUUUUUAUUAUAUAACUUCUAAGACAAUAAAACUAAGUCAUGAAAUUUGCCCCACUAAAAAACUUCCUAUAUUCACUUUUAUUUUUUAUUUUUUUUGGGGCUUGCAAAUCAUUUCUUAUGCAUAAGUAAUUGUUGCAACUAACUGAUAUUCGCUACAUGCAGAUGUACUCUACCGUAGAAUAAAUGAAGCAAUGAUAAGAAUUAAUUAUGAAGAGAAGUAAGAGACAAGAGAAGGAACGAGGGAGGCGAGAGAGAGAAACUUUUUAAGCUUAGCCAAACAAUGUUGUAAGCAAAUAUCUUGCAUAAUCCAUGAUAACCAAUCCAUCUCAAAGGAAGUUUGUACAUUUUCCCUCAUAAUAUGACUUGACGGUGACAAGAGUAUUCUAAUUAAAGCCUAUGGAGGUGGACUAUUGAGAGCUUAUAUGAAUAUUAUAAAGAUGAAAUUUUGAAGAACAAAAAGCACUAGCCAUACCAGUGUGAAAUAUAUUUCAAAUGACAGAAUGAAACUUAAUUGAAGGAACACGUUUUAACAAUAUUUACAGUGAACCAUAAAUUUGAUCAUGGGCCACAAUUGCAUGACUAUUUGUUUGAACUCAUGAAGUUUGUUCUAUAAAUCAUGAUAAAGAAUUCAUCUUGCGACAAAGGCAUGCUUUGGAUCAACGAAGCUUCUUUCUUAGCUAAGAGUCUAUAGCCUUUGUUUUUCAAUAAAAAGUGUGUACAAUUUGAUCAACUCGUCAAUGAAUAUUCCGUACAAGUCUUCAAUUCGACAUAUACGCCUUUUAAAAUUGCAUUUAGUCAUAAUUUUAUGUUCCAAGCAAAUAAUUUUAUGAUUUAUUCUUCUCAAUAUUAGGAUCUGGGGUUAACAUUGUUAAGAAUGGCAGCUCAAACCCUUAUAAAUUGAUCUAUGUUUUUAUCUUUAUUGAAUGUGAAAUUUUAUCUCUUAACAAUCAAGUUAUUAGUAAGUACUGGAUCCGUAAAAUGAAACUUAGCAUGUCAUUAAGAAAUCCAUUCGUUAAUAGGAUUCAAUUAAGCUUUUGUUGCCAAUUAUGAGUUGAUGCAUGGUUAAAUGACAUUCAAACACUUGAUAUACUUGAUAACUUGUUAAACUGUUAAUAUGGGUCGCACUUUGAGGGUUCUGAAGUAGUAGAACGAUAGAAUGACCACUUUUCGAGUAUUAUUGACAUUAAUAUUUUUCUUAAUUUCCAAUGAGUUUAAAUGAAUAAAUCUAGAGAUCAUAGUAAAUAUGAGGCUUAAGGAGAAUUUACAAUGAUUUCAGUAUGUUUGAAAAGUCAAUACGGUUAAACUCAGCAAUGGCAAUCCAACUUUAUAAUUUGUGUCAUCAUUGCCACUUAAUUUAAUUUUGUUUCAUCAUGGCCACUCAACUUUAUACUUAGUGUCACUAUUGCCACCAAAUUUGAUUUUAUUUCACCAUAUCCACCCAAAAUUAUAUAACGUUUCACCAUGGUCAUCCAACUUUUUUUUUUUUUUCACUACUUUCACUAAUUUUAAAAUAGGUAAAAUAAUAAAUUUGUAUUAUAUAUAAAAUAAAUUUAAAAUAAAAACUUAUUUUAAUAAAAUAAAAUAAAAUAAAAACUUAUUUUUUAAAAAAAAUUUACUUAGAAAAAUAAAAUAAAAACUCAUUUAAAAAAAUAAACAUUUUAAAAAUAAAAUAGAAACUUAUUUUUAAAAAAAAAGUUACCCAGAAAAAUAAUAUAAAAUAAAAAUUUAUUUAAAAAAAGUUCGUUUAAAAAAUAAUAAAAAAUCAUUUAAAAAAAAAGGUUACUUAGAAAAAUAAAAUAAAAUAAAAACUUAUUUUAAAAUUAAAAAAAAUCAUUUUUUUAAAAUUUAUUUUUAUAUAUUUAAUACAAAGUUACCAUUUUACCCCCUUUCAAAUUAGUUAAAAAAUAUAUAUAUAUAUAUAUUGGGUUGCCAUGGUGAAAUGUUAUACGAAAUUAGGUAACCAUAAUUAAAUAAUAUAUGGAAUUGGGUGGUCAUGAUGGCAUUAAAGGAUUUAUUCAACUUUAGGGUUUCAUUGUAUUGUUCAAAGUAGUUGCUUAAAUACUUCUCUCUUGUACUCAUAUUUGAUAUAGUAAAAAUUAAUUUCUUACAUUUUUGUGAAUUACAAGUACUUGAUAGUUCAAAUGAAGUAAACCUAAUUUUACUUGUGGGUCAUUUGGCAUUCACAUAUUAUAACUAAUUUACUUGUGGACUAAAUAUGUAUAAACUAGAGAAAAAGUCAAUUUCAAUAUACGGAGACCAAGAUGAAUCUAUCAUAGGAAAUCAGGACUUAUUAUUAAUUAUUAAGAUAUUUUCCCCAAAAUUAAUUCCCCAAAUAAAUUACACACAUCUACAUUGAAAUUUGCUUGUUUGGAACUUUGAGUAUGCGUGUAUGAUAAUUGACAAAUAAUGAUUGAACAAGUAAUCACACUCCCAUAAUUUCCUGAAACGAACUCAAAUCUCCACGCAUUAAAGAUUGAGUCAAUACUAUUGAAAAUAGAUAUAAUUAAAUAAUUAAAUUCACAUAUUCGGCACUAAUUUUAAUAUUUAAAUAUAGUGAUCAUUUGACAUCUUACUAGUGUUACCAGAGCACGUGUGAACCAUAAUAUUAAACACAUCUGAUUUGUUUACUGUCCAAUGUAAAUGGAUAUAAAGACUUCAAGGGGCAUUGCAUAACAUAUUCAAAGUCUCCAACUAAAUAAAGUCAUCAUGUCCUCAACUUAUCAAAAAGUUAAUACCUUUAAGGUAUCUGCCAAAGAAAGGCAAGAAAAUUGACAUCCCCACCAUCUAUAUACACCAUUUGACACUUGUCUUAACGAUUAAGAAUAUGUAUGAUCAUCAUUUACUAAAACUCAUAAAUAUGUUUGUGAGUUUCAAAAUUUAUUUUCAAUCAUACAUUUCAUGGAAUUCACAACUUUUUAUCUUCUUUUCAAUCAAGCUCGACCAAAGCCACUUAGGCAAUGGCCCAAGGCCUUAGAUAUUUGAGGAACCUCAAAAAUAAACCAUUUGUUCUCUAGUUCUUGCAGAAAGUGGAAAUAUAUCUUGUUAUUGCACAAUGCAUAUUAUUGCAUGACAGGAAUGACGAUUAUGGUUUGCCAAAGAAAUGAAGGUACUUUCCUUGGUUUCCUCCUUCUGCUUUAUUUCCACUAGUCAUUCAUUUUCCAAUAUGGGUUGAUUUCCUUUCCUAGAAAAUAUGCUCAUGCCAAUUUCCUAAAUUUGUGGAUUUAAUUGAAACUCAAAAAAGUUUGACCAUAUUUUCUUGCCUUCAUUUCAGUCCACGAGAAUCUUUAAUUUGUGGAAUUACACACAUUGAAAGAACAUUUUAGUCCAACCUAUCUUUUCCAUCCAAUCUCAUCUAUGCAUGGACGUACAUUAUGUGUUGGUUGGAUAAAUACUGGAAAUUAUAAAAGAAAAUAUUAGACAGCAUUAAAGAAUAAACAACAAUCACAAAUUCACGACAUAUUUAGAAGAUGCUGCCAAAGAAAUCCAUUUUAAGAGCUUUUAAUCAAUUCCAAACAAGCUUUUAGCUCUCAACAUUUUUCAUGAGCUCGAUUUAUAGUACAAAUUAAACAAUAAAAAGACAUUAAGCCCCUGUUUGGUUCUCAUUCUUUCCUCAUUAAAAUAAAAAAUACGACCGUUAUUCAUUAUAUCAAGUCACCAAAUUUGAAUUUCUAUCUCUUGUGUGAGGCCCGUAACGACUAUAUUUUUCAUUCUCAUUCUUCGAAAAAUGAGAAACAAACAGGAACUAAAACUUUUUCGAUAGUAAUCUACAUUUUUUUCCAGCACUAAGCAUGGCACCUAAAUAUGAUAGUAAACACAUGGGCCUUUCCCGUUUUAAUAGGAAUCCUCAUCUUUGAGUUAAAUUAGUCGUUAUUAUGUCCUCUGAGUAUGUUUCCUCAAGGAUCAAUAGACACUAGCUAAAUUUUUUUUUUACAUUUUACUCAAACUCGUGUAUUUCAUGUUGAACUGCCUCGUAUAGAAAUUCCGGGAGAUUAAGUUAUGAGAAAAAAGUUAUGUUUAAGGGCGUUGUAUUUACUAAUACACGUUUCUUCCAAGGAUCAAUGCGUAAAAAUAUCAUACCAGAGGGCCUCAUCAUAAUUAUUUGCUAGCCCUGAGAACCUGACCCCAAUAGUCCCUUUUCUACGAAUAACCUUGGUGAGCCUUUCUUCGUCAACGAAUCUAGUUCACAGAUUCGCCUCAUUUUCUCCAUCAACAAGCUUAGCUUGCGGUUUUGCCUCACCGAGUGACUCCAAUAAGGUACAUCAACAAACCUGGAAGUUGUUACCAUGUAGAUGAAUAUUUGGAUCCCUAGAUUCUGACAUUUGCUCAGCAGCUUAGCACUCUGAGGAUGACAGGAUUCAUGCAGCCCAGUUUCACACCGAACAAUUAUUAAGCAACAGGAAAUCUCUUUCAAUGUGGAUGAGGAAUUUUAUUCAGCAACACAGGUGGUGUGCGCUCUAAACUGACUGCAAGGAGCCACGUUCUGAAUUUCUAGAGACAAUCUUGAAACCAAUACUAUUAUACUAAUCUCGGCAAGUUUAAUAAAUAUUUUGGUUUUCCUUCAGAAUCCCAUGGCCAGUCCCUCCGUUGUGGCACAACUCUGGUGCCUGUCAGGAUGGAUCUAGGAUUGGAUCCAAGAUCGGCUACAAAAUUUCAAGCUGGGCUAAUACGCGAAAAAAAAAAGUUUUACACACAAAAAACCAGAAGCUGGAGGUGAGGGUGCGCUGGAACUGCCUCGACAACAUUUGCUGGAGGUUGCGGUGUACCCAGAAGCCUCAAAAGUCAUAGUUGGAGGUUUAAUUUUGGUUUAGACAUUUUAUCGAUCGUCUGAUGGACGAAGUAGCGCUUUGAUUUUAUGAGAACAAAUAAAGGCUGCCUCUAAUCCCAUGCUCAACACAAUAUCCCAAUUAUGCCCAUUUUAGAAUAUCCGCGUCCUACAUAGGCGAAAGACAAGGAAGAGACAUUAUUUAUGAACAUGGAGAGGUGUCCCAUGGUUCAACGCGAGGCUUGAAUUGAAUAUCUCCACUAUUUGAGAAAAAUCUAAAAGACUUUCAUACAGCAGGUGGCGGCCCAAGGUUUUUACCACCACUACCAGUGCAGGAAUAUUCGGAGCCGUCGGAACUGACUACCACUGCGUCUGCCUCGACAGCAUUCAACGAAGGCUACGAGAGCCAAGAUAGCGGUGGGAGCACCGGGGCCAGAUCUGGGCCCAGUGUUCAGUCUAACACGCAGAGUUGUACUUGGUCCGCCGAGAUCAAGGGGGAUCGAGAUCGAGUGGCCUGUAGGUCGCAACGCCGGUGUUACAGGAGCCUCGGUGGCGACGGGAGCACCGAGGCUAGAUCUUGGCCCAGUGUUCAACACCGAGACCAAGGGGGAUCGAGAUGGAGAGGCUUGUUGGUCCAUCGUACCUGGAUUGUUUUAACGACUAUGGAGGCGAUUCUCAUCAGUUGGAUUUUAGAGUGUUUUUGAUUGAUAUGAAAAAUAUUCUCUAGAAAAGAAAAUACUUUUCAUCUUUUGUGAAAAAUAAAAAUCACCUCUAAUCAAGGAAAAUAUUUUUUUAAAAAAUAAGAAAAAUUAGGCAUAUUUUCAAAAGUCGAAAAAUAUUUUUCAUAAAAAAAAUAGCAAUAAAACACUUAAAAUAAAAAUUUAAGUGAAAAAUUAAUAUUUUUCAUAAAAAAAAAUGUAAUCAAACACACUCUUAGUCAAAAUAUUGACAGUUACUCAGCAAAAUUUAUAGCAUUGCACCGUAAAUUUGAGCUGCAAUUAUUGACCAAAUUUUACAAAAUUACUUAUAUAUCCUUUUGACAUUUAAUUUAUUCUGUUUGAAUGAAGGGCAUUUGUGGUAAUUUAACAAAUAUUGAGUCGCCCACAUUUCCAAACAAUCCAAAAUUUCCUUAAAAUCUUGUGAGAUUAGCCUCCUAAUAAUCGCACAAUUAAUUCUUGACACAUAUUAAUUUACUGGGUUAGUGGUGAAGUUAAUGAUGAUAAAUUUAAAAUAACAUGUCAAUUAUUGAUGACAUGUCAAUAAUUAAUUAAAUGGACAGUAAAAUUGGACAAUAGCUCGACUCUAUUUUCUACAAAGGUAUAUAUGUCAUUAUAUAUUUUUAUUAAAUAGCUUAUAACAACUUAUUUUUUCAUUAUAUUUGAGCAUCAACAAAAUAUUUUUGACAUAAAUCAUCAUCAAUGACGAGAUGUACUAAUUAAUGAGAAGUUGAAAAUAAGAAUUCGACGAAAAAAAUUACUACAACGAGCAAAAUAAAAUAUAGUGUAACUAAUAAAAAUUAUAGUGACAAUACAACCAUCCUAAAAUAGAACUUGACAUCCCUUUGUAGAGACACAAAAAAACCACCGGAGAGGUGAUUCUUUCAUCCUAUGUGAAUCUUUGAAACACGGUUUUUUGCGCUAAUUACAUUAGCUAUGUGCUAACAGAAAUGCAAUACAUAAGAGGCAAAUAAACAACUUGAAAACAUUAUUGUUCUUUCCAAAUAACUAUAUUUAAUAACUGACUCAAAGCUCCAGAUUUGUAUUUGGCCUAAUCUUGCUGAAUAUGUCCACUCACCUGUGAUUCUACGUCGGGUUUCUCGUCAACAUUUAUUGUUGUGGUCAUAUAUAUGUUAAGAACAGGAAUUGUUGGCAGCAAAAGUUGAAAACUCAACUUAAAACUCCUCCACAUGCUAGAGAAACACGUAGUGCAGAAGGAGAGCAGCAUAAUUAUGGGGUAGAUAUACCAAAAGACAUCUUGUGGGAAGAACAGUGAGGCCAAGGAACAAACCAAUAGGGAAAUUGAGUAAUUCUUGAGUUGAAUACGUACAUAUCGUAUAUCAACCUGAGGUGUCAAUGGGAUGUUAAUGGAGAUGAAGGAGAAGAGAAAGAAUAAGAUAGUGAGAAGCCAAAACUUGAUCCAAGUGAAGUUUCCAAUUACUAUACCAAAUGGAUCCCAUUCCCAAGGCAUGGAUGUAUAUGAUUUCAAUAUGUUCACAACGAAUAGGGCAACGUAUCUCAGAUCAAAAUAUGGCAUUAUUUUUCUUUAGGAACUGAAUGCUUGGGUGAGAGAAAUUAAGGAGAAGUGAUGAAAUAAAUAUGUCGAUGAUACUUGCCCAGCCAUUUUGAUUUGGUACUCUAUAUAUAUAUAUAUAGUUGUACUACACACUAACCGUGCUUGGUUUUGCUUUAGUUUAUUUGAAUGUUGGGAGCUAACCGUGCUUGAUUUUGCUUUAGUUUAUUGCUUGGUUUUGCUUUAGUUUAUUUGGAUGUUGGAUAUUUAGAGCUAACCGUGGUUGGAUUUGCUUUAGUUUAUUUGGAUGUUGGAUGUUUAGAGCUAACCGUGGUUGGAUUUGCUUUAGUUUAUUGCUUUAGUUUAUUUGGAUGAAUUAUUUGGAUGUUGGAUGUUUAGAGCUAACCGUGGUUGGAUUUGCUUUAGUUUAUUGCUUUAGUUUAUUUGGAUUUCAUCCAAAUAAACUAAAGCAAAUCCAACCGAAAUGAAAUCCAAAUAAACUAAAGCAAAUCCAACCGAAAUCCAAAUAAACUAAAGCAAAUCCAACCACGGUUAGUGAUAUAUCAGAGAAUGAAGUCUCCUGGAUGUUUCCUUGGUUUUGCUUUAGUUAAGCAAUAAACUGAAAAAGCAUAUUUGGAUGUUUCUAGACAUCCAAAUAAACUAAAGCAAUAAACUAAAAAUGCAUAGUUGGAUGUUUCUAAACAUCCAAAUAAACUAAAGCAAUAAACUAAAGCAAAACCAAGCACGGUUAGACCAAUUACUUUUAAACCAAUUCCAACAGUUGCUACGCGGGUUCGCAUCAAAAAGACUAUUUCAAAGUGUGGAGUACUCAUAAGCCAAAACUAUUGACGGUCAUCUCUUCGUAGUUAAUUAAGACCAUGUUUGAGUCACAUUUUUUCAAAAAAAUACAUUUUUCCAUAGUGAUUUGAUAUCAUUUAAACCACACAUUCUUUAAUAAAAUAAUAUUGCACGCAAAUCCAAAAUUUUUCCUUAUUUUUUAACCACACAUUUUCCAUCAAUACACUAUUCAAAAAUAAAUUUUCAUUCCAAUGAUGUGACUCAAAUAAGGGCUAAAUCUUCUUUUGUUUUCCAUCAUUACUAAAGAAAUAUAUUUCCAAAAGCGUUAAAUUUGAAACAUAUCUUAUCUUCCGUCUCUCUAAUUCUCUACCUGAAGCUAAAGAGAGAAAAAUGAUGUCGAGUGGUAGAUAGGGAUUGCAAAAAAAUCCCGUCAAAUCCGAUAUCCGUGGGGCCCGCUCGAACUGGGUGGGUAUUACCCACUUAAUUGGCUAUUCAGGUUGGGUUCGGGUUGGGAAAUUUCGUUGUGAGGCUGGUAUGGGUAAUGCACGCCCUGUCCCGUCACACACACACACACACACACACACACACACACACACACACAUAUAUAUAUAUAGGAAUUUAGCACUUUAAAUGAAAAACUUCACAAAAUUUCAUUAAUUCUAAUAGAAGAUGACAAUUAAAAUUAUAUGAGGAAUAUGAAAAUCAAUAAAAACCUUAGUUUACCAAAUAUAUUCGAAUAAUUUAACUUUCAGAAUAAAUAAAUUAAUUAAAAAAUUUUAAUAACUAAAUUAUUGUCUCACUUUAAUGAAUGGAGACAAUAAUGAAUUAUCAAAAACUAAAUAAAAAAGGGAUACGUAGACGGGAUAAGGCACUGCCCUACCUUAAACGGGUAAAGGGGCAGGAAAUUGCUCAGCGGGGGUAGGUAAACGGGUAAAGAGGCGGGAAAUUGCUCAGUGGGGGUAGGGCAGGGAACCUACCCCAUUGUCAUCCCUACUAGUAAAAUAGUUUCUCUUGAUGAAACAUUAAACUAGUAAUAUUAUUCACGUCAAAUUUUUUCCUCUUUCAAAAUUUCCAUAUGUUCUCAUUUUUUAGUAUAACUAGUCUUCAUCUUGUGCGUUACACGAGUAUUGUAUUUAUUAUGUUGUUAUUAAUGUGGAAUGUGUAGAGUUUAUAUUAUUCAAAAAUUGUCAAUACUGGUGCAUGAUGUUGGAACUAUGAAGUCAGAAUAAUACUUCACCUUAUCCAAUUCAACUGAUACAGAAAAGAAACUGAAUGAUUUAACAAAUUAAACAACAUAAAUUACAGACAAAAAUAAAAAAAGAAACAAAAAAAAAUGUUAUUAUAAAGUUUUUAAAUUAAAUUGAAAUAAUUAAAAGUAAAAAUAAAUAUUAUUUAAUUAAAAUUGAAAAAAAUUGCAUUUUAAACGAAAAGAAUAAAAAAGAAUUUUAAAUUGAAAAAAAAACAUUUAUAAUAUGAAGAAAACAAAUUUUUUAAAACAAUUUUCAAAAAAUAUAUAUAUAAUAAAAACAAAAUAAAAGAAAGUUACGAAAAUUAAAUAAAGAAAAUAUAAAUAUUAUUUAGUUGAAAUUGAAAAAUUAAGUUUUAUUAUGAAGAGAAAAGAAUUAAACAGAAUUUUAAAUUGAAAAAAAUAAAAAUUUAUCUAUAGCAUGGAGACUUUUGUCUCCGUGAUUUUUUAUUUUUAUUUUUGUUUAUUUUUUUUUCUAAAGCUAAUAUCCUUUUACAUGUAUAAGUAACUACAAUGAUAAUUUUUUUUUCUUUUAAAUAACUUGAAGCAAAUUUUUACUUAUAAGUAACUCUUUACAUUUUAGAAAUAUACUUAAAACUUUAAGUUAAUAUUUUUUUACUUAUAAUAUAAGUAGCUUUUACAAUUAUAAUUUUUUUUUAACUUUUAAAUAACUUGAAGCAAUUUUUUUCUAUAAUUUAUACAAGUGUGGUUGAGUACGGAGUGAAGAGAUGAGACUUGAUGGGGAGUAUGGAAAGUUGCGUGUUGAAGUAAAUUUAGAUUGCCUCUUUUUUACUAUAUAAUAAAAUAUAUAUCAAGUAAAGACAAAUGACGUCGUUUUUUUGCUCCCCCACUUAUUAAAAAAAAAAAAUGCUACAGUGACACAAAAUGAAACAAAACAUUGUUCACUUCAACAAUAUCUCCACAUUCCCCUUUUUAUAUAGUAGGGAUAACAAACUAAAAUGCCAUAAAAAUAUUUGAUCGAUUCAAUUAUUAAUUCUUUUCUCUAUAUAUAUAUUUUUUAUCUCAUUUAUAUUAAGAGCCUGUUUGAGCCCGAUUUUUUCACCAAAAAAAUUGAUUUUUUGACCGUUAUUUUACUAUUUCAGCCGUCAUAUUUGACUUCUUCUCUCACAGAUGAACCCCACUUUUCUCCUAACGGUCAAAAAAUCAAUUCUCAAAAUCACUCCCAAACAGGCUCUAAUAUGAGAAGUGGAUCGAAUAAAAAUUAAUUGCAAUCAAAUUUAUUAAUUGAUUUUUAUCUCUAUAUAUGUCAUUUUGAAAAGACAACAUAUUUUGUCAAAAUGUUUUGAUAUAUUUAUGCAUUAAUUAUUUUUAUAUAUUAUUAGCGGUUCGAUCUCGAUUUAAUAUUUCAACCCUUGACCCUUUAACUUUUUCGGAUUUAUGGCCAGUUACGUUUUCUAAACAUUGGAUAUUUGUCUAAUAUAUAUAUAAUCACCAGUAUUGUCCAACCACCACAUAAUGAAUGUUGAUGCAAAGAUGCCAUUGGAUGAAAAGGAUUGGUUGGAUAGUAUGUUCUUCCAAUAUACACGGUAUUAAUUAUAAAAAUCAAAGAUUUGACAAAGAUUCUCAUUGACCUGAAAUGAAGACAAGAAAAUGUGGCCAACUUUUUGAACCUAUAUAGGUAAAUAAAUGACUGCGUGGAAGUAAAGCGAAAGGAAGAAACCAAGAGAAGUGCCUUCAUUUGCAUACCCAGCAUUCUUGUCACACAAUAAUUUGUAAUAGAAGAUUUCCGAUUUGUAAAAAAUUUAAUUGACUGAUGAUGAUUUGUCAAUAAAUAAUGUAUUUAAACUAUUUAUUAAAGGAAGAAAAUUAUAUAAGUAAUCAAACUAAAAUUAUAAAAUAGUGUUUUAUAUUGGUUAUGUUAUAAACAAUUUAAAUUAUAAAAAGAUUUAUUGAGCAAUAGAUGAAAAAUAAAAGAAGUAAAUAAAGAAUAAUUUUUUUGUUGACAAUAAACGACCAAAGUAAUGUCGAUGAAUGCCACAGACAUUAUGAUCAAUAACUGCUACCCGAAGUGGGUUGGUGAAUUACGAAUCAUUGACUGUAUUGAUGAUAUUUCAUCUCGAGAUACCAUAAGUGAUCAUUAAUGUUUAACAAACUAAAUUUUUUUGAUGAUAGUUUCGUCAAUAAAUAAAGUCGUUAAAAUUUAAUAUUAACAAAUAAAUAUUAUGUUGUUAAUACAAUUAAAACUUGAAAAUAACAUAAAAUUAAAAAAACCAAAGAUUUCUUAAGUUACUUCAAAAUAAUUAAAAAAAAAAAAAAAAAAAAAAAACCAAAAAUUUUUUAAGUUUCUUAAAAAAAAAAAAAAAAAAAAAAAAAAAAAAAAAGGAAGCUUCCCUACCGCAUAAUGAAUAACCAAAGCACCGUUGAUGAUUGCCACUUACAUAAGCUUUUACUGUAAAUUGCCAUAUGGUAGAUGUUAUCUGCUUGGGUUUAUAAUCAUCACAUUUGGUUUCUUUAAAGUUGAUGAAGGUGAAGUAAUUUCCCAGCUACCAUUCAAUGGUAUAUUACAUUAAAUUCCACUGUUAAGGUAUCUAAUAAAUAAUUUUUUAUUUACUAGAUGUCUAUGUUUUGCUUUGAAGUCCAGGUUUGGAUAUGAGACCAAAAAAAAAAAUAAUAAUAAUAAUAAUAAUAAAAUAAAAAAAAUAAGAUUUGAAAAUGAGAACAAAAAAAAAUAAUAAUAAUAAUAAUAAUGAUGAUGAUGAUGAUGAUAAUAAUAAUAAUAAUAAUAAUAAUAAUAAUAAUAAUAAUAAUAAAAUAAGUAAAUAAUCGUUACAAAUGAAGUGGAUGUUGAGAAUUAAAAAUUAUAAUUUUAUUCUAUCAAGAGUAAUCAAUUGAAGAAAUCAAAAUAAACACUCAAGAGCAUGCAAGAUUUAUAGGGGUUGGCCUCAAUGUGAAAUUAUGUCAUCUUCCAUUUAUGCAAUAACUCACUAUGAUAAAAAAAAAAAAAAAAAAAGGGUUUAAAAAAAAAAACCCACCCCCUCCCCCUUCUCCCCCAUUGCACACCUCUCUCUCUCUCUCUCUCUCUCUCUCUCUCUCUUCCCUUAUCAUAAUUAUAAAGUCUAACCACGGCUCCCUAUUUAUCAGGUUUGUAUAUGAGACCCCAAAAAAAAAUAAUAAUAAUAAUAAUAAUAAAAUUACAAAUGAAGUGGAUGUUGAGAAUUAAAAAUCCUAAUUUUAUUCUAUCAAGAGCAAUCAAUUGAAGAAAUAAAAAUAAACACUCAAGAGCACGCAAGAUUUACGGAGGUUGGCCUCAAUAUGAAAAUACGUCUUCUCCCGUUGGUGCAAUAACUCACAAUGAUGAAAAAAAAUGUUUACAAAAGAAAUCGCACUCCUAUCUUCUCUAACCUCGCUUUCUCUCUUUUUUUUCCUUAUUAUAAUUAUGAAGUCUAACCAUGGCUCCCAAUUUAUAAGAUAAAUAAAGGCAAAAUAAAAUUUUACAAUAACUCCAAUUUCUUAAUAGAAUUUUACAAUAUUACAAAUUUCAAAACAGUUCUUAGAUUAUAUUUUGGUUCGGGUGUCUCCGUCCCCUACCCCCUGGGGCAUCCUGCUCCCUUCCAACUCCCAUGGCGACCUCACCACAGAGAUUGAUCACCACCAACUUCACAAAAUGAUAAUAAUUAAAAUCGACAAUAAUUAAAAUCUACAACUCAACAGUAAAUGAUCACUUGAAUUCGGCAAGUGAUGUGCUAAUGGUACAGGCAAGGACACUUCUACAACGAAUUUUGGUGGUGCUAUGCAAGCAGAGGUAUGUUUUCAGAUAGAGUAUAAGAAAGAGAUCGAAUACUGAAUUUUCGUCUUGCAUUGUCUUAUUCAUUAAAGUAUGCAUUUAUAGACCAACAAAGUAGAGCGAAUUCCAUUUCAGAUUUGAUUAAGUCAAUGGAUAAUGAGAUUCAUUAAUUUGAUUUUCAAAAUGAGUCCUUUGUUUAGACAAGUUGAUUCAAAGUAACGCGUGUCGAGUACUUCUACCAUGUGUUCAUACAUGGACCAGUGAAGGGGCGAACAAGGCAGUGGAAUGAGGGGAACCACAACAGAGGAGAAUUUGAUUCCAUAAUUUGAAAAAACCGGCCAAAGUAUAACAAAAGUGGGCAAGAGUAAAAAUGAUAAAAUGAGAAACUCAGCCUCAAUUGCUUUAUAUACUAAAAAAAGAUGUUACAGUUUAAAUAACAAGUUUUACAAACUACGAUAACGAGUAAAAAGUCUAUGCACCAUUUGGUACAACAGAAGUAAAACACGUUGAUCUAUCAAUAUCCAAUUGUACAAACAGCGAAAGCUGGAAUAGAGUUUGGGUCAUCUACUCCAGCUUGCAUCUGGCAAUGGAUCUUUUUUGCCACACAUUGCCAAGAAAACCUUAGAGACCGACCUAGUGUGAGUGAACACUGGAGUUGUGCAUAGAAGAUGCACUUGGAGAUGUCGCACACCAUUCGUACCAAACUUAUGAUAAUUAAAUUAGAUGCAAUAAUAUCAGGUGCGACAUACAGAGUUAAGUAAUUCGCAACCUAUAUUCUCUAUUUCUUGCACAGUGUUUUUAUGCAUAUCCUAUGACUAAAAGGACAUUCCAAAAAUUAGAUGGAUCAAACCCACCAACCUAAAACAAAUUCUAAUUCACUUCUUGCCCAUAGAGAAUAAUAAUAACCAUUUUCAGCGUCAAGUACACAAAUUGCCAGUAUAUCCAUUACUUAAGGCUACGCAACAUAAAAAUUUAUUUAGAUAAUUACCAUAUUAUUUAAAUUAAACCUCACAAAAAAAAUAGACGCCAUAAAAAAUAUGCUAAACCAUCAGUUAAGUGAGUUACCUUGGUAGAACCACAACAAAGCCAAAAAUUGACCUCCAAAUGAGUAUUUGGUGUCACACAAACUGGCAUCGUCAAUGGGAAAAAUAUUGGAAACCUGCAGAAAUCAAAGCCAACCAAAAGAUAGCAAUCAUCUCAAGGACAACAUAUUUACUCCAAUGUACAAUUUCUUUCACGGUGCAUUAUAUGUUUUCAGAGAUUUUUUUUUUUCGUUUGAAUUUGCAUCUUGUAUCUCCAAAGGAUGGUUCUGAAGUACUCUUUUAUCAUUCUAUAUUUCUAUUUCAAAACUAACAGGGAAACUUAAGCGAUAAAACUAGCUAGGCCUUUUCAACCAUAUUCUAUGACUCAUGGUUGAGCCAGCAUCAGGAGGUAAAUCGAACCGAAGCUUCUUAUAACCCUGAUUGCUGUUUUUAGUUGAAUGCUCUGGAUGGAUAAAUGUUAAGACCUCAGCAAGAAAAUAAUAGAAGGGUAUGAAUUUCUAGAACUUUCAUUCUACAAAUAUCAACUGUUUCAAUAAAUUAUAAAAAUUAAUUUUACGGAUUGAGUUGGAGCAAGCCUCGCUAUACGAUGCAGCUUGACAACAUAAGCAGUUUUAUAGUGCAUAAGAUCUUUAUGUGACUUGAUCUUUAGCAUUCCCAAAAUAAAGCCACCAAAAAUGUAAGAGAAGUGAGUAUGAAAAAUUUAAGCAUACACAAAUAGACUAUGAUACUGGAUUUGUAAAUUCAGAAAGACAGAAUUUACAUCAUUGUAUAAUUUUGAUGCAGUUCCACUUUGAGUUAGGCAAGUUGUAGCCCCUAUCACUCUCCAAGUCAUUUUCUAUUUUGUUGAGAAGACUUAUAGCAUGUGACUAACUAUAAAUUUCAAAGCAAACUCCUAUUUAAUUCAUCUUUUCACUUUGUCAAUUUCCUUUUGUAUUACUGUGUCCUUCUCCUUUUGACUAAGUGUUAUUCAUUUUCUCCUCUCAGAUGAGGAUAAAUAUUUAUUUAUAAGUUAGAUUUUUUUGAGAGAAGUUUUAAAGUAGAUAUUUUUCUUACAUAGAGUCACGAUAAGACAAGUCUUUAUCAUUAUAAUGUUUUUGUUUUGUUUAAAAUAUAAUCUCGAUCAAAAUCAAAUUUUAAUUCUAAUCAUGCAUUUCGUAUGAUCCACUACUACUAUCAAUUUAUUUUGACACUUAAUUUCUACAAUUUAUAAUUUCUUCCAAACAAGGACAAAGCAUCCUAUAAUCAACUAAUAAACUUUGUGGGGGCAAAUAUUCCCUUUCAUGGAUUUUGAUGGUCAAUUUGCAAAACAUAUGUUAUCUUUUACUUUGUCUUUGUUUACCACUAAUUAGUUAACAAUAAAUUUGAUACAUUAAAAACACUUUAAUAAGUUAAAAUAGAUAUAUAGUUUAACAUGACAAAUGGGUUAGUUAGAGGGGAAAUGCAGAUCAACGAGGCGAAGAGGCAAAUGAUAGUGGGAAGGUGGGAUUGGGAUUGAGGAAGAGACAAUAUUGUUUUCAAAAAAUAUCAAUAGAAGAAACAAUUUGUGGAAGUGGCUCUUUUUAAAAAAAUUUCCCCUUCAAUUUGCUUCUCCUAUUGACGGCAGCAAGGUUUUUGUCGACGGCAACAGGGUAGGGGGGACCUUCUCCUUUUUGAAUUUCAGUUGGCAGGUGGGACAUUUUAAUCUUCAUUUUUCGUCCCAUUUAUUUAUUUGUUUACAUAUUUAUGUAUUAUUAUGUGUUUAAAUUUAAAUUAUAUUCAAAAAAAUAAAAAAAAAAUAUUAUGAGUCAUGGACGAGUCUAUGAUGGAGAUCAUGUUUCCUAACCCAAUAGAAUUCUCGACCUUCAAUCCGCAUCACGCCCCAUCCUACAUUGUCUCGAUUUGAAUAGUAAACAGGGCGAGACGCAGAACCUAUAGUUCGCAGUUUCGAAUUUUCCAGACUAGCUCCGAAUCAUUUUUCAUUAUUAUGUCAUUCUUUUAUUGUUAUGUUCUUCAUUUAAAUCAUAUAAAAUAAUUAAUUAAAUGAUAGAUAAUAAUGGUUUUUUUUUUUAUAUUUCACCCUGCCCUACCUUCUGAAAAAAAGCAGAAUGGAACAAGAAUGGUAUGCUGGCUCCCACCCACUGUCAUCCUUAAUUUCAAAUCUCCUGUUUGGCGGAGUAACAUGAGAUUGGCAUUUUUUUAAAGAUUUCCUCAAAUAACUUGGCAUAAAAUAAAAACAAUGAUAAAUAUAUCCACCGUAAAAUAGUGUCCUCUCUAAAAGAUAAGUAUAUUCUCCAUUGAUUCCCACUUGUUAGUUGAAACUCGUCUCUAUAGGGGGGCUAGGAUCGAAUCCGAGCUCAAAUUUCUCAAAUUUUCAAAAAGAAUCUUUUGAGUGAAUUGUUCAAAUGGUCAUUGAACUUUGCAAAAGGUUUUUAAGGGGUCAUUGAACUUUAAAAAUCACAUAAAUGAUCACUAAACUUUGUAAAAGGUUUUCCAAGGGUCACGGAACCGUGAUCCUUGGGAAACAUCAAACAUUUUGCAAGAUCCGUGACCCUUGGGAAACAUUUUACAAAGUUCAGUGAUCUCGUGGAAAUAUUUUACAAAGUUCAGUGGCUAUUUAGGUUAUUUUUAAAAUUUAGUGACUCCGUAUAAAUCUUUUACAAAGUUCAGUGACUAUUUAGGUGAUUUUUAAAGUUCAGUGAUCCCUUGAAACUUUUUACAAAGUUUCGUGAUCAUUUGGACAAUUCACUCUAAUGUUUUUACACUGUAUCCUUGACUCUACAAAUAUAGCGAGGCAUGUAUCCUUCGCAACAACUAAACAGAGGCAACCCUAAGGUGCGUAGAUGGUGCGAAUGCACAAGGACACCAAAAUUUUUUUUUUUGUUAUGUAUAAUAAUUUUAAUUUUUAAUUUUUUUAUUAAAGGGGCAUCAUUUUAAAAUAUCACACGUGGCACCCAAAAUCCCAGGAUCAACCCUGCAACUAAGUACCACUCUGCAACUUCUCAAUUUCCCAGGAAUGAAAAAAUCUUCAACUCCACAACCAGGUACUACAUUAAUUGACGAAGAGUAUAUUUAGUAACAAACAUAACAAAAUAAAGUUCUAGGACAUACUUGGAUGAAAAUUGACUCAAUGCAACCUAAGGCUCAUGUCAGACGAUGAAGUAUAUUAGGUGUGGAAGAGAUACAAUAGAUAAAGAUAUAGAUGCGACUUAUCGAAACUUGCCUACGAAGGAGAGAGCCGAGUAUUUAUAGGUGGAAGAAGCUUUAUCUGAAUGCUUGACACAUGACUUUAUUUUAACGAUUCUCUUCUCAUACUCGAUUAUGUCAAUUUAUAGCCACCAUAGGUAUGUGUUUCCAUAGUCAAAAUAUAGGCUAAAAAUUGAGGAUUGUCAUUACAGAGUUGUCACAUAAAUUAGUUUGUACAGUGUACUUUGCACGAAUUGGUCAAAGCGAAGCUUGUAGCAAAUGUUCAUCGCCUCAGAUAUAUACUGUAGUGGAGAGGUUAUGCAUCCCUUCAUUUAACAAUAACAUCCUGAAAAAUGCAUCCAAAAGCAUAUCCUAAUUGUAUCGGAAAAGGCAAGAAGAAGAUACGAUAAGAAUUUGAGCAUUUCCCCUACAUGGCUGAUAACGACGUAAAUUAUUAAGUUUUCAUUCAUUAAUACUUGUAUUUGUAUGAUAAAUUGAUUCCUAAAUGUAUUAAGUACCUUUAUAUUUUGAUUUAGAUCGCAAAUGGAUAAAUACUGUGGAAAAUAGAAGAAACGAGCGAAAAGGGACUAAAAUGGAAGAAAUUGAAAGAUUAGGGACCAAGCUGCAAAUAAUCCAAAGAUGAGAUGGGCGAUGGAAUGAUGAUUUGAGAAUGCUGGGGAUCAAUUGGGUGUAAUUAGAAAUGAAAAGAAGUGAAACAUGACUAAUAUUUGCACAAAUCAAUUUCCAACCGCAUAAGGAUGUUCCAGAUUUUCAGGCGGAUAUUGAUAUCCAUUUUUGACCUAGUAAACCUUCCAAUUGGAAAAGAGAUAUUUUUUGUAAAAUUGUAUCUCUUUGUGUUAUCUUUCCAAAUCACUUUGAAUCGUCUCAAUUGAAUUUCAAGAGAGAAAGUUAUUACCAAAAUACUAAAAACUAUCCAGCGGAGAAAAACGUUGAAUCAUGCGGUCGCACAGUACAAAAUCCAUGUAGUCGCAUGGUUGCUUCUAGAGAUCUUCAGGCCUGAAAAUUGUUAUUCGAUGCGACCGCAAGCCUUUUAACCAUGUGGUCGCAUUGCUAAUUCCCUUAACAAGAUUUUCAGUUUCCUUAUUUCUUUCAACCACUUAUGUGAACAAAUCUAGUACACCAUAUAUAAGCCCUAAAUUUCGUCCAAGACCUAGAGAAGGCCCCCAUACACUUUUCUAUCAUCUUCAGCACAAGAAACUUCAUGAGGAAUUAAACUCUUUGGUGAAGCCACAAAGAACUCAUUGGAAUUGGUGAUUUCACGUCCUUAUUUCAUAUAAUUUGAUCUUUCUUUGCUUAAUAAAUUUUAAGAUUUGGAUUUUCUCUUUGUGAUUUGACAUUGAAAUUGGUUUAACUUUUACUAGAUUUUUCAUAGAUCUAGUCAUGCUUUUUUUAUCGAAUUCUCAAACUAUUUGUUGAAUUUUAAUUUCAUUGAUUUUGUUGGUGGAUUAUUUACUGCUUUAUACUUGAUGUAUAUGGUCGCUUAAUCUUAUUCCAACAAAAAGUGUGAGAAUGUGUUAUAAAAAAUAUAGAUUCUAGAAAUACAUUUGGAAUUAAAUUGAUCUUUAUUGUUAAAUCUUUCGAUUAGAAAGUUGGGAUGAAAACCUCAAAUUGAGUAAAAUGCAUAAAUUAUUGAUGUUGAUUGAUCCAAUCCAGUUAAGGGAAUUCAGGCAUUUCACUAUUCUAAAUAUUGACCUCAAACUUAUUAUUUCAACCUUUGAUUUUAAUUAUUAUUCAAAUGAUAUAUCUCACUACACAUUUUCAGAGAACACUCACCUUUUAAACAUUUGAGCAAUUCAUCCAUCUCUCUGUGGAAUCGACACCCUAAAACUGUGCUACAAUUAUAGCGUUAUUUUUUGGGUAUAAUCAAAUUUUGAUGCCAUUGUCGGGGAGAUGUUUCAAUAAGCUAAAGGAUUUUCUAACAAAAGGGUGACUUCGUUCCCUUACUUUUUUUAAUUAAUUUAUUUUCUUCAUUGUUAUUUUUUUUAUUUCUCACGUAGUUAAUUUUUUGUAUUUUAUGAGCUAGAAUCGAGACGAGAGAUGAAGAUUCAUUGAAGGAUCGCUUACAGUGUUUGAAUCUCUUCCCGAACCUAUUUUCGAUACUGUAUCUAUUGGCACAAACACUACACUGCACAACACCAUGAGUGAAAGUGAGCAUGAAGACUAGCCUUAUAGGACCCUUCAAGUUUACCUUCACCCCACAUGCACAUCCACACCAUCAUACAUUACAUUUCCACCUAAUAUGCUACGUAUGGACCUUAAAUCGGGAAUAUUCAACUUCUUCCCACAUAUCACGGACUUGAAAGGGAAAAUCCAUAUAUGCAUAUUAGGGAAUUUGAGGAGAUGGCUGCAACCUUCCACAAUCAAUAUGGUACAAAAGAUGCAAUCAGGCUUAGAUUUUUCUCAUUUUCACUUAAAGAAAGAGCAAAAGCUGGUUGUACUCAUUGAGACCAUGUUCGAUUAGGAACUGAGCUGAAAUGAUUCAGGCAUUUUUCAGCAAAUAUUUUUCCCAUCAUAAGAUUAGUGCCCUGAAGAAGCAAAUUUCUUCAUUUGCCCAAAAUAAUAAUAAGACUUUAUACCAAGCAUGGGAAAGAUUCAAGAAAUUGCAAAAUUUUUGCCCGCACCAUGGUUAUGAGAGUUAACGUAUUGUGAGUUAUUUUUAUAAAGGACUAACACAUCGGGAGCAUCAAUUUGUUAAGAUGAUGUGUAGUGGUGACCUUUUGCAAAAGGACCUCGAUGAGGCUAUAGACUAGUUGGAUGGCCUAGCUAAGAAAAAUCCAUGAGUAACAGAAUUUUUUUCUGUGGUUUUUUCUCCUCUUUUCCCAUUGUUUUUACCUUCUUGGAUUUUCACGUAAAUUUUGUGCUCUUGUUAUCAUUUUAUAUUGUCAAUUCUUGCUUUUUCUUAAUAUGUAAUUUGAAAAAAAUAAUAAUAAUAAAAUAAAAUUAGGUUUGUAAAAUACAUAGUCUAGGUAAAGUUAGCAGUGAACAAAUAUAAUAUGAAUGUGAAAAACCAAGUGACAUCAAGCCAAAAGGCAGCUGGAUGAACUAUGUAUAUGUAUUAUUAUUAUGAUUAUGGUUAGUAGAUCUAUAGUAUGCUACAAAUACCUAGAUAUACAAUUACUAAAUUCCCAGGUAAACCCAAUUUAUUUUCACUUGCAUUCAACUAUACAGUGAAUAAUUAUUCAUUGUCAACAACUUCUACAGCAUUAUAGAAAAAAUGAGAUAUCUAGGAACUAGGUAUUUGAUCAAUAAAAAUAGGGAAGGUGGCUCUAGGGAGUGACAAAAUUAUUAAUAAGAUGAGGCAAAUUAAAGAAACAAACAAAUGUAGGAAGUUGAAAUCUACAUAAGAAACAAAAAGUACUUCCCUAUCAGUCGGAAGGGACAAUAUGAUAGAUACCAAAACAAGGCAAUUGCUAAGAGAUUCAAAGAUUACAUAAUUAUAAGCGAGAAAAAAAUAAAUAUUGAUGAUUUAUUGUAGUUGAUAAUGGGGGUUGGCUAACAAACCUUACGUAGAAACUAUACCAUUCGCAGUCAAACCAUGAUCCCUGAAUUUGAAACGGGCAUAUAACGAUUUGCAAAAGAGAUAAUGGUGUUGGAUUCCUGGUGGAUAAUGCACAUGUAGACUCUAAUUUCCUGCGCACUAGGAUUGAACAUAGAGGAAAUCAUUGUAAAUAACCCAAUAACCUAUGUGUAUUUCCAAAGUAACCUUUGACUAGUUUUUAGAGAGAAAAAAAGGAAAAUUGAUUUUAAAUGUCAAAAUCCCAAAAUACCCUCAGGCAGUCACUUUCCCAUUUGCUUAGAGUCGGCCAAAACCAAGGAAAAGCUACGGUCAAUUUCCAAUCGGUAGACGUUUUCAGUUCAUCUCCGAUGACCUUCUUCUUGUUAAAGUAAGCUUCGAGUUGUUAAUUAACUAGAUUAAUGUUUAGAUUUUCAUAUUAUGUGUGAAUGUUGAAUUUGUGAAAGUUUUUGGAAUGUAAUAUUGGUUAUGUAAGUGUAGAAUUAUGAAUAUGGGUCUAAAUUGAAGAAUAAUAGGUGGAUUUUGAGAUUUGCAAGCUUUUCUUGUUGGAAAUGGAGAUUUUCCGACAAGAAAAGCCGAAAAAAAUGCCAGCUACGUUUGUAGCCGGCAUUUUGGAUAAAACCCGAUUGCAUUUGCAAUCGGCAUUUUGGGGAAAACUCGGCUGUUAACAGUCGGGUGCCCGACUGUUAACAACUGGUUGGCACAAUUGUCAUGGGGACUGUUUUUAUUUUUCAUGGGCUGACUAACAGUCAGCCCAUGAUUGUUAAGUGGGCCGACUGUUAUAGUCGACCCAAUAACAAUUUUUUUAUUUGGGUUGAUUAACAGUCGUCCCAUUAUUUGGACUGACUGUUUAGUCAGCCCAUUGACUGUUAAGCAGGCCGAAAGUUAUGGUCAAGUCGAUGUCUUUAUUUUUUUAUUAUUUUUUUUCUUACAUAUAUUUAAGAAUUUCAUUUUAAAUAAUUUUAAUUAUUAUUUUUUAAUAAAUAAUAAUUUAUUUAUUUGUAAAAUUUAAAUGUGAUAUUUAAUUUGAAUAUUUAUUUUUAUUUCCUCAUUUUUUAUAAAUAAUAAUUUUUCAUUCUGAAUUUAAUUAAUUUUUAUAAUUUUAAUAAUUAAUAAUUCUUUUAAUUUUAAAUUUAAAUUUCAUAUUUAGUUUUAUUAAUAGUUUUUAUAAAUAAUAUUCUUUUCGUUAAUCGAAUUUCAUUAAUUCUUGUCAUUGUAAUUUUGAAUAAUUAUUUAAUUUUAAAUUUUGUUUUUAUUUUUAUUAAUAGUUUUUUUAUAAAUAAUAUUCUUUUCGUUAAUCGAAUUUCAUUAAUUCUUGUCAUUGUAAUUUUGAAUAAUUAUUUAAUUUUUAAAUUUCAUAUUUAUUUUUAUUAAUUGGGCUGACUGUUAACAGUCUUAGGCCGACUGUUAACAGUUAGACUAUUAACAAUUUAAUUUUUUUAAAAUAUAUAUAUUUAAUUUUUAAAUUUUUUAAAUAUAUUUUAUAAUUAGUUUAUUAAUAAUUAUGUUAUUUAUUUAUUUUUUUAAUUUUCUUUUAUUUAUAUAAUUUAAUAAUUGAAUAUUAUCUAAAAGUAACAAUUUAUUUUCCAUGUUAUUUAUUUAAUUAAAAUUUUUUUUUGUAAAUAUAUUUUCCAAGUGUAAUAGACAAGAUUAAUUUUCUUUAUAAUUUUCAUUUGAUUAAAUAAUAAUUAUGUUAUUUAUUUAUUUAAUUUUUAUGUUCUUUAAUUUUUUAAAAUUUAUUUAAAUAAUAUUUAUAUUGUUUAAAUUUUUUUGAAAAUAUAUUUAAUCUUUAAUUUUUAAAUUUUUUGUAUUAUUUAAAUAUUAAUAAUUUCCUUUUGCUGAAAAUCUCAUUAAUUUGUAUUUUAACUUAAUUAAUUAUUUUUAACAUUUGUAUUGAAUUUAUUUUGUUAUUGGCGUCAAGAAUUCGGUUCCCAUUGAUUUUUUGAGAUUAUGCAUUAUUAUAUUAUUUCUUGUUCAAUGUUCUAACAUUUGAAUUUUUAUAGGAUGGAAUAUCAUUUAAAUGGGGAGUUGAGACGGAUGGCGGGGAAUGCUACUUGGAACAGUAGCUUUGAGAUUUUUACUGAUGUGUUGGAGAUGCUCAAUGAUCAUCACGAAAAUAUGCUAUGACAGUCCUUCUUGUGGGCACUGUACUAGAUGCGAGAGUUGCAGUAUUCAGGACUAAUCAUCGAUGCACUUCUAUGUCGGCUUCUGAGGCCAGUCGACGGCGAUUCCCUCCACUUCGACCUCGGGGGCAAGGUCGUCAGUUUCUCGAUGUAUGAGUUUAGCUUGAUCACUGGACUGAAGAUUAUGGGCGAUGAUGCAGCCAUUGAGAGAAGCAAUAGUUUGUACGAGACGUACUUCCAGGUACAUGGGUCGGUGCAUCUACCCGAGUUUAUGGUUGCGAUCAGGGGAUACAACCAGAUGCUAGAUAGAUUGAAAUUUGGGCUGGUCUACAUCUUCGAGAAUGUGAUGAGGUGUCAUCACAAGAAGAUUGCCAUCGACAUUUUUUCAUUUGCAAGUUGUUGACGACAUCGAUGCGUUCAACAACUAUCUAUGGGGCCGGAGAUGCUACGAAGACACCGUACAUGUGCAUGUGUUUAUUAAAUGAAUAAAUCAUACUUUUUUGGUGUUUCCUGAUGCAGCACAUCGGCCUGACCAUAGACUUGCUACGAGAUUAAGCUCAAAGACAUCCAAAAUCAUUUGACGUCCAUGGUCGAGUCAUAUUAAACAUCGAGUUCCUACGUGCCGUUACCAUAGAUUAUCAAUCGCUCCAACUUAUGAGUAACGAGUACACGGUGCUAGAAUAUAUUCUCGAGUGGGUCAUAUGAAUGUCGCCGAGUGUCGGGGGAAAAAUCAUGGGAGGGUUGUACACAUAUGCACAUUCCAGCGUGCAUCAAUAAUCACUAUGUUACGCUAGAGAUCGUUUUGCUGACACGACUAUAUAUGUGUAUGACGCAGAUCAUUCAUGUUUGACGCAAGGCCAGCUGGAGCAAAACCUGGAGUUUGUAGCUGUAAUUGUUCCUAUGAUGGCCAGACGAGUGGGGAUGACUGUACAGGACAGAUUGCGGAUUGUUCGGAACACGACAACAGUGUGACAGUCCAUAAUGUAAGUGUUUGAACUUUGUUAUUUUCAUCUUUCAGAUUUAGUUUUUAGCUACACAGUACUGAAUUGAUCCAUUCUUGCUCAAUUGUAGCGGCGACUGCGGCAUAUUUCUCAUUAAGUACGUUGAAUUUUUAAGUAUAGGACAUAAGGUUGAUGGAAUCAACCAAUAGUGGAUACAGAACUGGAGAAAGAAGCUAGUUUGUGAUUUGUUUGAAUUUAAUGGUGAACCGUAAAUUUGUAUUAAAUAUAUGUAACAUUCAAAUUGUAAAUUUAAUUAUUUUUUGUGAUUAUGAAAUAAUUGUAAAUUUGUGUUCAAUAUAUAUAACAUUCACAUUAAAAAUUUAAUUAUUUUUUUGUAAAUUGAUUUUUUGUUAUUUUACACAUAUGCCAAGUAUGGAACUAUUUUUUUUAUAUGAAUAAUUAUAAAUACUUGGGAGCUCAGGGGGUGGAACAAGUGGACCGUCCUCCAAUUCUUCGUGUGUGGCUCCCGAUGAUGAGAAUUUGUAUGUCGAGCAACUAUUUGAAACCAAGAAAGAUUUGUAGGAAGCUGUGCACCGGAUAGCAUUAAAAUAUAACUUUGAGUUCAAGGUAAAGAAAUCAACCAAGUCAUUGUUGACAGUUGCUUGCGUUGACGACAAUUGCAAUUGGCGCUUGAGAGCGACUAAAAUGGACACGAAUGAGUGCUUUGUAGUUCGUAAAUAUGCACGAAAACAUACUUGUAAAGUGGGAAUUUGUCGAAAUGAUCACAGGCAAGCUCGAGCAUGGUUUAAUGGUCGACAGAUAAUGCACAAGUAUCAGAACCCACGGACGAUCUAUAGACCUUCGGAUAUCAUUAACGACGUCCGUUGAGAGUAUAGAGUGGUCAUGAGCUACCAGAAAACUUGGAAGGUCAAAAAAUGUGCGUUGGAGGAUUAAAUGGGAUCAGAUGAGGAGAGCUAUACUAAAUUGGCCAGGUAUUGCCAUAACAUGGGGACAACUAAUUCUGGCACGAUAUUUUUUAUUGAGACGGAGGGCGAUAAUUGUUUUAAGUAUUUCUUCAUGGCUCUCGGACAAUGUAUAUGGGGUUUUCGAAAUGUAAUGCGACCCGUAAUUCUAGUUGAUGGUACAACUCUGAAAGCUAAAUAUCAAAGCAAAUUAAUUAUUGCUACAUGUCAAGACGCCAACAUCCAAAUUUACCCUAUUGCAUUCGACAUAGUCGACAUCGAGAAUGAUCUGUCCAUGCGUUGGCUCUUUUCUAAACUGAGGGAAGUGAUCGAGGAAGUCGAAAACCUUGCCUUUGUAACCGAUUGGGGACAAUCUAUAAUAAACAGUAUCGCUGAAGUUUUUCCCGAGGCACAUCACGGGUAUUGCAUGUACCAUAUAUAAGGUAAUUUGAAGACUAGGUAUCGGGGCAAAUGCAUCGUUUCAUUGUUUAGAAAAGCAGCCAAAGCUUACAGUGCUGAAAAGUGUAACAAGUUCAUGUUCGAAUAUGAAGUAAACCAUUACCGGCGUUGGAGUAUCUGACGAACAUGGAGAUCGAGCAUUGGGCAUGGUCAUACUUUUCAGGACAUCGAUACAACAUGAUGACGUCGAAUAACGCGGAGUCUCUCAAUGCAUUGUUUAAGAAGGAUCGAGAGUUACCAAUCCUCGCAAUGAUUGAGAACAUUUGUAACAAACUGCAACAGCGGUUUCAUGACCGACGUGCGGUAUCACAGAGUUGCACUGGCGUGUUGGCCCCAACUCAAGAGGAUAAACUCUUUAAGGCAAUAGAUGUUGGGAGGAAGUUGAAUGUGGAAGCACUAGAUGAGUUCCACUUCUCCGUGCAAUGUGCACGUAAUACGGCAUAUAUGGUGGACUUGACUUAUAACACAUGCACUUGUACGAGAUUUCAGUUGGAGAGUUUUCCAUGUGAGCAUGUAGUUGCGGUGGCCAUGUAUCGAGGCUUUGCAGCGAGAACGUUAUGCUCUUUGUAUUAUACGACUAAGUCUUGGAGAACAGCAUAUGCUGAUACUAUAUUUCCUCUGCCGAAUGAAGCCGAGUGGGAAGUUCCCGAGCACAUUCUCCCGUUUCAUAAUUUGUUGCCGCCAACAGUUGAACCGCGUGGUCCUGGACGUCCAAGUACAUCUAGAAUACCAUCUACCAGAGAGUUUCCUCGACCGCGUAGGUGUGGUAGGUGCAGAGCCAUAAGGCAUACUCGACAAUUUUGUACCAGUCAAAUUUCCCUAAAUGACAAUUAGACGGGUACGUUAAAUGAAUAAUAUUUCUGUUUACUUUACACUGUUCAAUAUUUGUUUUUCAUAAAUGUUCAAUGUUUAGUAUUUAUUAUUGAUAAAUGAUAUUUAUAAUGAUUCAUAUAAAAAAAAAUAGUUCCAUACUCGGCAUAUGUGUAAAAUAACAAAAAAUCAACUUACAAAAAAAUAAUUAAAUUUCCAAUGUGAAUGUUAUAUAUAUUAAACACAAAUUUACAAUUAUUUCAUAAUCACAAAAAAUAAUUAAAUUUACAAUUCGAAUGUUAUAUAUAUUUAAUACAAAUUUAUGGGUCACCAUUAAAUUCGAACAAAUCACAAGCUAGCUUUUUCUUCAGUUCUGUAUCCACUAUUGGUUGAUUCCAUCAACAUUAUGUCCUAUACUUAAAUAUUCAACGUACUUAAUGGCAAAUAUGCUGCAGUCACCGCUGCAAUUGAAUAAGAAUGGAUCAGUUCAGUACUGUGUAGCUAAAAACUAAAUCUGAAAGAUGAAAACAAUAAAGUUCAAACACUUACCUUAUGGACUGUCGCGCUGUUGUCGUGUUCCGAACAAUCCGCAAUCUGUUAUGUACAAUUAUCACCACUCGUAUGGCCAUUAUAGGAACAAUUACAGCUAUGGACUCCAGGUUUUGCUCCAACUGGCCUUGUGUCAAACAUGAAUAAUUUGGGUCGUAGACAUAUAUAGUCAUGUCAGCAAAAACGAUCUCCAGCGUAACAUAGUGAUUAUUGAUGCACACUGGAAUGUACAUAUGUGUACAACUCUCCCAUGAUUUUUCCUCGACAUUCAGCGACAUUCCUAUGACUCACUCCAGCAUAUAUUCUGGCACCGUGUACUCGUUAUCCAUAAGUUGGAGCAACUGAUACUCUAUGGUAACGACACGCAGGAACUUGGUGUUUAAUAGGACUCGACCAUGGACGUCAAAUGAUUCUGGAUGUCUUUGAGCUCGAUCUCAUAGCAAGUCCAUGGCCUAGUCGAUGUACUGCAUCAGGAAACACCAAAAAAGUAUGAGUUAUUCAUUUAAUAAGCACAAAGUGAUGUAUACAUAAAAAACACGAAAUGAAUAAUUCACUUACAUCGUCGGCGAGUCAAGCUCCUGAAGUGGUGACAUCGUGGAACCACUUGUAAGCGUCCGAGACCAUUGUUUGACCUAUCGUGCAGCUAACUCUGAAAAAAAAAGAAAAUGUUAAAAUAUGCAUAGACGAGUUAGCAUAUAGUGCUUUGUUAAAAUCAUACAAUACUUACCUGGGAUAAUUCUCCUCUACUCCAUCUCGAACGCUUUCCACUUGGCGUUGUCCACCUCUCUGAAUAAGUUCGGAUGCGUCCCAUCGAUCAACGUUCUGCUCUUGGCCUCAGCCGUGAAGGGAAAAACAACAUACUGUGAUGACAUUCUCAACCUCUCGCCGACUACUUGCUCUAUAUCAUCAACAGCAUGUCUCUUACCCUCAAUCACGAUAGGCGUCCUCUCGACCUCCGGGGCCAUCUCCUUCGCCCCUCCCAUCGGGGCCACCCCCUCCGUCAUCGCCUCUCCUAUCCUCGUCGGGGCCACCCCCUUUCCCUCCAUAGGCAACCACAAUGAUUCUAAUGUCUCAUCACGCUAAAAAUGUGGGUGAUCCCCUCUCCAUCACCAUCUCUGCCACCCUCUCGAUCAUCAUCUCCACCAUCCCCUCUGUCCCCCCAUUGCCUACCGGCUAAAUCUUCUCUAAGUGUCACUAUCGUAUCCUGAAAAUCGACAACACAAGACCAUAGCAUUUCAACAUCAUGGGAUAGAUCGUCAACCCUCUCUAUCAACUCUCGUCCCAUAUCAUCGACCCUCCCUAUCAGAUAGUCGACCUUCCCAAUCAGAUCGUCGACCCUCCUUGUCAACUCUCGUCCCAGAUCAUCGACCCUCUCCAUCAACUCUCGUCAUAGCGCUCCAACCUCCUCCACUAUAAAUCCAGUCAAACGGGCAUAUAAAUCAUCACUGUGUGUUAGAGAUACACGGGGGAGUGUCUGGACGAGGGAAAAGGAAAUACCCUCGGUGGUGGCGAUGCCAAUGGCGGUGGCGAUGCCCUUGAUGGAGGUGAUGUCAAUGGCGACGACGAUGCUCUCGACGCCAAUGGUGACGACGAUGCUCUCGACGGAGGUGAUGCCAAUGGUGGCGGCGAUACCCUCGGCGGAGGUGAUCGUCGAUCAACUGGACCGCCCUCCUACAUAAAUAACAUUAAAAAUUAUUCAAUAAAUUUAUACGUCGACAAUAUUCAAUAAAUUAUAUUUAAUUCAUAUACACAAUCUCGAUCCAGGCUCGGAUCAGACAUCUCCUCGUCUUGGGUCUGCGGAACGCCUAAAUCUCAUACAAGACCCCGAGCCUCUUCUUCCAUCGACGAUGUCAACUCAAGUAUGACUUCAAGCUGACAUAUUGACAUUUCAACUAAUUAACGGUCAUGUAAACAUAUUUUAAACUACGUAUAAUAUAAAUCACAAAUGCAUAAUACUUAUCUGAGGAUCGUCGAGGAGAGCCGAUAAUUAUUUCCCAGUGGGACAUCUGUCUGCUCGCGAUGAUCUCCAAUGAUGCAUCUGAGGACAUCGUGUCUCCCCUCGCUUCGCGAAGCGGGCCCCCAAUACAGGGACUAUCUCAUACACUCAAAUUUGCAACACAUACACUUAUUAUGCGUAAAUAUAAUAUACUAAAACUUAAACUUUAAUUAUAUUAAACAUUUAUCUGCACCGCUAUGGGCAAUCCAUAUGUAUCAUAUUUACACAUUGACCCCCUGGGCCUCGAGUGUGAUUUGGUAAAAAGAUGUACGGCGUCUUUGCAGCAUCUCCGACCCCAUGGAUAGUUAUUGAACGCAUCGAUGUCGUCAACAAUUUGCAAAUGAAAAAUGUCGAUGGCAGUCUUAUUGUGAUGACACCUCAUCAUACUCUCGAGGAUGUAGACCAGCCCAAGUUUCAAUCUAUCUAGCAUCUGGUCGCACCCCCUGAUCGUGACCAUCAACUCGGGUAGAUGUACCGACCUAUGUCCUUGGAAGUACGUCUUGUACAGCCUAUUUCUUCUCUCAAUGGCUGCAUCAUCUCCUGUAAUCUUUAGUCCAGUGAUCAAACUAAACUCAUACAUCUAGAAAUUGACAACCUUGCCCCCGAGGUCGAAGUGGAAGGGAUCACCGUCAACUGGCCUCAGAAGCCAACAUAGAAGUGCAUCGAUGAUAUAUCCUAAGUACUGCACCUCUCUCAUCUGGUAAAGUGGCCACAAGAAGGACUGUCAUAGCAUAUCUCCGUGAUGAUCAUCGAGCAGCUCCAACACAGCAGUAAAACUCUCAAAGCUACUAUUUCAAGUAGCUUUCCCCACCAUCCGUCUCAACUCCCCAUCUAAAUGAUACUCCAUCCUGCAAAAAUUCAAAUGUUAGAACAUUGAACAAGAGAUAAUAAAAUAACGCAUAAUCUCAAAAAAUCAAUGGGAACCGAAUUCUUGAUGCUAAUAACAAAAUAAAUUCAAUACAAAUAUAAAAAAUAAUUAAUUAAAUUAAAAUACAAAUUAAUGAGAUUUUCAGCAAAAGAAAAUUAUUAAUAUUUAAAGAAUACAAAAAAGUUAAAAAUUAAAGAUUAAAUAUAUUUUCAAAAAAAAUUAAAGAAUAUAAAUAUUAUUUAAAUAAAUUUUAAAAAAUUAAAGAAUAUAAAAAUUAAAUAAAAAAAUAACAUAAUUAUUAUUUAAUCAAAUGAAAAUUAUAAAGAAAAUUAAUCUUGUAUAUUACAUUUGGAAAAUAUAUUUACAAAAAAAUUUAAAAUUAAAUAAAUAACAUGGACAAUAAAUUGUUACUUUCAGAUAAUAUUCAAUUAUUAAAUUAUAUAAAUAAAAGAUAAUUAAAAAAAUAAAUAAAUAAAUAACAUAAUUAUUAAUAAAUUAAUUAUAAAAUAUAUUUAAAAAAUUAAAAAACUGAAUAUAUAUAUUUUUAAAAAAAUUAAACUGUUGACAGUCCGAUUGUUAACAGUCGACCCAAGACUGUUAACAGUUAACAGUCGGCCCAAUUAAUAAAAAUAAAUAUGAAAUUUAAAAAUUAAAUAAUUAUUCAAAAUUACAAUGAUAAGAAUUAAUGAAAUUCGAUUAACGAAAAUAAUAUUAUUUAUAAAAAAUUAUUAAUAAAAAUAAAAAUGAAAUUUAAAAUUAAAUAAUUAUUCAAAAUUACAAUGACAAGAAUUAAUAAAAUUCGAUUAACAAAAAGAAUAUUAUUUAUAAAAAAAACUAUUAAUAAAACUAAAUAUAAAAUUUAAAUUUAAAAUUAAAAAAUUUAUUAAAUAUUAAAAUUAUAAAAAUUAAUUAAAUUCGAGAAUGAAAAAUUAUUAUUUAUCAAAAAUGAGGAAAUAAAAAUAAAUAUUCAAAUUAAAUAUCACAUUUAAAUUUUACAAAUAAAUAAAUUAUUAUUUAUUAAAAACUAAUAAUUAAAAUUAUUUAAAAUGAAAUUCUUAAAUAUAUGUAACUAAAAAAAAAAAUAAAGGCAGCGGGCCGAUCGUAACAAUUGGACCGUUUAAGAGUCAAUGGGCUGACUAAACAGUCAGCCCAAAUAAUGAGCCGACUGUUAAUCAGCUCAAAUUAAAAAAAAAAAUUGUUAUUGGGCCGACCUUAACAGUCAUGGGCUGAUUGUUAGUCAGUCCAUGACAAUCGGGCCAACCGACUGUUAACAGUCGGGCACCUGACUGUUAACAGCCGAGUUUUCCCCAAAAUGCCGGCUGCAAACGCAGCCGGCAUUUUUUCCAGCUUUUCUCAUCGGAAAAUCUCUAUUUUCGACGAGAAAAGCUUGCAAAUCUCGAAAUCCACAUAUUAUUCUCCAAUUUAGACCCAUAUUCAUACUUCUACACCUAUAUAAUCAAUAUUACAUUUCAAAAACCUCCACAAAUUCAACAUUCACACACAAUAUGAAAAUCUAAACAUUUAUCUGGUUAAUUAACAACUUGAAACUCACCUUAACAAGAAGAAGGUCGUCGGAGAUGAACUGAAAACGUCUACCGAGUAGCUUUUCCCUGGUUUUAGCCGACUGUAAGCAAAUGAAAAAGUGACCGUCUUACGAUAUUUUGGGAUUUUGACCUUUAAAAUCAAUUUUCGUUUUUUUUUUCUCUAAAAACUGGUCAAAGGCUACUUUGGAACUACACAUGAGUUAUUGGGUCAUUUUCAAUGAUUUCCUCCCCUUUCCUCGGAUUUUCAAAUUUCUACUUCCGAUUUGUACCUUUUUUUUUCUAAUUGACAAAUUAAUUAUAAGUACGUUAUGGAUAGUAUAUAGAAUAAUUUAAUUUAUAAUUUCUGAUUAGUUAAAAUUUGUAUAUUUUAUUCGUAAGAAUCAUUCAAUUAACUUUAAUAUAUUUUUCCUACUGAAAUUGUCUAAUUUUAGUUCGAAGAAUUUUAAUAUAGUUUCAGUAUAUUAUUUUCAUAUUACCAAUAGAAUUUUAUCAUUAAAAUUUUUUAAUUUAUUUUUUAGGAUUUUGGUUAUUUUGUAAAUUAAAUUUUUAAAAUAAUCUUUAAUUAAUAGUUAGGAUUGAUUGAAAUUAAACGUAUGCUGAAUUUUUAUUUUUAGUUUUGUUCUUUUUUACAACAAGCAAAAAAUAUUGCAAAUCCUUGUUGCAAAACACACUUGCUCGCAACAUUUAAUGAUUGUUGCAAAAGGUUAUAUAGUAAGAAUUUCAACAAUAUGUACUGAACAUUGUUAUAGAACAAAAUUUUAACAAGUUCAAAAAAAAAAAAAAAAAGAAUUAAAACUUUUACAACAUUCAAAGAACGUUACAAAAAGCUAUAUAUUAAGAGUUUCAACAACGGUUAUUGAAUGUUGUUAUAGAACUAUAUUUUUACAACAUUCAUUAAAUGUCGUGAAAAAUCAAAUUUCUUACAACAUUCAAGAAACGUUGAAAAUGGUAAUAUUGACAACAUGCAAUUAAAAAAAAUAUUGCCAAAGCUUAAUUAAAUUAAUCAAUGGCAAUAUUCACUUAUUAAAAUGUUGCGAUAGACCCAUUUAGCAACAUUCAAUUCACGAGUGUUGCCUUUUGAGUAUUGCAAAAGGCUAUUUUAAUUGUAGUGAAAACUAGAGCCAUGUAUUCAUAGGGAAGGAUUAGGGAUACAAUAAUAAUAAUUUCUAGAGUUACAGGAGUACAAUUGUCAUUCACAAAUAAACUUACCAUUUACAACAAAAUGGUCUUUUUUUAUUUUUAUUUUUCUUCAAUGUGCUCCUAAAAAGGUUUUUAUUGACAGCAACAAGGUAAGUCGGACGUUCUCUUUUUUAAAUUUUAAGAGGCGGUAAGGACUUUUUGAUCUUCAUUUUUUGUCCCAUUUAUUUAUUUAUUUACUUAUUUAUGUAUUAUUGUGUUUAAAUUUAAAUCAUGUUCAAAAAAAUUUUAAAAAAAAUAUUAUGUGUCAUGGAUGGGUCUGUGACAGAGAUCAUGUUUCCCAAGCCCAUCCCUAAUAGGGAUUAUAGAAUUCCUGACCUUCAAUCCACAUCGCGCCCCGUCCCACAUUGUCCUACCUUGAAUAGUAAAUGGGGCGGGAUGCAUAACCUAGAGUCCCUAGUUUCAAAUUUUUAGUACUACCUCUGAAUCAUUUUCAUUAAUAUACUUUAUUUUAUUCUUAUGUUCUUCAUUUAAAUCAUAUUAAAAAAAAUAAAAUGAUGGUUUUUUAUGUCUCAACCUACCCUAAAUUCUGAAAAUUCAAAACGAAACAAGAAUGAUAUGAUGGCUCCUAUCCAUUGUUAUCCUUAAUUAUUUCCCGUUGGGCGGAGUAACUUGAAACUGGCAUUUUUUUGAAGAUUUCCUCAAAUAAUUUAGCAGAAAAUAAAAACAAUGAAAAAUAAAUCCACUUUAAAAUAGGGUCAUCUCUAAAAGAUAAAUGUAUUCUCCAUUGAUUCCCAUUUUUCACUUGAAACUCAUCUCUGUAGGAAGGCUAUGAUCCAAUCCAACCCUAAAAUUUCUCAAAUUAUAUUAAAAAAAAAUAAAAAAUCACCGUACCUUAACUCUACAAAUAAAGUGGAGUUAACUCUACAAAUGAAGUGGAGUAUUGCUCAAAUAUCCAUGGCAGCAGCUACACGGAGGCAACACUGAUGGUUCGUAGAUGGUGCAACCACAAAGGGCCUCGACAUUUUAGGGACACCAAAAAAAUUUAUUUGUAUAAUUAUUUUAAAAUUUUAAUUUUUUUAGUAAAAGAACCAUGUUUUAAAAUAUCACACAGGACAUCUAAAAUAUUAAGGUCAACCCUACAUCAAAGUACUGCUAUGCAACUUCUCCAUUUCCUAGGUAUUUGAUCAAUAAAAAUAGGGAACGUGGCUCAAGGGAGUGACAAAAUUAUUAAUAAGAUGAGGCAAAUUAAAGAAACAAACAAAUGUAGGAAGUUGAAAUCUACUUAAGAAACAAAAUGUACUUCCCUAUCAGUCGGAAGGGACAAUAUGACGGAUACCAAAACAAGGCAAUAGCUUAAGAGAUUCAUAGAUUACAUAAUUAUAAGCCAGAAAAAAAUAAAUAUUGAUGAUUUAUUGUAGUUGAUAAUGGGGGUUGACUAACAAACCUUUAUGUAAAAACUAUACCAUUCGCAGUCAAACCAUGAUCCCUGAAUUUGAAACGGGCAUAUAACAAUUUGCGAAAGAGAUAAUGGUGCAGGAUUCCCAGUGGAUAACGCACAAGUAGAAUCUGAUUUCCUGCGCACUGGGAUUGAACAUAGCUGCUUUAAAUGUCCCAUUACGAGAGAACAAAAACUCCCAGAAGCAUCUACAGAUUUGAAAUUUGAAGGAGUUAAAUUAGGGUAUGCGAAUUCUUUAAAGGAAAUACCAUAUGCGAGAACCAAUAAUAAGGCUAAAACACACAGAUCUAAUCCAGAUUUUGCCCUAGUCGGCAUGGGCGACUAGCUGUGACAAUUGACAUUGCAGAUUUGACGGCGAGGGGAAAUACAUGAAAUUGACCCAAAUAAAAGAGGCUAUUUUUCAAAAUGGCCCUUGAAUUUUUCUAACAUUUGGAGCUACCUAAAAUAUCCUUAGACAAAUAUUAAAAACAACCUAUUUCAUAAUAAAAAUCUUCUAUCUAAGUCCUUAAAAAAUUAACAAGUAAUUUUUCUAAAAAUUUGAAAGAAUUAUUAAUCUCUAUGAAUAAUUAUAAAAUGAAAAAAACCCAAAUAUAAGAGAGGACCAUAUAAUAUAAAAAAGGUUGUUAAAAAUAAAAAAGAAAUUAAGUUUGAAAAAGAAAUUGAUAAGAUAGGAUAUCAAGAACAAUUAUAUGCAUCACAAGAAAUACUAAAGUGUUUCAAAGAAAACUUAUUAGAAAAUUUUGCUAAAGGAAUUGUAAGAUCAAUAAUCAUAAAAGAUAUAUAAGGUAUCAUAGAUAAAUUAGAAAAAAUGAAAAAAAAAUAUCUUAAAAUACGAUAUACCUUUUAUAACAGAUAUAGAUAUGAUAAUAGAUGUUGAUGUUAUAAAUUCUCAAACAUUACUAGACUUUGAAGAAUUACUUAAAAUUUUAUGAGAAGGCCAAUAAAAAAUAGAUUACCACAAAGAAUUUUUAGAAUAUUAGAUUUUUGUUCGCUCAUAGUAGCAUCAUCCCGUUGGUUUUAGAGCCAUAGAGAUCAUGAGAAAAUAUAUAAAAAUAAAUUACCUAAAAGAUAUUGAAAAUAAAUAAAAUUUAUGAUUUUAGAAAUUAUUGAAACUUAUAAAAAUAGACUAAGGUAUCAGGUAAAAUAUAGUUCUAAUAUAGAAGAAAAUAAUAUAGUUGGAACAUAUAGUAAAGACAUUAAAGAAGUAUUAGAAAUUUUUAGAGUAAUUAAAAAUCUACCUUUAGAACUAAAAGAAAAAAUAAUUAAAAAGAUAUUAUUUGAAGAAUAUGAGCAUAUAUAUAUAUAUUAGAAGAAAUCCAGAGUGAAAUAGAUUUCAUAGUAAUCUAAAAAUAUAUAUAUUUUAUUAUGGAAAUCAUAAAAAUAAAUAAUUAUUAACAAUGUAUUGAAGAAAAAGGAUGUUAUAUAUUUUUCAACCCUAUCCCUAAUAAAUUAAAAAUAAUAACAUUAUAUGUAACUAGGAAUUUACCUAGAGAAAUAAAAGAACAAAUAUUACAUAAAUUAAUUGUAGGAUUUAUCAAAGAUAGACGUACAUAUAAAAUAAUUAUCGAAGUAUUUGAAAAUGAAUUAUACCAUAGAGAAAUAUUUGAAUCAUCAUAAAAUAUAAUGGAAGAAACUAAAAAUAUUUUAGAAAGAAAGUUAAGAAGAAUAAGAUUAAUAAAUAAUAAAAUUUUAGAUGAAUUAUUAAUACCUGGAGAUAUAACUAAAACUCAAGAAAAACAAAUAUUAAAAUUAAAACAAGAAAGGUAUAAAGAAAAAGCAAGGUAUUAUGAAAAAUUAAAAGAACUAACAAAUAUUGAAGUUAUAAAACAAAAGUAUGAUAAAAUGAUAAGAGAUUGUAAAAAUGCUGAGUAUAUAGCAUUUUAUUAUUGUCAAUCAAAAAUCGAUAAAAAAAAUAUCAAUCAGUGAACAUGUGGAAGAAUUAAAACAUUUAAUAAGAACAUUAAUAAAUGAUGUACAAGAAAUAAAGAAUGAAAUAAAUGAAGCAAGAAAUGAUAUAAAUAUAUUGAAACUUGAAGUUAGAAAAUUAAAAGAAAAUGAAGAAAAGAAUAAUAGGAUAAAUAAAAAAUUUAUAGAAAAAGAAAUAACCAGAAUAUGGAAAAAACAUAUUGAAAGAGAAAAUAUAAUAAUAGAAACAGGAAGCAUGGUUGAUGAGUUUAGAAAAAAUAUAUUACCUAAAAUAUUAGAAGAAGAGGAAUCUAGAGAAAAAAUGUUAAGUAAACAAAAAAUUAAAGAAAAUCAAGACAAAGAACAUGAAUGAAGAAUUAGAUCUACUUAUAGAUAAUUCUGAUCAUUUAAGUUUAGAAAGUAUAGAUGAUGAAUAGCAAAUCUUAAUGAAUACUGGAGGAGGACCUAAUCCCGUAGGAACCUCUAAACAAGAAUCAAUAGAUCCAGAUGAAAGUUAUGCUCCGAUGUAUAAUAAACCAUAUAGACAAUUUUAUGAUAAAAUAAGAGAUAAACAACCGUCUAAAGGAAAUAAAUAUAGUAAUGAAUUUGAAUUAAAUAAUAAUUAUGAUAAACCUGUUAACCAUGGAGGAACAAAAUUAGACUUAGAUUGUAAAAUAGACACUAAGAAAGCUUUAAUAAUUUGGGCAAACUCAAUGAUAUUAUUCUUUUUAUAUAAUAAAGAAUAUAAAUGGGAAAAUACUGAAAGAAGAAUAGAUUUUUUAAUUGCAUCUUUUGAAGGAAAUGUUAGAAAUUGGUGGGAAGGAAUUAGUAGUGAUACAAAAUCAUUAAUAAAAAAAAUGUACAAAUAGAAAUAAUAAAGUCAGAUAAACUAGGAAUAGAAAGAUUAGUAGAAUAUAUUGCAGAUGAAUUCUUAGGAGAAAAUUGGUUAAGAAAUUAUGAAGAAGAAGUAAUACAGGAAAAAGAUAAUGCAAGAGUUAAGUUAAUUAAUUUAACAAUUUGUGAUAUGUGUAAAAUUAAAGAAUAUACUUGUGAAUUCAAGGAUUACUAAUAUACUCAAUUUUAUAGUAAUGAGAAUCAAGAAGUAUAUCAAGAUAUAUAUUACAAUAAAUUACCAGGAUCAUGGGGAAUAUAUUUUAAAAUAGAAUUUGAAAAAUAUAUUAAAGAAAAUAUAGAAAUACCUCGAACACUACGAUCAAGAAUAAAAUUCUUGUUUGAAAGACUUGCAUAUAUAUGUCAAUAAAGACAAUUAUUGAAAAAAUAAGGAAAAUUAACUAGAAUAUGCUGUGAAGAUAUGGAAAAACCUGCAAGAUGGGGAUGUAAUUAUGAAAAAAAAAUAAAAGAAAGUAUAAAAACAGAAAGUUUAAAAAAUAAAGAAACUUUAAGAAAAAAUACAUAAAACUUGGAAGGAAAUAUUAUAAAAGAAAAAAUAAUAUACAGAAAAAUAAACCUUAUAAGAAAGAUAAAAAACAAUGUAAGUAUUGGAAUUGUGGAGAAAUAUGCCAUAGAAAUCCUGAUUGCACAAAAAAAAAAAAGUGAGAAUAUUACAAAAGGAUUAUUUUGAAAUAGAAAGUGAAUUAAGUGAAAUAUCUGAUAUUGAACAUUAUAAUAAUCAGAAAAUAUUUAUAAGUGAAGCAGAUUCAAAAGAUAAUGAAAUCUGAAUAGACAAAUUGAAAAUAAUAACAUAGAAAUCCAAGAAUAUAAGGGAAUAGAAAGUUAUGGAUUAAAAGUAACUUUUGACAAUGAUAAAUUUAAGAAAAUACAAAAGUUGUCCUUAGAUUUGAAAAUAGGAAAAUGGGAAAUUUUAUAUAGAAUAUGGAGAAGAGAAAUAAUAGCAAUAAAUGAAUACCAUAAGAUUGAAAAAAUUAUAGAUGUCAAGACAACUCAAGGAACACAUAAAAUAAACCUUUUAACAAAAAGUACAGUAUCAGAAUUAUUAUAAAAAAUAAGUAAAAAACAUAGUGAAAAGAUCCAAUAUGUUUAUUUAGCAGGAAUACAAAUAGUGUUUAAAUCUUUAUUUAGGGAAGGAAUAGAUUCAUCAUUAACUGUAAGUUUACAUGAUAGAAGAAUUAUAAAUCUUGAAGAUGGUCAUUUAGGAACUAUAGAAGGAAAUUUAGCAUAUCAAAAGUUAAUAUUUACUUGUUACCCAAAAUAUUAUGUCUCAUUGAAAGAUAAAAACUUUAAUGAAGUCUUAGGAUUACAUUUCAAAUUACAUAAAAAUGAUAUAGUGGAACCAGAAGAUCAAAUUAUGACUAUGGAAUAUAGGGCAUUAUAUACAUUUACUAAUUCUAAUUAUGGGAAUAUUUAUUCCAAUAAACCAUACAUAAAAAUUCUUAAGGAAUGCAAGGAUAUUAGUAGAAUAGUGAAACCAAACAAACAAAUAAAUCUUAUUCCAGAAGAAUAUGAAUUUAAUAUAACUAAAAAUAAGCCUGAAAUAAUAGAGUUAAGAGAAGAAGAAGACUAUAAAAUAACAUUUCACAAUGGAAGGUUGAUAAAGAAAUCAAAAAGUCUUAGACUACCGAAUAAAAAAGAAUAUUUGAGAGAAACUAGUGGUAUAAAAGAAAUAAAACCUUAUGGAAAUAUUGGAAAUAUGAAAAUAGAAGGAAAAUAUUUCAACGGUAGAAGGUAUAUAAAAGGACCAAAUAUAUUGAUAAAUACAGGAGCUGGUGAAUGUCAUAUGGCUGCAAAUAAAAAUGAAGGAUUAAUGACUUACAAGAUAGAACCAUAUGAAUACAGGAAUUUUGAUGAACAAUUAUAUAUUACAGAAUUAAAGGUAAAGGUACCAAUAAAAAUAAGUGGGAUUGAUCUUUUAGUACCAUAUUAUUUGGAUGAAAGUAUGGAUAUUGAGCCUCAUAUAUUAUUAGGAAUGAAUUUCUUAAAUGAAUUAGAAGAUUAUAGUAUAAAAAGAGAAGGAUUAUAUAUAACUCAUAAAGGACAAAUUACAUUAUGUAAAAUAGGAAGUGGAUGAAUAAUCAAAUAAGUUUUUCAUUGGCAGUAUAUAUACAAGUUACUAUAGUAGAAAGAAACACAACAACUUGUACCUUAAUUGAUACAGGAAGUGAUAUAACAAUUUUUAAAAAUUUCUUAAUAAAAUCAUGGAAUAAAAAUAGUAAAAUAAAAAUAACAGGAGUGACUGGAGAAAGUACUCAAAUAAUUGAUAGUGCUGAAAAGGUUAAUAUAAUACUUGGUAGUAAACAAGUUAUAAUAAAUAAAGUAUACAAUUAUAAUAACCUAGAAUGUGAUAUAUUAUUAGGAAAUGACUUUAUCCAACAAUUUCAACACUAUAAACAAAAUAAUUACAUGAUAAUGUUACAAAUAUCUUGUGCACAUCUUUUAAAAAUACCAAGAGAAUUUAGACCCUAGAGAGUUCAGUCAGCCCAGCGUGGUGAUAAAUGGAAAAAACGACCAAUAGUACAAGAUGAACUAAAAAAUAAAAAACUAUCAUAUAAAAAGAUCUUAAAAACAGAAAUAGAAAUAAGUAUGUAAAAAAUCAUAGAACAAUUAGAAAAAAUUUAUGGAGAAAACCCAUUAUUAUUUUGGAAACCAUAUCAUCCUAAAACUAAAAUAGAAUUAACAGAAAAUGUUAUAAUAAGAGUUAGACCAAUGAUGUAUACCUUACAGGAAAUGCAAGAAUUUAAAAUUCAAAUAAAAGAACUAUUAGAACAAAAGUUAAUUAAACCCAGUAAUGAACCUCAUAGUAGUCCAGCUUUUAUGGUUAUGAAACAUUCUGAGUAGAUUAGAAGAAAAGUUAGAAUGGUAAUAAACUAUAAGGAAUUAAAUAAAUAUACUAAAUUUGAUGGUAACUUUUUAGCAAAUAAAGAAGUUCUAACAAAUCUUGUAAAAGGAAAACAAUAUUAUUCCAAAUUUGAUUGUAAAUUAGGAUUUUGGCAAAUAAAAAUGGAAGAAGAUAGUAUACAAUAUACAGCUUUUAGUACACCUCAAAGAAUAUAUGAAUGGUUAGUUACGUCAUUUGGUUUAAAAAAUGCACCACAAAUAUUUCAAAGGAAAAUGGAUAAUAUAUUCAAAAAGUUUAGUGAUUUUCUUAUUGUUUAUAUAGAUGAUAUACUAAUAUGCUCUAAUAAUAAAAAAGAACAUAGGAAUCAUUUAUUACAAUUCAUAAAUGAAUGCAAAAAUGAAGGAAUUAUACUUUCUAAAAAGAAAUCUAUAAUCGAGAACAAGAAAUAAAUUUUAUAGGAUUAUCAAUAGAUAAAAAAGGAAUAAAAUUACAGACUCAUAUAUCUAAAAAGAUAGAAAGCUUUCCAAAUGAAUUAAAAUCCAAAGAACAAAUACAAAAAUUUUUAGGAUGUUUAAACUAUGCUGAAAGAUUUAUUGAAAAUCUCUCAAAAAAGAGACAUAAGAUACAAAUUCUACUUAGGAAAACAAAUACUAAAGGUUGGAACAAAGAACAUACUGAAAUUGUUAAAUCAUUAAAAGAAGAAUGUAAAAAUUUACCAAAAUUAAGGUAACCAGAUGAAAAAGAUAAUCUAAUUGUUAAUACUGAUGCCUCGGAUAAAUAUUGGGCAGUUAUAUUAAAAACAGAUUUAAAUGAAAUAUGUAGAUAUUCAAGUGGAACUUUUAAACAAACAGAAAUAAAUUAUACUACUCAUGAAAAAGAAUUGUUAGCAAUUAUUAGAGGAAUAAAAAAGUUUUCAUUAUUCCUUUUAUCUAAAAAAAUUUAUUGUUGAAACUGAUAAUUCUCAGGUUGCAGGACUUAUUAGAAAUAAGUUACCUAUGGAGCCUCAAUAUAAAAUGUUACAUAAAUGGCAAGCAUAUUUAUCAUUUUACAAUUUUGAUAUUAUUCAUAUUAAAGGAAUAAAUAACUAUCUUGCAGAUUUUUUGAGCAGGAAUAUCGAAUUUGGAGAUGGAUAAUAUCAAAAAUUCAUUAAUAGACGUCAACAGACGAAUGAAAUUCCUCAUGGAAGAAUCAGAAGAUAUGAAAAUUGGAAUUGAGCAAUUAGAGCAAAUGGCAGAAUCUAUCCAACAAAAUGUCAAAUUGUUGAUGGAAAUCUCUAAUUCUCAUUCCAAAUAUAUCAAAAAAUUGAAUGACAGAAUUGUUGAUAUUACUUCACAAUUCAAGUCAUUAAAUACCAAAUAGGAAAUACCAAUUGAUACAAUCUCAAAAUUACAAACAGGUACACAGCUAGGAAGCAGCAGUGGAUCCAACAAUAUCAAACGAGACAUAGCAAGUCCCCGGAAGGUGACUAUAAAAAAUGGUGAUGAACAUACAAGAGUUAUCAGGAUCAAAAUUGAUGAAGAUGAUGAUACCCUUUUAUCAUCAAAAGAAGAAGAAUAUAGAUCAUUUGCCAAAAUUGUUUAUGAAUUGGAAGAAAAUGAAUCAUAUUUUAUUGCAUUAGGAGAUCAUAUUUAUCCCAGAUUAAUAAUUACCAAAAAUGCAGACCCUUUCAUGGUCAAAAUGGCAGCAGAUUAUGGAUUUCUGGAUUUGAUCUAUCUAGGAAAAGAUUUAAAAGAAAUUGAAAAAUUUGAUGAUAUAUUUAGGGCAGAAGUUUCAAAAUUUGCCCAAGGGAGAUCGAUUUAUAUCAAAUUUUAUUCAAUAAGUCCCGAGGUUGAUGGAAGGAUAUACUAUCAUGCUGAACAUAUUAUCACAAUUGGAUAUGUUGGCCGAGAUUUUCAGAUUGAAGUUGGCCGAAAUAAUAAACCAUUGCCUAAAAUCAAUAAAUCAUCGAUAAAAUCCCGAAGAGUUUUGGGGAUGAAAGUUCUUUAUAAUAUUGUAAAAAACUUAUAUGAUAAAAAAUUUAGAUGCUUGUGUCAAUAUGAAGAAUGGACACUCCUUACGAAUAAUGGAAAAGAAAAAUAUACUAUUUUGAAAGAAUACAUCCAGAAAUUUGAUACUCAUCAAAUGAAUGGAAGUCCUACAACAAUCCAAGAAUUAUGUAGAUUGAGGAAGUGCUCCACAUGCAGACAAGAUUAAAAAGAUUGACAAAAGAUGAAUGGAAGGGAACCUACCACUACCAACGCAUCUAGCCAGCUGCAUAUGGAGCCAAAGAUGGAGAGGCAAUAAUAGAGGAAAAGAUGCUCAUUUGAUGAAAAAGCAAAAAAUGCAUGUGAAAAUGUAGACCCCAAGAGGAAAAGAAUAGAGAGACAUGUGAGCCUUUUCAAAUUCUAAUGUAUGCAAUGAUGUAAUAGACCAAUAAUAGCAAGUUUGAGUCAUGUAUAGAUAUAGAUCUUUGGGGAAAGAAUGGAUCAGCUCAAGUUAAAAACCAUUCUCUUUCCUUAAGCUUUCUUUAAAACCAGUUUUUCUGGAAACCCCUUGUAUACAAUAGAAAUCUUGUAUAAAUCAUUAUAAAAAUAAAAUCCCAAUCUUUUGAUAUCAGAAAAAUAUGAGUUUCUAAACUUCCUAUCCCAUAGAUUCUUGACAGAUUGAAGAAGAUAAUCUCUUUCUUACUUUAACAAAGGGGGAAUUUUCUUUACUUAAAAUCCUUAUUCUUAAUUCUAAGAAAAGAUACAGUGAGGGUAAGAAGUUGAAAUAGCAGAAUUCCCAUUAAGGCAAAAGGCCGUUUGAGGGAGCAGUUUGCAGAUUCAAAGCCUGAAGGUCACUUGAUUCUAAGAAUACAGAUUUAAGAUCAUAAGUAAGGUAAAAUUAUUGUCUUUAUUAAAUUUAAAAAGAAUUCUUCUAAUAUCUUGAAAGAAUCGUAGGGUUUAUUACUUUUCAUGUUUACAAAAAAUUUAUCUAUCAUGUUGUUAUUCAUAAAGCUUGUAAGGAAUUAUUUAAAUGAUGCCAGACUAUAGAAUAAAAAGAUUAGAUAAUCUGUUAGAAAGACUAUUAGAAAAAAUAAAAAAUAUUUUUUCUCAACUAGAGACUAUGGAUAUAUCGUAUAAGGAAUAUGAUAAUCUUAAAGAAUUAUAUGACAAUUAUAUUACAGAUUAUGCUAAUUUAUUAGAUCAAAGGAUGAAACUAUAUAUUAAAAUUCGAAACGAGAGAAAUAGAAGAAUUUUGGAACUAUUCCAAUAAAUUAGGAUAUUUUGUUCAAAAUAUGGCAAGCCAUUUCAUUAAGGGUAUUAUAGACAUUUUGGCAAAAAUGAAUAAUGAUAGGCCAUUUAGAAAAAUCCCCCGACGGCGAGAGUAGAGGAAGAGGAGAUAUUACAUUUGUCUCAAGAGAUUAGGGCUUCCACUUCCCCUUUCCUCUUGUUUUCAAAUUUCUACUUUUGAUUUGUACUUUUUUUUUUUAUCUAAUUGACAAAUUAAUUAUAAGUAUGUUUACAGAUAGUGUGUAGAAUAAUUUAAUUUAUAAUUUGUAAUUAGUUAAAAUUUGUAUGUUUUAUUCGAAAGAAUCAUUCUAUUAACUUUUAGGGUCAGUUUGAUUGUAAAGAUGAAAUUUGGAUGGAAAGAAAAUAAAUUUCAAGAAAUUGAAUUGUCUAGAAAUUAUUUUACUGGGAAUUAUCAAUUAUUGUGUUUCAUUGAUAUAAUUUUUUAUAUGAAAAAUGUUAAAAUAAAAGUAUUUUUUGAUGUUCGUUUGACUUUAUUUUACAUGAAAAUUGUCAAUUAAAGGAAUAAAAUUUAUUGGUAUUGGGAAUAGAAUUUGUUCCUCUUGCCCAAAAAAUAAAAAAAGGAGCCAAAAAAAACUAUCUAUCUUUUGGUGUUCAUUUGACUUUGUUUUAUAUGGAAAUUAUCAAUUAAAGAAAAAUAUUUUUUUACAAUUAAUGAUAGAAUUUGUUUUCAAUGCCAAAAAAAUAAAAAAUAAAAAUUGGCAACUUACCUAGAAAACCAAUUCCCACCAUUCCUUGAAAACUAAGAAAAGUCCACUUUUCAAAAAAACCAGGCAAAUGAAUUACAUGGAAAAUAUUUGCUAUCAAACACUAUCAAAAGUUGGAAAAUAGACAAAAAAUUUCAUUUUCCAUGGAAAAGAUGCCCAAUCAAACAGGGCCUUAAUAUAUUUUUCCAACAAAAAUUGUGUAGUUUUAGUUCGAAAAAUUUUAAUAUAGUUUCAGUAUAUUAUUUUCAUAUUACCAAUAGAAUUUUAUCAUUAAAAUUUCUUAAUUUAUUUUUUAGGAUUUUGGUUUUUUUGUAAAUUAAAAAUUUAAAAUAAUCUUUAAUUAAUAGGUAGGAUUGAUUGAAAUUAAAUGUAUGCUGAAUUUUUAUUUUUAUUUUUGUUCUUUUUUACAACAAUAAAUAUAGCAAAUCCUUGUUGCAAAACACACUUUCUCUCAACAUUUAAUGAUUGUUGCAAAAUGUUAUAUAGUAAGAAUUUCAACAAUAUGUACUGAGAAUUGCUAUAGAACAAAAUUUUAAACAGUUCAAUGAACAUUGCACAAAAAAAAAAAAGAAAGAAAAAAAAGAAGGAAGAAUUAAAACUUUUGCAACAUUCAAAGAACGUUACAAAAAGCUAUAUAUCAAGAGUUUCAAAAACGUUUAUUGAACGUUGCUAUAGAACUUUAUUUUUACAACAUUCAUUAAACAUUGCGAAAAAUAAAACUUCUUACAACAUUCAAGAAACGUUGAAAAUGGUAAUAUUGACAUCAUGCAAUUAAAAAAAAAUAUUGCCAAUGCUUAAAAUUAAAUUAAUCAAUGGCAACAUUUUUCACUUUUUAAAAUGUUGCAAUAAACCCAUUUAGCAGCAUACAAUUCACGAAUGUUGCCUUUUGAGUAUUGCAAAAGGCUAUUUUAAUUGUAGUGAAAAUUCGUGAUAUGUAAAAAUUCAUAUGUCAUUAAAUUAAUUUCGGUACACGUGAUAAAUGAUCAUACUUAAAAAAAUUAUUACCUUCACUAAACUUUGAAAAAUUAAGCUUUCGGACUGAUAACGUAUUAUGAAAAGAGAUAGAAAGAGCAGGGAGAAUAAAAGUCAAUAGACUUGUAUGUAUUAUAAUAAGAACUAGAGUCAUGUAUUCAUAAAGAAGGAUUAUGGAUACAAUGAUAAUAAUUUCUAGAUUUACAGGGGUACAAUUGUCAUUCACAAAUAAAACUUACUAUUUACAACAAAAUGGUCUUUUUUUAUUUUUAUUUUUCUUCAAUUUGCUCCUAAAAAGGUUUUAAUUGAUAGCAACAAGGUAAGUCGGACGUUCUCUUUUUUGAAUUUUAAGAGGCGCGUAGGACAUUUUGAUCUUCAUUUUUCGUCCCAUUUAUUUAUGUAUUUACAUAUUUAUGUAUUAUUAUGUGUUUAAAUUUAAAUUAUAUUCAAAAAAGUUUUUAAAAAAAAGUUAUGAAUCAUUGAUGGGUUUGUGACAGAGAUCAUGUUUCCUAACCCCAUCCCUAAUAAGGACUAUAGAAUUCCCGACCUUCAAUCCACAUCGCGCCCCAUCCCACAUUGUCCUACCUUGAAUAGUAAACGGGGCGGGAUGCAAGACCUAUAGUCCCUAGUUUCAAAUUUUUAGUACUAGCUCUGAAUCAUUUUUCAUUAUUAUAUUUUAUUUUAUUGUUAUGUUCUUCAUUUAAAUCAUAUUUAAAAAAAUUUAAUUAAAUAAAUAAAAUGAUGAAUGAUGGUUUUUUAUGUCUCAACCUACCCUACAUUCUGAAAAAUCGGAACGAAACAAGAAUGAUAUGAUGGCUACUAUCCAUUGUCAUCCUUAAUUUCAAAUUUCUCGUUGGGCGAAGUAACUUGAGGCUGGAGUUUUGUUAAAGAUUCCUCAAAUAAUUUAGCAAAAAAUAAAAACAAUGAAAAAUAAAUCCACUUUAAAAUAGGGUCAUCUCUAAAAGAUAAAUGUAUUAUCGAUUGAUUCCCAUUUUUCAGUUGAAACUCAUCUCUGCAGGAAGGCUAUGAUCCAAUCCAACCUUAAAAUUUCUCAAAUUAUCUUUUAAAAAAAAUAAUAAAUAAAUAACUUUUUUCACCGCAUUUUUAACUCUACAAUUAAAGUGGAGUAUUGCCUAAAUAUCCAUUAUAGCAGCCACGUAGAGGCAACCCUGAUGGUUCGCAGACGGUGCAACCGCAUAGGGCCUCGACAUUACAAGGACACCAAAAAAAAAAAAAAAAUUGUAUUAUAAUUUUAAAAUUUAAUUUUUUUUAUUAAAGGGACCAUGUUUUAAAAAUAUCACAUAGUACACCCAAAAUAUUAAGGUCAAUCCUACAAUGCCUACAUCUAAGUACUACUGUGCAACUUCUCCAUAUCCUAGGUAUCAAAAAAUCUUCACCUCUACAACCAAGUACUAUGUUAAUUGCUGAAGAUUAUAUUUAGUAACAAACAUAAUAGAAUAAAUUUCUAUGACAUACUUAGAUGAAAAUUAAUUCACUACUGCAUGGCGCUCAAGUCAGAUGAUGAAGUAUAGAUGAAAAUUAAUUCACUACUGCAUGGCGCUCAAGUCAGAUGAUGAAGUAUAUUGGGUGUGGAAGAUAUUCAAUAGAUAAAGAUACAGAUGCGGUUUACCAAAACUUGCCUUCGUAGGAAAGGGUGGAGUAUUUAUAGGUGGAAGAAGCUCCAUCGGAAUGCUUGACACGUGACUUUAUUUUAAUACCUCAUUUGUCAUGCUUAAAUAUGUCAAUUUAUAGCCAUCAUAGGUAUGUGUUUCCAUAGUCAGAGUAUAAGCUAAAAACUAAGAAUCGUUGUUGCGGAGUUGUUACAUCAAUUACUUUGUACGGUGUACUUUGCGCAACUUUGUCAAAGCGAGGCUUGUAGCACAUGUUCAUCGCCCUAGAUAUAUACUGUAGUGGAGAGGUGAUACAUCGCCUCGAAUAACAAUAACAUUCUAAAUAAUGCAUCUAAUAGUAUCUCCUAAUUAUAUCGAAAAAGGCAUGAAGAAAAGACGAUGGGAAUUCGAGUGUUUCCCUCGUGUGGCCUCUUCUCAUCUGGCUGUCACGUGGCCCACAUUGUAGAUAAAUAUGUAACAAUAUCACUUUUAACAAAAUUUAUUCUCAAACAAUGGAUCUUACAUAGGUCUGCCAGUUUUAUGUUAUUGAAAUUUUUUCAAAAGCUUUGUUGAAAAUUAAAUUUUUUCUUUUUUUAUUUUUAGGAGAGUUAGGGACUAGAGAAUAUUUGUAUGUAAAACAAAGUUGUCAGAAUCAAAUGCUAAGAGAGCAAAUCUCUUUGCAAGAAAGAAGGAAAGGAUAAGGCUGCCAAAAUUAUGGUGAUGAUGGAAAUGGAAGCAAGAAUAUUCAUAAUAUAAGUGAAUUUCUUGGUCAUCCAUGCGGGAUUAAAGCUAUUUUGAACACACGGCCUUUGUGAAGUUACCAAUCCCUCAAUUCUAUAGUUUACUGGUGCAAAUUCAAUUUUUCCCGUGUAAGAAAUUUUCCUUUUUGUUAAAGUUGAAUAACAUCGUCUAAUAACAUUAGCUUAUAGGGAUAGGACAAAUUUAUUUACGGAAUUUCUGAAGAUCCUUGAGUAACUUGGAUUCAUUUUUCAAUUUAUGAGAUGUGCAUAAUUUUGCUCAUCAAACCACAUCAUCUAAAAGUUUAAGCUAGCAAUUAGAACACAAAUUUAUUUAUUUAUUUAAAUCUUCUUCGACAUUUUGGACAUGAAAUGUGAUUCCUACAACAAAUGUGCACACCUCCAAUUUAUUAAAUGAUAGACUACGAAACUGUAAUUUGAGUGGCAAUUGGUAUGCAAGAGUGGUUAACUAAUGGAUUUGUAAUUUCGACAUCUAAGUUCUGCAAGGCCAAUACAAACCGAUAGAUAGAACAAUUAUUUUUGUCUGCAUUAAGCAUCACAGGCUCAAUUACCUAGAAUUGCAUCCACUUUACACCUGUUAGAACGUGGAAGUGGACUUGUCCAGAAAUUAAAUAAAAAAAAUUAAUUCAAUAAACAAGAUCGUUUAUGUAACAUCCCUAAAGUAUUUUUACGGAAAAAAAUUAAUAUCUAUUCUAUAAAUUAUAUUUGAUUAUUUUGAAAAUGAGGGACUCGGAUGAAGUAUAUUUUAAAUUGUUAUAUUUUUUAGGCAAAUAAUUGGAUUUUUAUAGAGUGAUGAUAAGUAUUUCAAUAUUAUACUCGUUGAAGAGCCCGUAUUUAAUCAUGUAUUUUAGGCUAGAGAAAAAGUUAAUUCUAAUAAGUUUGGUUCAAGAUAUUGAAGUUUGUAGAAGCUGUUAUUUAAUUGGAAUUAGAAUUUACCAACUUUUAAAAGGGGUAGCCACGUGUGCUCUUCUAUAGAAAUAAGGUGAUGGAUAUGCGAUAGUAGUUAAUUGUUAUUUAAUCACAUUUUGAUGAUGAUUAAUGUAAAUUGAUAAUUAUAAUCCUAUUUUGAUAUAAUUCAACUCUGAAUAUUGUUACUAAAUUAAAUUAAAAUAUUAGUCCUCACUUUUAUUUUAACCGCACUGCAUGAGUAGAUAAGGUGAUUGGGAUACUUCUAAUUAAGCAAAAUCCCAGUUAAACUAAUCUAGAACUUAUCAUAUGAAUUAGAUAAAUUUCCCAUCUCCUGCUUGACCAUGCGUUUAAAGAUUUAUUGGUUUUAAAAAUUAUUUUCACCAACUAGAGAUUUUACAAAGAUGAGAUAAAAUGUUAUGAAGUCAUUUUUAUCCUAUAUUUUGAUAAAGGAUAAAGGUUUAAAUGUAAUCUUAUAUGUGAAAUAUUCAAUUACUAUUGUACAUAUGUCAUAUCAUGGUUUGGGUUAUCAAAAUAUGAAGUUUAUCCAAGUGGUACACAUUUUCCCCACCAUCAAAAUUGUACCAGGAUCAAAAUUGUACCAGGACUCAAAUACCAUUUUUUUACUAUAAAUAAUGUGCAUUUGUACCCGGAUUCUCCACCAAGACAUUUUUACACAGCAGACAAUAGAGAGAGAGAGAUCAGUCACCAAAUUUUUGACGCAAUCGAGGAAGUAGAACAUAUAUUGGAAUUCAUUCAAAAGUCCAUUUUUUUUUAGGUAAGAUACUUUAUGCGCAGCACUUUUGUUUCCUUAUAUUUUUAUAUUCAAUAAAAUAUGAAUGGAUUAUCAGUAAACAUUCAUUUUUUAAAAGAAAUAUGAAAUCCUACGGGAUUGUAAGAAAACCUAAGAUGGGUGUCACUUGGUCACGGAAUUACUCCAUAAGAUCAGAGUGGUAUGAAAUGCAUAAUUUUUAUUGUUAUGUAUUUGUACAUGGAAACUGUACGUAUCUUAUUAGGUGUUUUCGAAUACUCACUCUUACAAAUUUUUACAAGUUAGUUCGAAUCGAUUGAAGUUGUGGUGAAUUGGUGACGCGGACGGCCAAGUGAAUCGAAGAAAGAAAAAAGAAAUUAAAUAUUUAGUUUGCUUUUUUUUUUUUUUUGGUAAUUCUAAAUUAUUUGUUAGUUUUAUUUGUUCAAAGGCUCUUUUGGGUUUUUUAAAUUGAUAUUUAUGGUUGAAAAUAAAGAAUUUCCUUUUAUUUAAAUCGUUCCGCAAUUAUUAUAAAAGAAAACCGCGUUUUUCUUAACAUCCUGGCGUUUUUGAAAAUUUGGGACGUUACAGUUUAGAUGUUCACGUAUAUGUUAAAUCAAGGAUAAAGAAUUCGAAUUUUUACCUAAAUUGAUGAUUAAUUAUUUAAUUAAUUCAGAUCACAAACUUCCACCUUUUUGGAUCAUAGAGUUCUAGCUUUUAAUUGCAUGAUCUUGAUACAUCAAAUCUCCAAAUCUUCUAUGGUAUUCUCCAAAGUCAAAACUAUACCGAUGGGUGGGCAUAUUUUUUUAAAUUAUAUCAAGAAACUAAUUUUUAAACUGACAAUUGAAUAAAAGCAAGAAAAAUAAUAUUUUCUCUCUUUAUUCCUCUCUCCAAUUUGAACACUAUGGAUUUAUGUAUUAUGAUUAUUGUAGAAAUUCUAGGUUCUAUAUAGUCUCUAAUUAUAGAGAUAGAAAAGUUCAAAUUUUUGUACAAUAUUAAUUUCACAUUCAAAUAAGAGUUCGAAUUAAAAUCUAAGUAGGAGUUUUACUUAAAGUCCAAUUCCAAUUAGUACACAUUUAAUUACAUGUGUAGUCCUAAAACUUUAAUUACAAUUAUAAUUAAAUUUACAAAUUUCAUAAUAAUUAUAACUAAGUACAAAACUUUAUUGUAAUUACAAUUAAACUCAAAAUUAUUACAAUUACUAUAAUUCAAUUCCAAUAAUUUAUGGAGCUGACAUAGGGACCUGAUAUAACAUGUAUUAUCCAAACUCCAAUAAUUAGAUUUGUCUAGUAGACUCUAGACCACCAAAUCUUAUUAUUAGUUUUUGCUUUUUCCACCAAACACAGAUGAUUGAACUCUUGGAAUAUAUAAGAUCACAGAAACCAAUAAAUUUGUAAUGCUUUCCUCUAACAUGUUGUAUAUGUAUUUUAUCCUUGUCCGAGAUCUAACAAUUAGGUACGAGCAUAAAUGACCAUUUUACCCUUCGAUUUAUUAUCACUAGCUUAAGUAUCAUUUUCUUCAUCGAUUUUAUAAACUAAUCAAAUAUGUCGAAGUUAAACCGUCGCUAAACACUUAGCUCCGAUUUUAACCAUUCAACAGUAAAUACUUAAGUAAUCACUCUACACAUUUUUCAAGGUAACGAUUCUCGACACGAAUUCAUGUUCUCUACUUCGCUUAUUUUCGAAUUCCUAGCUUAUCAAGAUAUUUAACCAAUCAAAUUGAUCACACCCACUGAUAAUCAGAGAACCACUAAAAUCACGAAAAGAUAUACAUAACAUUAGGAUUGGGCAAAUCUCUCGAACCGAACCGAUUGAACCGAACCCGACGGUUCUUGUCAAAUUAAAUACCUGAACGGGUAUCUGAAUUGAGAACUGACAGGUACGGUCGGGUUCUCGGUUCUAGACCAAGAACCGAAAAAUCGAAUAAGAAUCGAAUCUUUCAAAUUUUUUUUUUAUAUUGAGUAAAUCAAAUUAUUUUAAUUUUAAUUUUUUCUAAACAAAUUAACAAUUUUUAAAUCCAAAUUUUUGGUCCAAUAAUUUGUUUCAUUUCUAAUUUUUUAAUUUUUGGCCCCAUUACCCAUUUUAUUUUUUCAUUUCUUAGCCCAACGAGAUCCAAUCCACUAAAUAACUCUAAGCACCUACACUAAAGUGUAUAACGUUGUUUCGACUCUCGCACUCACUCUCGUAGCCUCGUUGACAUUCCAAAACCUAUACAAUUCUCGACCGAUGCUAUGACCUUCGGUCGAAGCUACGAUCUCCACUGACCGAAACUUUGACCAUAGCGAUCAUUUGAACAAGGUAGCCUACUAGUCUAUGGCAUUCCAAAACCAUUGAAUGUAUCAUUAGUUAUAUUAAUUUAAUGUUGUUAUAAAUGUUAAAAAAUUUAAUUAUAGUACAGAACCGAAUGGAACCGAAUCAAACCUGAACGGUUCCAUAAUUAUAUUUGGACCCGACGGUUCCAUUUGUGUAUAUAUAUGAAAUACACAGCGAUCAAGUGAAAUUUAAUUCUUCGCACAGUCUGCUGUAGGAAUUAAAUUUGCCACGUGGUCCAUUCAAUACACUCCAAGUGCACUAGUGUCACGUUUAACUGUUUUUGUAAUAAGGGCAAAUCACAAACAUGAAUAGUGAAUCGGUCAAUAUUACAACCUUCUAGUACAAGGUGUCAACAUUUAUACAUUAGUUGUGAACAAAUUAUUUAUGAUAAAAAUAUAAGUUGUGUCACACUAUAUUUCUCAACGCAAGUAUCCAAUUUAUAUUAUCAUAAGUGAUCAUAGGCACUUUAAUUCGCAUGCUUAAUAAUAAAUAAAUGCAAUAAAUAAAAUAAACAUAAGAAUAUUGUUAUUUUCUCAUCGGCAAAAGUAUACUAUAUAUACCCACACCCCAACAAUACCUACUCUAUUGGUCAGAUUAUAACAAUCUGCUACUCUUAAGGCUAAUUAGAUGCUACUUAUCGUGGAACUGUAUGAACUAAUUGUAAAUUGGUUUCUAUCCAAUUGACAUGUUUCUAUGACAUAGUACACUACAAAUCACGCGUGGUGUUCAAGAUCAAUUGAAUGUACAGAGUAAAUGGAAGUAACGAUGUUGUUAGGUCAAUAUUUUGGUAUAUAUCCAAAAUUUUGAGCACAAGGAGAAAGCUGAGAAAGCCCUGAUACUAGCUAUGAGUUAGAUGCACGAAUAUUAUUUUUUAUUAGUGAAGUUAACUUUGGUUCUAGUACUAACAUAUAACAUAUGCUGAUUAUUCCUUUAGUAGCAUGUCAACUUUGGUUGGCUCCUGAUCUAAUAAUAGGUUAUUCAAAGUAUUUCAACAAGAACGUAUAGGUAGAUUUUCGAUAACAAUAGAGGUUCUAGCCAUAAGUAAGUUUUCAUGGCGGCAUUAUCCCCCUCUGUCACUCAACCACUCGAGAAAGUACCUAAUUUACAUAGGGAAAAUAAGAAAAUUUUAUGCAUCGUGUUUCCCCAUCAAACUUAUUUUUAUUAUAUAACAUCUAAGACGAUAAAACUAAGUCAUGAGAUUUGCCCUACUAAAAAACUUCCGAUAUUCACUUUUAUUUUUUAUUUUUUUUGGGGCUUGUAAAUCAUUUCUUAUGUACAAGUAAUUGUUGCAACUAACUGAUAUUCGCUACAUGCAGAUGUACUCAUCCCUAGAAUAAAUGAAGCAAUGAUUAGAAUUAGUUAUGAAGAGAAGUGAGUGACAAGAGAAGGAAGGAGGGAGGCAAGAGAGUGAAACUUUUUAAGCUUAGCCAAAAAAUGCUGUAAGUAAAUAUCUUGCACAAUCCAUGAUAACCAAUCCAUCUCAAAGGAAGUUUGUGCAUUUUCCCUCAUAAUAUGACUUGAAAGUGACAAGAGUAUUCUAAUUAAAGCCUAUGGAGGUGGACUAUUAAGAGUGUAUAUAUGAAUAUUAUAAAGAUGAAAUUUUGAAGAACAAAAGGCACUAGCCAUACCAGUGUGAAAUAUAUUUCAAAUGACAGAAUGAAACUUAAUUGAAGGAACACGUUUUAACAAUAUUUACAGUGAACCAUAAAUUUGAUCACGGGCCACAAUUGCAUGACUAGUUGUUUGAACUCAUGAAGUUCGUUUAUAAAUUCCAACAAGAACACGUUCUAUAAAGAAUUCAUCUUGCGACAAAGGCAUGCUUUGGAUCAACGAAGCUUCUUUCUUAGCUAAGAGUCUAUAGCCUUUGUUUUUCAAUAAAACGUGUAUACAAUUUGAUCAACUGGUCGAUAAAUAUUCCGUACAAGUCUUCAAUUCGACGUAUAUGCCUUUUAAGAUUGUAUUUAGUCAUAAUUUUAUGUUCCAAGCAAAUAAUUUUAUGAUUUAUUCUUCUCAAUAUUAGAAUUCGAGGUCAACAUUGUUAAGAAGGACAGCUCAAACCUUUAUAAGUUGAUCUAUGUUUUCAUCUUUAUUCGAUGUGAAAUUUUAUCCCUUGACAAUCAAGUUAUUAGUAAGUUCUGGAUCCGUAAAAUGAAACCUUAGCAUGUCAUUAAGAAAUCCAUUCGUUAAUAGGAUUCAAUUAAGCUACUGUUGACAAUUAUGAGUUGAUACAUGGUUAAAUGAAAUUCAAACACUUAAUAUACUUGAUAACUUGUUAAACUGUUAAUAUAGGUUGCAGUUUGAGAGUUCUGAAGUAGUAGAACGAUAUAAUGACCACUUUUCAAGUAUUAUUGACAUUAAUAUUUUUCUUAAUUUCCAAUUAAUUUAAAUGAAUAAAUCUAGAGAUCAUAGUAAAUAUGAGGCUUAAGGAGAAUUUGCAAUGAUUUCAGCUACUUUUGAAAAGUCAAUAGGGUCAAAUUCAUCAAUGGCAACCCAACUUUAUUUAAAUAAAUUCACAUAUUCGACGUUAAUUUUAAUAUUUAAAUAAAGUGAUCAUUUGACAUCUUACUAGUGCUACCAAAGCACUUGUGAACCAUAAUAUUAAACACAUCUGAUUUGUUUAUUGUACAAUGUAAAUGGAUAUAAAGACUUCAAGGGGCAUUGCAUAACAUAUUCAAAGUUUCCAAAUAAAUAAAGUCAUCAUGUCCUCAACUCGUCAAAAAGUUAAUACCUUUAAGGCAUCUGCCAAAGAAAGGCAUGAAAAUUGACACCCCCACUAUCUAUAUACACCGUUUGACACUUACCUUAACGAUUAAGAAUAUGUCUAAUCAUCAUUUACAAAAACUCAUAAAUAUGUUUGUGAGUUUCAAAUUUUAUUUUCAAUCGUACAUUUCAUUGAAUUCACAACUUUUUAUCCUCUUUUCUAUCAAGCCUGACCAAAAGCCACUUAGGUAAUAGCCCAAGGCCUUGGAUAUUCGAGGGAGAAUAAAUCUCCCUAUCCCGAGUUGGGGACAGGGAGGAAGACAUGUGGCGCCCUUGUCCCUAUUCCUGUCCCCAACACGGGACAGGGAGCAGGGCUCUUCGAGGGACCUCAAAAAUAAACAAUUUGUUCUCUAUUUCUUGCAGAAAGUGGAAAUAUAUCUUGUUAUUGCACAAUGCAUAUUAUUGCACGACAGGAAUCACGUGUAUGAUUUGCCAAAGAAAUGGAGGUACUUUCCUUGGUUUCCUCCUCCUGCUUUAUUUCCACUCGUCAUCCAUUUGCCAAUAUGGGUUGAUUUCCUUUCCUAGAAAAUAUGCUCGUGCUGAUUUCCUAAAUUUGUGGAUUUAAUUGAAACCCAAAAAAGUUUGACCAUAUUUUCUUACCUUCAUUUCAAUCCAUGAGAAUCUUUGUCAAAUUUUUAAUUUGUGGAAUCACACACAUUGAAAGAACAUUUUAGUCCAACCUAUCUUUUCCGUUCAAUCUCAUCUUUGCAUUGACAUACAUUAUGUGUUGGUUGGAUAAAUACUGAAAAUUAUAAAAGAAAAUAUUAGACAGCAUUAAAGAAUAAACAACAAUCACAAAUUCACGACAUAUUUAGAAGAUGUUGCCAAAGAAAUCAAUUUUAAGGAGCUUUAAAUCACUUUUAAACAAGCUUUUAGCUCUCAACAUUUUUCAUGAGCUCGAUUUAUAGUACUAAUUAAACAAGAAAAAGACAUUAAAACUUUUUCCAUAGUAAUCUACAUUUUUGUCCAGCACUAAGCAUGUCUCCUAAAAAUGACACUAAACAUGUGGGCCUUUCCUGUUCAAUAGGAAUCCUCAUCUUUGAGAAUUAUGUUAGCUGUUAUUGUGCCCUCUGAGUAUGUUUCCUCAAGGAUCAACAGACAAUAACUAAUUUUUUUUAUUUUUUAUUUUUAAUUUACUCAAAGUCAUGUAUUUCAUGUUGAACUUCCACGUAUAGAAAUUCCGGAAGAUUAAGUGUUGAGAAAAUAAAGGCAAUGGAGAUGAAGAAUAAAAUGCAAAGAAGAGAAGAAGAUAAAUGUAUAUCAACGAAGGCUUGAACACGAAAUUAAUCUUACUGUCCGCAAACAUUAUUUGCCUCUUUUCCAAUACCUUUUAAGGAUUUCCAACAAAUAGUUUGUAGGAUUAAACAAAUCUUGAUAAGAAGAACACCAAAAAGCAAAGGUGUAACUUCACAAUGAACAAGUGAAAAAUGGAAUGGUUAUGUGAUAAUUUUUUCUCAAUUUUUGGAAGUAUAUUUUGGGAUAAAUUUCAAUGGAACUCAAUGAAUUUUCUUGCACUUGGAUCACCUAUUUAUAGGCAUUGGCAAAUUCCCACGAAAUGGUGCAAGAAAUAGGUGAAAAGUCACCAAAUUUGGAUGAAUAACGGUAAAAAACUAACCCAAUGGUUAGUUUUUAAUAAUCACGCAACUGCAUUGUUAAGCCCAUGCGAUCGCAUGAGACCCUCUCGAGAAUGGGAGGGCUGGCGAAGCUAUAACCAUGCGGUCGCAUGGUUAAGCAAGUUUAUUUUCUUUCCGAUUUUGAACAAUAAAUAUAUUUCCAACAAUCCUGUAUUAAUCACAUAAUCAAACAUCAAAACUUAUGUAUAAGAAUUAGACAUCUUUCGAUUUGAAUAUAUUCAUAGUGUAAAUCUCAUAAAGUAUUAUCAGAAUUCAAAGUGGCUAGUGUGCCUUGAAUCAAUUAUUCUUUGUGACAAUACUGAUAAAAUCACACACAAGUGUUAAGCUUUUCACUAGUUUCUCUAACUCACUUAGUGCUAAUAUGAUCUUGCACUAAUCCUAUUUCAUUGAACUUUUAAAGAGAGAAAACUCCAAUUCUCUAAUGAGGCAGCACCACCUCGAAGUUUACAUAGGUGAAAUUUUUCCAGUAUCUUUGUUACUUUUACAGAUACUUGUAUUCCGUAUUGCACUUCAUUAAGAGUUUAUUUUAACUCAUCCCUCCAAUAGUAACAACUAACACUAUUUUUCAAAGAUAGUAUUUGAUAUAUUUAAUAGUGUUGAAUCCAUCCACUUAUCGAAUAACUUGUUGUUACCUCUUGAGCCUCUAUAUAUUAGUUCAGUAUAUUUUGAUGAGAUUGCUGUUAUUGGUGGAUAUAUUUGAGGAGUUUUAAUCCCAUGUUACUCGAUGUCAAUCUCACUAACUCUUUCGUGAGAGGUUUUGUAAAUGGAUCAGCUAAAUUCUCACUAGACUUAACAAAUGUAAGAGAAAUUACUCUAUGGUUGAUUAAUUUCCUUACAUAUUCGUGUUUUAGACUCAUAUGUCUAGACUUUUCAUUGUAUACUUCGUUAUAUGCUCGAGCUAGAGUGGCUUGACUAUCAUACAAGAUAAGUAUAGAAGAAAUAUCCUUUAUGUCUAAAGGUAUUUCAUAUAAUAAAUCUCUUAGCCACUCAACUUCUUUUUCAGUUUCGGCCAACGCUACAAACUCCGAUUUCAUAGUUGAAUAAGUAAUACAAGUUUGUUUCUUAGACUUCCAAGAAACUGCACCACCUCCAAGAGUGAAUAUCCAAUCUGAAGUCGAUUUAUUCUCUCCUGCACUCGAUAUCCAACUUACGUCAACAUAUCCUUCCAAAAUUUUAGGAAAUUUUGUAUAUUGUAGCCCAGAAUUUUUGGUUUUCUUUAGGUAACCAAGAACCAUACCGAUGGCCUUCCAAUGUUCUGAACUUGGAUUGCUAGUAAACCUACUUAAUUUACUUACAACAAAUGCUACAUCAGGUCUUGUACAUUGUAAUGCGUACAUAAGACUUCCAAUUGUACUUGCGUAUUCUAUUUAUACAAUUGUUCUACCUUCAUUUUUUAUCAAUUUAAUAUUUGGAUCUACAAAAGUAUUAGCAUCCUUAACAUUCAAAUGUUUGAAUUUGUUUAUCACACUCUCAACAUAGUGUGAUUGGCUUAAUGUAAAACCCCCACUAUCCUUUUUAACUUUGAUACCAAGGAUAGUAUCAACUUCUCUAAGAUCCUUCAUUUUGAAAGCAGAAGAUAGAAACAAUUUUGUUUCUUUAAUCCCAUUUAUAUUAUUGCUAAUGAUUAGCAUAUCAUCAACAUAUAAACAUACUAACGUGAAUAUAUUAUCAUUCAUUUUCAUGUAGAGAAAGCAAACCCUUCUAGUUGUUCCAUAUAUACCUCUUCUUCGAUAUCUCCAUUUAAGAAUUCUUCUUGACGUCCAUUUGAUGAACAUGUAGUUCAUAAAUGGAUGCUAAUGCAAAUAAGAUCCUGAUCGAGGUUAUCCUCGCUCUGGGUGCAUAUGUAUCAAAGUAAUCAAUUCCUUCUAAUCAAUUCCUUCUCUUUUGACGAUACCUUUUAGCAACUAAUCUAGCCUUAUAGGUAUUCAGCGAUCCAUCAGAAUUGUAUUUCUUCCUAAAUACCCACUUGCAACCAAUAGCUUUAGAGCAUGCUGGUAGGUCAACUAUUUCCCAAGUGUAUUUCGAAAUAAUAGAAUCCAUUUCAUUGUUUAUAGCUUCUUUCCAGAACAUGCAAUCUCCAGAUUGCAUUGCUUCCUUAUAAGUCUUAGGAACACUUUCAACUUGAAGAACAAAGGGAAUUGUUCUUACAACAUCCUUCCUAUCUCUUUCUACUGAGUAAAAAGAAAUAAGUUGGGGAUCUAUUUCAUGUGAUCCUAAGUUCUUUUUUUUUCUAGUUCUUUUACUUCUUCAAGGUUCAAUUUCAACAUCUUUUAUGGAUGUCUCUUCUAGUGAGCUUCUAAAGAUUGAAAUAUCCUUAUUAUUAUUUUCAGAUUUCCUAGCUACCAUUACAUCCUCAAAGAAUUCCACAUCUCUUGAUUCGAUUAUGACAUACGUUUCUAGAUUUAAUAAUCUAUAGGCUUUGCUAUUGAGAGUAUAUCCCACAAAAGCACAUUUGAUACCUCUAGGACCUAGCUUGGUCCUCUUAGAAUCCAUAUUAUUACAAUAGGCAAUGCACCCUCACACUUUAAAAUAACUAACAUUUGAUUUUCUAUUUUUUCAAAUUUCAUAUGGAGAAAUUUUAUUCUUUUUCAUAAGAAUCCUAUUUGUUAUAUGGCAAGCACUAAAUAAGGCUUCACUUCAUAGGUUAAAAGGUAAUUCAGAAUUUAACAACAUGACAUUUAUCAUUUCCAAAAUAAGUUCUAUUUUUUCUUUCUACUAAUCCAUUUUGUUCUGGUGUUCUAGAUUCAGAAGAUGUAUUAUUCCAUUUUGUUCACAAAAUAUGUUAAAUUCAUUAGAAAAAUAUUUCUCACCUCUAUCACUUCUUAAAGUCUUUAUUUUUCUUCCUAAUUGAUUUUCAACUACAAUUUUAUAAGUCAUAAAGGCAUUAAAGGUUUCAUCCUUAUGUUUUAAUAAGUACACAUAAGUAUACCUAAAACAGUCAUCAAUGAAAGUAAUAAAAUAUUUUUUACCGCCUCUAGUUAUCGUUCCAUUCAACUCACAUAUGUCGGAAUGAACAAGUUCGAGUAAUUUUGUUGAUCACAUUACGCUAUGAAAUGGCUUCUUGAUCAUUUUUGAUUUAAAACAUAUUUCACAUUUUUCUAAGUUGUCAAUAUCACAUUGUAUUAGUUCACAUUUAAUCAUUUUUUUUCAUAGUAUUAACUCCUAUAUGUGCUAAUCUACCAUGUCAUGAAUUAAAUGAAUCAGUAACAUAAGCAGAAGAUUUAAAUUUCAUUUGAGUUAUCCUCAAUAGUACAUAGUUUGACCAUUCCUUCGGUGGAAUAGUCCUUUCCAAUAAAAUGCCCAUUAUGGGCUAAUACAAACUUUCUAGAUUCAAAAACAGAUUUAAUUCCAGGUUUUUCCAAGAGUACACCACUUGCUAAGUUUCUAUUCAUUUUCGGUACAUGCAAGACAUUUGUCAAAGUGAUUUUCUUUCCUGAAGUGAAAAUGAGUUCCACAUUUCCUUUGUCAAUCACUUUUGAUCUUCCUUCAUUUUCCAUUUGUAUCUCUUGAUUGUCUUCAAUGUCAUGAUAAGUUUUGAAGUGAGACUUAUCAUAACAUACAUGGAUUGUAGCUCAUGUAUCAUACCACCACCCAGAACUUUUCCUUAGAUUGCAUUGAUUUCGGUCACUGUGUCGAUAAUCUCAUCAGCGAAGUUCACUUGUCCUUCUUUUGUUGUUUCCUAUGUCUACAAUCCUUAGCAUAGUGUCCCGAUUUUCCACAGAUAUAGCAAAGUUCUUUGGCUUUAUUUUUAAACUUUCCUUGAUCCUUUCUAGGACUAAGAAAUUUUCAUUUCUUUUUAAAUUUGUUGGAGUUGUCCACAUUGUCCACAGCAUUGGCCUUUGAAGAAUCAUCGUAAGAAUUUUCAAUCUUAUCUCUUGUCCUUGAUUCUUCUUCAAUACGAAGAUGUUUUUGUAUAUCUUCCAAAGAAAGGUCUUCGCAAUUGUGAAGAAUCUUCUUCCUAUAUCCUUUCUAAGAAUCAAGAAGUUUAGCAAUAAUUGCUCCCAUUUGGAAAGUUUCGGAAAGUUCGAUUUUCAUCGCUUUCAGUUUGUUUACAAUUAUUUGUAACUCAUGUACUUGAGGCAACAGCGGUAUAUUAUCCAAAAAUUUGAAAUCAAAAUACUUAGGUAUUAAGAACUUUUUGGUACCUUCCUCCUCGGCUUUGUAUUUGCUUUCUAGCGCGUACCAGAUAUAUUUUGUUGAUGAAGUGUUGGUGUAGAGAUCAUAGAGGCGAUCGGAUAAUGCAUUUAGGAUAUGGCCACGGCAUAUCAAUUCGUCCUCUUUCCGUUUCUUCCUUUCUGCGCGAAUUUCUUCGGUAUCCUUGUUAGUUGCAUCGGGGAUGAGCUCUAAUUUUGGAUCAAGCACGUAGAAAAUUUUCAAGGCCGUUAACAAAAAAUUUAAGUUUGUCCUGCCAUCUAGUAAAAUUUGUGCCAUUUACUCUGUCCAAGCGUACCAAAUCUUAAUUCAUCAUUUUGAUAGUAACAAGUGUAGAUUCCGUCUUCAUCGCAGUAAUAGUAACAAAUAACAUUUGAGAUUGUCAAGAAAUAAAGCCAAUGGAGAAGAAGAAUAAAAUGCAAAGAAGAGAAGAACAUAAAUGUAUAUCAAUGAAGGUUUGAAUACGAAAUUAAUCUCGUUGUCCUCAAAUGUUAUUUGCCUCCUUUCCAAUACUUUUUAAGAAUUUCUGGCAAAUAGUUUGUAGAAUUAAAUAAGUCUUGAUAAGAAGAACACGAAAAAGCAAAGGUGUAACUUCACAAUGAACAAGUGAAAAAUGGAAGGAUUAAAUAAUAAUUUUUUCUCAAUUUUUGAAAGUAUAAUUUAGGGAUAAAUUUCAGUGGAACUCAAUGAAUUUUCUUGCACUUGGAUCACCUCUUUAUAAGCCUUGGCAAGUUCCCUCGAAAUGGUGCAAGAAACAGGUGAAAAAUCACCAAAUUUGAAUGAAAAAAGGUCAAAAACUAACCCAACAAUUAGUUUUUAAUAAGCGACCGUAUGGGACCGCAUGGCUAUAGCUUCACCAGCCCUCCCAUUCUCGGAAGGGCCUCAUGUGACUGCAUGGGCUUAAUCCAUGCGGUCGCAUGGUUAAGCAAAAAAAAAAUUUUCUUUUCGAUUUUGAACAACAAAUAAAUUUCCAACAUUAAGUUAUGAGAAAAAAAGUUAUGUUUAAGGGCGUCGUAUAUAAAAAUACAUGUUUCUUCAAGGAUCAAUACGUAAAAAUAUCAUACUUGAGGGCCUCAUCAUAAUUAUUUGCUAGCCCUGAAAACUUGACCGCCAUAGUCCCUUUUCUACGAACCACUGUGGUGAGCCUUUCUUCGUCAACAAAUCUAGUUCGCAGAUUCACCUCACUUUCUCCAUCAACAAGCCUAGUUUGUAGCUUUGCCUCACCGAGUGACACCAACAAGGUACAUCAACAAGCCUGGAAGUUGUUACUAUGUAGAUGAAUAUGUGGAUCCCUAGAUUCUAACAUUUGCUCAGCAGCUUAGAACUUUGAGGAUAACAGGAUUCAAGAAGCCCAAUUUCACACUGAACAACUUAUUAAGCAAGAGACAAUCACUUUCAAUGUGGAUGAGGAAUUUAAUUCAGCAACUCUAUUUUAUUAUUGGUCUCUUACUGCAACUCACGACAUAAUUCUACAAGUGCAAGAAUUAAUAGAUGCUAUACAAAAUAGAAAGUGCUACGUGUACAUAAUUGUUUACAUAAUGAUGUUCAUAAUUACACGUGACACUGGAUCCAACAUUUAAUUCAAAUCUACACUUGUAAAUCAACAACCAGAUGAUUGCCACAUCACAGUGUGAACACCAUUAUAUGCAAUAAUUAUGUACAAGUAGAAUUUUCCAAUAAAAUAUGCUAACCUACCAGUUAAAUGAGUUACGUUGUAGAACCACAACAACGCCAAAAAUGGACCUCCAAAUGGGUACAUGGAGUCACACAAACUGGCGUCCUCAAUGGGAAAAAUAUUGGAAACUGGUAGAAAUUGAAGCCAGCCAAAAGAAAGCAAUCAUCUCAAGGACAAUAUAUGACUUCAAUACAUCACUCCAAUGUACAAUUUCUUUCAUGGUCUGCCGAGACCAAGGGAGAUCGAGAUUGAGUGGCAUGUAGGGCGCAUCGCCGCUGCUACAGAACCCUUGGUAGCGCUGGGAGCACCAGGGCCAGAUCUUGGCCCAAAUUGGUCAACCAAGACAAAAGGGGAUCGAGAUCGAGUGGCAUGUAGGUCCAACACUACUGCUACGGGGGCCUCGGUAGCGGUGGGAGCACCGAGGCCAAAUCUUGGCCCGGGUUGGUCCAUCGAGACCAAGGGGCACCAAGGCCAGAACUUGGCCUAGGUGGGUCCUUCGAGACCAAUGGGGGUUGAGAUCGAGUGGCAUGUAGGUCACAACGCCGCUGCUACCGAGGCCUUGGUGUUGGUGGGAGUACUGGGGCCAGAUUUUAGCCCGGUGUUUAGUCUAAAACCGAGAGCAAAGGGGAUUGAGAUGGAGUAGCAUGUAGGUCCAUUGUAGUCGGAAUGUUUGAACGACUAUGGCUUGAUGCAGUCGACUGCAUGAUCUCUAGCCAAGGCUGGAAGUCUUUGAAAAGGAGAAAAUGGAAGUGAACAUUAUUGAUCCAUACUGGUAUAUAUUUCAUUCUAUAUUUUAAUAAAUAGCGAAUAAUGAGAUAUUUUUUUUAUCACAUUUUAAAUAAUAAAUAAUUACGAAAAGUAUUUUCUCCUUGUCUCAAAGCAUAGAACAAAAUAUUUGAAGUAAAUCAUCAUUAAUGAAAAGAUGUACUAAUUAAUGAAAAAUUGAAGAUAAUAAUUUGACCCAAAAAAAUGAUUGUUAUAACGCGAAAUACAAUUAAAAUAUAGUGUAACGAAUAAAAAUUGUAGUACCAAUAUAAAUUGACAUCCUUUGAUAGAGACCCAAAAAAAAUCAAAAAUCUGAAAUAUGUUUUUUUGCUCGGAUUACAUUGGCUAUAUGCUAAUAGAAAUGUAAUACAAAAGAGGUAAAUAACAUAAAUUUCUUCAAAACAUUAUUGUUCAUUUGAUUACUGAUUCAAAACUCCAAAUUUGCAUUUAGUCUCAACUUGCCAAAUUUGCUCCAUCUCCUGCGAUUCUAAGUCUAGUUCCUCGUCAAUAUUUAUUGUUGUAGUCAUAUAUAUAUUAAGAACAGGAAUUGUAUGCAGCAGAAGUUGAACACUCUGCUUAAAAUUCCUCCACGUGCUAGAGAUACAAGCAGUGCAUAAGGAGAGCAGCAUAAUUAUGGGGUAGACAUACCAAAAGACAUCUUGUGGGAAGAAUACGAAGGCAAAGAGCAAACCAAUAGGGAAAUUAAGUAAUUCUCGACUUGAAUGAGUCUGUAUCCCGUAUCAACUUGAGGUGUCAAUGAGAUUUCAAUAGAGAUGAAGGAGAAGUGAAAGAAAAAGCUAGUGAGAAUCCAAAACUUGAUCCAAGUGAAGUUCCCAAUUACCAUACCAAAUGGAUUCCAUUCCCAAUGCAUGGCUGUAUAUGAUUUCAAUAUAUUUACAACGAAUAGGAGUAACUGGAAACUUCAAUUGGAUCCAUUUGGUAUGUUAAUUGGGAACUUCACUUGGAUCAAGUUUUGGCUUCUCAUUAGCUUUUUCUUUAUCUUCUCCUUCAUUUCCAUUGAAUCCUAUUCGUUGUAAAUAUAUUGAAAUCAUAUACAGCCAUGCAUUGGGAAUGGAAUCCAUUUGGGAUGGUAAUUGGAAACUUCACUUGGAUCAAGUUUUGGAUUCUCACUAGCUUUUUCUUUCACUUCUCCUUCAUCUCCAUUGAAAUCUCAUUGACACCUCAAGUUGAUACGGGAUACAUAUGCGUUCAAGUUGAGAAUUACUCAAUUUCCCUAUUGGUUUGCUCUUGGCCUUAGUAUUCUUCCCACAAGAUAUCUUUUGGUAUGUCUACCCCAUAAUUAUGCUGCUCUCUUUAUGCACUGCUUGUAUAUCUAGCACGUGGAGGAGUUUUAAGCAGAGUGUUCAACUUCUGUUGUCAACAAUUCAUGUUCUUAACAUAUAUAUGACUACAACAAUAAAUAUUGACGAGGAACCAUACUUAGAAUCGUAGGAGAUGGAGCAAAUUCGACAAGUUUAGACCAAAUGCAAAUCUGGAGUUUUGAAUCAAUAAUUAAAUGAACAAUAAUGUUUUGAAGUAGUUUCUGUUAUUUGCCUCCUUUGUAUUACAUUUCUGUUAGCAUAUAGCCAAUGUAAUCCGAGCAAAAAAACGUGUUGCAGAUUUUCAGAUUUUUUAUUUUUAUUUUUUUGUCUCUAUUAAGAGAGAAACUUGGGUGGGGUGAUCGCACCAUCCACGUGGUGCUACCGGCCAACCCCGAAGCACCACCUCUGCAGAUGGCUCACACACCUCGAGGGUGUGUGGUGGCCCACCCACCGAGGUGGUGCACAUUGAUAGUAGCGGUGCGACCGCCCUACCUAAGUUUUUUUCCUCUAUCAAAGGAUGUCAAUUUAUAUUGGUACUACAAUUUUUAUUUGUUUCACUACAUUUUAAUUGUACUUCGUGUUAUAGCAAUCAUUUUUUUAAUUUUUUUUGUCAAAUUCUUAUCUUCAAUUUUUCAUUAAUUAAUAUAUCGUGUCAUUAAUGAUGAUUUACCUCAAAUAUUUUUUUGGGCUUUUUUGGGCGACUUUUUGACGAUUUUCCGAUUGAAUCCCUUGAAGUUACGAAAAGACUUGGGUGUAAUUGAAGAGGACAUUAUGGACUUUCCAACGUUAUCAAAAUUUGACGGUAUCUAUGAUCGAAAAGUUGCGGCAAAAGCAACCCAAAAAUUUGAAAAUGUGGUUUUAAAACUUCAGUGACCGUUUCUACAAGUUUUUAAACUUCAAUGACCAUUUCUAAAAGUUUUUAAACUUCAGUGCUCAUUUCUGAAAGCACCCCGAAGCUUAAGUGACCGUUACUAAAAAUUUUAAACAUCAAUGACCGUUUUGUAAUUUCUGCAUAAGUUCAAUGACCUUUUUGAAAUUAAUCCAAAAAAGUUUGCAUGUAGAGUUUCAUGUUUCUUAAAAAGUACAAACAAAUCUCACGUAAAACAAUUUAAAACAUUCUAAUUAAAGAAAAAUAUUUUAUCAUCUCAAUUAACCCACCUACUCCUACACCCAUCCCUUACAUUCCACCACCACUACAAAAUUAAUCAAAGAGAUAAUUAAAAGUAUAAUAAAAGCAAAAUAAUAAUAAUAAUAAUAAUAAUAAUAAUAAUAAUAAUAAUAAUAAUAAUAAUGAUGAUGAUGAUGAUGAUGAUGAUAAUAAUUUAUGACCCCAUUUGACCCCCAUUAAUUUUAAUUAUAAUGGGGAAAAUAGUAUUUUUUUUGAAAAAUUGAUGGUUGUAAAAGAAUAAAAAGUUUUCGAUUUACGUGUAAUAUUAUUUUAUUAAAAAUUGUGUGAUUCAAAAUAAGAAAGAAAAAUUUAAUUUAAUUUGAUGAGAUGUAAUGGGAGGGAGAAGGAACGGUGGCUAUAUAAAAAUGAAUGACGCUUAUUCCUCAUCAAAUAAUUUUUAAACCUUUAAUUCUCUUUUUAAUUAUUUGAUGGUCAUGUUGAUGGAGGAGGAUAUGCAUAGGAGUCAAGAUAGGGACAGGUGGUUAAUUGGAAAAAUAAUUUUUUUACUAGAAUGUUUUAAAUUGUUCUGAAUAAAAUUCAUUUGCAGUUUUUAAAAAAAUUAUAAAAUCUAGAUACAACAUUUUUAUAUUAUUUCUUUUAUAUAUAUAUUUGUUUAUUUAAAGAUGAUAAAUUAGUCAUUUUAUAAUGUUAUAAUUGAAAAAAUGGAUGGUAAAGACAUUUUAAGCAAAGAAAUGUCGAUCUAAAUGUUCAAAUGUCAAAAUUGAAAUGAUAAGAACUAUUCACACAAUUAAAGCAAACGAUAGGCACGUUUUUGCGUCAAAUUACACAUAUUUUACGAAAGGAUUUAAUGAAAUAUGACGGAAAGCACGGAUUUUGCAAGAAACGUUUGAAAUAAGAGUGUAAAUGGCAACUUUGAAAUAAUAUGAACCGAUUACAAACGAUUAGAAUGCUUUUUGGUAAUUACCCUAAAGCAUAUUUACUCUCUAGAUAUUGAGGGAAUUUAGCCCUUGUCUAACACCCAUUAAAAUUUUAAUAUAUUUUUCUCUUUUUUUUUUCAAUCACAUAUUCAUCAAUAAAAUAAUAUUAUAAGUAAAUCAAAAAAUUUCCUUCUUUUUUUACCACAAAUUCUCCCAAAAAACACUAUUCCAUAAUACAUUUUAUCAAAAUUUCUCAUUAUAAUGGAUGUCAAACAAAGGCUUAAUAUAAACUAAUUUACACUUUACUUUUAUAAUAAAUAAUGUUAUUCAUAGUGUCUAUUGAUAGUCAUCCUUCGUGACAUACACAUGACAAUAUGUUAUUUGAUGCAUAGGACGGUAAAAAAACUAUCAUAUUAAUUUAUCAAAUAAUGUCAUGUGUAUGUCACGUAAGAUAACUACUGAUAGUAGUUCUUAUUAUAUAAUUCAUCAGCUGCAAUCUUAAAAGAGACAUAAAUUUAGUUAACAGUGGUUCUUAUUAUAUUAGUUCAUCAGCUAAUAUAUAAUCAGUCCUUCCUAUAGCUUACUAGUUGAGUGUGGAAGGGGAUAGCAAAACGAAAAUAAGAAAAUCAGAAUUUUAUGCAUCGUGUUUUCCCCAUCAAACUUAUUUUUAUUAUAUAACUUCUAAGACGAUAAAACUAAGUCAUGAGAUUUGCCCUACUAAAAAACUUCCUAUAUUCACUUUUAUUUUUUAUUUUUUAUUUUUGGGGCUUGCAAAUCAUUUCUUAUGCAUAAGUAAUUGUUGUAACUAACUGAUAUUCGCUACAUACAGAUGUACUCAUCCCUAGAAUAAAUGAAGCAAUGAUUUAUGAAGAGAAGUAAGAGACAAGAGAAGGAAGGAGGGAAGCAAGAGAGAGAGACUUUUUAAGCGUAGCCAAAAUAUGCUGUAAGUAAAUAUGCAAGAGAGAGAAACUUUUUAAGCUUAGCCAAAAAAUGCUAUAAGUAAAUAUCUUGCAUAAUCCAUGAUAACCAAUCCAUCUCAAAGGAAGUUUGUGCAUUUUCCCUCAUAAUAUGACUUGACAGUGACAAGAGUAUUCUAAUUAAAGCCUAUGGAGGUGGACUCUUGAGAGUGUUUAUAUGAAUAUUAUAAAGAUGAAAUAUUGAAGAACAAGGAGCACUAGCCAUACCAGUGUGAAAUAUAUUUCAAAGGACGGAAUGAAACUUAAUUAUAGGAACACGUUUUAACAAUAUUUACAGUGAACCAUAAAUUUGAUCAUGGGCCACAAUUGCAUGACUAUUUGUGUGAACUCAUGAAGUUUGUUCUAUAAAUCAUGAUAAAGAAUUCAUCCUGCGACAAAGUCAUGCUUUGGAUCAACGAAGCUUCUUUCUUAGCUAAGAAUCUGUAGCUUUUGUUUUUCAAUAAAAAGUGUAUAUCAUUUGAUCAACUCAUCAAUAAAUAUUCAGUACAAGUAUUCAAUUCAACGUAUAUGCCUUUUUAAAUUGUAUUUAGUCAUAAUUUUAUGUUCCAAGCAAAUAAUUUUAUGAUUUAUCCUUCUCAAUAUUAGGACUUGUGGUUAACAUUGUCAAAAAGGACCGCUCAAACUCUUAUAAAUUGGUCUAUGUCUUCAUCCUUAUUUGAUGUGAAAUUUUAUCCUUUAACAAUCAAUUUAUUAGUAAGUUCUGGAUCCGUAAAAUGAAACCUUAGCAUGUCAUUUAGAAAUCCAUUCGUUAAUAUGAUUCAAUUAAGUUACCGUUGCCAAUUAUGAGUUGAUGCAUGGUCAAAUGACAGCCUCUAUAGCUUCACAAACUUGAUAUAUUUGAUAACUUGUUAAAUUGUUAAUAUGGGUUGCAGUUUGAAAGUGGAAGAAUCUUAAUGAUCGCACAUGUAUACCUAUUCUUGACUUCAUCUACACCUUGUCAUCACUUGCAACUAUUAUAGAAAUACAGAACUGUUAAUAUGGAAUGCCACUUGUCAACACUUGGACGGUUCAUUAGCUCUAAAUUGAAUCUCUUGAGAAAUUUCUAGAAGCGGAAGCGUCUAACUUUGAGGCAUUAUUCUCCAAUUCAGUUGGCUUGGGUUGUCACUAUGCAUGAGCUGGUUGAAAACUCUAGAUUUUUCGUUCUCCAUUUGUACAUCACAUUUCCAAUUUGAGAGCGGAAUCAACUCCUCGCGCGUUUGAAUUUGAUUUGAAAUGGUUGAUGAGUUAAUUUAAUUAUUUAUAUUUGAACUAAGAUGUCUUUUUUUUUUCUUUUUUCUUUUUUUUCUUUUUUUUUAAAGAAAAAACGAGAUUAAAAAAUAGUUCACAAACCAUAUGAUAUAAAGAUGGCUUGUUGAAUUAUUUUUCAAUAGCUGUCGAUGACACAGCAAAGUUUUUCAGUUGGGGUUCAGGUAUGAUAUAGAGUUUUUGGGUGUGGUUGGAGUUCUAAUUUGUGUUUUCAAUGAAUAAUUUGGAGGGAAUUAUGCCUAUAUAUAGACUUUAAGCAAUUUGCAUAUUGACAUGAGUUGCCAACCAGCACCAGUUAAUCGAGUCAAGAAAUGCAAGUUGAUCAAACAAUGUAUCAUUAUAUAUCAAAAUUAUGAAUUUAGUGAUCCAAUUAACAGAAUUAUGAAAUAACUCAAUUACGACAUUUGGUAUUUUUUUAUCCACAAAUUAAAUACGGAAAAUUGUUGCAAAAAUGACACUAACCUCAUCCACCAUACUUGUAAGGAGGAGGCUUUUCCCCGAAAGUUGAUUUAGCAAACAGAAAACAAGCAAUUCCCAGGCCUAUCCCCGCGGCUCCUCCAAGAAUAAUAGCCACUGUCUUCUGUGUAUUCUUCCUUGUCCCUACGUUCCCUACACCAAUCACAUUACACUCACAUAAAUUAAAACUGCAACAAUUUUUUUCCUUUCACUUUCCUUUUUUUUUUUUUUUAUUCGGGAUUUCUUUAACAUUUUGAAAAUAAGAAAUAGACAAAUUCAUGUAUUGGAUAAAUUUAUCAAUGAACUAAAAGGGAUAACGGAAAAAGAUUUAUGUUUAAGACUCCAAAAUUAUCAAGAAGAAAACUUUGUUUGUUACAUAAGUAGAUGUAGCCCUUUUGGACGCUUGAAUUUUAAAUAAGAUUAUUAACCAAGCAAAGCUAAAUGUUCUGAUCAGGACAAGUGGGACAGUUAGUUAUGUCCUACUAUCUACACAAUUCUGUCUAUGUUCACAAUCAUGUUCGGGAAAAGGUACUUGUAUAGGAGUGGUUGUGCAAGGGCGAUUCCCCCUUUCCAUUGUAGUCCAAGUGAUAACAAACAGCCUCUAUACCUAUUCUUGACUUCAUCUACCAAAUUUGCGAUCAUCUCCACGCAUUAAAGAUUGAGUCAAUAUGUUAAAUAUUGUAAAUAAAUAUGAUUAAAUAAUUAAAAUUAAACAUAUUUGAUUUGUUUACCGUACAACGUAAAUGGAUAUAAAGACUUCAAAGGGGUAUAACAUAUUCAAAGUCUCCAACUAAAUCUAGUCCUCAUAUCCUCAACUUAUCAAAAAGUCAAUACCUUAAAGGUAUGUGCUAAAGAAAGGCACGAGUAUUGACAACCCCACCAUCUAUACAUUUGACAUUUGCCUUAACGAUUAAGAAAAUGCCCGAUCAUCAUUUACUAAAACUCAUAAAUAUGUUCGUAUCAUCUGCCAAACUCAACUAUUUCAAAAUUUAUUUUCAAUAAUGUAUUUCAUGGGAUUCACAACUUUUACCAAUUUUUCCAUCAAAUCUUACCAAAGCCAAUUAGGCAAUGGUCUAAGGCCUUAGAUAUUUGAGGGACCUCAAAAAUAAACCAUUUGUUCUCUGGUUCUUGCAGACAGUGGGAACAUAUCUUGUUAUUGCAAAUUAUUGCAUGACGGGAAUGACCUUUAUGAUUUGCUAAAGAAAUGAAGGUACUUUCCUUGGUUUCUUCAUUUUGCUUUAUUUCCACUCGUCAUUCAUUUACCAAUAUGGGUUGAUUCCCUUUCCUAGAAUAUAUGCUCAUGCCAAUUUCCCAAAUUUGUGGAUUUAAUUGAAACUCAAAAAAGUUUAACCAUAUUUUCUUACCUUCGUUCCAGUCCAUGAUAAUCUUUGUCAAAUUUUUAAUUUGUGAACAUUUUAGUCCAACCUAUCCUUUCCAUCCAAUCUCAUCUUUGCAUUGACAUACGUUAUGUGUUGGUUGGACAAUAAAAGAAAAUGUUAGACAGCAUUAAAGAAUAAACAACCAUCACAAAUUCGCGACAUAUUUAGAGAAUACUGCCAAAGAAAUCCAUUUUAAGGAUCUUUUAAUCACGUCCAAACAAGCUCUUAGCUCUCAACAGUUUUCAUGAGCUCGAUUUAUAGUACUAAUUAAACAAUAAAAAGAUAUUAAAACUUUUUCCAUAUUAAACUACAUUUUUGUCCAGCACUAAGCAUGGCUCCUAAAUAUGAUAUGAUGGUAAACAUGUGGGCCUUUCUUGUUUUAAUAGGAAUCCUCAUCUUUGAGAAUUAUGUUAGUUGUUAUUAUGUCCUCUGAGCAUGUUUCCUCAAGAAUCAAUAGAAAAUAGCUAUUUAUUUUUUCAUUUUACUCAAACUCGUGUAUUUCAUGUUGAACUGC
This 281177-nucleotide long non-coding RNA is filed under the name Olea europaea (common olive). Its description in RNAcentral is "long non-coding RNA (OEUR_LNC015038)". Lineage: Eukaryota; Viridiplantae; Streptophyta; Magnoliopsida; Lamiales; Oleaceae. The record is from RNAcentral.